CAGAUAAGGCUACACUGAGCACAGGAUGCCAUGAAACAUAAUCCAGGAACCAAAUUAAUAAAAAAGGAAGCCAAACCAUUAUUUAACAAUCUGUUUUGUAUUUGGGAAAGUCUGAUAAAAUCUACUUAGGGAUAAUUAGAGAACCUCAACUAUUAAUCACACCUCAUAAAUGAACUAACAUUAACCAUCUACCAUCCCCACGUCACACAAACAUUCUCUAUACUUCUGAACCUAAUCCAUCUUCAAUUGGGGUUUUUUUUUUUUUUUUUGGGUGGCGGGGGGGGGGAGCUAUCAAUUUUCUAAGCUUGCUUAGCUUCUGUGUGGGAUUGAAAUGCUGAUUUCAAAUCACUAACAGUAAAAUUGGAAGCUCAUGAAAAAACAGUUUUAUCUCAAAAUUACAUCUCGAUAUAAAUUCUCUUUUCAUUUCCUUCAACUUUCUAAUUAAGCUUAAAAAAUGUACCUUCAACCACAAAGGGGUUUAAAAUUUAAAAUAUAAAAAAUAAAUUCAGAUAACAAUAAUUAAUUUAAUUAAAAAUAUAAAUAGAGUUACAGAGAAAGAGAAAUUAGAGAAAGACCUAAUGUUGAGUCCUUUGGCGCAUGUCUCUUCAUAGGUCCGAACCAUUUCUUCGGGCGUGGGUUACGGCCGAGAUUGGAUAAUGAUGGAGGAGGAGAAGAUUAGCGAUGACGACGCCGAUGAAAUGGAAGGGUUUACCAGAGGAGUGGAUGCGAAGAGUGCAGGGACGGCCGCAGAGAGAGAGCAGCGGAGUGCGGCGACGGACGGUAGUGACCAGCGGAGGCGGAAGAUGGCGGUAUGGGCCAUUGCUUGCGCGUCGGUGAGUGUCUCGAGUGAGAGAGUGAAACCUCUACUUAAAUAAGUUCUACUUGAAAAACCGUACCAAACGGAGCUUAAAGUUAAUAGUCUCGUAUCUCCCGCAUUUGAUAUCUUAUUGGCAUCAGCGUGUUACCUAAGAUUGGGAUUCAUUAAAAUCCUCAAUGUAAUCGGUGGAACGAAUGGAUUUCUUCUGUUCACCUAUCCACCAAAAUUUCUGUAAUUAAAUUCAAAAGUCAAGAUCUAUGCUUAUUAUCUAUUCAACAGCUAAUAUUCUAAUUUAUAUUUACUUAAAUAUGAAGAGCUAUGCUUGUAAUUAACUUCAAAUGUGAUCGAAGCAGCCUUACAUCUGUAUAUUACUUAUUCCCAACCUUUUUUUUGACUUCAUAUACUUUCUUUUCAUGUUAUUUACUCUUUUUUUUCCCCUCUCUGACAAUUGAGGUAGGGGGUCAAACUUGAAAGUAUCUUAAAAUCAGACAUUUUUUUUUAAUAAUAACCUAGUUGUUUGCAUUAGAAAUGAUAUUUUUUGUGGUGCUGAUAAAGAGGUUAAUUAUGAUUCAACAAUUUAAAAUAUGAAAACAUGUGGAAGACGGCCGCAAUUAAAUUGAUUGUAUGAAAAUAUUUCAAUGAAAGUUUAAAAAUUUAGUACUUGUUAUCUUAUCGAGAGUUUUUUAAAUUAUAUUACUACUUGAACUUGACUGCUUUUGUAUUGAAUUCCUAGCGUUGACAUUGCUUCUACUCAAAAGCCAUUUAAGUUUGUGUAAGCUACCUGUAGUUUGAACAACAAUUUACUCAUGAAUUCUUGUUCAUAAUAGCAAUUUGAUUGAAAGUGCGGCUGCACUAAUUUUCUAGAUGAAUUUUUUCCUACAUGCUUGUUCUCGUAUGACCCAAAAUCCUGCUACAUCAGUUGUAUUAGAAAUUAAUCAACUGGGUUACAAUUAUGCAUCCCCACCAAUAUUUAAGCAAUUUAAUUACAGAAACAUUUCUUGAGGAAAGAAACUCAUAUCGGCACUAGGCUUUCAAUGAGGCUCAUUUUUAUGAAUCUGGAUAGCAUUAGAUAUCUCUCCGAAUAAUGGUGGGAGUAGAUCGCAGAUCUGGCUAUACUACAAAGUGUAUGUACGUUGACUCUCAAUAAAUACAAAUGAUUCUCUGAUAUUUUUUUUUUUGAUAUUAAUCACGAGAUAUCCUGAGGAGGGCCCCAACUGUGGGAGGCACCUUUAAGCCCGUACCACAACUCAGACUAGAAGUCCCCGCUCGAACCGGGAGGCACAGGUUCUCCCAACAAAGGCGACUUCCCUGCGACUCGAACUGAGGAGCAAACUCAGUCAAUGAUUCUCUGAUAUGAUUCAAAACAUCAGUGCAUGCAUCAUUUUAACUAGAGAGAAUAUUCUAAGAAUGAAAUUGAACGUGCAAUCAGCAACUAAAAUGAAGCCAGAAAUGUACACGCAUGAGGAAUUUUUCCUAGAAGAUUGAUAUUUCUUUAACUAGCAAACCAUACAAGUCCAAAGCUAACCAAACCAUACCUGCAAGUCCGGGGCUUAAAUGGAGUACUUGUAAGCAUAAAACAUUAAUCAAAACACAGUAUAGACACACACACACACCCCUCCCUACAUACAUACCAGCAAAUUCGAAAUAGAAAAAGGAGUGCAACUCACAAAACAGUCGGAGGUGGAAUUCCAGCAUAUCUCCUUCUCUCCGUAGCACUCAGAGGUAUAGUUGAAAGAUUAAACACCAUGGAAUAAUUUGAAAGGAAAAUGCCAAGAAACUGUGUAAGUGGCUAAAUUCCACAAAUAUUACAUUAUUGCUCAUUUUUAUCUCAAAAAAAUGGUACGCGUUCAUUUAGAGAAGAGUCCAAGCCCAGUAACAGGAAUAUUUUAAUUACUACCAUGACAUAAUUGAUGGUGCUUAAAUCAAUUGUUUCUUUUUUAAUUUAAAGAUUUUUUCAUUAAAAAAUAUUUUAAUAUCAAAAUGCCUUCAAUGGCAUUACUGCCGCAAGCCCAGCAACAGGAUUAAUUAAAAAGUUCAGAAUUUUUGGGCAUGGAAACUGGAAAGAGUAUUAAACAUCAGAAAGCUAAGGUUUGUUCUGUUAAAGAAUUGAUAUUGACAUAGUUUUUUUUUUGAGGAAAAAAAAAACAUAUUUGUUGACAAGUAAGGAAAUGUUUUUGUAUUUUACAAUCUGUUAUUACAUAUUUUAUCAUAUUAAAGUAAUUUUAAUAACAAAUAGAAACAUAAUAUUACAAUAAAUAAAUUAAAGUUUAAAUUAUUUUGAAUAUUAUAAAAAAUAAUGUUAAUAUUAUUAAUAGGAAGACAUUUUGUUAAUUUUAAAAUCUUUUUAAUCCAAAGGUUUAUUUAAAAUCUCUAUAAUAAAUACAAAUAUAAGAUUAAAAUAAAAAUCAUAAUUUGAAAAUUUUAAUAUUAUUUUAAAUGUUAAAUAUACUUUAAUGUUAUUAGCCUACUACGUAGAUUUUAUUAUUUAUAUUAUAUUCGUAUUGAUUAAAAUUUUUUAAAAUCAAUUUUUUAGUUAGUACAUUCAAGAGGUAUCAUAGUUAAAGAAAAGAUUUUGGUGCAACUGUUUUAAAAUUUCAGGGACUAAAUGAUAAUUUUUUUAAAUUUUAAGGAAGUUGGUAUUAUUUUUCCGACAAUUUAUUUUAUUUUGAGGGAAAUCCGAUGAGAAAUAUCAUCAGAGAACAUUAAUUUAACAUUCUUUACCUUUAUGAAAAAAGUGAAAAUCAAGAACUAUUCAAUUUUGUAUUUUUUGUUUGUAAUUCAAAAAAUGCAUCCACCAAAUCAAGAACUAUUCAAUCUUGAUUUUCCCAUUUUAUUCAUUUUCGAUGCAUCCCCCACUAUUUUUACAAAUCUCCAUCCCACAUCUACACUAUCAAACAAGUUGAUGGAAAUUGAACCCAGUAAGUUAUGUUCAUUACUGGUCAUUGUCUUUCUAUGAGCCACUUAUUUUGAGCAUUAGCGAUCUUAUAAGGAAUCAUGCCUUUUCAGGAUCGUUUUCUUUCAUUUCCUUCUUGUAGUAGUUAAUUAAAUAAAGAACGAACAGCUGAACUUGGUCUAUUUCGAGGAAGAACAAGGUUUCCAAUACUAGAGGAACUUUGAAAAAAAUUAAUUGGAAGCCUUUAUUCAUCUUUGAAGAAAAUUACCACACUUUAAAUCCUGGAUAAAAAAAAUUUUAUUCAUCUUCGGACUAUGAAUUUAUAAAAAAACAUUGUUAGGACUAAGAAAAAAAUAUUAUUUUAGAUAAGUUAUUUGUUUAUUAUUGAAUGAAAAAUUUAUCAUGAUAAAUAAAUAUUUAUUAUUUUAAAGAGAGAUUUUUUUUUUGGUUUUAAGAAGAGUUUUUUUUUGGUACAUGCACACACUAAUAAAGAAACACAAAAAGUGCUUCCUCAAGUCAAUAGUAUUUGCUUUAAUGGCUAAGGUGCAUAAUAAUGUAGCUUAGUUAGGAAAUUUGUAAUUACAUUAUGGCUCCGUUUGGUAUAACUUUUUAAUUAGAAGUAUUGUUCUUUUUAUUAACAUGUGUUUGUUUUACUUAAUAAUAAAAGUUUAGUUUACAAUUACACCGGUGUCAAAUCAGCAGAGCAUCGGCAAGAGUUUUCGAUUGUUGCAAUUUGCAAUGCACGCGGUGAGAGAAAAUGAGAAUCUUGUUUAAUUGUGAAUAAUGACAAACCUAAUCCUUUCAUUAGGAGUAAAUUAAUAAUCGUUUGUUAUAAUUGAAUAUGUAUAAAGAAAGGAAAAUUAUAUUCAUAGAUUUGACUUAUUUUUUGUUUAACGUAACUAAUCAUUCAACCAUCUUCAUUUGCCUCUGGCCAAUGCCCUUGUAGAUUAGUUGAAGCGUUGAUUUCUUAAUUCAGAUAAUUACAACGUCCUUUUCGCUAAUUAAGUAUGAUUAUGUACAUUUUCAUAUAGCAAGUGGCAUUGUAGAUCUAAACUAAGUUGCUAUUUCAAUCCGUUAAUUAAGUGAUUCUCCUCAUUGUCAUCAGUGUUAUACCCUCUGGGAAAAUAGCUCAAUUGUUUCCCUGCAUUGAUUUUCAUUGGUAAGUGAUUUCUUAUGAAAUUCUUUUGAGCUUUCCUUAUUAAAAAAGCUUGAGCUUUUAUCACCUAAUACGGAUAUCAAUUAACUUGUGAACGAUUUUGUAAUGAAACUAGGAGUUAAAUAAGAUUUUUACAUGAUGAUCAACUUGUUAAUUUUGUAUAUUUCAUAUUUAACAGGAUUUGGGCACGGAACGUUUGGAUUCUAAUAUUUAUAUAUUUAGUUUUAAUCAGUUUGACUUUCGUAAUCUUUCUCGCCUCAUCAUUAAGGGAUUAAGAAUUAGAGAAACAUUAGAAACAGGAAGAAAAUAACUUCAGAAAUAAGUAAGAGGGAAAAAAAUUUAUGAUAUUUGGUGUUGAAAUGAACUAAAAACUCGUCAGUACAACGUGUCGUUUGCAGGUUGUGAAGAUGAGUGCCAUGUCGUUUCAUUUAAGCAAUAUACCAGAACUGACAAAUUGCCAAUGUCGUUCAAGACCAUUAUAACUCACGUGCCUUACGCAUGCCUCUCUUAAGCUUAAACGGCAAAGCUAGCAGUCGUUUAAGGAAGGCUUAUUAAUAGCGCGUGAGAAGCUCGUGCCAGGUUGGUUAAAAGGCCGUUAGAUUUAGAGGGAAAUCUGGAUCUGUUACACCUGCAUCAACUGAUAUAUAAACGAGCUGGUUCUGGUGUUAGCAUGUAUGACCAAGGAGAGAGAGAUAAGGCAUCGAUACUGAGAGAAAAGCUUGACUAAGUGGUCUCUGUAUUAUGUGUGAUUUCUCUGUAACCUUGAAAGCUUAAUAAAACUGCUCUCUGUGUUGGUUUUCUCCAGUGGAUGUAGGCACCCUUCAACAGGUGCUGAACCACUUAAGCUCUGUGUGUUCUUUGCCUUUAGGUUGUGAUCUUUGAUCUGUGCAUUGUUCUUUGUUAAGUGUAAGAUUGGUUCUUGAAUCUUUGAGUCAGAGUUGGGUCUUGGGGUGAGAUUAAUCUAGUAUCUAAAGGGUUAAUCUCUCAACAUUUGGAAUGUAUCAUAAUUUUUUGUUGAGUAAAUAUGUAUGAAUAGUUUUUGGGAGUUUUAGCCAGGAGUCAUUUAUUGAAGAUGUCUAGCAAUUAAAGAUCUCUGUCUCAGUAGUUUUCCCAAUCAAAAUCAAGAAGCAAAAAAAACUUGCCAUUUUUCUACUUGAUAAUUAAUUGAAAUUUAAGAAAAUACAAUGGCAUUUCAAUUAGAAUUGGUAAUUGUUUAUCUUUUUUUCAUUGAUCAAAUUCUAAUCUUUAUGCAAUAGUUAUGAAUGAAAGAAAUAUUAUGAGAGGAGAUAGGUCAAUUGAAGCCGUACCCGCAAAUAAAAAAUAGAAAAGGAGUGCAACUAUUCAACUUUGUAGACAAUAUUGCAACCAUCCAAAGGUGAAGAUCUACGCUUAUUAUCUAUUUAACAGCUAUAUAUAUAUAUAUUUAUAUUUUUAAAUAUCAAGAGCUAUGCUUGUAAAUAAGUUCAAAAGUGAUGAGAACAGCCUUAUAUUUAUUUAUUUAAAUAUUACCCAGAAUACUGCUAUAACAAUUGUAUUUAAAUAAUAAUUGUAUUUAAAUAAAUAACUAUAUAUCUAAAUAUAUAUUUAUUUAUUUAAAUAUCAAGAGCUAUGCUUGUAAAUAAGUUCAAAUGUGAUGAGAACAGACUUAUAUUUAUUUAUUUAUUUAAAUAUGACCCAGGCUAAUUUCUCUGAAUUUUGACAGAGUAGAUUUCUAAGCUAAUGCUUGGCAGAUCUCUGGGCGAUACUACAAAGUGCAUGUACAUUGAGUCUUAAUAAAUAUAAACGAUUCUCUGAUAUGAUUCAAAACAUCACUACAUGCAUAAAUUAAUAAGAAAUGUAUAGUUGUACAUAAUUUUAUGCAUGAGGCAGUUUUUAUAGUUGUACCCUCUCUAAUGAAAUUGAAGGUGCAGCCAGCAACUAAAAUGAAGCAGAAAUGUACACGCAUGAGGCAGUUUUUCUAGAAGAUUGAUAUUUCUUUAACUAGAAAACCAUACAAGUCCACAGCUAGCCAAACCGUACCUGCAUGUGUCUAGGGCUUAAAUGGAGCACUUCUAAGCAUAAAACAGUAACUAAAACACAUACACAAACAUACAUACCAAAAAAUUCAAAAAAUAGAGAAAGGAAUACAACUAUUCAUGUUUGUAGACAAUAUUGCAACCAUGGCAUCAGUUAUAGCAAAUAUUGAAUUACAAUAUUUCCCUUGCCGAUUUUGUCUACACAAGUAAAGGGAAAUAAGAAUCAUAGAUGAAAAUCAACUUUUACAGUUCUAAUUAUUAGAUAGAUACAUAAUGAUCUAUCUUUGUUACUUUGUUUCUCUGCUGCAAUGUGCGAUCCCACUCUGUUUUGAUACUCAAAUUGAGUCUAUGUUGAGACAUAAUUUUGACAUUGGAAGCAAUCCCAAUUAGUUUGGCUUUUGUAUGACCCUUUAAGGUUUUACAAUAGAUGCAAAUCUACUGAGAAAAUGGUAAAAAAAGGUGUAUAUAAAAUGAGGCAAGUAACAGAAGUAUGAGUUAUCAGAUUAGAUUAAAAGUCACCCAAUUCAAUCUAUCAGAUUCCGUAAGGAUAUAACUGGAUGUCAUACCGCCAGUCCAUAUCCUCGAAAGUCUCUAGUCUUUGUCUCAACUCUGUCUGAGGCCAAUGUAAAUCCAAUUUGCACAAGCUCUUUAUGCACCAUAGCUCUUCUGGAAGCUUUCUCAAGUAAGCACAUGGGUUGACAAUUAAGCUUUCAAGUUUUGGCAUUGCUCUGCCCCCAUCGUCCACUCGUCUAGCCAAUACAUCGACUUCAGGUGCAAAAUCUUAAGUUCCGGAAAGCCAGCAGAGCCAACGCAGGCUAGCUUUCUUCCUAAAUACGAGUUCUGCUUCAGUUUCAGCACUUGAAGGCGUGGAAGCUUUUCCAGCAUUGGCAUGGGAUCCUCCAUUCGCUCAGUAUUUGAUAAGCUCAGUUGCAUCAUUCUUGGAGGAAAUUAGUAUUCAGACAGGACCAUCCGUGAGAGCUUGCUCUCAUUCACCAACUUCAAGCAUUCAACUUUGUGGAGUUUGCAUACGCUUUUGGAAACCCCAGAGUGAUAGCAACUCAAAUCUCCAGACACUCUAAGAGUUUGAAGAUUAGAUAGUCUGCACAAUAUAUCUGGCGUGCAACUACUAGGGUGUGAGGCUGAUAUGAAAAUAAGAUUUUUCAGAGAGCUGGAAUAAUUUUUUGGAGGUGCAGGCAGAGAGAUGGAACCAAAGUUCAGAUGCAUGAGUUUUUGCAUCUUCCAAAUAUCCUCUGGUGUUUGAUCUACGUAGCUAGAUGGCAUGUCUAGUGUUUGAAGGUUUGAAAGGGUGCAUAGCGGUGAAGGAAGACAUUUGAGCGAAGGGAUAUUCAAUUUCAAAUACUUCAAAUGGAAUAAAUUUUCUAAUCUGGGUGGAUAUUGGUCCAGGACUGCAGAACCCAUGUUCAAUACCCGAAGGUGUUUGAACAUUUUACAAAAAUUCUCGCAAUCUAUCGGAUUAAGAUGAUCGCUUUCUGAACUGUGAUUCAGAAAAAGAUUGGAGAUACAUGUCCGAAUGUUUCAAAGAAAAGAAUUCAAUCGGAUCAUCGAAAAUGAUGUACCGUUUGGCAUUUGCCAAUGAUUCAUCUUCGAAGUCAGGCGUCCGGACAAAUCCCAUCAUUGCUGCCGUCCCAAGUAACGCAGCAUAUGCAAAAGUUGGAACAUAACACGCCUUAAUUGUGCCUCCAUCUCUUCUCUUAUUUACUUGAAUGAAGCCAUGAUCGAUUAGUUCGUUCAAGUAAUGCUCGGCAGUUUCCUCACUGUUGUAUGGUAUGAAACCUUCAGCUACCCACAGCUGAUAUAAUUGCCUGGUAGAUAUCUCAAUGCCUGGAUGAAAGCUGAGGUUGUCCCUCGAUCAGUAAAUCAAACAAUUCCUCUGCCGCUUUCAAAUUCACUCUUAUCAAGCUGAAAUUGUCCCUCAAUCAAUAAGUGAGUGAAUUCGUUCCUUCGCUCUUUGAAAUCAAAACCAUUGUCUCUAGGCGGAAUUUGUUGCAACUGAUUUCUAAUAUCAAUGAUUUUACUGUGGAUUCCGACAAGAAGAGCAAUGAGUGAGAAAACAACUUGUUUGGUAACCAAAAAAGUAUUGAGAGAAAAUGUAAUGAUUCUGAGAAAUUGCUUUUAUUUCAAUUAAUCGAAUCCAGAGUAAAUGUACAGAGUUUCUUUAUAUACUAACGUAUCUACAUAGCUGAUAUUAGCUAAACUAAUUCAACCAGCUAAUCAUGCUUAACAACUUAUUAUAACUAACUAAAACUAAUAUUCACGUGUACAAGAAAUGAUGUAACCACCAGGUGCUAGCUGGCAUGCCAAGUCAUCAACUUGUAACCGUGAGCUGCAACUGUUACAAUCCUCUGCUUUGCUGACUAUCUGGCUCACAUGAGCUUCCUUAACAUCCCCUCUCAAGCUCAAGGGUCUGUUAACUACAUUGAGCUUGGAACGAAAAUAGCUAAAUUUUGGAAAAGAUAGAGGCUUAGUAAGAACAUCUGCCACUUGUUCUUCAGUAGGAAUAUAUCUAAUCUCUAACUCUUUGUUCAGAACCUUAUCUCUAAUGUAAUGAACAUCCAGCUCUAUAUGUUUGGUCUUGGAGUGGAAUAUUGGAUUUUUAGCUAGAUCACCUGCACUCUGAUUGUCACACCAGAGAAUAGGAGUUGGCAACUUGAUAAUUUUUAGCUCAGAAAACAAAGAUUGCAGCCAUGUAAGUUCAGAACUUGCUGCUGAUAAGGCUCGAUAUUCACUUUCUGUGCUAGACUUUGCCACAAUAGCUUGCUUUUUCGAAGACCAGGAAAUGAGAUUAUUACCAAGGAAAAUGUAGUAAGCUCCAAUGGAUUUCCUGUCAUCAGUGUCACAUGCCCAAUCAGCAUCUGAGUAUCCUGUCAACCCUAUUGUUUCCAAGGUUCCCUCUUGCUGAAUAUAGAGGCCAUAUGUAAUAGUUGCUUGAAGGUAUCUCAACACCUUUUUGCAGGCUAACCAAUGUUGGAGAGUUGGACCACUUAGAUACUGGCUAAGUUUAUGCACUGAGUAAGCAAUGUCUGGUCUAGUUAGAACCAAGUAUUGAAGCCCUCCAACUAUACUUCUGUAAAGAGUUGGAUUUUCAAAUUCUACACCCAAUGAGCCUUUAGCUAUUUUUUCUAAUUUGUAACCAGUGCUGAAAGGAGUUUCAGUUUCUUUACAGUUCUGCAUUGAGGCCUUGGUCAACAAAUCCUUGAUGUAUUUAGUUUGGGAGAGGUGCAUGCCAUGAUCUGUGUAGCUGACUUCUAUACCAAGGAAAUAUGAUACCAGGCCCAAGUCUUUUAAGGCAAAAGCUUUACUCAGCUUUGUGAUGAAUGCCUCCAGCAAGACUGAAUCUGGACCUGUAACUAAUAUAUCAUCUACAUAGAUCAAGACAAGGAUUAUGCCUUUAGUGUCAUGCUUGAUAAACAAUGAAGUGUCAGCCUUAGAAUUUGUGAAAUUCCAAUCUGUAAGACAGCCCUUAAGCUUAUCAUACCAGGCCCUUGGUGCCUGUUUUAAACCAUAAAGAGCUUUGUUUAGCUUACAGAUGUAUCCUCCCUCUGAAACAAAACCCUCUGGUUGUUGCAUGUACACAUCUUCAGUAAGAUCCCCAUUGAGAAAUGCAUUGUUGAUAUCUAUUUGUCUAACAUUCCAGCCUUGCAUAACUGCCAAACUCAAUAUAACUCUGACAGUUGAAGACUUGACUACAGGACUAUAAGUUUAUGAAUAGUCAACCCCAGCUGUCUGAUGGAAUCCUUUAGCAACAAGCCGAGCUUUAUGCUUAGAUACUGAGCCAUCUAAAUUAUACUUUGUUCUGAAGACCCAUUUGCAGCCAACCAGUUUAUGAGUAGGAUCCAUUGAAACUAGAUUCCAGGUUUUGUUUCUGAUAAGUGCAUCAUAUUCCAGUUGCAUUUUAUCUUUCCAUUUAGGAUCAGCUAAAGCUUCACCAACAUUAGAAGGUUCUAAACUGUUGUGUGCUGUCAAAAAUGCCUUAGGUUUGAAUAUACCAGCUUUAGCUCUGGUAGUCAUGGGAUGGACAGAGAUAGUAGGAUUGGAAAGUGAUAAAGAUGGUCUGGAAGGUGAUGUGUGUAAAGAAGCUUGAAAUGGUAUAGGAAGUUCUGGAGAAUUUUGAUGGAUGAUAGGUGAAGAUAUAGUGUUUGAAGUUGCUACUGGAGAUGUUGUGGGAAUGACAGGGGAGGUUAUGGUAUUAGUGGAUAAAAUAGAAUGAGUAGAAGAGGAAGGUAACAAGAUAUUGUGAUGAGAACUAGAAUUGUUAGAAUCAGUAUCUGCAGCAACAGCUUCAAAAGGUUUUAGAUUGCUAUUAGGAACUGAAACAUUAUAAAUAAAAACUUAUUAAAACCUAAUUUAUUUGGGAACCACAUAUUAAAACCUAAUUUAUUUGGGAACCACAUAUUAUUGGUCAGUAGUAUUUCUCAACUUAGCAAGUUAUUUCUAAUUUGUCCCUCUCUAUUAUUGGUUCUCUUAAAGCCAAUAGUGUCGCAUUUGAUAUCUUGCCAUUACCGUUGGCAUUAGCAUGUUACCUGAAAUUGGGAUUCAUUGAAAUCCUCAAUGUAAUCGGUGGAACGAAUGGAUUUCUUCUAUUCAUAAUUUGAUGAUUUUAAUUGAACUAGGAGAUAAAGUAAAAGAUAAAUGGUUGGUUUACUCCAAUUUCUGAAGUGCUUGUAUCUUUUUGGUUGAAUUCGUGCAGUUAAAUAAUCUCUACCAACAUAUGUAUGUAUGUAUGAAAUUGGAGUAACCAGACCUUUUCAAGAGUUAAAUAAUCUCUACCAACAUUGUAGAUUGCCCGAUAAAGUUAACUGUGUUACCCAGCUCCAUGCAUAUACAUUAAAUGCAUGUUUGGGUAGUUUUAUAAAAUGAUAACAGCACGUCAAAACUUGAUGAGUUAUAUUGUCAUAUUCGACAUUUUUAAAUUGAAAAAUUAGCAAGCAAUCUUCAGUGAACAUUACAAUUUUGUUCGCUCUACACCCCAUCAAUAUUUAAGCAAUCUACAGAUCAUUACUUGAGGAAAGAAACUCUUUGCGCCACUAGGCUUUUAACGAGGCUCAUUUCUAUGAAUCGGGAUAGCAUUAGAUAUCUCUCCGAAUACUGGUGGGAGUAGAUUGCAGAUCUCUGGGCUAUACUGCAAAGUGUAUGUACGUUGAUUGUCUGAUAUGAUUCAAAACAUCAGUCCAUGCAUCAUUUUAAUGAGAAAGAAUAUUCUGAGAUUAUUUAUGCAUCACCAUUUGUAGUUGUACUGACUAAUGAAAUUAAAGGUGCAAUCAGCAACUAAAAUGAAGCCAGAAAGACACGCAUGAGGCAGUUUUCCUAGAAGAUUUGAUAUUUCUUUGACUAGCAAACCAUACGAGUCCAAAGCUAGCCAAACCAUCCCUGCAAGUCCAGGGCUUAAAUGGAGUACAUCUAAGCAUAAAACAUUAAUCAAAACACAAUACGCACACACAGACCCCUACAUACAUACCAGCAAAUUCAAAAUAGAAAAAGGAGUGCAACUAUUCAAGUUUGUAGACAAUAUUGCAGCCAUGGCAUAUCAAAGCAAAUCCUUGAAAUGUGCUAAACAGAACAAUGCCCUGUCUCAUGAAUCGACGCUCAAUUACAAUUGAAAUUGAAAGUCCGGCUGGUGUUGUUUCCCUCUCCAGUUUUGCCUACAUAAGUAAAGGGAAAUAAGAAUCAUAAAUGAAAAUAUGCUUUGACAGUUCUUAUUAGAUAUAUAUAAAGGGAUCUUUCUUUGUUUCUCUGCUGCGAUGUGUGGUUAUCCCACUGUUUUUCCACUCAAGCUGAGUCUACGUUGAGACAUAAUUUUGACAUCAGAAGAUACCUCAAUUAGUUUGGCACUUUUACGAUAAACAUAAAUCUACUAAGAAAGUGCGGAAAAAAAGAAAAUGCAUAUAAAAGUAUGAUUUAUCAGAUAAGAUUAAAACUCACCCAAUUAAAUCCGUCAGAUUCCAUAAGGAUAUAACUGGAUGUCAUACCGCCGCUCCAUAUCCUCGAAAGUCCGUAGUCUUUGUCUCAGCUCUGUCUGAGGCCAAUGUAAAUCCAAUUUGCGCAAGCUCUUUAUGCACCACAGCUCUUCUGGAAGCUUUCUCAGGUAAGCACAUGGGUUGACAAUUAAGCUUUCAAGUUUUGGCAUUGCUCCUCUCCCCAUCGUCCACUCAUCUAGCCAAUACAUUGAUUUCAGGUGCAAAACCUUAAGCUUCGGAAAGCCACCAGAGCCGACACAGGCCAGCUUUCUUCCUAAAUACGAGUUCUGCUUCAGUUUCAGCACUUGAAGGUGCGGAAGCUUUUCUAGCGUUGGCAUGGGAUCCUCCAUUAGCUCAGUAUUUGAUAAGCUCAGUUGGGUCAGACUUGGAGGAAAUUGGUAUUCAGACAGGACCAUCCGUGAGAGCUUGCUUUCAUUCACCAGCUUCAAGCAUUCAAGUUUCUGCAGUUCGCAUAGGCUUUUGGAAGCCCCAAAAUGAUAGCAAGUCAAAUCUCCAGAUAUCCUUAGAGUUUGAAUAUUUGGUACUCUGCCCAAUAUAUCUGGAAUGCAACUACUAGGGUGCAAGGCUGAUAUGAAAAUGAGAUUUUUCAGGGAGCUGCAAUAAUUAUUUGGAGGUGCAGGCAGAGUGAUGGAACCGAAGUUUAGAUGCCUGAGUUUUUGCAUCAUCCAAAUAUCCUCUGAUGACUGAUCUAUGUAGCUAGAUGGCAUUUCUAGUGCUUGAAGGUUUAAAAGGGUGCAUAGCAGCGAAGGAAGGCAUUUGAGCGAAGGGAUAUUCAAUUUCAAGUACUUCAAAAAAUAUAAAUUUUCUAAUCCGGGUGGAAAUUGGUCGAGAACUGCGGAACCCAAGUUCAGUACCCGAAGGUGUUUGAACUUUUUACAAAAGUUCUCGCAAUCUAUCAGAGCGAGAUGAUCGCUUCGUGAACUGUGAAGCAGAAAAGAAUGGAUAUACUUGUCAGAAUAUUCUGGAGGAAAGAACUUAAUCAGACGAUCCAAAAUGAGAUACCGUUUGACAUUUGCCAGUGGUUCCUCUUUCAUGUCAGAUAUCCGGACAAAUUCCGUCUUGUCCGCCACCAAAUACAGUGAAAUAAAUUCAAAACUUGGAACAUAACACGCUUUGAUUGUGCCGUUGGCUCUUCUCUUACUCACUUGAAUGAAGUCGCGGUGGAUUAGUUCUUUUAACCCUCAGCUAUCCACAACUGACAUAAUUGCGUGGUAGAUAUCUCAAUGCCGGGGCGGAAGACACACAAAUAGAUGCAGCAGACUUUCAAGUAAAAAGGUAACUCCCCCACAGAACAAGUUCGACUGAAAACUGUCAAAUUUAUUUUUUCAUUCAUAUAAUUUUCUGAUGGCGCACUUCCAUAGUGUAGGACGAAAAAUUGCCAGGCCUCAUGCUCUAAUCUGAUCAAUGGUCCUUCAAUGAGCACUGAAUCAAGCCGAAUCUUCUCUCCGUUUUCCAUUUCCAACGACGUAAGGAGUUCUGGAUCAGUGAAAUAUCAAUACUCUGCUUCCAUUCCGAUUAUCAGGAAGAACUUCUUCAAGAUCAUCCCAUAUCUCAAUGUUAUCGCAGACAUCAUCAAGCACAAUAAAGUACUUCUUGUUUGUUAGGUAAUCUUGAAGAAUAGAUUUCUUCAAUUGAUAAUCUUCACCGAUAAUUACACUAACCCGAGAUGGAGGCAUCACGGACUUGAUUAUGUCAUCCAAUAUCUUGCCAAAAUCGUAGAGUGAAGAAACCCUGACCCAAGCAAAACCGUCAAAAUAGAACUUGACGUGAUUAUUAUUGUAAGUAUCUGCAGCAAAAGCAGUCUUAUCGAUGCCACGGCUGUCGAGAAUUGCAACCACUGCAAGCCGAGGAUGUCCUUCUAUCAAUAAAUCAAACAACUCCUCUCUGCCCCUUGCAAAUUCAUUGAUAUCAAGCCGAGGUUGUCCCUCACUCAAUAGGCGAAUGGUUUUGUUACAUUGUUCAGUGAUAUCAAAAUCAUUGUCGCCGGGUGGAAGUUGUUGCAUCCGAUUUCUAAUAUCAAUGAUUUCACUGUUGAGUCCAUCAAGAAGAGUCGUAUUAGUACUGCUGUCACUUUCGUUUUCACUGUUUUGCUGCUGCAUGAUUUUGAUGAAGAAUGUGUCAAUGGCUUCCUCAGAUUCACGGACAAAGUCAUUGAUGUCGUUCAGAAUUUCCAGAAUGUCUGCCCUUUUAACAUCUUCUUCAUCGCUUUUUUCUAAGUCCAACAGUUGCAAAGAAGGUAAAGAUAUUUCGGUGUCAUCGAAUUCUUCUCUAAUGAGUUGAAACAAAUCCGAGCCAUGUCAGAGUCAUAGUUUCCCAGCAGUGGUAACAAUAAUUUUGGACUCCGUAAGAAGGUUUUGAAAAAGUGGGGUUAAAUUUGUUGAAUCAGGCAGCGUUAACGGGUCUUCUUCACCUGCUAACACCCUUUUCAACCUCUCACAAAAUAGUCGGAGGUGGACGUCCAGCAUAUCUCAUUCUCUCCGUAGCACCCAGACGUAUUGUUAUUUGCUCCAACAAAUGUUAAAAGGAUUGGUUCUAUCUCAAAGUGGUUUGUGGUGUAAAAUUAAACACUAUGGGAGAAUUUGAAAGGAAGAUGCCAAGAAACCGUGUAAGUGGCUAAUUUCCACAAAUAUGACAUUAUUGCUCAUUUUUAACUCAAAAAAAUGAUAUGCGUUCAUUUAGAGAAAAGUCCAAGACGCUUGCCUUUUAAAAAGAACAGGUAUCCCUAUGCAACCUUUAUCUUAUUUAAUUACUACCAUAUGGUACUUAAAUCUAUUGUUUCUUUUUUAAUUUAAAGAAUUUUUCAUUAAAAAACUAUUUUAAUAUCAAAAUGCCUUCAAUGGCAUAGCUGCCGCAAGCCCAGUAUGAAUUAACAGGAUGAAUUAAAAAUUUUAGAAUUUUUGGGCAUGGAAAGAGUAAUAUUAAACAUUAGAAAGCUAAGCUUGUUCUGUUAAAGAAUUGAUAUUGACAUAAUUUUAUUUUGGUUUUCGGGGAAAAAAAUUAUUCGUUGACAAGCAAGAAACAUUUUUAAUUUUUAAAAUUUAUUAUGCAUAUUUUAUCAUAGUAAAGUAAUUUUAAUAAUAAAUAGAAACAUAAUAUUACAGUAAAUAAAUUAAAGUUUAAAUUAUUUUGAAUGUUAUAAAAAAUAAUUUUAAUAUUAUUAAUAGAAGACAUUUUCUUAAUUUUAAAAUCUUUUUAACCCAAAGGUUUAUUUAAAAUCUUUCUAAUAAAUACAAAUAUAAAAUUAAAAUAAAUAUCAAAAUUUGAAAUUUUUAAUAUUAAAAUUACUUUAAUGUUGUUAGUGACUGUUCGGUACAGCUUAUUUAAUGGCUAUAAGUGCUUAUUUAAUGUCAUAAUGUCAUGGGAUGAGUGUUUUGCACAGCAAAUCCAUGCGGUACUUAGACAACUUUGCCGAAUGUUGCUAAGUAAGCCUUGAGCUUCUCGAACUAGCUAAGCCUAGAGGUUUUCGAAGAGCUAGAGAGAAGAGAGCAAUGAAGCCGAAUGAAGAGAAUUGUAUUACUAACAAGAGAGAUUACAAGAGAGCUUACAAGUGUUUGAGUUGCUUGUACUAAGCUUGUUGCUCAAAUGUCUAAUGCCAUCCCAUAUUUAUAGGGGAGGCUUGCCAAGCUCUAGAGAUUCUAGAGAAUUCUACCAUUUAUAUGUGCCGGAAUUCUAUGGAGUAUUCUAGAGUAUUUACAAGCUCAAAUGCCUUUUAAAAAGAAUAUGUAUACAAUGGCAAUCCAUACUUUAUAAAAUUGAUGGUGAUUACAAAGAAAAAUUGUUUAAAAUAGAUUUAAUGCACAAAUAUGAUGACUUUUGGCAAAAAUUAGUUUCGGAAAUGUUGGGAUGAAAACCAUAUUAAUUGAGAAUUAAAAUUACUUAAUAAAAUUACUUAACUACCAUCUAAUAGAUGAAAACCAUAUCAAUUGAGACUUAAAUUAAGAUUUAAAUGUUGAAAUAUCUAGCAUUACUCACAAUAACCAAUUCAAAUUAUGACUAUCAUGUAGAAGCAAAUGUUUAUGCUUGGGUUUUUUACUUCUUGAAUUUGAUUGGAAAAUUUUCUGAGAUAGAGAAGUGUUUUGGAUAAGCUUUACGGGAUUGAAACCACAAAUUGGUAGAGGAAAUUAAUUUUGGACAAAUUUUUCUUAUAUUGUAGGACCUUCUAGUUGGAGUAGUGAUGCCUUUGUCUUCAUUUUUGGUUCCUUUUGUGUCGGCAGCCCCUUACUAUUCUCUUGACCCUGAGUUUGAGAUAGAAAUUUAUCAACCUCCAACCCCACAUCCACAAACAAGUUGAUUGAAACAAUUACUCUUUUAAUUAAGAGGACCCAAAUGAUUUAGGUUUCAGUUCUUAUCAUUUGUCUAUUAUUUCUUUGAAACAUUUAUUUUGAGCGUUACUGAUCUUAAUUAUCUGUAUUUCUCCAAUUAUUGAAGAAUUUCAAGUGGCCACUUUUUCUCCUUUUUAUAUAUGUUUAUUUUUUGGAGUGAUCAAACGGGUGCAAAAUCAAGUAUUCGCUGGUCUGUAGUUUAGCCAACGAUGGCUGAUCCACACAGUUGAUUAUAUGAUACUAUUAGCUCUCAAAAUCUUUCUUAUUUGAGAACAUAAAUUGCCCAUUGAAGUUAAACUAUGUUACCCAGCUCCAUGCACAUACAUUAAAUGUUUAGGUAGUUUUACAAAAUGAUAACAGCAUGCCAAAACUUGAUGUUGUCAUAUUCGACAUUUCAAAUUGAAAUAUAUGCAAGCAAUCUUCAGUGAACAUUACGUGUUUAUUGAAUAAUUUAAAUGGCCAGUAAAUCAACAGUCCGUGAGUUUUAAAUCUAUUAUGACUUAAUGUAUCUUUCUGUAUUUGUACACGUGUUAUAUUAUCAUAGUUUAAAAUUUUAAUAUUAUUUUAAAUGUUAAAAAUACUUUAAUGCUAUUAGUCUACUACACAGGUUAUAUUAUUUAUAUUAUAUUUGUAUUAAUUAAAACUUUUAAUGUCAAUUUUCUAAUUACUAUAUUGAAAAGGUAUUAUGGUUAAGAAAAAGUUUUGGCAUUUCUUCUUGAAAAUUUGAGGGUUUUCCAAAUUCUAAGGGUAUAGGUUUGAAAAUUUAACGAUCUUUAACUUAAUGAAACAAAAGAGGGAAAUCAAGAACUAUUCAAUUUUGUAUUUUUUGUUUGUAAUUCAAAAAAUACAUCCACCAAACAAGUUUUACGCAUUAAUGCUGUCAUAAAACGAAAAACAGUUUGCCAAAAAAUGGUACCAAACAUGUCCUUAAUGUCUCACAUGAUUUCUUAGUAAGUCCAUAUUAGAUAUAUUUAUACAUUUUAGGUAUUUUAGUUAUAAAAGAAGUUGGACCUCCCCCUGUUUAUAAAAAAUAACUUUAUUUCGAGAUUACCACUAAACUCUUACAUAGAAUUAGUGUAAUGUUAAGAGAGAGUAACACAGUUUUCCAUUACCAUCUUUGAAAAUAGAGAGAUAUGGAUGCGUGCAUUUAAGAGUUACCGUGAAAAUCAUACAAUUCAAUUUCCUGACAUAUAUAUUCAUGGACCAGCACCGAUAUUCUCACACCAAUGAGCACCACAGUUAGCACAAAACGGUUCGUUUUGUGCUAACUAUAAAAGAUUUAACUGUAGCUUGAAAACGCAGACUCAUCUUGCUCAAACGCAGACCACACACGCGCUCGAGUUUCUAAAACGCAAACGCAAACGCAAACUACACACACACUCAUCUUACUGGACCACAACACUCUCUCUCACCGUGGGUCUCUCCACAUUUGGCUUGGCUGUCAGUUGUUUCUCUCCCAACCCCGUGGAUUGCAUUCUCACGGCACUUCUGGAAUUUGAGACUUAGCUGCAGCUUCACUCUCUCGGCUGUCGGAAUUGAUUUGUGGAGGUAAUUUAUGCAAACGCAAACCACACACACACUCAUCUCAGUUGACCACAACACUCUCGCUCGCCGUGGGUCUCUCCACAUUUGGCUUGGCUGUCAGUUGUUUCUCUCUCCACCCCGUGGAUUGCAUUCUCACGACACUACUGGAAUUUGACACCUAGCUGCAGCUUCACUCUCUCGUUAUGAAUUUAUGUUAAUUUUGCUGUCUUCAGAACUGCCUGUUGUGGUCGAGUACAAGAUUGCGGAGAUGGGUUAUGUUAGAUUCUACUUGACACCAAGAUAGAAGAAGAUGAGGAUGAGACCAAGCCUCUAGCUUAAGUGUCAUUUGGUACAUAUGCUAUGGCAUUUUGUUGAAUCGAGUUACUCCUACAUUUUAAGUUUGCUUUUAGAAUAUUUCUCGUAAAUUUUCAUGUUGAAAAACCAAUCAUUUGUAGUUAAGUAGAUUGAUAAGAAUUCGUUUCUUGUGCUUGGUUUUUUAUCCUACUGUUGCACAUGGCCAGACAGCUGGUUGCACAUCAGAUUCAAGAGCUGUAAAUUUUGAGGCUGAGGAAUCUCAGCUGGGAUUUCAUGUGAUAACAUAUUAUCAGAUAGAUCCAGCAACUGCAAUGAAGUAAUGUUGCCAAUUUCCGCAGGAAGCUUGCCUUGAAAGUUGUUCUGAUACAAAAACAUUAUCUCCAAUAGCUCAAGCCUCCCAAGUUCAGCUGGAAUCUCCCCACCAAGAUUACCAACGGCCAAAUCAAGAUACUUCAGGUUGGUAAGAUUCCCAAAUUCCACUGGGAUUUCACCUUCAAAUUCAUUGUAUCCAAGAAUCAUAGUCUCCAUGGAUGAAAGUUGCCCAAGCUCUCGCGGUAUCUUGCCAGUGAGAUUAUUCCCAGAUAGAUUGAUAAGAAUUCGUUUCUUGUGCUUGGUUUUUUAUCCUACUGUUGUACAUGUAAUUGAUUCAUUUGUAAUCUUUGUUGCUUUCAAAGGUAGGCUUCAAUUGAGUUGAAACUUUAAAAAAUUUAUAAAAAAUGAACCGCAAAUAAAAGAUAGCAUCAUAUUGGGUGACAAAAUGUUCUCGAGGAUGAUCCUGAUUAAUGCUGUGUAUUUCGCAAUGUAAUUACUUGCUGAUCAAUUUAAUUGAAUUGAUUAACACAUUGGUUUGAGUUUUGAUACUGCUGCUCUGUUUUUGGGUUAUUUGAAGAUCGCAUUUUUGCAGGAACUGGUAAAUUGGACACGUUAACAAAAACUUCUCACGUAUUACUGAAAUAAUAACUGUUAUAUUUCAGCCCUUAUGCACAGAACACAAUGGUUGCAAGCAAAUCAACUCAUAACUUACACAAUGGUUGCAAGCAAAUCAAUUCAUAACUUGUAAAUAAAUAAACCCCAAAAAAUUGGGCAUUAAUUUCCAUUUUCCAGCAUAUAACAAUUUCUAGCAGCAAGUUUUAACAGCAGAUAACUUCCGACAACAACUCAUCCCAAAAUCAGCAACUCAUAACUCACAACACAAUAGCAUUUUGCUAAUUUCCAAUAGCAAGAUGCGUGAGAGAGACCCACGACGAGAGAAAGCCGAAGGAGAGAGCAGCGAGAUGCGCGAGAGGCCAGAUGAGAGAGACCCACGGUGAGAGAGAGAGCCACAGCCGAAGAGUGACCCACGCUCAAGAGAGAGAGCCACAGCCGAAUAGAGACCCACUCUUGAGAGAGAGAGAGAAAACCAAAGGAGAGAGCAAUCCCACGAUCCGUUUUGUGAGGCGAGUGUGUGAGGAGAGUGUGUUAGUUUUGAAGCUACAGUAUUUUCUUUUAGAGUUAGCACAAAACGAUGGUGCUAACUGCUAAGCGUGGUGCGUUUCUCAUUUUCCAUUCAUGGCCGUAUGCCAAAAGAAUAAAUAGACAGAAAGUAAAUUUACAGUCCUCACUUCCUCACAAUUGUUAACGUGAAGAUGCAUUACAACCGUGAACUGUCACUACUUUAGCCUUUUUUUUUUUUUCAAUUAUGGUGUGAUGGAGACAUUAAGGAUGAGCAUAAAAGUUAAAGAUGACUCAUUUUCUUUUUAAAGUGCUCUGCUGAAAGCCAAACUUCCUUUGGCUAAUUAAUUUAGAAGUAAAGCAGAGAAUAAAGUCUUAGAUGCCUUCUGAAAUUAGAAAUACAUUUUAUAUGCUUUAAUUAUGAUUAUUUGGUAGACUAAAGACCUAAAAGAUAUGUCAAAAGUAUAAAACAGAGCGAUUAAAGAAAAAAAGAAAAAAAAAAAACAGAGUAUUUGUGACGUAGAAUAACAAUUGGUAAAUAAAUCCUAAAUAUUUGAGUUGUUUAAAGCAAAUAUAACAGAGACGGUAAGAGAGAUGCAGAAACAGAAAACUAUUAGCCCUCUAUAUUCAUUUUCGAUGCUUUUCAAUCGAGAUUCUUUUAAUUCUUCUGGUGUCUGCAGCCCCGGCUCCUCUUAUAGAUCUCCAUCCCACAUCUGCACUACGAACAAGUUGAUUAAAGUUAAAUAAUGUUGGAGAUGUGGGGUGAGCCGUCAAUUUGGUAAAAAAUAUUAUGUAUAAUAUUGUUAAUAAUAUAAAAUAUAUAAUAAUAAUUACAAAGAAUCAUAAAUUAGAAAAAUUAAUUAUUUUACAAUCUAUUUCUUAAGUAAGAUAGAUCUCGUAAUAAGUUAAGUUAUAAUGUAAAAAAUAUUUUCAAUUUAUAAUCAUUUAAGAAGUCAUUUAACAAUAAAAUUUUUCUUUUUUUGAUCAAUUGGUCAUGCUACAGAGUAUCAUCUAUAUUCGUAGUGAUAUUAUUAUUACUCCGUAUUCUCAAAAAACCCGAUUUAACAUUUAGAAAAAGUUCCUACCUUUUAAAAAGAACAUGUAUGCAACAGCUACCCAUACUUUAUCUUACCACGACAAAACUAAUAGGGACUAAAUCAAAUUUCUCGAAUAAAGCAAAAUUUCUUAAAAUUAAUUUAAUAUACAAAUAUGAUGACUUUUUGCAAAAAUUAGUUUUGGAAAAUUAGUGACAGAAAAUAGUAACGAUUAUUAUUUAGAUGUGUAAAUAGCCUAAACAUGAUCCCUAGUACCAAUAUCCACGUGCAUCUUAACAUCUUUCGUCAUAUUCUUUCAUUCAUGGCCACUGGUUCAAGAUUUGAAUUUGAUCAUUAAAUCAUGUUCAAUAAUAUUAGAGAUUCCAACAAUUGAGCACCAACUUAAAUCCCAAUGCUAUGUGUCAUUAACAAAUGUUGUGUCAUUUAUAAUUAUUGAAUGAAUAAUUCGUUAAUUUAUUGAUAAACAAAAAUUUAUUAAUUUAAAGAGAGAUUUUUUUUUUUGGUUUUAAGAAGAGUUUUGCUGGUACAUGUACAUACUUAUAAAGAAAUAAACUUGUAAUUAUACUAUAUCUUUCUUUCUUUGUUUAUUUUGGUGGGAUAUUGUGAUAAAUCAUUGGAUUAAAAUGCAUUUAAAAAUAAAACUUGUUAAAAUCUAAUUUAUUUGGAAAACGCAUAUUAUUUGUCAGUCGUACUUCUCAACUUAGCAAGUUAUUUCUAACUUGUCAGUCUCUAUUGGUUCUCUAAAAGCUAAUAGUCUCGAAUCUCCCGGAUUUGAUAUCUUGCCAUUACUGUUGGCAUUAACAUGUUACCUGAGAAAUGAUAUUUUUUGUGGUGUUGAUAAAGAGGUUAAAUAUGAUUCAACAAUUUAAAAUAUGAAAACAUAUGGAAGACGGCCGCAAUUAAAUUGAUUGUAUGAAAAUAUUUCAAUGAAAUUUUAAAAAUUUGGUACUUGUUAUCUUAUCGAGAGUUUUUUUAAAUUAUAUUACUACUUGAACUUAACUGCUUUUGUAUUGAAUUCCUAGCGUUGCCAUUGCUUCUACUCAAAAGCCAUUUAAGUUUGUGUAAGCUACGUAUAGUUUGAACAACAAUUUACUCAUGAAUUGUUGUUCACAAUAGCAAGUCGGGGGUUUAAAUGGAGUACUUCUAAGCAUAAAACAUUGAUUAAAACAGAAUACACACAUACAUACCAGCAAAUUCAAAAUAGCAAAAGGAGUGCAAAAGUUCAAAUUUGUAGACAACAUUGCAACCAUGGCAUGUUUAUAGCAAAUCCUCGAAAUCUGCUAAAUAAAACAAUGCCCUGUCUCAUGAAUCAAUGCUGAAUUAAAAUUGAAACUGAAAGUCUGGCUGGCGUUGUUUCCCUCUCCAAUUUUGCCUACAUAAGUGAAAAUAAGAAUAAUAAAUGAAAAUCUGCUUUUACGGUUCUUAUUAGAUAGAUAAAAGGGGGAUCUUUCUUUGUUUCUCUGCUGCAAAGUGUGGCUAUCCCACUCUGUUUUGCCACCCAAGCUGAGUCUAUGUUGAGACAUAAUUUUGACAUCAGAAGCAAUCUCAAUUAGUUUGGCACUUUUAUGACCUCCUUGAAGGUUUUACGAUAAACAUAAAUCUACUGAGAAAGUGAGAAAAAAAAAGAAAAUGCAUAUAAAAAUAUGAGUUAUCAGAUAAGAUUAAACUUCACCCAAUUCAAUCCAUCAGAUUCCGUAAGGAUAUAACUGGAUUUCAUACCGCCACUCCAUAUCCUCGAAAGUCCGUAGUCCUUGUCUCAACUGUGUCUGGGGCCAGUGUAAGUCCAAUUUGCGCAAGCUCUUUAUGCACCACAGCUCUUCUGGAAGCUUUCUCAAGUAAGCACAUGGGUUGACAAUUAAGCUUUCAAGUUUGGGCAUUGCUCCAGCCCCCAUCGUCCACUCAUCUAGCCAAUACAUUGAUUUGAGGUGCAAAACCUUAAGUUCGGGAAAGCUACUCAAGCCAACACAAGCAAGCUUUCUUCCUAAAUACGAGUUCUGCUUCAGUUUCAGCACUCGAAGGCGUGGAAGAUUUUCCAGAAUUGGCAUGGGAUCCUCCAUUAACUCAGUAUUUGAUAAGCUCAGUUGGAUCAGACUUGGGGGAAAUUGGUAUUCAGACAGGACCAUCCGUGAGGGCUUGCUCUCAUUCACCAGCUUCAAGCAUUCAAGUUUGUGGAGUUCGCAAAGGCUUUUGGAAACCCCAGAUUGAUAGUAACUCAAAUCUCCAGAUAUCCGAAGAGUCUGAACACUAGGUAGUCUGCCCAAUAUAUCAGGAGUACAACUACUAGGGUUUAAAGCUGAUAUGAAAAUGAGAUUUUUCAGAGAGCUAGAAUAAUUUUUUGGAGGUGCGGGCAGAGUGAUAGAACCAAAGUUUAGAUGCAUGAGUUUUUGCAUCAUCCAAAUAUCCUCUGGUGACUGAUCUAUGUAGCUAGAUGGCAUUUCUAGUGUUUCAAGGUUUAAAAGGGUGCAUAGCAGUGAAGGAAGGCAUUUGAGCGAAGGGAUAUUCAAUUUCAAAUACUUCAAAAGAUAUAAAUUUUCUAAUCCGGGUGGAUAUUGGUCCAGGACUGCAGAACCCAAAUUCAAUACCCGAAGGUGUUUGAACUUUUUACAAAAAUUCUCGCAAUCUUUCGGAUUAAGAUGAUCGCUUGCCGAACUGUGAUUCAGAAAAGAUUGGAGAUACAUGUCAGAAUGUUCUAAAGAUAAAAACCCAGUCAGAUCUUCGGCAAUGACGCACCGUUUAACGUUUGCCACUGGCUCCUCUUCCCCGUCAUGCAUCAAGACAAAUUCCGUCUUCUUUGCCACAAAAUACAAUGAAGUAUAUACAAAACUUGGAACAUAACACGCUUUAAUUGUGCCUCCGGCGCUUCUCUUACUCACUUGAAUGAAGCCGCGACGGAUUAGUUCUUUCAUGUAAUGUUCGGCAGUUUCUUCACCGUUGUAUGGUAUGAAACCUUCAGCUACCCACAACUGAUAUAAUUGCUCCGUAGAUAUCUCAAUACUUGGAAGGAAGACACACAAAUAGAUGAAGCAGACUUUCAAGUGAAAAGGUAACUCCAUCACAGAAAAAAUUUGUCUCCAAACUGUCGGAAUCGCUUCGCCUUGAAGAUAAUUUUCUAAUGGCAUACUUCCAUAGUGUAGGAUGAAAAAUUGCCAGGCUUCAUGCUUUAAUCUGAUCAAUGGUCCUCCAAAGAGCACUGAAUCACGCCGAAUCUUCUCUCCGUUUUCCAUUUCUAACGACGCAAGGAGGUGUGGAUCACUGACCAACAUCAAUACUCUGCUUCCAUUCUGAUUAUCAGGAAGAACUUCUUCAAGAUCACUCCAUAUCUCACUGUCAUCGAAGACAUCAUCAAGCACAAUAAAGUACUUCCUGUUUGUUAGGUAAUCUCGAAGAAUAGAUUUCUUCAAUUGAUAAUCUUCCCCGAUAAUUACACUAACCCGAGAUGGAGGCAUCACAGACUUGAUUAUGUCAUCCAAUAUCUUGCCAAAAUCGUAGGUUAUAGAAACCCUGACCCAAGCAAGACAGUCAAAAUAGAACUUGACGUGAUCAUUAUUGUAAGUAUCUGCGGCAAAAACAGUCUUGUCGAAGCCACUGCUGUCGAGAAUUGCAACCACUGCAAGCCCAGAUGGUCCCUCAAUCAAUAGAUCAAACAACUCCUCUCUGCCCCUUUCAAAUUCACUGAUAUCAAGCCGAGGAUGUCCCGCACUCAAUAGGCGAAUGAUUUCGUUACUUUUUUCACUGAUAUCAAAACCAUUGUCGCCGGGUGGAAGUUGUUGCAUCCGAUUUCUAAUAUCAAUGAUUUCACUGUGGAGUCCAUCAAGAAGAGCCAUAUUAGUGCUGCUUUCACUUUCGUUUUCACUGUUUUGCUGCUGCAUGAUGUUGAUGAAGAAUGUGUCAAUGGCUUCCUGUGAGUCACGGACAAAGUUAUUGAUGUCCUCCAGAAUUUCAAAAAUAUCUGCUGUUUCAACGUUUUCUUCAUCGCUUUCUUCUAAGUCCAACAGUUGCAAAAAAGGCAAAGAUAUUUUGGAGUCAUCGAAAUCUUCUCUAAUGAGUUGAAACAAAUGCCGAGCCAUGUCAGCUUCAUAUUUUCCCAGCAGAGUAGUAGCAAUAAUUUCGGACUCCGUAAGAAGGUUUUGAAAAAGUGGAGUUAAAUUUGUUGAAUCUGGCAGCGGCAACGUGCCUUCUUCACCUGCUAACACCCUUCUCAACCUCUCACAAAAUAGUCGGAGGUGGACGUCCAGCAUAUCUCCUUCUCUCUGUAGCACCCAGAGGUAUUGUUUUUUGCUCCAAGAAAUAUUAAAAGGAUUGGUUCUAUCUAAAAGUGGUUACUGGUGUAAAAUUAAACGCCAUGGGAGAAUUUGAAAGGAAGAUGCCAAGGAACUGGCGAAGUGGCUAAAUUCCACAAAUACGGCAUUAUUGCUCAUUUUUAACUCAAAAAAUUGAUACGCGUUCAUUUUGCGAAAAGUCCAAGACGCUUGCCUUUUGAAAAGAAGAGGUAUCCAAUAGAUAUCCAACCUUUAUCUUAUUUUAAUUACUACCACGACAUGAUUGAUGGUGGUUAAAUCAAUUGUUUCUUUUUUAAUUUAAAGAAUUUUUCAUUAAAAAAUAUUUUAAUAUCAAAUUGCCUUCAAUAGCGUAACUGCCGCAAGCCCAGUAACAGGAUUAAUUAAUUUUUUUUGAAUUUUUGGGCAUGGAAAGAGUAGUAUUAGACUUCAGAAAGCUAAGGUUGUUAUGUUAAAGAAUUGAUAUUGACAUAAUUUUAUUUUGGCUUUCGGGGAAAAAAAUAUUUGCUGACAAGCAAGAAAAUAUUUUUGUAUUUUACAAUUUAUUAUACAUAUUUGAUCAUAUUAAAGUAAUUUUAAUAAUAAAUAGACACAUAAUAUUACAAUAAAUAAAGUAAAGUUUAAAUUAUUUUGAAUAUUAUAAAAAAAUAAUUUUAAUAUUAUUAAUAGGAAGACAUUUUGUUAAUUUUAAAAUCUUUUUAACCUAAAGGUUUAUUUAAAAUCUUUAGAAAUCUCCAUCCCACAUCUACCCUAUUAAACAAGUUGAUGGAAAUUGAACAAUUGCUUUUUAAAGUGGGACCCAUUGAGUUAUGUUCAUUACUGGUCAUUGUCUAUUCUUUCUAAGAGCCACUUGUUUUGAGCAUUAGCAAUCCUAUCUGGACUACUCCAAUUAUUGAUGUAACUCCAAUGGUUGCAUCGACAGUUGAAUAUAAGAGGAUGGUCCAUCGACAAUUUCUUUGUUUCUCCGUUGCAGCGUAUUAGUAUAAAUUUCUUUACCUAACAGUUCAUACAGUCUUCCUGUUAAUGAAUUCACUGAGGCAUUAUUGAUACAAUGUGCUUUUCGCUAAUUAAUUAUGAUUAUAUACGCUUUCAUAUAGCAAGUGGCAUUGUAGAUCUAAACUAAGUUGCUAUUUCAAUACGUUAAUUAAGUGAUUCUCCUCAUUGUCAUCAGCAUUAUACCCUCUAGGAAAAUAGCUCAAUUGUUUCUCUGCAUUGAUUUUCAUUGGUAAGUGAUUUCUUAUGAAAUUCUUUUGAGCUUUCCUUAUUAAAAAUGCUUGAGCUUUUAUCACCUAAUACGGAUAUCAAUUAACUUGUGAACGAUUUUGUAAUGAAACUAGGAGUUAAAUAAGAUUUUUACAUGAUGAUCAACUUGUUAAUUUUGUAUAUUUCAUAUUCAACAGGAUUUGGGCACGGAACGUUUGGAUUCUAAUAUUUAUAUAUUUAGUUUUAAUCAGUUUGACUUUCGUAAUCUUUCUCGCCUCAUCAUUAAGGGAUUAAGAAUUAGAGAAACAUUAGAAACAGGAAGAAAAUAACUUCAGAAAUAAGUAAGAGGGAAUCCAAUGAGAAAUAUGAUAAGAGAACGUCAAUUACUUGUCAUUUUCUAUUUUUUCUAUGAGAUAUUUAUUUUGAGCAUUAGUUAUAGCAAAUCCUUGAAAUCUACUAAACAAAACAAUGCCCUGUCUCAUGAAUCGAUGUUGAAUUACAGCUGAAAUUGAAAGUCUGGCACCAGUUAUAGCAAAUAUUGAAUUACAAUAUUUCCCUUGCCAAACCGUACCUGCAUGUGGCAACGUGCCUUCUUCACUUGCUAACACCCUUUUCAACCUCUCACAAAACAGUCGGAGGUGGAAUUCCAGCAUAUCUCCUUCUCUCCGCAGCACUCAGAGGUAUAGUUGAAAGAUUAAACACCAUGGAAGAAUUUGAAAGGAAAAUGCCAAGAAACUGUGUAAGUGGCUAAAUUCCACAAAUAUGACAUUAUUGCUCAUUUUUUAACUCAAAAAAAGGGUACGCGUUCAUUUAGAGAAAAGUCCAAGACGCGUGCUUUUUAAAAAGAACAGGUAUCCAACCUCUAUCUUAUUAAAUUACAACCAUGACAUAAUUGAUGGUGCUUAAAUCAAUUGUUUCUUUUUUAAUUUAAAGAAUUUUUCAUUAAAAAAAUAUUUUAAUAUCAAAUUGCCUUCAGUGGCGUAACUGCCUCAGGCCCAGUAACAGGACUAAUUAAAAAUUUUACAAUUUUUGGGCAUGGAAAUAGUAGUAUUAAACAUUAGAAAGGUAAGGUUGUUCUGUUAAAGAAUUGAUAUUGACAUAAUUUUAUUUUGGUUUUCGUGGAAAAAAAAUUUGUUGACAAGUAAGAAAAUAUUUUUAUUUUUAUAAAAUUUAUUAUGCAUAUUUAUCAUAUUAAAGUAAUUUUAAUAAUAAAUAGAAACAUAAUAUUACAAUAAAUAAAUCAAAGUUUAAAUUAUUUUGAAUAUUAUAAAAAAUAAUGUUAAUAUUAUUAAUAGGAAGACAUUUUGUUAAUUUUAAAAUCUUUUUAAUCCAAAGGUUUAUUUAAAAUCUCUAUAAUAAAUACAAAUAUAAGAUUAAAAUAAAAAUCAUAAUUUGAAAAUUUUAAUAUUAUUUUAAAUGUUAAAUAUACUUUAAUGUUAUUAGCCUACUACGUAAAUUUUAUUAUUUAUAUUAUAUUCGUAUUGAUUAAAAUUUUUUAAAGUCAAUUUUUUAGUUAGUACAUUCACGAGGUAUAAUAGUUAAAGAAAAAAUUUUGGUGCAACUGUUUUAAAAUUUCAGGGUAUAAAUGAUAAUUUUUUUAAAAAUUUUAAGUAGGUAUUAUUUUUCCGACAAUUUAUUUUAUUGAGGGAAACCCGAUGAGAAAUAUCAUCAGAGAACAUUAAUUUAACAUUCUUUACCUUUAUGAAAAAAGUGGAAACCAAGAACUAUUCAAUUUUUUUUUUUUUGUGUAAUUCAAAAAAUGCAUCCACCAAACAAGCUUAUCUUAAUUUUCCCACUUUAUUCAUUUUCGAUGCUUUUCAAAAGAGGUUCCUUUAAUCCAUCUAGCAUCUGCAGCCCCCACUAUUUUUACAAAUCUCCAUCCCACAUCUACACUAUCAAAAAAGUUGAUGGAAAUUGAACCCAUUAAUUAAGUUAUGUUCAUUACAGGUCAUUAUCUUUCUAUGAGCCACUUAUUUUGAGCAUUAGCGAUCUUAUAAGGAAUCAUGCCUUUUCCGGAUCGUUUUCUUUCAUUUCCUUAUUGACUUAUUGUAGUAGUUAAUUAAAUAAAGAACGAACAAGUGAACUUAAUUUGUCUAUUUCGAGGAAGAACAAGGUUUCCAAUACUAGAGGAACUUUGAAGAAAAUUAAUUGGAAGCCUUUAUUCAUCUUUGAAGAAAAUUACCACACUUUAAAUCCUGGAUUAAAAAAAAUUUAUUCAUCUUCGGACUAUGAAUUUAUAAAAUAAUAUUGCUAGGACUAAGAAAAAAAUAUUAUUUUAGAUACGUUAUUUAUUUAUUAUUGAAUGAAAAAUUUAUCAUGAUAAAUAAAAUUUCUUAAUUUAAAGAGAGAUUUUUUUUUUGGUUUUAAGAAGAGUUUUUUUGGUACAUGCACACACUAAUAAAGAAACACAAAAAGUGCUUCCUCAAGUCAAUAGUAUUUACUUUAAUCGCUAAGGUGCAUAAUAAUGUAGCUUAGUUAGGAAAUUUGUAAUUACAUUAUGGCUCCGUUUGGUAUAACUUUUUAAUUAGAACUUAUUUAAAGAGAAUUUAUAUUAGUAGAGUUUUUAUAAAUAGAGAUUUUUUUUAUAAAAAAAAUUAUAGUUAUUUAGUUAUCAAUGUCCAAAUUGAUGAAGUAUUGUUCUUUUUAUUAACAUGUGUUUGUUUUACUUAAUAAUAAAAGUUUAGUUUACAAUUACACCGGUGUCAAAUCAGCAGAGCAUCGGCAAGAGUUUUCGAUUGUUGCAAUUUGCAAUGCACGCGGUGAGAGAAAAUGAGAAUCUUGUUUAAUUGUCAAUAAUGACAAACCUAAUCCUUUCAUUAGGAGUAAAUUAAUAAUCGUUGGUUAUAAUUGAAUAUGUAUAAAGAAAGGAAAAUUAUAUUCAUAGAUUUGACUUAUUUUUUAUUUAACGUAACUAAUCAUUCAACCAUCUUCGUUUGCCUCUGGCCAAUGCCCUUGUAGAUUAGUUGAAGCGUUAAUUACAUAAUUCAGAUAAUUACAACGUCCUUUUCGCUAAUUAAUUAUGAUUAUGUACAUUUUCAUAUAGCAAGUGGCAUUGUAGAUCUAAACUACGUUGCUAUUUCAAUACGUUAAUUAAGUGAUUCUCGUCAUUGUCAUCAGCGUUAUAAACAGGAAUUAUGCAAACAGUACACAAUGCUGCAGCAAGGCGUGGUUGGCUAGAGUUUUGCAACCACCCUCGAGAUCAUGUGCUGCCAGUAGUAAAAGAAUUUUACGCCAAUUUGGUAAGCCUUGGUCAGCACAAUAUUUGGGGUAAGAAACUCACUUGUUCCAUUAGACUCUCGAGUUAUAAAUGUUUUUUAUAAUUUACCUGCUGAAAUUAAUUGUGAGUAUGCCAAGUUGCUUGACAAAUUGACCUCACAACAAUGGAACACAAUUUUCACGACACUUACAGUAGAGGGUGCAUCGUGGGCUAAUGAGGAGGGGCGUGUAAUUAACAGGAUAGAUUUAAAACUCAUUGCUAAGGUGUGGGUGAAAUUUCUGAAAUCUAGGCUUAUGCCAACCAUCCACACCAUUACUGUUUUACAGGAAAGGUUGGUGCUGUUACAUGCUAUUGUUAGAGGGCUUUCCAUAGAUGUGGGAAGUAUUAUCGAAAAAGAAAUUCGAGAUUGUACCAUGAAAAACCACAAGGUUGUUGCCUUGUUAUUUCCUUCACUCAUAACCAGCAUAUGUGUAGUAUCGGGUGUUCAUCUUGAUGCAAAGGAUAAAAUUUGUAAUUAUAUUAUGGCUCCAUUUGGUAUAACUUUUUAAUUCGAACUUAUUUAAGGAGAUUUUUAUUAGUAGAGCUUUUAUAAAUAGAGAUUUUACUAAAAAAAAAUUAUAGUUAUUUAGUUGUCAAUGUCCAAAUGGAUGAACUAUUGUUCUUUUUGUUAACAUGUGUUUGUUUUACUUAAUAAUAAAAGUUAAGUUCACAAUUACACCGGUGUCAAAUCAGCAGAGCAUUUUUGCAGGGGUAAAAUCUCAUUUAGUCCCUAUAUUUUAAGCUUAGUAUCCAUUUGGUCCCUAUAUUUUUAAAAAUACCUCAAAACAUCCCUACCGUUAAAGUAUUGAUACCCCUACCGUUAAAGUAUUGAUACCCCUACCGUUAUCUUUAAUUUAUUUUGGCUUACUUUUACAAUAUUACCCUUUUAUAAUAAUUUUUUUAGACAUGAAUAAAAAAUAAUAAUUAAAUUACCAAUUUAACCCAAAAAAAAUUAAAAAAAAAAUUAUAUUAAUUUUUUUUGCAAACACCAUUUGCACACUUGAUAGUUUGCAUACAAUUUUAGAUAAUUAAAUUUCAACACAAGACUGAGUUUUUCAUCAUUCAAACUUCUCAUGUCUAAACUUUAUUUAUUGAGGUGCUAAAAGAUAAAUAUAUUGGCAAUUGGGAAAUGAAGUCAAUGAUAAGUUUGAUACAACCGUUGAUUAAAUAUCAUUAAAAAAAAAAAAGUACCUACAACUAGAAGUUAAAAAAAAAUGUCACCAUAGCCCACGUAUAAAUCCAUUUUGUAGUGCGUCAAAACUUAUGAAUAUCCUCUUGAAGUACGUCGCUACACCUUAUGUUUCAUAUUGAAUUUUCACCAUUGCCCUUUUAUUCUUUAUAAGAAGAACGUUGGCAUAGUCAUGUAACUUUGCAUAAGAUUUUGUGUAGUCACUAUCAGCAAUUUUUAGAACCCUUUUUUUGGCCAUAUACAGCCUUUUCUUUGUAGUUGAACAAGAAAACCUCUUCCUCAAUUCAUCUGACAUGGAUUCACAACCGAUAUCAGGAUUAAAACUAAUAAAACCAUACAAUUUCUGAGCUAUCCAUCUACUAGUUACUUCAGGAUUCUUAAACAGCUCUUUGCACUUAUGUUCACCACCUUUUAAAGUUUUAAUCUGGAAUGUAACUUUGUCAACCAAUAAAGAUGCAUGGAUUCUCCAUGGACAUUCCUUUCCUUCUUUGUCCUUCCCAGCACACACGGCUGUAACUCUACAUUUGUCAUUCUUUUUCCUUUUCAAAACUCUUGACUCUUGAAUAGCAUAAUCCUUCAAUACAUUCUUAAACUCUUGAGCACAACUAAAAGUUUGCCCAACUUCCAAAACAAUAUCAUCAUCACCAUCGGGUUCUUGAACUUUUUUUUCUUAAAUCCCUUUUCAUCUUCAAUAUUAUAGCGUCAUCUUCUUCAUCACUUGUAAUAGAUACAUCUUCAUUAUCACUCUCACAAUCUGACAUGCCAUCAUCUCCAUCAAAUUCAUUAAUAUCAAACCCUAAAUCAACUUCAGGUUCACUAUCAGACUUAACAAUAUCACCAAUAUCUUCAUCAGACCAGUCAAUAGACUCAACACUGAUUGCAUCAUCACUUUCACCAUCUAAAAUACAAACAUUAACUGCAUUUGAGGCAAAAUGAUUAUCUUCAGGGCGAGUUUGAGCUAAAACGGGUGACAAGCUGGCCAAGGAUAACGCAUCCAUCUCCAAAUUAAUAGAAUUAAGACCCUUGGCUUGAAUUAAGUUAACCAAAUUCUGGAAGUCUUUAUCAUUAUUCAAUUCAAUCCCUUCAUUGGACCAUGGGACAAUGCCAGUAAGCUUAAAGCUCUCAUCAUAAUGCUUGUGCCUUCCAAAGACAUUAUUCAAGACAUCGUUGAUGAGGGAUACAAGAAUCAAGCAAUCAGGAUCAUAAGCAUCCUCCACAUCUUUGCCUAAAAAUCGAACUGAAAUGCUGAUUUGACUCAUUUUGAAUCUGCCAACAUAAAGAUGAACAAAAAAUAUCAGAAACUUAAAACUAUUACAUACGAAAUCAUAAAAUACAAAAUCGACAUUAUAGAACUUUAUAUGAUUAUGAUUUUUUUUUACAAAAAAAUACUCAAUCAAGUGAAGUUAAAAUAAUUUCUUUUCGAUUACAAAUCAAUUCCACUACCAAUAUUAAGCUACGAAACAACCAUGAAAGGGUUAAAAAAAAGAAAGAAAGAAAACAAAAACCGUUCAACUUUUAGUCUACUGCAAAACAAAAACCGUUCAACUUUUAGUCUACUUCAUAUGGAAUUUUAGUCUUGGGAAGAAAUACCCAUUCAAGUGGAAAAAAAAAUAAUUUCUUUUCAUUGAACACAUGGAAGAUUAAAAAAAUAAAUAAAUAAACAAGACCAAUGUGAGACGUACCAGAAUAGGCCAAUUUCCUUCGUUGUCGGUUUUGACAUCUACUGCAAGACUACGUUUCCAAUAGAAAAAAUUUUACAGCAAUAAAAUUGUUAUGAGUUUUAAAAAAGCAAGUCACUUAAGUUCUUAAAGCGAGGGUUUUAAAGAAUAUUAGGGUUAAAAUACGUUUUUGCGAUUAUGGAUCUAGGUUAUCGUAAUAAUUUUUUAAAAUUUUAAAUUUUACCAAGAAAAAUACAUUUUUACCCUCAUUAAUCUAGAAUUAACAGUAACGGAGGUGAUGCUAAGGGUGUUUUGAGGUAUUUUUAAAAAUACAAUGACUAAACAGACAUUAAUCUAACGCUUUUUCUCCCAUGUAAAUUCUUAAUGUCGUUUUUCCAUAGUAUAGGAUGUAAAAUUGCCAGGAUUCAUGCUUUAAUCUGAUCAAUGGUCCUCCAACGAGAACUGAGUCAGGAUGAAUCGUCUGUCCAUUUUCCAAUUCGAACGAGGAAAGGAAGGCUGGAUCAGUGACCGUUAUAAUUACUCUACUUCCAUUCUGAUUCUCAGGAAGUACUUCUUCAAGAUCAUCCAAUACGUCGUCACCCUCUUUGUAGUAAUCAUCAAGCACAAUAAAGUACUUCUUGUUUGUUAGGUAAUCUCGAAGAAUAGAUUUCUUCAAUUGAUAAUCUUCACCGAUAACUACACUAACCCGAGAUGGAGGCAUCACAGACUUGAUUAUGUCAUCCAAUAUCAUGCGAAAAUCGUAGGAUAUAGCAACCCUUGUUAGGAAAUUGAGCUUCCUCCCAAGAUCACUCCAAGCAAUUUAUCAAGCAACAAAUUAACAGAAAAAUUUAAUGGAGAAUACAUCAAUCACACAACACAAGAUUUACGUGGAAAACUCUAAAUCCGGAGAAAAACCACGGCCGUUGUCAAAAAGACAACCAGAGAAAAUAUUCACUAUAUGGAAAAUUAUUACAACCACACUCUCAAAAAUAAUUUUCUCUCACCCAAGCCCCAAAUACAUAAUCCUGAGAAAUAUCCCUUAACAAAGCAAACCCGUAAUACCCAUAUUACGGAGCCAAAUGCUCCUUCAAUAUAACUACAUGCUUAAGAACUUUUCUCUCUCUCAAUUUCUCACCAAAACUUGGAUUCCUUCUCUGGGAUUUGGAUUGCUUCUCUCAAUGGCCAACAGUUCAUGUCUAUUUUCUUUAGCAAAGCCGAAGCUCAUUGCUACUCAUUUCUCAUCAAAUGACAUUCCAAUUUAUAGCCAAACUAUCACACCAAAAAUCUAAUAAGUCGGCAACAACUUUCUUCCUUUUUUACAAAUUCAUCAUGCGGUUCAAAAUUGGCAUUUUGCUUGUCAAAGUCCAUCCACCCAUUUGAAUGCAAUCAAUGUGUUCCCAUUUCACUUUUCCUUUUUUUUUAAUCAAUUUCAACAAUCUCCACCUUGAUUAAAAAAAAAAUUCAUAACUACUGCUACAAAACACUGUCUUCACCAACAGUCAUAAUUCUUAACAUAGAGAAUUAUCAUACUCCACCAUAAAGAGUAUACCACUUAGAAACAACCAUUCUAAGAUUUUUCUCGGCACAUGUCAAAAUAUCUUGCUGAAAUUUAUGGUACAAUUCUCAUGCUUGGUUUCCCUAAGAAUUCUUCAGCCAUGACAUAACUUUUCCACUACACACCUUGCAUUUAUACCAAGCCAAUGCCCGCGUGCAAACUUGUGGACCCCGCUGAUCAUAGCAUGUUCUCUUUCAUGACAACUUGGAGAUUUACAUGCCAAAAGAACUAACCCAAUCUCCUAUCAAAAGGAAACUCACAAUCUACGAGAAUAUCAUUAUCUCCUUUACUGAUUCUGGAGUAAUUUGCCGAGCCCACUCCACCUUCUUGACAAUUUUCUUGAGGUGCCAAAAAUUGUCUCACACCUUCAAAUCUUUGUGCAUACCAGAUUGGAUACACCUUUGACUUGAAUUCUCCACAAGCCAAUAAAAUCAUUCUUCCAUUAAUUUUUUUUUUUAACAACAUCAAACUCCACCAAGUUUAAAAAACACCAGCUACUGACAUAUAUGCUUUACAUAAACAGUAUCGUAUACCCCAAGUACAAACCGUUGGCUCUGAUACCACUGUUAGGAAAUUGAGCUUCCUCCCAAGAUCACUCCAAGCAAUUUAUCAAGCAACAAAUUAACAGAAAAAUUUAAUGGAGAAUACAUCAAUCACACAACACAAGAUUUACGUGGAAAACUCUAAAUCCGGAGAAAAACCACGGCCGUUGUCAAAAAGACAACCAGAGAAAAAUAUUCACUAUAUGGAAAAUUAUUACAACCACACUCUCAAAAAUAAUUUUCUCUCACCCAAGCCCCAAAUACAUAAUCCUGAGAAAUAUCCCUUAACAAAGCAAACCCGUAAUACCCAUAUUACGGAGCCAAAUGCUCCUUCAAUAUAACUACAUGCUUAAGAACUUUUCUCUCUCUCAAUUUCUCACCAAAACUUGGAUUCCUUCUCUGGGAUUUGGAUUGCUUCUCUCAAUGGCCAACAUUUCAUGUCUAUUUUCUUUAGCAAAGCCGAAGCUCAUUGCUACUCAUUUCUCAUCAAAUGACAUUCCAAUUUAUAGCCAAACUAUCACACCAAAAAUCUAAUAAGUCGGCAACAACUUUCUUCCUUUUUGACAAAUUCAUCAUGCGGUUCAAAAUUGCCAUUUUGCUUGUCAAAGUCCAUCCACCCAUUUGAAUGCAAUCAAUGUGUUCCCAUUUCACUUUUCCUUUUUUUUUAAUCAAUUUCAACAACCCUGACCCAAGCAUGACAGUCAAAAUAGAACUUGACAUGAUUAUUGUUGUAAGUAUCAGCAGCAAAAGCAGUCUUAUCGAAGCUACUGCUGUCGAGAAUUGCAACCACUGAAAGCUGUGGUUGUCCCUCAAUCAAUAAAUCAAACAACUCCUCUCUGCCGUUUUCAAAUUCACUCUUAUCAAGCUGUGAUUGUCCCUCAAUCAAUAAGUAAGUGAAUUCGUUCCUUCGUUCUCUGAAAUCAAAACCAUUGCCUUCAGGUGGAAUUUGUUGCAACCGAUUUCUAAUAUCAAUGAUUUUACUGUGGAUUCCGACAAGAAGAGCAAUGCAAGUAGUGCUUUCACUUUCACUGCUUUGCUGCUGCGUGAUGUUGAUGAAGAAUGUGUCAAUAGCUUUCUCUGAUUCACGGACAAAGGAAUUGAUGUCUCUCAGAAGUUCCCAAAUGCCGAUAACGCGAAGGUAUUUCGUCUUCAUCGAAAUGUUCUCUAAUGAGUUGAAUCAAAACCCGAGCCAUUUCAGCUUCAUAGUUUCCCAGCAGAGUAGUGGCUAUAAUUUCGGACUCCGUAAGAAGGUUUUGAAAAAGUGGAGUUAAAUUUGUUGAAUCAGGCAAAGUUAACGUGCCUUCUUCACCUGCUAACACCAGUUUCAACCUCUCACAAAAUAGUGUGAGGUUAAUUUCCAUAUCUUUCCCUCUCUCAGUAGUACUCAGAGGUACGUAUUGUUAUUUGUUAGUGUUGAUGACGAAAGCUGAAUAACAAAACAACAGUGUACACAAUCAACAGAAGCCAAAGUAUGUUAAUUUGAGAUCAAAGGAUAUAAAUAAAGGAAAAGUUUUCGUCGAUUGAGAAUGGAUGGAUGCAAAGAAUGACUGAUAUUAAAUGAUUUCUAUAAAUGAGACAUGCAAAGAAUGAAAUUUAAAGGUAACCCCCUUUUUUUUUUUUUUAAAGUACUCUAUUGAAAGCCAAAGUUCCUUUGGCCAAUUAAUUUAGAAGUGAAGGAAAGAAUAAAGUUAGUCCUUGAUGUCUUUUGAAAUUAGAAAUACAUUUUGAAUGCUUUAAUAGAUGCAGAGCAAACUGGCUCGAUAUCUACCUAUUUUUAGUGCUAAAAUCAUUUAAUAGAAGUUGUAGCAUUAAAAAAAAAAAAAAAAAAAAACUGGCUUGAUAUCCAAUUUUGUUAUUGAAUAUGUCUCAUGUGAGAGUAAAAAAAAACUGGCUUGAUAUCCAAAAUUUAAAGGUAACUCCUUGAAUUUGAUUGAAAAAUUAUUGAGACGGACAAGGCUGGACCAUUGUUCGAGACUGAAACUACACAUCAGUCUUAGAAAAUUGUAAUUUUGUUGGCUUAUCAUGAUUUUGAUCGUCUCACAUUGAUUUUCCUAUGAUGUCUCUGUCGAGUGGCUAUGCUUACAUUUUUAGGUAUUUAAUUCUAAAAAUUAACUUAUUAAAUGGAGGGACCAAUUCUACCUAUAAAUCCAAGUGGCUUCCCUUUACUAACUCAUAUGAGAUACAACAAUAAUUUUCUUUGGACAAAACCACUGUUGGAGGGUUAUUUUCGUUCAACAUACAUGAGUUGUUCCACCACCAUAUUUUGAGGGUUUGUUUUGGAUAUGACUUGGGGGAGCUAAGGCUAAGAUUUCUAAGUAUCAACAUAAAAACCUUGCCGGAAGGACCAAUCCUACUUUAAAGUCUAAAUGACUAAUUCUUGAGGACACAACUCAACAGCCCAAUAUAAACUUUUGACGUCCCAUUUUAUUACUUUCCAGUGCUUUUACUUUUGCUGUCUAGAGCCCUACCAUGCUAUUAAGCAGAAAAUAUUUCAAGGCACUCUCGGUCCAGUAGAUAACUUUGGUAUUUAUCAUCUAUUUUCUUUCCAUUUUAUGCAUACCCCGAUCUUUACCUCUGAUUGGUUGUAGAUUCUUUUGUUGCUUUGGGGUUAGGGGGUGGUUUUCAUAACUAUUCAGUUGAUCAAUGCAGAAAAUCACCAUCAAGAAAUUAUAAAGGAUUGUUAGUUCUAUCUGACAAACAACAUUAAUAUGAAGGAUGAUGAUUGUUCUGUUCAAGAGUUUAUAAUGACAUAAUUCUACUUUGGUCUUUUAAAAAAAGUAAUUUAGAAACGAGGAGUAUGUGAGUGAUGAUUUUUACAAAAUAAAUUACAUGCGUAGUGAUGAUUUUGACACAUGAAAAUGAAAAAAGAAAUAUAACUUGUGAAUAAUAAUUGAAGUACCUGCUAUUGUUAUAUUGAGUAAUCAAGGACUUCAAUAUUCGGACGAUAUAAGCAACACAAUCAAAUAUUAGUUGGAAGGCAUAGCAAAAUUAGAAUGUAGAACAAACUGGGUAUUGAUAAAUGGAUGGUUUUGGAAGAAUUGAAAAUGAUGGCAUAAGUAAACCAAAGUUUAGAGAAAAGAGAAAGAGCAUUUGAACUUUACUUGUAAGAAAAGGCAAAUAUCUUGGUUCAAGAAAAGAUAAGAGAUAUCAAACUAGCAAUAGGAAAAAGGAGGAAGGUUAAGACAGCAUCUUAACAAAAGCUAAAGAAAAGAAAAACUUAGUUCAAGCAAAGAACAAUGUGCUAAUGUCGUGUAAUCUUGUUUAAUUUCUUUUUCUUCUCACAUUUUCCAGGGCUUAAAUAAUACAAUAUACAUUUUCAAGCAAAGAACAAUAUGCAAUUGCAGUACUUCUGAGCACACAACAACAAAUAAAUAAUACAAUAUACAUACCCACUAAAUUAAAAAAAAAAUAUUAUCCAAGUUUGUGGACUAUAGCCAUGGCGUCGUCGAAAUCUACUGACAGCUGAAACAAAGAAAGAAUGGAUGAAUGCUGGAUCACAGUUGAAAUUGAAGGUCUGGUAGGUGAUGUUUCCCUCUCUGAUUUUCCCUAAACAAAUACAAGAAAAUAAGAAUCACAAAUGAAAAUCUGCUAUUACACUGUUCUUACUUAUUAAAAUACAGAGGUUUCUUUGUUUCUCUGCAGCAAUGUCCAUGGCUAUUAGAAACAAGAACAAUUAGACCAGCAUUUGUAAGAAUCCUUUAAGGUAUUACUGCAGAUAUAAAUCGACUGAGGAAAUGGAAAAAUUGAAUACCAAAUUAGGCAAGUUAACUGAAGAUUGAGUUAAUCAUAGAAGAAUAAAACUCAUCCAAUUCAAUCCAUCAAAUUCCAUAAGGGUACAACUGGAUGUCAUACUGCUGCUCCAUAUCCUCAAGAGCCCGUAGAUUUUGCCUCAACUCUGGCUGAGGCCAAUGUAAGUCCAAUUUGCAAAAGCUCUUUAUGCACCAUAGCUCUUCAGGAAGCUUUCUCAAGUAAGCACAAGGGUUGACAAUUAUGCUUCCAAGUUUUGGCAUUGCUCCAGCCCCUAUCGUCCACUCCUCUAGCAAAUACAUUGAUUUCAGGUGCAAUACCUUGAGCUCCGGGAAACCACAAGAGCAAACACAAGCCAGUUUUCUUCCUGAAUAUGAGUUCUGGUUCAAUUUCAGCACUUGAAGGUGUGGAAGCUUGUCUAGUGUUAGCAUGGUAUCCUCCAAUAACUCAGUAUUUGAUAAGCUUAGAUGGAUCAGACUUGGAGAAGCUGGUAUUUAGACAGGGCCAUCCGAGAGAGCUACCACCUCUGGUUUCGUUCACCAGCUUCAAGCAUUCAAGUUUGUGUAGUUCGCAUAGGCUUUUGGAAACCCCAGAACGAUAAUAACUCAAAUCUCCAGAUACUAAGAGUUUGAAAAUGAGGUAGUCUGCCUGUUAAAGUAGCUCACUAUGUUGAACAAAUGAAGGAGAAAGCUAAGCUGGAGAAAAUACAGGGCAAGAGUAUUAGCUGUGCCAGCUCAACUGACAGCUCAGCAAAAUCAGUUAAAUUUUGUUACAAGCCCCCUGUGCAUUGUGCUGAAGAUUAGUUAGUUUAAUAAUGAUUAGUUUUAGAUUAGUUAAAAUGUAAUCAUGAUUAAGAUAUAUAUAUAUAUAUAUAUAGCUGCUGUACUGAUAUCAUGGAUUAAGUGUUGAGAAAUAAAAUUCAUUAAGCAUUUCCAGAACUCUUGAUUUUCUUUCUCAGUAGCCAAACAACUUCACUCUCAUUUUUUUUUUUCAACAAUGAGUUCUCAAACCACUCAGGUAUCAUUUUCAGACAUUCUUGGCCUUGUACUCACCAUCAAAAUGGGUUGGUUGAGAGAAAACAUAGGCAUAUUGUUGAAUUAGGUUUGACUCUGUUGGCUCAAGCUCAACUUCCUUUUAAAUUCUGGUGGGAUGCAUUCCAUACUGCUCUAUCAUCAAUAGAUUACCAUCUUCUGUUUUCAAACUUUCGACCCCAUAUGAGAAGAUAUUCAAGCACAAACCUGAUUAUGAUUUUCUCAAAUGUUUUGGUUGUAUUUGUUAUCCUUACUUGAGAGACUAUAACAAACAUAAGUUUGCCUAUCAUUCCAGUAACUGUAUAUUCAUUGGUUAUAGUCCUUCACAAAAGGGUUAUAAAUGCUUACAUUCUUCAGGUCAUGUCUAUGUGGCAUGACUUGUUAUCUUUGAUGAGUCAACCUUUCCUUAUGCUACUGAAUCUGUUUUUCAUAGUCACACAAAUUCUGAUUCUCAUUCUUCAAACUUAUUUACUCCACAGCAUGUCUAUUAUCUUUCUACUUUACCUGUCAUACCAGUAUUUCUAAGUAACAACACUGAUAAUCUAAACUCUACAAAACUAAAAUACCAGCUUUUUGGUGUUAGCAAUAGGAAACAACUUACCACAACCAUUAAUUAUCCAUAAUUUCAUUGUUUAUCCUCAGUUUUCUUCAUAAAUGUUACAGCAUUCUUCACGAGAAAGCGCAAGGGCAUUUCAAAAGUUCUGAAAUAAUACCUCAAUUCUAUUGCAAAAAUAAAUAAUCUCAAACAAGAACCAAUAAUCAUAUUUCGUUACUGUCAAACACAAUGCAUCUGAGCAAAACAUUGGAAGCCAACACCAGAAUACAUAUGAAUAAACAAUUAAAGAUAGAGAAAAAAGGCUUAAACCUUGGGGGAAAAAAGUGAAAAAAACAUGAAAGACAAAUUACACAUGUACAGUAAUCAUCGAACUUAUCAGUCACAGCUGCAUCCAUUACAUUGCUCCAACAACACAAUGGCAAACCACCAGUUUCAAAUUGAGGAUAGCUAUCGAGAAUGAGAAAGUGUCCAAAACGUCAUAAAUAGACAUGUUCCUAUUGUGCAUAAUUUACAUUAUAGGCAAAUAUUCUUAUACCAUCAAAGGCAACACAUGACACUAACAAUUGAUCCCCCCCCCCCCCCCCCCCAAACAACCAAAAAAAGGAAAAAGAAACAAUACAGAAAAGAUUGAAACAGAUAAGGCUACACUGAGCACAGGAUGCCAUGAAACAUAAUCCAGGAACCAAAUUAAUAAAAAAGGAGGCCAAACCAUUAUUUAACAAUCUGUUUUGUAUUUGGGAAAGUCUGAUAAAAUCUACUGAGGGAUAAUUAGAGAACCUCAACUAUUAAUCACACCUCAUAAAUGAACUAACAUUAACCAUCUACCAUCCCCACGUCACACAAACAUUCUCUAUACUUCUGAACCUAAUACUUCCAUCUUCAAUAGGGGGUUUUUUUUCUUUUUUUUGGGGGGGGGGGGAGUUAUCAAUUUUCUAAGCUUGCUUAGCUUCUGUGUAGGACUGAAAUGCUCAUUUCGAAUCACUAACAGUAAAAUUGGAAGCUCAUGAAAAAACAGUUUUAUCCCAAAAUUGCAUCUCGAUAUAAAUUCUCUUUUCAUUUCCUUCAACUUUCUAAUUAAGCUUAAAAAAUGUACCUUCAACCACAAAGGGGUUUAAAAUUUAAAAUAUAAAAAAUAAAUUCAGAUAAAAAUAAUUAAUUUAAUUAAAAAUAUAAAUAGAGUUACAGAGAAAGAGAAAAUAGAGAAAGACCUAAUGUUGAGUCCUUUGGCGCAUGUCUCUUCAUAGGUCCGAACCAUUUCUUCGGGCGUGGGUUACGGCCGAGAUUGGAUAAUGAUGGAGGAGGAGAAGAUUAGCGAUGACGACGCCGAUGAAAUGGAAGGGUUUACCAGAGGAGUGGAUGCGAAGAGUGCAGGGACGGCCGCAGAGAGAGAGCGGCGGAGAGCGGCGACGGACGGAUGGCGGUAUGGGCCAUUGCUUGCGCGUCGGUGAUUGUCUCGAGUGAGAGAGUGAAGGGUUUUGUUUAGGGUUUUGGGAAAUGAAAAAUGCAAAUGUUUGAUUUUGUUGCUAGAAACUUCUUCUGCUGCUGCCUUUUAUUGUCGCUAUAAUAAUAAUAAUUUGUUAAUCAAAUAUUUUCUUAAAAAAGAUAAAUUUCUACAACAAAAUUUAUAUUAAAUCAAAUUGUAAAAAUGUCUAAUAGGGUUAAUUUCUCCUUAAUAUUAUUAUUAGUAGAAGUAGAUUUUCAAAUUAGUCUUGAUAUAUAUCAGAGUUGUAUUAUAAAUGUAUAUGUAUCUGGAUUGCAAUUAUAUUUUAAAAAAAAUAAUUUUUUUAAUUAUUGCACAAUAAAUGUAGAAAGUGUCUAUAAAAUAAUAUUAUUGGAACUAUGAAAAGAUAUUAUUUUAGAGUAGUUAUUUAUUUAUUUUUGAAUAAAUAAUUUAUUAAUUUAUUGAUAAAUUAAAUAAAUAUUAAUUUAAACAGAGAAUUUUUUUUUUGUGGGUUUUUAAGAAGAGUUUUGUUGGUAUAUGUGCAAACUUAUAAAGAAAUACAAAAAAUGCUUCCUCAAGUCAAUAGUAUUUACUUUAAUUCAUAAUAAGAUAGUUUAAUCAAGAAACUUGUAAUUAUACUAUAUCUUUCUUUCUUUGUUCUGUUUGGUGGGAUAUUGUGAUAAAUCAUUGGAUUACAAUGCAUUUCUAAAUGAAAACUUGUUAAAACCUAAUUUAUUUGGGAACCACAUUUUAUUUGUCAGUCUUAUUUCUCAACUUAGCAAAUUAUUUCUAACUUAUCGGUCUCUAUUGGUUCUCUUAAGUACCUGUUUGGUAUAUCUUAUUUAAUGGCAAUAAGUACUUAUUUAAUCUCAUAAUUUUUUUCCCUCUCUGACAAUUGAGGUAGGGGGUCAAACUUGAAAGUAUCUUAAAAUCAGACAACAAUUUAACUAUUUUUUUUUUUUAGAUAACUGCUAAUAUGCUCUAUUAGACAAUGAUAAGUGAUUGCAUUUAUGCAUCCCCACCAAUAUUUAAGCAAUUUAAUUACAGAAACAUUUCUUGAGGAAAGAAACUCAUAUCACCACUAGGCUUUUAAUGAGGCUCAUUUUUAUGAAUCUGGAUAGCAUUAGAUAUCUCUCCGAAUAUUGGUGGGAGUAGAUCGCAGAUCUCUGGGCUAUACUACAAAGUGUAUGUACGUUGACUCUCAAUAAACACAAACGAUUCCCUGAUAUGAUUCAAAACAUCAGUGCAUGCAUCAUUUUAACGAGAGAGAAUAUUCCCAGAAAUGUACACGCAUGAGGAAUUUUUCCUAGAAGAUUGAUAUUUCUUUAACUAGCAAACCAUACAAGUCCGGGGCUUAAAUGGAGUACUUGUAAGCAUAAAACAUUAAUCAAAACACAGUAUAGACACACACACACACACACCCCUACAUACAUACCAGCAAAUUCGAAAUAGAAAAAGAAGUGCAGCUAUUCAAGUUUGUAGACAAUAUUUCAACCAUGGCAUAUUAAAGCAAAUCCUUGAAAUCAGCUAAACAAAACAAUGCCCUGUCUCAUGAAUCGAUGCUCAAUUAAAAUUGAAAUUGAAAGUCCGGCUGGUGUUGUUUCCCUCUCCAGUUUUGCCUACAUAAGUAAAGGGAAAUGAGAAUCAUAAAUGAAAAUCUGCUUUGACAGUUCUUAUUAGAUAGAUAUAAAUGGAUCUUUCUUUGUUUCUCUGCUGUAAUUUGUGGCUACCCCACUCUGUUUUGCCAGUCAAGCUGAGUCUACGUUAAGGCAUAAUUUUGACAUCAGAAGCAACCUCAAUUAGUUUGGCAUUUUCAUGACCUCCUUGAAGGUUUUACGAUAAACAUAAAUCCACUGAGAAAGUGGGAAAAAAAGAAAAUUCAUAUAAAAGUAUGAGUUAUCAGAUAAGAUUAAAACUCACCCAAUUCAAUCCAUCAGAUUCCGUAAGGAUAUAACUGGAUGUCAUACCGCCACUCCAUAUUCUUGAAAGUCCGUAGUGUUUGUCUCAACUCUGUCUGGGGCCAAUGUAAGUCCAAUUUGCGCAAGCUCUUUAUGCACCACAGCUCUUCUGGAAGCUUUCUCAAGUAAGCACAUGGGUUGACAAUUAAGCUUUCAAGUUUCGGCAUUGCUCCAGCCCCCAUCGUCCACUCAUCUAGCCAAUACAUUGAUUUCAGGUGCAAAACCUUAAGUUCGGGAAAGCUACUCAAGCCAACACAAGCAAGCUUUCUUCCUAAAUACGAGUUCUGCUUCAGUUUCAGCACUCGAAGGCGUGGAAGAUUUUCCAGAAUUGGCAUGGGAUCCUCCAUUAGCUCAGUAUUUGAUAAGCUCAGUUGGAUCAGACUUGGGGGAAAUUGGUAUUCAGACUGGACCAUCCGUGAGGGCUUGCUCUCAUUCACCAGCUUCAAGCAUUCAAGUUUGUGGAGUUCGCAAAGGCUUUUGGAAACCCCAGAUUGAUAGUAACUCAAAUCUCCAGAUAUCCGAAGAGUCUGAACACUUGGUAGUCUGCCCAAUAUAUCAGGAGUACAACUACUAGGGUUUAAAGCUGAUAUGAAAAUGAGUUUUUUCAGAGAGCUAGAAUAAUUUUUUGGAGGUGCGGGCAGAGUGAUAGAACCAAAGUUUAGAUGCAUGAGUUUUUGCAUCAUCCAAAUAUCCUCUGGUGACUGAUCUAUGUAGCUAGAUGGCAUUUCUAGUGUUUCAAGGUUUAAAAGGGUGCAUAGCAGUGAAGGAAGGCAUUUGAGCGAAGGGAUAUUCAAUUUCAAAUACUUCAAAAGAUAUAAAUUUUCUAAUGCGGGUGGAUAUUGGUCCAGGACUGCAGAACCCAUGUUCAAUACCCGAAGGUAUUUGAACCUUUUAAAAAAAUUCUCGCAAUCUUUCGGAUUAAGAUGAUUGCUUUCUGAACUGUGAUUCAGAAAUGAUUGGAGAUACAUGUCAGACUGUUGUAAAAAAAAGAACUCAAGCAGAUCUUCCAAAAUGAAGCACCGUUUAGCAUUUUCAAUUGAUUCCCCUAUCCAUGCAGGCAUUCGGACAAAUCUCGUCUUCUCUGCCACCAAACCCAAUGAAGUAAAUACAAAACUUGGAACAUAACACGCUUUAAUUGUGCCUCCGGCUCUUCUCGUACUCACUUUAAUGAAGCCGCGAUGGAUUAGUUCUUUCAAGUAAUGUUCGGCAGUUUCUUCACCGUUGUAUGGUAUGAAACCUUCAGCUACCCACAACUGAUAUAAUUGCCUCGUGGAUAUCUCGAUGCCUGGAGGGAAGACACACAAAUAGAUGCAGCAGACUUUCAAGUGAAAAGGUAACUCCAUCACAGAGAAAAUUUGUCUCCAUACUGUCGGAAUCGCUUCGCUUUGAAGAUAAUUUUCUAAUGGCAUACUUCCAUAGUGUAGGAUGAAAAAUUGCCAGGCCUCAUGCUUUAGUCUGAUCAAUGGUCCUCCAACGAGCACUGAACCAUGCCGAAUCUUCUCUCCAUUUUCCAUUUCCAACGACUCAAGGAGGUCUGGAUCAGCGGCCAAUAUUAAUACUCUGCUUCCAUUCUCAUUAUCAGGGAGAACUUCUUCGAGAUCAUCCCAUAUCUCACGGUCAUUGAAGACGUCAUCAAGCACAAUAAAGUACUUCUUGUUUGUUAGGUAAUCUCGAAGAAUAGAUUUCUUCAAUUGAUAAUCUUCACCGAUAAUUACACUAACCCGAGCUGGAGGCAUCACAGACUUGAUUAUGCCAUCCAAUAUCUUGCCAAAAUCAUAACGUAGAGAAACCCUGACCCAAGCAUGACAGUCAAAAUAGAACUUGACAUGAUUACUGUUAUAAGUAUGUGCAGCAAAAGCAGUCUUAUCGAAGCCACUGCUGUCGAGAAUUGCAACCACUGAAAGCCCAGAUGGUCCCUCAAUCAAUAGAUCAAAAAACUUCUCUCUGCCCCUUUCAAAUUCACUGAUAUCGAGCCGAGGUUGUCCCUCACUCAAUAGGCGAAUGAUUUCGUUACGUUUUUCACUGAUAUCAAAACCAUUGUCGCCGGGUGGAAGUUGUUGCGUCCGAUUUCUAAUAUCAAUGAUUUCACUGAUAUCAAAACCAUUAGUGCUGCUUUCACUUUCGUUUUCACUGUUUUGCUGCUGCAUAAUGUUGAUGAAGAAUGUGUCAAUGGCUUCCUCAGAUUCAUGGACAAAGUGAUUGAUGUCCUUAAGAAUUUCCAGAAUGUCUGAUCUUUUAACGUCUUCUUCAUCACUUUCUUCUAAGUCCAACAGUUGCAAUAAAGGCAAAGACAUAUUGGAUUCAGCGAAUUCUUGUCUGAAUAGUUGAGACAAAAUCCGAGCCAUGUCAGCUUCAUAGUUUCCCGACAGAGUAGUAGUAAUAAUUUCAGACUCCGUAAGAAGGUUUUGAAAAAGCGGGGCUAAAUUUGUUGAAUCAGUCAACGUUAACGUGCCUUCUUCACCUGCUAACACCCUUUUCAACCUCUCACAAAAUAGUCGGAGGUGGACGUCCAGCAUAUCUCCUUCUCUCUGUAGCACCCAGAGGUAUUGUUUUUUGCUCCAAGAAAUAUUAAAAGGAUUGGUUCUAUCUCAAAGUGGUUACUGGUGUAAAAUUAAACGCCAUGGGAGAAUUUGAAGGGAAGAUGCCAAGGAACUGGCGAUGUGGCUAAAUUACACAAAUACGGCAUUAUUGCUCAUUUUUAACUCAAAAAAUUGAUACCAAGACGCUUGCCUUUUGAAAAGAAGAGGUAUCCAACCUUUAUCUUAUUUAAUUACUACCAUGACAUGAUUGAUGGUGCUUAAAUCAAUUGUUUCUUUAUUAAUUUAAAGAAUUUUUCAUUAAAAAAAUUAUUUUAAUAUCAAAUACCCUUCAAUGGCAUAACUGCCGCAGGCCCAGAAACAGGAUUAAUUAAAAUUUUUUGAAUUUUUGGGCAAGGAAAGAUUUGAAAUUCUAGUUAUGCAACCCAAGAGGGAGUGAAUUAGAAUUCUAUAAAUUAUUUAAUUUAUAAAGAAAACCUUAAUGCAAAUAUAAACCAAAUUCAAAGCAAUAACAAAUAAGGUGAUCACAAUAUAAAAAGAUAAGGGAAGAGAGAUUCAAACACAUAGAUUUUUACUUGGUUCGGCCAACCUCGCCUACGUCCGCGCCUCCAAGCUUUCCGAGCUUAAAGAUUCCACUAAGCAAGCCUCCAAGGCUUCAAAUGCUUACACUUGACUUCCAAGGUGUCAAUAACCUUUACAACAAGAGAUUAUCCCAAUCUCUUUAACCCAAGUGUAUCCCAACACUUACAAUCACUCAAAACAAAAGAUUACAAAUUUGUUUUGACUCUCACAAUAUUUAAGAUUACACAAUGAUGCCCAAUAUGUCAAUAGAUGAAGCAAGAAUGUGUUCAAAGCUCUAUGAAGAUUGUAUUCUCGAGUAUAAGCUCAAUAGUCGUGUUGUGAUCAAUCUUGUUUGAAUUUGAAUGAGCUUAUUUAUAUUUGGAGCUGAAAAACUAGCCAUUACAAACUGUCGGCCCGAAAACGGUUCGCUGUUAACCAUUAACGGUUAACCGUUUAGGCUGGUCAAAAGUUACCGUUGGGCCAAAUUUCAAAUAAACGGUUUGCCGUUUAGGAUUACCCCUUCGCCGUUAAAUUCUAGAGACCUGCAAGAUGAAUAUCAGUUAUCCGUUUACAUUAAACGGUUAAAGAUUUGCAUGAAGUGACUUCUCUGGAUAUUAUCGGUUAACCGUUUGUAAUAAAUGGUUCGCCGUAUGUUUCCAGUAACCUGCAAAACAAUUUAGCCUUAUCCGAUUUUGUUAAACGGUGCCAGAAGAGUACAACCUUCAAUUCUGGAUUUUAUCGGUUAACCGUUUAAAUAAACGGUUCACCGUUAAAUUCCAGUAGCCUUCCCAGCUUUUUGUGUUUUCCAUUUUUCUUAAUCGGUUAGAGCUUAGGCAAUAUGUUGCUCUCUGGUUUUAAUCGGUUAACCGUUUGAAAGAAAACGAUUCACCGUUUAUUUCCAGAAUCACAUUUUAAACCAGAUUUUGCAGAAAGUCAUUUUCUAAUUUGAAAGUCCAUCUUUUAUGAAUAUGAUUGGAAUGAUUAUAAGGCUUUCAUUUAUUAAGGAAUAGCUCCAACAUUUUAAUCAAAAACCAUUUAAAGUUUGUUAUCAUCAAAAUCAAUAUUAUUAACAUAUUCAUGUUAACAAUAGUAGUAUUAAACAUCAGAAAGCUAAGGUUGUUCUGUUAAUGAAUUGAUAUUGACAUAAUUUUAUUUUGGUUUCCGGGGAAAAAAAAACAUUUGUUGACAAGCAAGAAAAUAUUUUUAAAUUUUACAAUUUAUUAUACAUAUUUUAUCAUAUUACAAUAAUUUUAAUAAUAAAUAGAAACAUAAUAUUACAAUAAAUAAGUUAAAGUUUAAAUUAUUUUAAAUAUUAUAAAAAAUAAUUUUAAUAUUAUUAAUAGGAAGACAUUUUGUUAAUUUUAAAACCUUUUUAACCCAAAGGUUUAUUUAAAAGCUUUAUAAUAAACAUAAAUAUAAGAUUAAAAUAAAUAUCAUAAUUUGAAAUUUUUAGUAUUAUUUUAAAUAUUAAAAAUACUUUAAUAUUAUUAGCCUACUACAUUGAUUUUAUUAUUUAUAUUAUAUUCAUAUUGAUUAAAACUUUUUAAAGUCAAUUUUUUAGUCAGUAUAUUCAAGAGGUAUCAUAGUUAAAGAAAAGAUUUUGGUGUUAUUUUUUGAAAAUUUUAAGGUUUAAAUGAUAAUUUUUUAAAAUUUUAAGGAUGUAGGUAUUAUUUUUCCGACAAUUUAUUUUAUUUUUGAGGAAUUCGAUGAGAAAUAUCAUGAGAGAAGGUUAAUUUUACAUUCUUUACCUUUAUGAAAAAAGUGGAAACCAAGAAGUAUUCAAUUUUGUAUUUUUUGUUUGUAAUUCAAAAAAUGCAUCCACCAAACAAUCUUAUCUUGAUUUUUUCACUUUAUUCAUUUUCGAUCCUUUAAUCCAUCUAGUAUCUGCAGCCCCCGCCAUUUUUACAAAUCUCCAUCCGACAUCUACCCUAUCAAACAAAGUUGAUGGAAAUUGAACAAUUGCUUUUUGAAGUGGACCCAAUAAGUGGACAUUUUAUUAAUAUUAAACAAAGUUGACGGAAAUUGAACAAUUGCUUUCUAUGAGCCACUUAUUUUUAACAUUAGCGAUCUUAUCUGGACUACUCCAAUUAUUGAUGUAACUCCAAUGGUUGCAUCAACAGUUGAAUGUAAGAUAGUGUUAGCUCUUCUUUGAGAAUAUAGAGUGAUCUUUCUUUGUUUCUCUGUUGCGACGUGCUACUAUAAAUUUCUUUACCUUGCAGUUUAUAUAGUCUUGCUGUUAAUGAAUUCGCGGAGGCAUUAUUGAUCCAAUCUCAGUGAAGUAAUUGUGGGUGGAAAAUGAAUAAAGGGUAAGAGAACGUAGCUCAAGUGCUGAAUUGGCUAUUAAAGAAGAGUGUCACUUGAUCACAAUCACAUUGAUGCACAACUCACUCGAGGCAAAUUUCAUCUAUAUAUGUACUGCAAAUUCAGCCAAACCAUACAUGCAGGAACAAAACUAAAAUGUAGUUCUAAUCAAAACUGUAAUUAAAGCUACAAAAGGCUUGCUCAAUCCAAAAACUUAAAAGGAAGAUUUUACUCAAGUUUGUCCCCAAAAGACAGCUGAAUUGAAAAAUAUUGACUAUUGAAUCAAUGCUCAAUUACAUUUGAAAUGGAAAGCUUGGCUGCAGUUACGAUGUUUUUCCCUCUGAUUUUCUUCCAAAACAAAUUCAUUUGUAAACAAUAACGGAAGUAGCAAUAAUUUAUUCAUCAAAGAAAAUAUCCAAGUUUUCAACUAACAAAUCCUUUUGUCUAAACUAAAAAAACUUAUAUUUUUAAAAUCUAUCUACAAAAUGUUGGAAAUAAAGAGUGAUCUAUCAACUCGGUAAAUAAACUCAUACAUAAUGUUUACAAUAAUGAUAAAUUACAUAAUAAUUAUUAUAAAGAAUCAUAAAUUAGAAAAAUAUUUUAAGAUCAAAUUGCCUUCAAUGCUGAAUUACAUUUGAAAUGGAAAGCAUGGCUGCAGUUACGAUGUUUCCCCCUCUGAUUUCCUCCAAAACAAAUUCAGUUGUAAACAAUAACGGAAAUAACAAUAAUUUAUUCAUUACUCAAAUUUUUUCAACUAACAAAUCCUCUUGUCUAAACUAAAAAAACUCAUAUCUCUAAAAUCUAUCUGCAAAAUGUUGGAAAUGAGGGGUGAUCUGUCAAUUCGGUAAAUAAACUCGUGCAUAAUGUUAACAAUAAUGAUAAAUUACAUAAUAAUUAUUAUAUAGAAUCAUAAAUAAGAAAUAUUAAUCAUUUCACAAUCUAUUACGUAAGUAAGAUAAAUUUCAUAAUAAGUUAAGUUAUAAUGUAAUAAAUAUUUUCAAUAUGCUAAGAUAGGAUUGGUCCUAUCUCAAAGUAGUUAGUGGUGUAAAACUGAUGGUUGUCGAAGCCAGCAAAAAUAAAUACCUACUCUAAAUAAAUUGUGUAUAGUGAUUGAGCAGGGUCGUGUCCACAGAGAUCGGUAAUUAUUUAAAUCAUUUUAAAAUGUAAAAUGCAAAAUGGGGGAAUUGUUGACAAUAAUAAAAAUCAAAUUAAAAUAACAAGAAUGUAAAUUAAAAUUGUAAUUCAAAUUGGGGAAAAAGUAGUAUUAGACUUCAGAAAGCUAAGGUUGUUAUGUUAAAGAAUUCAUAUUGACAUAAUUUUAUUUUGGCUUUCGGGGAAAAAAAUAUUUGUUGACAAGCAAGAAAAUAUUUUUGUAUUUUACAAUUUAUUAUACAUAUUUGAUCAUAUUAAAGUAAUUUUAAUAAUAAAUAGACACAUAAUAUUACAAUAAAUAAAGUAAAGUUUAAAUUAUUUUGAAUAUUAUAAAAAAUAAUUUUACAUUUGAAAUGGAAAGAGUGGUUUUAAACACCAGAAAGCAAAGAUUAUUCUGUUAGACAAUUGUUAUUGACAUAAAAAAUAAUUUGGUUUUCAAGGAAAAAAAACAUAUUUGUUGACAAGCAUGAAAUUUUUUUUUUGUAUUUUACAAUCUGUUAUUACAUAUUUUAUCAUAUUAAAGUAAUUUUAAUAAUAAAUGUAUAUGUAUCUAGAUUGUAACUAUAUUUUAAAAAAUAUAAUUUUUUUAAUUAUUGCACAGAAAAUGUAGAAAAAUGUCUAUGAAAUAAUAUUAUUAGGACUAAGAAAAAAUAUUAUUUUAGAUAAGUUAUAUAUUUAUUAUUGAAUGAAUAAUUUAUUAAUUUAUUGAUAAAUAAAUAUUUAUUAAUUUAAAGAGAGAUUUUUUUUGGUUUUAGUAAUAGUUUGUUUGUUACAUGUACACACUUAUAAAGAAACACAAAAAGUGCUUGCUCAAGUCAAUAGUAUUUGCUUUAAUCGCUACUGUUCAUAAUAAUGUAGCUAAGUUAGGAAAUUUGUAAUUAUACUAUGGUUCUGUUUUGUAACGCCCAAAUUUCUAUUAUUUUAUUUUAUUUUUAAUGGAAUUUAUAAAUGGCGUUACUGCCCUUAUAAAAAGGGUUAUUCAUGGGAUAAUUUUUAGGAAAUGGUUAUUUUUCCAAAUUCAAUAGGGUUUCUUAAGACUCCCUAUAAAUUAAUAUUUUUUUUCCCUUCGAUACUCGAAGUCCACGACGAUUCUUCUUCUUCUCUGCUGCUCAUUAUGCUCCUACCCAAACCCUAGGAUUCAAACUUUUGCUUAGGAGAGAAUCAAAGCGAUUGGUGUUGGAGGUGAUUGAGGCUCUUAGAGGCUUAGAGGUCUGUUAAUUCAAAUUCUUUUGUCGAGAUAAGUAAUUUCAUUCCUAAUAUACUGGAUAUGUAUAAGUAUUUUGAUGUUAUUAUAAGAGUUUUUAUACUUCUUAGAAGAUUAAUAGAUUUUCAUACCAAAAUCAGUUUAUGAAAAUGUUUUCAAAUCUGAAUUCUUUUGAUAAAAUAUUUUAUAAAUGCGUUUUAAUAUGUAAAUUAUUUUAUGACAUGACUGCCUUUUAUAAUUUUGUCUAUGAAAUAUUUUUGCAAGCCUAAAUUGUUGCUAUAGACUUUCAUGAAUCUAAUACGAAUGUUUUGUGCCUAUGUAUGAUUUUAAUUAUUUAUGACUGUACGGGGGCCACCUCUUGAGACUAUAUGGGGGCCACCUCUUGAGGGCCAAAGCGCCGCAAAGUGCCACAUAUAGUGCAAAGUGCCACGUAUAAGUCAUUAUGUUUUGGCUCAUUGUCCGUAGUUAUUCUGAUUCUAAUUCUGAUUGUAUUAUACGAUAUAUUUGUUCUGGACUAGUACUAGGUUUAUGUUCUAAGUGUGCACACGAUAUUCUGAUUCUGUUUCUGGUCAGGUCACCGAGACUAUAGGUGAUACUAUGUGACAUGAGCUAACUAUCUGCUUUCUGUAUACACUUUAUACGAUUUGCUUUCAUAAUUGAUUAUUCUUUUGAUACUCUGAAUUACCAUGAAUUUAUGUUAUAUAAUUGAAAUAUGUUGUUUUAUGAAGUUUAUGAGUUAUAAUAUAUGUUUUUGAAUAAAAGAAGGCUUGCAAUAUUUUUGAUAUCGAUAGGCCUAGUGUAUUAGGAAUGAUUUUACCUACCGAGUUGACAGCCCACCCCUCGUUAUUACUUUUUGCAGAUUAAGUUCCUUUUAAGAGGUAUGCGUAGCUUUGGAGUUAGAGAUUUCGUUUCCGUUUGCUAUUUGAAUAAGAAGAGGAAUAGACUCAUGUUUCUUUUUAGUUUAUUUCUGUUAUGAACUUGUAAUUUGGAGUUUGAGACUUUUGUUAUUGUUAUGUUUUGGAAGAGAUUAUUUAGUGUUAGACGUAUUAAUUUGUGGAUUUAUUUGAAUAAGAAUUUGAGGUAUUUGAGUUUGGAAUUUAUAAGUAAGGAUUACGAUUUGUAAGUAACCUCCUUCUUCAUGUGCUCCGCACGUGUUAGAUUUGGGGUGUCAUAUGUUUCGUAUAACUUUUGAAGUAGAGCUUAUUUAAAUAGAGUAUUCGUCAAUAAAGCUUCUAUAAAUAAAGAUUUUACUAAAAAAAAUUUAGUUGUUUGGUUGUCAAUGUCCAAAUUGACGAACUUUUGUUCCUUUGCUAACAUGUAUUUGUUUUAUUUAAUAAUAGAAGUUUGGUUUACAAUUACACCACCUUCAAAUCAGCUGAGCAUUUUUGCAACCGGUCACAUUAUACAUUAUACUAAUAGCAUCGGCAAGAGUUUUCGAUUGUUGCAACUUGCAAUGGACGCGAUGGGAGAAAAUGAGAAUCUUGUUUAAUUGCAAUAUUGACAAACCUAAUCCUUUCGUAGGGAGUAAUUUAAUAAUCGCUUGUUAUAAUUGAAUAUGUAUAAAGAAAGGAAAAUUCUAUUCAUAGAUUUCGACUUAUUUUUUGUUUAAAGUAAUUAAUCAUUCAACCAUCUUCAUUUGCCUCUGGCCAAUGCCCUUGUAGAUUAGUUGAACCGUUAAUUACUUAAUUCAGAUAAUUACAGUGUCCUUUUCGCUAAUUAAUUAUGAUUAUAUACGCUUUCAUAUAGCAAGUGGCUUUGUAGAUCUAAACCAAGUUGCUAUUUCAAAACGUUAAUUAAGUGAUUCUCCUCAUUGUCAUCAGCGUUAUACGCUCUAGGAAAAUAGCUCAAUUGUUUCCCUGCAUUGAUUUUCAUUGGUACGUGAUUUCUUAUGAAAUUCUUUUGAGCUUUCCUUAUUAAAAAUGCUUGAGCUUUUAUCACCCAAUACGGAUAUCAAUUAACUUGUGAACGAUUUUGUAAUGAAACUAGGAGUUAAAUAAGAUUUUUACAUGAUGAAUUUUUAUUUUUUUAAUUUUUUGAUGUAGUCAAUUUGCUAAUUUUAUGUAUUUCAUAUUCAACGGAAUUUGGGCACGGAAAGUUUGGAUUCUAAUAUUUAUAUGUUUAGCUUUAAUCAGUUUGACUUUCGUAAUCUUUUUCCCCUCAUCAUUAAGGGAUUCAGAAUUAGAGAAACGUUAGGAAGAGGAAGAAAAUAAUUUCGGAAAUAAGUAAGAGGGAAAAAAUUAUCAAAUUAGGAAUGAUUUUUUGUAGAGUAUGUUGCGUUUACUAAAAUGAAAUCGAAAUGAGCUGGAAUCAGAAUGGAUAAAAAUGCGAAUGUGCUGGAAUAAGAAUAAGUAAUGAGAAUCAGAAUAAGUUGUUUACUUGAACUGUAAGAAUCGAAAUCGAAAUGAGCUGGAUUGCAAUUACUUUGUCCUACAAUUAGAAUCAAAAUGAGUUAGAUUGUAACAAAUUACUAAAAGGUACUUAAUGAAUUAUUGUCAUAAUUAUUAUUUUAUAUUUUAAUUAUAGUGAUUAUUUAUUCUAAAUUAUUAUUAUUAAUUAUUUUCAAUAAUAUAUUAAUAUGUUAAUUAAUUUUAAAAAUUAUUAAUUAAUUUAUUAUAAUAAUAUACUAAUUAAUUAUAAUAAUUAUAUUAAUAAUUAUUAUAAAAAUAUAUUAAUUAUUAAUAAUGAAAUUACUUAUUUAAUUAUAAUAAUAUAUUAAUUAUUGUGAUUAUUUAUUCAAAAAUUAUAAUUAUUAAUAAUUAUUGUUAAUAAUGUAUCAAUAUAUUUUAUAUUAUGAAAUUGUGAUGUAUUGUAGACAAAUAAGGGAAUUUGGUACAAUAAAUUCUUAAUAUCUUAGUACAAAGUAUGGUACAAUGAUAUUUUAACUUAUUGUAGACAGAUUAAAUUUCGACACACUUAAUCCAUAAUAAAAUUAGUGGAAAAUAAUGAUAAUUUAUACAAUUAAUCUUUUGAGCAAUAAAAAAAUAAAAGAAAAAGAAGUUACUAAAUUAUGUUUACUGUUAAGAGUGAAUCCACAAUCCUAAAUAAUUUAUUUCCAUCGUUUCACUUAAAUUAAAUAGUGUGAAUUUAAAUUCUAAUUUUUUGAUAAAUUAAAAAGAAAUAAAAAAUUAAAAUUUUUCUCUAUGGAUCGACCUCGGAUUGAUCAAUUUAUUUCAUAACAACACACUUUUAUACUUGAGAGUUAUAAAUAACUUUGAAGUUGUGUUAAGUUUUUGACGCUCUUACGGGGGAAAAAUAUUUAUUUUAUUUUAUGUAUGGGUCAAACUUGAAAGUAUAUUUUAAGAUAGCUGCUAAUAUGCUCUAUUAGACAAUGAUAACGUAGUUGUUUGUGGUGUUCAUAAUGAGUUUAAUUAUGAUUCAACAAUUUAAAAUAUGAAAACAUAUGGAAGAUGGCCGUAAUUAAAUUGAUUGCAUGAAAAUAUUUCAAUGAAAUUUUAAAAAUUUGGUACUUAUUAUCUUAUCAAAAGUUUUUUAAAUUAUAUUACUACUUCAACUUAACUCCUCCUGGAUUGAUUGUAUUGAAUUUCCAGCACCGCCAUUGCUUCUACUUGAAAGCCAUUUAAGUUUGUGUAAGCUACCUAUAGUUUGAAUAACAAUUUACUCAUGAAUUGCUGUUCAUGAUAACAAUUUGAUUGAAAGUGCGGCUGCACUAAUUGUUCUCGUACGACCCCAGAAUGCUGUUAAAUCAGUUGUAUUGGAAAUUAAUCAACUGGUUACAACUCUACACCCCAUCAAUAUUUAAGCAGUCCACAGAACAUUAAUUGUGUUUUGAAAUUUUAAUGAGUCUCACGUGUUUUUCACGUGAUAUGCAGUAAAAACAAAAUUAAAAAAAUGAAAACAUUCAGCCCCAAAGCCAAAAUCCCCAACUCCUUCCAAAUUGGUUCCGCAGCCCCCAAAUCCCUUAAACCCAAAGCACUCUAAAACGACUCUCCUCAGCCAAAAAGAAAAAGGUCACCUCACCUCUCCUCUUCUUCUUCCAUGGCGAUCAACGGCGGCACAAGCACGGGCUGAUCUCCUUCGUCAGUAACGAUCAACGGCGGUACAAGCAUGGACAGAUCUUUUUUUUGGCAAUGAUGAACAGCGGCACAAGCAGAGUCGUCCUCAGGUACGGAUUUGAUGUUGGUUGUGUUGUCAAGUAGCGAUUCAUGUUUGGAAGAGAAUCCGCUCACAAGGACCUGGAGCACUUAAUCGAAGAUCUUAAGCGAGGAAUUCGCUUCCUCCUCAUUCCUAAUCGGUGCCUGAUUCAUCAGUAUGAUUAAGGAUGAAAAUUGAGAAAGAAGGACGCAUUAGGUUUGAGACAUUGGUUGAAAAACGCUACCCCGGUGGCCACGCUGGAAACAUAUGUUCCGUGGCUUCUUGCGUUGUCUGUGAGGAAUAUGUACUGCUGUAGAAGAUAAUUAUGAAUCAAUGGUAAUUGGCGUGUUGGUUUUGGUGCCGAUUUCCUCUUAUUUUCCAGAAAAGGCUUGUAAUUUGUUCACCUCAAGAUUCAAUUUUGUUAUUGAAAAUGGAUGGCUGUAAAGACCUAUUGGCCUUUCAUUAUAUUAAUGUUUUUGACAGUAAGUUUGUAAUAGUUAGUGCAGGGAACUUAUUGAUUCUUGAUUAUAUAUAACGGUGGCCCUUAUUACUUUAAAAAAAAAAAAAAAAUUGAUGAUGGGUUUCGUUUUGUAUAAGUGUUUGGAGUGUUGGAAAAUUAACAUUGUAUAUUUUAGAUAGUUGAGUUCCAUAGUAAUAAAAAGCUACGGAUUUGUUUUCUUUUUAUUGAAAUGAAAACAUUUUUCACUUGUAUAAUAGAAAAUAUACUAUAUCUUUAAUACUUUUGUCAAAUUUAUUAUUUAAAAUUUAUAUUUACUACAUAUUAUUAAUUUUUGUUUCAUAGUCAUAGCUUUUUUUCCACAGUAGCUGUAGCUUAAAAGAUACAGCACCUCAAUUCCAAACGCACUCUAAUUAAAAAUUUUAGAAUUUUUGGGCAUGGAAUUGAAAAGAGUAGUAUUAAACAUCAGAAAGCUAAGGUUGUUCUGUUAAAGAAUUGAUAUUCACAUGAUUUUAUUUUGGUUUUUGGGGAAAAAAAAAAUUGUUGACAAGCAAGAAAUUAUUUUUAUAUUUUACAAUUUAUUAUACAUAUUUUAUCGUAUUAAAGUAAUUUUAAUAAUAAAUAGAAGCAUAAUAUUAAAUAAAGUUUAAAUUAUUUUGAAUAUUAUAAAAAAUAAUUUUAAUAUUAUUAAUAGGAAGACAUUUUGUUAAUUUUAAAAUCUUUUUAACCCAAAGGUUUAUUUAAAAUGUUUAUUAUAAAUAAAGAUAUAAAAUUAAAUAUCAUAGUGUAAAAUUUUUAAUAUUAUUUUAAGUAUUAAAAAUAUUUUAAUGUUAUUAGUCUACUACAUAGAUCAUAUUACUUAUAUUAUAUUUGCAAUGAUUAAAAAAUUUUAAAAUCAAUUUUCUAGUUACUAUAUUCGCGAAAUAUUAUGGUUAAAGAAAAGACCUUGGUGUUACUUUUUACAAAUUUGAGUGCCUGCAUGAUAAUUUUUUCAAAAUUUAAGAAUGUAUGUGUCCUUUUCUCCAAUAAUUUAUUUCACUUUUGAGGGGAAUCCAAUGAGAAAUAUGAUAAGAGAAUGUCAAUUACUUGUCAUUUUCUAUUUUUUCUGUAAGCUAUUUAUUUUGAGCACUGGUGAUCUUGUCUUGACUACUCCAAUUAUUGAUGGAACUCCAAUGGCUGCAUCCACAGUUGAAUAUAUGAUAGUGUUAGCUCUUAUUUGAGAAUUCAGAGGGAUCUUUCUAUGUUUAUCAAUUGCAAUGUGCUAGUAUAAAUUUCUUUACCUUACAGUUUAUAUAGUCUUGCUGUUAAAGAACUCACUGAGGCAUUAUUGAUUCAAUUUCAGUGGAGCAAUCGCGCGUAGAGGAUAAAUAAAGGAUAACAGAACAGAGCUGAAGUGCUAAAUUGGCUAUUAAAGAAGGGUGUCACAUGAUCACAAUCACAUUGAUGCACAACUCUCUGGAGGCAAAUUUUGUCUGUAUGUUCUCUAAAUUCAGCCAAACCAUACAUGCAUGAACAAAAAUUAAACCGUAGUUCUCACCACAACAGUAAUUGAAGCUACAAAAGCCAGCAAAUCUGAACAAAAACUUAAAAGAAAGAUCUUAUUCAAAUUUGUCCCCAAAAGAGUGCUGAGAUGGAAAAUAUUGACUAAUGAAUGGGUCAAUGCUGGAUUACAUUUCAAAUGGAAAGCUUGGCAGCAGUUACAAUGUUUCUCCCUCAGCUUUUCCUCCAAAACAAAUUCAGUUGUAAACAAUAACCGAAGUAGAGAUAAUUCAUUCAUCAAAGAAAAUACCCAAGUUUUCAACUAACAAAUCCUUUUGUCUAAACUAAAAAACUCAUAUCUCUAAAAUUUAUUUGCAAAAUGUUGGAAAUGAGGAGUGAUCCGUUAUCUCCGUAAAUAAACUCAUGCAUAAUGUUAACAAUAAUGAUACAUUACAUAAUAAUUAUUAUAAAGAAAUAUAAAUUGGAAACGCUAAUCAUUCUACAAUCUAAUAAAUAAGUAAGAUAAAUCUCGUAAUAAGUUAAGUUAUAAUGUAUAAAUGUUUUUAAUAUAUAAUUAUUUAAGAAGUCAUUUAAUAAUAAAAUAUUUAUUCUAUUCAGUUGAUCAUAUAGCGUUAUCGAAACUCUUGACGAUAUUAUUAUUACACUUUUCUCAAAAAAACAUGAUUAACAUUUAGAGAAAAGUCAUGCCUUUUAGAUAGAAUAUGUACAUAAGCUAUCCAUAUUUUAUCUUACCAUGAAAAAAUUGAUGGUGAUUAAAUCUACUUUUAAAAUAGAUUUAAUGCACAAAUAUGAUGAUUUUUGGCAAAAAUUAGUUUCGGAAGAUACAAUGGUAGAAAAUAGUGAUGAUUAUUGUUUAAAUGUGUAAAUAGCCUAGGCAUAGCCCGUAAUACCAAUAUCCAUUUACCUUCAUUUAGAUUAUCACAUCUCAUGAUAUUUUUUCAUUCACGACCAUUGUUCGAGAUUUGAACUUGAUCAUAAAUUAAGCUGCAACGGAGUUACUUAUGUUUCUAAGCUUUUCAAUCGCGAUUCCUCCAUGCCUUUCUUGGAUACCAUUUUACUGACCUUGUAAUUGGUGUGUAUAAGGAGUCAUGCCCUUUCAGGAUCGUUUUCUUUUUUUUUUUUCCUGAUUGUAGUGUCAAAUAAAUAAAGAACGAACAAUUGAACUUAGUCUAUUUCGAGGAAAACCAAGGCCUGCAAUAUUAGAUGAACUUUGAACAAAAUUAAUCUACUAUUCUACAUCCCCACCAAAAUUUAAACAGUCGACAUUGUGGAAAGAAACACAUUUCGCCACUAGGCUUUUAGUGAGGCUAAUUUCUCUGAAUUUGGACAGAGUAGGUCCUCCAACGAGAACUGAAUCAGGACGAAUCGGCUCUCCAUUUUCUAAUUCGAACGAGCAAAGGAAGCCUGAAUCUGUGACCGUUAUCAAUACUCUGCUUCUAUUCUGAUUCUCAGGAAGUACUUCUUCAAGAUCAUCCAAUACAUCGUCACCCUCUUUGUACUAAUCAUCAAGCACAAUAAAGUACUUCUUGUUUGUUAGGUAAUCUCGAAGAAUAGAUUUCUUCAAUUGAUAAUCUUCACCGAUAAUUACACUAACCCGAGAUGGAGGCAUCACAGACUUGAUUAUGUCAUCCAAUACCAUGCGAAAAUCGUAGGAUAUAGAAACCCUGACCCAAGCAUGACAGUCAAAAUAGAACUUGACGUGAUUAUUGUUGUAAGUAUCAGCAGUAAAAGCAGUCUUAUCGAAGCUAUUGAUGUCUUUCAGAAGCUCCCAAAUGUCUGUUCUUUUAACAUUUUCUAAGUGCAAGAGCUGCCGAUAACGCGAAGGUAUUUCAUCUUCAUCGAAUUGUUCUCUAAUGAGUUGAAUUAAAACUCGAGCCAUGUCAGCUUCAUAGUUUCCCAGCAGAGUAGUGGCUAUAAUUUCGGACUCCGUAAGAAGGUUUUGAAAAAGUGGAGUUAAAUUUGUUGAAUCAGGCAAAGUUAACGUGCCUUCUUCACCUGCUAACACCAGUUUCAACCUCUCACAAAAUAGUGUGAGGUUAAUUUCCAUAUCUUUCCCUCUCUCAGUAGUACUCAGAGGUACGUAUUGUUAUUUGUUAGUGUUGAUGACGAAAGCUGAAUAAUCAAAACAACAGUGUACACAAUCAACAGAAGGCGAAGUAUGUUAAGUUGAGAUCAAAGGAUAUAAAUGAAGGAAAAGUUUAAGUACUCCGUUGAAAGCCAAAGUUGCUUUGGCCAAUUAAUUUAUAAGUGAAGGAAAGAAUAAAGUUAGUCCUCGAUGUCUUUUGAAAUUAGAAAUACAUUUUGAAUGCUUUAAUAGAUGCAGAGCAAGCUGGCUCGAUGUCUAACUAUUUUAAGAGCUAAAAUCAUUUAUUAGAAGUUGUGGCAUUGAAAAAAACUGGCUUGAUAUCCAAUUUUGUUAUUUAAUGUCUCACGUGAGAGUAAAUAACUGUUGUGUUACUGGCAGAUGAUUGAGACGGACAAGUUUGGAACAUUGUUCGAGACUGAAACUACACAUCAGUCUUAGAAAAUUGUAAUUUUGUUGAAAAAUUAUAGAUUGAAAAAUUAUUGAGACGGACAAGUUUGGACCAUUGUUCGAGACUGAAACUACACAUCAGUCUUAUAAAAUUGUAAUUUUGUUGACUUAUCAUGAUUUUGAUUGCCUCCCAUUGAUUUUCCUAUGAUGUCUCUGUAGAGUGGCUAUGCUUACAUUUUUAGGUAUUUAAUUCUAAAAAUUAACUUAUUAGAUGGAAGGAUCAAUUCUACCUGUAAAUCUAAGUGGCUUCCCUUUACUAACUCAUAUAAGACACAACAAUAAUUUUCUUCGAAAAAAACCACCAUCGGAGGGCUAUUUUCGUUCAACAUACAUGAGUUGUUCCGCCACCAUAUUUUGAGGGUUUGCUUCUAAUACAACUUGGGGAAGCUAGGGGUAAGAUUUCCAAGUAUCAACAUAAAAACCUUGCCGAUUGGAUAGAAGGACCAAUCUUACUUAUAAGUCUAAAUGACUAAUUUUUGAGGACACAACUCAACAGACCAAUAUAAACUUUUGGCGUCCCAUUUUAUUACUUUUCAGUGCUUUACUUUUGCUGUCUAUAGCCCUACUAUUCUAUUAAGCAGAAAAUAUUAUCUAUUUUCUUUCCAUUUUAUGUAUACCCCGAUCUUUACCUCUGAUUGGUUGUAGAUUCUUCUGUCGCUUUGGGGUUAGGGGAUGGUUUUCAUCAAGAAAUGAUAAAGGAUUGUUAGUUGUGUGACAAACAGCAUUAAUAUGAAGGAUGAUGAUUGUUCUUUUCAAGAGUUUAUAAUGACAUAAUUCUGCUUUGGUCUUUUAAAAAAAAGUAAUUUAGAAAUGAGGAGUAUGUGAGUGAUGAUUUUUACAAAUAAAUUGCAUGCGUAGUGAUGAUUUUGACACAUGAAAAUGUAAAAAGAAAUAUAACUUGUGAAUAAUAAUCGAAGUACCCUGCUAUUGUUAUAUUGAGUAAUCAAGGACUUCGAUAUUCGGACGAUACAAGCAACACAAUCAAAUAUUAGUUGGAAGGCAUAGCAAAAUUAGAAUGUAGAACAAACUGGGUAUUGAUAAAUGGAUGGUUUUGGAAGAAUUGAAAAUGAUGGCAAAAAAAAAACAAAGUUAAGAGAAAAGAGAAAGAGCAUUUGAACUUUACUUGUAAGUAAAGGCAAAUAUCUUGGUUCAAGAAAAGAUAAGAGAUAUCAAACUAGCAAUAGGAAAAAGGAGGAAGGUUAAGACAGCAUCUUAACAAAAGCUAAAGAAAAGAAAAACUUAGUUCAAGCAAAGAACAAUGUGCUAAUGUAGUGUAAUCUUGUUUAAUUUCUUUUUCUUCUCACAUUUUCCAGGGCUUAAAUAAUACAAUGUACAUUUUCAAGCAAAGAACAACAAAUAAAUAAUACAAUAUACAUACCCAGUAAAUUAAAAAAAAUAUAUUAUUCAAGUUUGUGGACAAUACUGUAGCCAUUGCGUCGUCGAAAUCUACUGACAGCUGAAACAAAGAAAGAAUGGAUGAACGCUGGAUCACAGUUGAAAUUGAAGGUCUGGUAGGUGAUGUUUCCCUCUCUGAUUUUACCUAAACAAAUACAAGAAAAUAAGAAUCACGAAUGAAAAUCUGUUAUUACACUGUUCUUACUUAUUAAAAUACAGAGGUUUCUUUGUUUCUCUGCAGCAAUGUCCAUGGCUAUUAGAAACAAGAACAAUUAGACCAGCAUUUGCAAGAAUCUUUUAAGGUAUUACUGCAGAUAUAAAUCGACUGAGGAAAUGGAAAAAUUGAAUACCAAAUUAGGCAAGUUAACUGAAGAUUCAGUUAUCAUAGAAGAAUAAAACUCAUCCAAUUCAAUCCAUCAAAUUUCAUUAAGCAUUUCCAGAACUCUUGAUUUUCUUUCUCAGUAGCCAAACAACUUCAAUCUCAUUUUUUUUUUUCAACAAUGAGUUCUCAAACCACUCUGGUAUCAUUUUAAGACAUUCUCGGCCUUGUACUCACCAUCAAAAUGGAUUGGUUGAGAGAAAACAUAGGCAUAUUGUUGAAUUAGGUUUGACUCUGUUGGCUCAAGCUCAACUUCCUUUUAAAUUCUGGUGGGAUGCAUUCCAUACUGCCCUAUAUCACAUCAAUAGAUUACCAUCUUCUGCUUUCAAACUUUCGACCCCAUGUGAGAAGAUAUCCAAGCACAAACCUGAUUAUGAUUUUCUCAAAUGUUUUGGUUGUAUUUGUUAUCCUUACUUGAGAGACUAUAACAAACAUAAGUUUGCCUAUCAUUCCAGUAAGUGUAUAUUCAUUGGUUAUAGUCCUUCACAAAAGGAUUAUAAAUGCUUACAUUCUUCAGGUCAAGUCUAUGUGGCAUGACAUGGUAUCUUUGAUGAGUCAACCUUUCCUUAUGCUACUGAAUCUGUUUUUCAUAGUCACACAAAUUCUGAUUCUCAUUCUUCAAAUUUAUUUACUCCACAGCAUGUCUAUUAUCUUUCUACUUUACCUGUCAUACCAGUAUUUCUAAAUAACAACACUGAUAAUCUAAACUCUACAAAACUAAAAUGCCAGCUGUUUGGUGUUAGCGAUAAGAAACAACUUACCACAACCAUUAAUUAUCCAUAAUUUCAUUGUUUAUCCUCAGUUUUCUUCAUAAAUGUUACAGCGUUCUUCACAACAAAGUGCAAGGGCAUCUCAAAAGUUCUGAAAUAAUACCUCAAUUCUAUUGCAAAAAUAAAUAAUCUCAAACAAGAACCAAUAAUCAUAUUUCGUUACUGUCAAACACAAUGCAUCUGAGCAAAACAUUGGAAGCCAACACCAGAAUACAUAUGAAUAAACAAUUAAAGAUAGAGAAAAAAGGCUUAAACCUUGGGGGAAAAAAGUGAAAAAACAUGAAAGACAAAUUACACAUGUGCAGUAACCAUCGAACUUAUCAGUGACAGCUGCAUCCAUUACAUUGCUCCAACAACACAAUGGCAAACCACCAGUUUCAAAUUGAGGAUAGCUAUUGAGAAUGAGAAAGUGUCCAAAACGCCAUAAAUAGACAUGUUCCUAUUAUGCAUAAUUUACAUUAUAGGCAAAUAUUCUUAUACCAUCAAAAGCAAAACAUGACACUAUAACAAUUGACUCCCCCCCCCCCCCCCCCCCCCCCGCACACAAAAAAAAAGGAAGAAACAAUACCGAAAAGAUUGAAACAGGUAAGGCUACACUGAGCACAGGAUGCCAUGAAACAUAAUCCAGGAACCAAAUUAAUAAAGAAGGAAGGCAAACCAUUAUUUAACAAUCUGUUUUGUAUUAGGGAAAGUCCGAUAAAAUCUACUUAGGGAUAAUUAGAGAACCUCAACUAUUAAUCACACCUCAUAAAUGAACUAACAUUAACCAUGUACCAUCCCCACAUCAGACAAACAUUCUCUAUACUUCUGAACCUAAUACUUCCAUCUUCAAUUGGGGUUUUUUUCUUUUGUGGGGGGGGGGAUAAGCUAUCGUUUUUCUAAGCUUGCUUACCUUCUGUGUGGGACUGAAAUACUGAUUUCGAAUCAUUAACAGUAAAAUUGGAAGCUCAUGAAAAAACAAUUUUAUCUUUUAACAAAAGUUAAAAUUACAUCUCCAUAUAAAUUCUCUUUUCAUUUCCUUCAAUUUUCUAAUUAAGCUUAAAAAAAUGUACCUUCAACCACAAAGGGGUUUAAAAUUUAAAAUAUAUAAAAAAAUAAAUUCAGAUAACAAUAAUUAAUUUAAUUAAAAAUAUAAAUAGAGAUUACAGAGAAAGAAAAAAUAGAGAAAGACCUGAUGUUGAGAGCAUCGACGGCCGGCAGUGACCGGCGGAAGAUGGCGAGAGAUGGCGGCGUGGGCCAUUGCUUGCGCAUCAGUGAGUGUCUCGAGUGAGAGAGUGAAGGUAGGGAUGGCAAUGGGGAGGGAGGGAGGGUCCAAUCUCUCUGUACCCAUCUCCCAAUUUGUCCCCGUCCCUCCCCGUCCCCAUUUGCUUAGAAUCUGUCCCCUACUCGAAUAAUAAUUCUCGAAUAAUAACAUAAAAUGCUCGAGGUUCUCGAUUUAUGAAUAAUUAAUAUAUUUUUUAUUUUAAAUUUUAAAUUAACUAUAUUAAAAUAAAAAAUUUAAAUAAAAAUAAAAUUUGAAAUAUAUUUUAUAUUAAUAUUGAUCCAUUAUAAAAAUUACAUACAAAAUAUAAAUUAUCAAAAUAAUUAUCUUUAUCAAUCUUCAUAAUCCUACAAUAAAAAGAAAAAAAAUUUACUUUUAUAUUGAUAAUAAAAUAAAUGUAGAUAAUUAAUUAAUAUUUUUAAUAAAAUAAAAUUAAAAUAAAAUAAAAUUUUUAGGCUAAUAUAAUCUACCCGACUUUUUUAAUGUGUUAAAUAAAAAUUUAAGACUUUAAUUAGUUAAUUAGGCCUAAAAGCUUAAUAAUAUAAAUAUUUUGAUAUUUAUUAUUUUUACUAAUAUUUAUAAUUUUAUAAUAUAUUCAAUUUUUAUUAUUUAUUUACUAGUAAUUUUAAAAAAUAAAAAUAAAAUUAAAAAAUAAAAUGGGGGAAAUGGGGAGGGGAUGGGGAUUCCACCUCAUCCCCGUCCCUUCCUUGUAGGGAUGGCAAAAGUUCGGGUCGGGUCGGGUCUGGGGCUGCCUGGAACUGACCCGGAUUUCACACAUAGCUGCCCGGACCCGGACCGUGCCCGGAUUUUUUCUAUGCGGGCCGGGUAUAUGGCUGGCACUAUCCGGGCACAGGUUUUUUUUGGGUUUUCUCUACCCACAUUUUCAAAACUGGCUAAAAAAAAAUUGAUAGAAAAGGCUAAAUAAGUAAACAAAAUUGCAAUUGGGCCUGGAAAUUCAUAACUUAUCCCUGAAUUAUAUAUAUAUAUAUAUAACUUCUAAUUCUUUGUUGAUACAAGUUUUUUCUAAUUCAUUAUAAAAUCACAUUAUAUAUAUUAUUUCCUCAUCAGAUAAUAAGUGACAAUUGCUCACCAGUUUAUUAACAUCUCUACGAAACCGUCUUUUAUGGCAUUAUUAUUAUUAUUGUUGUGGCUGAAACCAUGUAGUAUGUGAUUGAAGAAAUUGCAUUAAAUGUUGGAGUGGAGGUGAUGUAGGUGAGAAAGGAUUCCCUGGAGACUGUUAAACAAGACACAAGGCAUUUCCGGAAGAAAACAGAAGACAACUGGAUAAGACAAAACGGACAAAAGGGUAAGAGAGGUGGGUGGGAAAUUAAGAUAGGCAAUUUGUCCAGCAGAAACAUAAUAAUACCUCGUGGUCGUGGGUCGUGGCUGUGUUGGUGAAGUUGCAGCUGAACAAGAACAGUUGAUGCUGUCGCGUGGUGGCUGCCGUUGAGAAGAUGACCAAACGAUGAAGAGCUCUGUGACGGGAUGGUUGUGCUUUGCGAGGAGAAAUAGAGUUGACUGAGGAAGGUAAGAGGUUCGUGGAGGGAAAGGUGCGGACAACACUGCAUCAGUGCCGGUGGGUGGUGGAGAGACGGAGAGAGGUGCCGCCGAUUUGGAGAUUUCAGGGUGGGUGCUGACUGCUGCAGUGCUGCGUUGUUCUGCAAGUUGCAAUCGCGAUUUAGGGUUCAGUACCAGUUUUGGGGGCAAUUGGGCAAAGUAAAUUUUAUUUUCGCUUUUAUAUUUUCUUUUUUUUUACUUAAUAAAAAACCGGGCAUUGAAAAUCAAUGUCCGGAUCCGCUUUUUCCAUUCAUGUGGUCCGGGUAAAACCCGAACCGCACACGCCGGGUCUGGGCCGGAUCCGGUCCGGGUGGGUUUUUCUGCCACCUCUACUUCCUCGAAUAAGAAAUUUGGUAAAAAAAAUUUCCCGUCCCUUCCUCGAAUAAAAAAUCGGGUAUAAAAUUAUCUCUGUAUCCUCCCCGAAUGAGAAAAAUCCCCGAAGAUACCCAUACCUGUGGGGAUUUUUACCAUCCUUGAGUGAAGGGUUUUGUUUAGGGUUUUGGGAAAUGAAAAAUGUAAAUGUUUGAUUUUGUUGCUAGAAACUUCUUCUGCCGCUGCUUUUUAUUUUCGCUAUAAAAAUAAUAAUUUGUUAAUCAAAUAUUUUCUUAAAAAAGAUAAAUUUCUAGAACAAAAUUUAUAUUAAAUCAAAUUGUAAAAAUGUGGAAUAGGGCUAAUUUCUCCUUAAUAUUAUUAUUAGUAGAAGUAGAUUGUCGAACUAGUCUUGAUAUAUUUUAGAGUUGUAUUAUAGAUGUAUACGUAUCUAGAUUGUAAUUAUAUUUUAAAAAAUAUAAUUUUUUUUAAUUAUUGCACAAUAAAUGUAGAAAAUAUCUAUAAAAUAAUAUUAUUAGAACUAUGAUACAGCACCUCAAUUCCACAGUAGCUUAAUAUUAUUAGAACUAUGAUACAGCACCUCAAUUCCAAACGCACUCUAAUUAAAAAAUUUAGAAUUCUUGGGCAUGGAAAGAGUAGUAUUAAACAUCAGAAAGCUAAGGUUGUUCUGUAAAAGAACUGAUAUUGACAUUAUUUUAUUUUGGUUUUCGGGGAAAAAAAUAUUUGUUGACAAGCAAGAAAAUAUUUUUAUAUUUUACAAUUUAUUAUACAUAUUUUAUCAUAUUAAAGUAAUUUUAAUAAUAAAUAGAAACAUAAUAUUACAAUAAAUAAAUUAAAGUUUAAAUUAUUUUGAAUAUUAUAAAAAAUAAUUUUAAUAUUAUUAAUAGGAAGACUUUUGUUAAUUGUAAAAUCUUUUUAAUCCAAAGAUUUGUUUAAAAUUCUUAUAAUAAAUACAAAUAUAAAAUUAAAUAUCAAAAUUUAAAUUUUUUAAUAUUAUUUAAAUUUUAAAAAUACUUUAAUGUUAUUAGUCUUCUACAUAAAUUAUAUUAUUUAUAUUAUAUUUGUAUUGAUUAAAAUCUUUUAAAGUCGAUCUUCUAGUUAUUAUAUGCAAAAGGUAUUAUCAUGUUACAAUUUUUUGAAAUUUUAGGGAUGUAGGUUACGAUGAUUUAUUUCACUUUUGACAAAAUCCAAUGAGAAAUAUGAUAAGAGAAAGUCAAUUUAAUGUUCUCGACCUUUAUGAAAAAAAGUAAAAACUAAGAAUUAUUCAAUUUUAUAUUUUUUGCAUCCACCAAAUAAGUUUUGCACAUUUAUGUUAUCAUAAAACGAAAAAAAGGGUUUACCAAAAAAUGGUACCAAGCAUACCUUUAAUGUCCCACGUGAUUUCUUAUUAAGCCCAAUAUUAGAUAUAUUUAUACAUUUUACUGCAUUAAGUAUUUUAAUUAUAAAAGAAGUUGGUCCUUCCUCUAGUUACAAAAGAUAACUUUAUUUCAAGACUACCACUAAAUUCUUACGUAGAAUUAGUGCAAGGCCAAGAGAGAGUAACACAAUUUUACUUUUCCAUUACCAUUUUGAAAAUAGAAAGAUAUGGAUCCGUGUAUUUAAGAGUUAUUGUAAAAAUCAUACAAUUCAAUUUCCUGACGUGUAUUAUGUAUAUUUAGGCACAUUUGCCAAAAGCAUAAAUAGAUAGAAAGUAAAUUUACAAUCCACCCUUACUCACAAUUAUUGAAGUGAAGAUGCAUUACAACUGUCACUACUUUAACUUUAUUUAUUUAUUUGUUUUAAAUAAAAGUGUGAGAGAGACGGUGAACAUCAUGGACGAUAACAAAGGUUAAAGCCUAAAGGUGACCCAUUUUCUUUUUAAAGUGCUCUGCUGAAAGCCUAACUUCCUUUGGAUCCGCCGAAGUGGCCGAAGUGGUGGGCUGCUGCCCUCACAAGCAUUGUGAGGGCAGCGGUUCUAGCCCCCACAAAAGCAUUGUGGGGGUUAAAUGUUCUUUAUAUUUAAAAAUUUUUCUCCCUUGCGAAAUACAAGUGGAGUAUGGACAUCCCUCUCCUGUGAGGGGUUAUUUGUUUGGGCAUGUACUUCAUAGAAUUUAAUGUAAUAAUGUAAGUCCCAAUAAUGUAUAUCUGAUUGUAAAUAUCAGUAUAAUAUCUCUGCUACAAUAGCAAUUAUUGUAAAUAUUUGUGUAAUACAGUAAUCUGAUGAUUAAUCAGUAUUCAAAAAAAAAAAAACUUCAUUUGGAUCCGCCUAAGUUACUGCUUUGUAAAAUUUUAUAAAGCCCCUUAUACUCUAUAUUAUUUAUAAUUUGUUCAUAAAUAUUAUAAAACUUUCUGCAUUAUAUAAUUUUAUUGAGCCCCUUGUACUAUAUUUUAUUUCAUUGAAACCCUUAAAGUACCAAUUCGCCCUCUAUAAUUUUAAAUUACUAAAAUACCCUCCAUUUAAUUAAAAAUAUAAUGAUUAUUAAAUGAUUAUAAUUAUCUGGAGUACAAAUUCAGUAAUAAACAAUAACUAAAGUAUUAACAAUUUAUUCAUCAAAUAAAAUACUCGAGAUUUCAGCCGACAAAUCCUCUUGUCUAAACUAAAAAACUCAUAUCCCUAAAAUCUAUUUGUGAAAUGUUAGAGAUGAGUGGUGAUUUGUCAACUGGGUAAAUAAAUUUAUGCAUAAUGUUUCCGGUAUUGAUAAAUUACAUAAUAAUUAUUACAAAGAAAUCAUAAAUUGGAAACAUUAAUCAUUUUACAAUAUGUUACAUAAGUAAGAUAAAUCUCAUAGUAAGUUAAGUUAUAACGUAAUAAAUAUUUUCAACAUAUACUUAUUUAAGAAGUCAUUUAACAAUAAUAUUUUUUAUAUUUCAGUUGAUCAUGUCAUAUAGCGUUAUCUAAACUCUUGGCCAUAUUAUUAUUACUCAAUUUUCUCCCAAAAAAAAAAAAAAAAAAACAAAAACAAACAUGAUUAAUGAUUAGAGAAAAGUCAUGCCUUUUAGAAAGAAUACGUAUACAAGCUAUCCAUACUUUAUCUUACCAUGAUGGUGAUUAAAUAUAUUUUUAAAAUAGAUUUAAUGCACAAAUAUGAUGACUUUUGGCAAAAAUUAGUUUCGGAAGAUAUAGUGGUAGAAAAUAGUGAUGAUUAUUGUUUAAAUGUGUAAAUAGUCUAAGCAUAGCCCGUAAUACCAAUAUUCAUUUGCACCUUCAUUUGGAUUAUCAUAUUUUAUGAUGUUCUUUCAUUCAUAACCAUUGUUCAAAAUUUGGAUUUGAUCAUAAAACAAAACUAAAAAAUAUUAGAGAUACUAACAAUUGAGUCCCAUUUUAAGUCCCAAUACAAUGUGUUAUUUCUCAAUGUUGUGUCAUUCAUUAAUUAAGUGAUGAAUUUCAGAAUUAAUAAUUAGUUCAGACUUUAAUUAAGAUUUAAAUGUUAGAAUAUCUAGCAUCAUUCAAUCACAAUAAACAAAAUUCAAAUUGAAACGGCAAUAUUGUAUUUUCUUUAAUUAAUUUUGAUGCUGAAGCAAAUAUUUUGCUUGGGUUUUUCACUUCUUGAUUUUGAUUGGAAAAGUUUCUGAGACGAAGUAUUUUGGAUAAUUUUUUCGGGAUUGAAACCACAACUUGGUAGAGGAAAUUAGUUGGAGUAGUGAUGGCUUUGUCUUCAUUUUUGGUUCCUUUUGUGUCGGCAGCCCCUUACUAUUCUCUUGACCCUGAGUUUGAGAUAGAAAUUUAUCAACCUCCAACCCCACAUCCACAAACAAGUUGAUUGAAACAAUUGCUCUUUUAAUUAAGAGGACCCAAAUGAUUUAGGUUUCAGUUCUUAUCAUUUGUCUAUUAUUUAUUUGAAACAUUUAUUUUGAGCGUUACUGAUCUUAAUUAUCUGUAUUUCUCCAAUUAUUGAAGCAUUUCAAGUGGCCACUUUUUCUCCUUUUUAUAUAUGUUUAUUUUUUGGAGUGAUCAAACGGGGGCAAAAUCAAGUAUUCGCUGGUCUGUAGUUUAGCCAACGAUGGCUGAUCCACACAGUUGAUUAUAUGAUACUAUUAGCUCUCAAAAUCUUUCUUAUUUGAGAAUACAAGUUGCCCAAUAGAGUUGAACUAUGUUACCCAACUCCAUGCUCAUACAUUAAAUGUUUAGGUAGUUUUACAAAAUGAUAGCAGCAUGCCAAAACUUGUUGUUGUCAUUUUCGACAUUUCAAAUUGAAAAAUAUGCAAGCAAUCUUCAGUGAACAUUACGUUUUUAUUGAAUAAUUUAAAUGGCCAGUAAAUCAACAGUCCGUGAGUUUUAAAUCUAUUAUGACUUAAUGUAUCUUUCUGUAUUCGUACACAGGUUAUAUUAUCAUAGUUUAAAAUUUUAAUAUUAUUUUAAAUGUUAAAAAUACUUUAAUGCUAUUAGUCUACUACACAUGUUAUAUUAUUUAUAUUAUAUUUGUAUUAAUUAAAACUUUUAAUGUAAAUUUUCUAAUUACUAUAUUGAAAAGGUAUUAUGGUUAAGAAAAAGUUUUGGCAUUUCUUCUUGAAAAUUUGAGGGUCUGCAUGACAAUUUUUCCAAAUUCUAAGGGUAUAGGUUUGAAAAUUUAAUGUUCUUUAACUUAAUGAAACAAAAGGGGGAAACCAAGAACUAUUCAAUUUUGUAUUUUUUGUUUGUAAUUCAAAAAAUGCAUCCACCAAACCAGUUUUACGCAUUAAUGCUGUCAUAAAACAAAAAACAGUUUGCCAAAAAAUGGUACCAAACAUAUCCUUAAUGUCUCACAUGAUUUCUUAGUAAGCCCAUAUUAGAUAUAUUUAUACAUUUUAGGUAUUUUAGUUAUAAAAGAAGUUGGUCCUCCCCCUAUUUAUAAAAGAUAACUUUGUUUCGAUAUUACCACUAAACUCUUACAUAGAAUUAGUGUAAUGUUAAGAGAGAGUAAAACGGUUUUCCAUUACCAUCUUUGAAAAUAGAAAGAUAUGGAUGCGUGCAUUUAAGAGUCAUCGUGAAAAUCAUACAAUUCAAUUUCCUGACAAGAAGUUGGUCCUCCCCCCCUUUUUUUUUUUUUUUCAAUUACAGUGUGAUGGAGACAUUAAGGAUGAGCAUAAUAGUUAAAGAUGACUCAUUUCUCAUUUUCUUUUUAAAGUGCUCUGCUGAAAGCCAAACUUCCUUUGGCUAAUUAAUUUAGAAGUAAAGCAGAGAAUAAAGUCCUAGAUGCCUUCUGAAAUUAGAAAUACAUUUUAUAUGCUUUAAUUAUGAUUAUUUGGUAGACUAAAGACCUAAAAGAUAUGUCAAAAGUAUAAAACAGAGCGAUUAAAGAAAAAAGAAAAAAAAAACAGAGCAUUUGUGACGUAGAACAAUUGGUAAAUAAAUCCUAAAUAUUUGAGUUGUUAAAAGCAAAUAUAACAGAGACAGUAAGAGAGAUGCUGAAACAGAAAACUAUUAGCUUAUCUUGAUUUUCCCACUAUAUUCAUUUUCGAUGCUUUUCAAACGAGAUUCUUUUAAUUCUUCUGGUGUCUCUUAUAGAUCUCCAUCCCACAUCUGCACUACGAACAAGUUGAUUAAAAUUAAAUACUGUUGGAGAUGUGGGGUGAGCGGUCAACUUGGUAAAAAAACUAUGUGUAAUAUUGUUAAUAAUAUAAAAUAUAUAAUAAUAAUUACAAAGAAUCAUAAAUUAGAAAAAUUAUUUAUUUUACAAUCUAUUUCUUAAGUAAGAUAAAUCUCGUAAUAAGUUAAGUUAUAAUGUAAAAAAUAUUUUCAAUUUAUAAUCAUUUAAGGAGUCAUUUAACAAUAAAAUCUUUCUUUUUUUGAUCAAUUGGUCAUGGUACAGAGCAUCAUCUAUAUUCAUGGUGAUAUUAUUAUUACUCCGUAUUCUCAAAAAACACGAUUUAACAUUUAGAGAAAGUUCCUACCUUUUAAAAAGAACAUGUAUGCAACAACUACCCAUACUUUAUCUUACCACGACAAAACUAAUAGUGACUAAAUCAAUUUUCUCGAAUAAAGCAAAAUUUCUUAAAAUUAAUUUAAUAUACAAAUAUGAUGACUUUUUGCAAAAAUUAGUUUUGGAAAAUUAGUGACAGAAAAUAGUAAUGAUUAUUGUUUAGAUGUGUAAAUAGCCUAAACAUGAUCCCUAAUACCAAUAUCCACGUGCAUCUUAACACCUUUCGUCAUAUUCUUUCAUUCAUGGUCACUGGUUCAAGAUUUGAAUUUGAUCAUUAAAUAUGUUCAAUAAUAUUAGAGAUCCCAACAAUUGAGUACCAACUUAAAUCCCAAUGCUAUGUGUCAUUAACAAAUGUUGUGUCAUUUAUAAUUAUUGAAUGAAUAAUUCGUUAAUUUAUUGAUAAAUGAAAAUUUAUUAAUUUAAAGAGAGAUAUUUUUUUUUUUGGGUUUUAAGAAGAGUUUUGUUGGUACAUGUACAUACUUAUAAAGAAAUAAACUUGUAAUUAUACUAUAUCUUUCUUUCUUUAUUCAGUUUGGUGGGAUAUUGUGAUAAAUCAUUGGAUUAAAAUGCAUUUCUAAAUUAAAACUUGUUAAAAUCUAAUUUAUUUGGGAAGCGCAUAUUAUUUGUCAGUCGUACUUCUCAAGUCUCAACUUAGCAAGUUAUUUCUAACUUGUCAGUCUCUAUUGGUUCUCUAAAGCUAAUAGUCUCGAAUCUCCCGCAUUUGAUAUCUUGCCAUUAUUGUUGGCAUUAACAUGUUACCUGAGAUUGGGAUUCAUUAAAAUCCUCAAUGUAAUCGGUGGAACGAAUGGAUUUCUUCUGUUCACCAAUCCACCAAAAUUUCUGUAAUUAAAUUCAAGAGUCAAGAUCUAUGCUUAUAAUCUAUUCUAACAGCUAAUAUUCUAUUUUAUAUUUACUUAAAUAUGAAGAGCUAUGCUUGUCAUUAACUUCAAAUGUGAUCGAAGCAGCCUUACAUCUGUAUAUUACUUAUUCCCAACCUUUUUUUUUUGACUUCAUAUACUUUAUUUUCAUGUUAUUUACUCUUUUUUUCCCCUUUCUGACAAUUGAGGUAGGGGGUCAAACUUGAAAGUAUCUUAAAAUCAGACAAAUUUUUUUUUUUUUAAGAUAGCUGCUAAUAUGCUCUAUUAGACAAUGACAAGUAAUAACCUAGUUGUUUGCAUUAGAAAUGAUAUUUUUUGUGGUGCUGAUAAAGAGGUUGAUUAUGAUUCAACAAUUUAAAAUAUGAAAACAUGUGGAAGACGGCCGCAAUUAAAUUGAUUGUAUGAAAAUAUUUCAAUGAAAUUUUAAAAAUUUAGUACUUGUUAUCUUAUCGAGAGUUUUUUUAAAUUAUAUUACUACUUGAACUUGGCUGCUUUUGUAUUGAAUUCCCAGCGUUGCCAUUGCUUCUACUCAAAAGCCAUUUAAGUUUGUGUAAGCUACCUAUAGUUUGAACAACAAUUUACUCAUGAAUUGUUGUUCAUAAUAGCAAUUUGAUUGAAAGUGCGGCUGCACUAAUUUUCUAGAUGAAUUUUUUCCUACAUGCUUGUUCUCGUAUGACCCAAAAUCCUGCUACAUCAGUUGUAUUAGAAAUUAAUACUGGGUUACAAUUAUGCAUCCCCACCAAUAUUUCUUGAGGAAAGAAACUCAUAUCGCCCCUAGGCUUUUAAUGAGGCUCAUUUUUAUGAAUCUGGAUGGCAUUAGAUAUCUCUCCGAAUAUUGGUGGGAGUAUAUCGCAGAUCAAUGGGCUAUACUACAAAGUGUAUGUACGUUGACUCUCAAUAAAUACAAACGAUUCUCUGAUAUGAUUCAAAACAUCAGUGCACGCAUCAUUUUAACGAGAGAGAAUAUUCUAAGAACGAAAUUGAAGGUGCAAUCAGCAACUAAAAUGAAGCCAGAAAUGUACACGCAUGAGGAAGUUUUCCUAGAAGAUUGAUAUUUCUUUAACUAGCAAACAAUACAAGUCCAAAGCUAACCAAACCAUACCUGCAAGUCCGGGGCUUAAAUGGAGUACUUGUAAGCAUAAAACAUUAAUCAAAACACAGUAUAGACACACACACACACCCCUACAUACAUACCAGCAAAUUCGAAAUAGAAAAAGGAGUGCAACUAUUCAAGUUUGUUGACAAUAUUGCAACCAUGGCAUAUUAAAGCAAAUCCUUAAAAUCAGCUAAACGAAACAAUGCCCUGUCUCAUGAAUCGAUGCUCAACUAAAAAUUGAAAUUGAAAGUCCGGCUGGUGUUGUUAUUAGAUAGAUAUAACAAGAUCUUUCUUUGACAGUUCUUAUUAGAUAGAUAUAAAAAGAUCUGCUUUGACAGUUCUUAUUAGAUAGAUAUAAAAAGAUCUUUCUUUGUUUCUCUGCUGUAAUUUGUGGCUAUCCCACUCUGUUUUGCCAGUCAAGCUGAGUCUACGUUGAGACAUAAUUUUGACAUCAGAAGCGGCCUCAAUUAGUUUGGCAUUUUUAUAACCUCCUUGAAGGUUUUACGAUAAACAUAAAUCUACUGACAAAGUGGGCAAAAAGAAAAUGCAUGUAAAAGUAUGAGUUAUCAAAUAAGAUUAAAACUCACCCAAUUCAAUCCAUCAGAUUCCGUAAGGAUACAACUGGAUGUCAUACCGCCACUCCAUAUUCUCGAAAGUCCGUAGUCCUUGUCUCAACUGUGUCUGGGGCCAGUGUAAGUCCAUUUUUGCGCAAGCUCUUUAUGCACCACAGCUCUUCUGGAAGCUUUCUCAAGUAAGCACACGGGUUGACAAUUAAGCAUUCAAGUUUCGGCAUUGCUCCAGCCCCCAUCGUCCACUCAUCUAGCCAAUACAUUGACUUCAGGUGCAAAACCUUAAGUUCGGGAAAGCUACUCAAGCCAACACAAGCAAGCUUUCUUCCUAAAUACGAGUUCUGCUUCAGUUUCAGCACUCGAAGGCGUGGAAGAUUUUCCAGAAUUGGCAUGGGAUCCUCCAUUAGCUCAGUAUUUGAUAAGCUCAGUUGGAUCAGACUUGGGGGAAAUUGGUAUUCAGACAGGACCAUCCGUGAGGGCUUGCUCUCAUUCACCAGCUUCAAGCAUUCAAGUUUGUGGAGUUCGCAUAGGCUUUUGGAAACCCCUGAAUGAUAGCAACUCAAAUCUCCAGAUAUCCGAAGAGUUUGAACAUUAGGUAGUCUGCCCAAUAUAUCAGGAGUACAACUACUGGGGUUUAAAGUUGAUAUGAAAAUGAGAUUUUUCAGGGAGCUAGAAUAAUUUUUUGGAGGUGCGGGCAGAGUGAUAGAACCAAAGUUUAGAUGCAUGAGUUUUUGCAUCUUCCAAAUAUCCUCUGGUGACUGAUCUAUGUAGCUAGAUGGCAUUUCUAGUGUUUGAAGGUUUAAAAGGGUGCAUAGCAGUGAAGGAAGGCAUUUGAGCGAAGGGAUAUUCAAUUUCAAAUACUUCAAAAGGAAUAAAUUUUCUAAUCCGGGUGGAUAUUGGUCCAGGACUGCAGAACCCAAGUUCAGUACCCGAAGGUAUUUGAACCUUUUAAAAAAAUUCUCGCAAUCUUUCGGAUUAAGAUGAUAUCUUUUUGGACUGUGAUUGAGAAAAGAUUGGAGAUACAUGUCAGAAUGUUCUAAAGAAAGGAACUCAAUCAAAUCAUCGACAAUGAAGCACCGUUUAACAUUUGCGGGUGGUUCCUCUUCCACGUCAUGCAUCCAGACAAAUCCCGUCUUCUUUGCCACCACAAACAAUGAAGUGUAGUAUACAAUACUUGGAAAAUAACACGAUUUAAUUGUGCCUCCGGCCCUUCUUUUACUCACUUGAAUGAAGCCGCGAUGGAUUAGUUCUUUCAAGUAAUGUUCGGCAGUUUCUUCACUGUUGUAUGGUAUGAAACCUUCAGCUACCCACAAAUGAUAUAAUUGCCUCGUGGAUAUCUCAAUGCCUGGAGGGAAGACACACAAAUAGAUGCAGCAGAUUUUCAAGUGAAAAGGUAACUCCAACACAGAACAAAUUCCAAUGAAAAUUGUCGGAAUCGUUUCGCCUUGAACAUAAUUUUCUAAUGGCAUACUUCCAUAGUGUAGGAUGAAAAAUUGCCAGGCUUCAUGCUUUAAUCUGAUCAAUGGUCCUCCAAUGAGCACCGAAUCAAGCCGAAUCUUCUCUCCAUUUUCCAUUUCAAGCGACGCAAGGAGGUCUGGAUCAGUGACUGUUAUCAAUACUCUGCUUCCAUUCUGAUUAUCAGGAAGAACUUCUUCAAGAUCAUCCCAUAUGUCAAUGUUAUCGCAGACAUCAUCAAGCACAAUAAAGUACUUCUUGUUUGUUAGGUAAUCUCAAAGAAUAGAUUCCUUGAAUUGAUAAUCUUCACCGAUAAUUACACUAACCCGAGAUGGAGGCAUCACAGACUUGAUUAUGUCAUCCAAUAUCUUGCCCAAAUCGUAGAAUACAGAAACCCUGACCCAAGCAAGACAGUCAAAAUAGAACCUGACAUGAUUAUUGUUGUAAGUAUCUGCAGCAAAAGCAGUCCUAUCGAAGCCACUGCUGUCGAGAAUUGCAACCACUGCAAGCCCAGAUGGUCCCUCAAUCAAUAGAUCAAACAACUUCUCUCUGCCCCUUUCAAAUUCACUGAUAUCGAGCCGAGGUUGUCCCUCAUUCAAUAGGCGAAUGAUUUCGUUACUUUUUUCACUGAUAUCAAAACCAUUGUCGCCGGGCGGAAGUUGUUGCAUCCGAUUUCUAAUAUCAAUGAUUUCACUGUGGACAUGAAGAGCCAUAUUAGUGCUGCUUUCACUUUCGUUUUCACUGUUUUGCUGCUGCAUUAUGUUGAUGAAGAAUCUGUCAAUGGCUUCCUCAGAUUCAUGGACAAAGUCAUUGAUGUGCACCAGAAUUUCCAAAAUAUCUGGUCUUUUAACGUCUUCUUCAUCGCUUUCUUCUAAGUCCAACAGUUGCAAAAAAGGAAAAGAUAUUUCGAAGUCAUCGAAUUCUUCUAGAAUGAGUUGAAACAAAUGCCGAGCCAUGUCAGCUUCAUAGUUUCCCAGAAGAGUAGCAGCAAUAAUUUCGGACUCCGUAAGAAGGUUUUGAAAAAGUGGGGUUAAAUUUGUUGAAUCUGGCAGCGGCAACGUGCCUUCUUCACCUGCUAACACCCUUUUCAACCUCUCACAAAUCAGUCGGAGGUGGAAUUCCAGCAUUUCUCCUUCUCUCCGUAGCACUCAAUUAGAAUUAUCUUCGAAUUCUAAUUUAAUUGACUAAGUAGUUAUAGCUAUUCUAUUGAUUAGGUCUAGCUAUUAUAUUCUAAAUGAUUAAUUGAGAGGUAUAGUUGAAAGAUUAAACACCAUGGAAGAAUUUGAAAGGAAAAUGCCAAGAAACUGUGUAAGUGGCUAAAUUCCACAAAUAUGACAUUAUUGCUCAUUUUUUAACUCAAAAAAAGGGUACGCAUUCAUUUAGAGAAAAGUCCAAGACGCGUGCUUUUUAAAAAGAACAGGUAUCCAACCUCUAUCUUAUUAAAUUACAACCAUGACAUAAUUGAUGGUGCUUAAAUCAAUUGUUUCUUUUUUAAUUUAAAGAAUUUUUCAUUAAAAAAAUAUUUUAAUAUCAAAUUGCCUUCAGUGGCGUAACUGCCUCAGGCCCAGUAACAGGACUAAUUAAAAAUUUUACAAUUUUUGGGCAUGGAAAUAGUAGUAUUAAACAUUAGAAAGGUAAGGUUGUUCUGUUAAAGAAUUGAUAUUGACAUAAUUUUAUUUUGGUUUUCGUGGAAAAAAAAUUUGUUGACAAGUAAGAAAAUAUUUUUAUUUUUUAAAAUUUAUUAUGCAUAUUUUAUCAUAUUAAAGUAAUUUUAAUAAUAAAUAGAAACAUAAUAUUACAAUAAAUAAAUUAUAGUUUAAAUUAUUUUGAAUAUUAUAAAAAAUAAUGUUAAUAUUAUUAAUAGGAAGACAUUUUGUUAAUUUUAAAAUCUUUUUAAUCCAAAGGUUUAUUUAAAAUCUCUAUAAUAAAUACAAAUAUAAGAUUAAAAUAAAAAUCAUAAUUUCAAAAUUUUAAUAUUAUUUUAAAUGUUAAAUAUACUUUAAUGUUAUUAGCCUACUACGUAGAUUUUAUUAUUUAUAUUAUAUUCGUAUUGAUUAAAAUUUUUUAAAGUCAAUUUUUUAGUUAGUACAUUCAAGAGGUAUCAUAGUUAAAGAAAAGAUUUUGGUGCAACUGUUUUAAAAUUUCAGGGUAUAAAUGAUAAUUUUUUUUAAAAUUUUAAGGAAGUAGGUAUUAUUUUUCCGACAAUUUAUUUUAUUUUGAGGGAAAUCCGAUGAGAAAUAUCAUCAGAGAACAUUAAUUUAACAUUCUUUACCUUUAUGAAAAAAGUGGAAACCAAGAACUAUUCAAAUUUUUUUUUUUUGUGUAAUUCAAAAAAUGCAUCCACCAAACAAGCUUAUCAUAAUUUUCCCACUUUAUUCAUUUUCGAUGCUUUUCAAAAGAGGUUCCUUUAAUCCAUCUAGCAUCUGCAGCCCCCACUAUUUUACAAAUCUCCAUCCCACAUCUACACUAUCAAAAAAGUUGAUGGAAAUUGAACCCAUUAAGUUAUGUUCAUUACUGGUCAUUAUCUUUCUAUGAGCCACUUAUUUUGAGCAUUAGCGAUCUUCUAAGGAAUCAUGCCUUUUCAGGAUCGUUUUCUUUCAUUUCCUUAUUGUAGUAGUUAAUUAAAUAAAGAACGAACAAGUGAACUUUGUCUAUUUCGAGGAAGAACUAGGUUUCCAACACUAGAGGAACUUUGAAGAAAAUUAAUUGGAAGCCUUUAUUCAUCUUUGAAGAAAAUUACGUGCCAAUGUAACCAAGGCUUUUAUUCAUCUUCGGACUAUGAAUUUAUACAAAAACAUUAACAGAAAAUAACAAAGACACAGCUAAAUGAUAGCAACAAGUGUUGAUUUAGUGGACCACUUCUACAAGUAAAUAAAAACUAAAUAUUUAUUUAAGGAGGGCUUUUGUUAGUAGAGUUUUUAUAAAUAGAAAUUUAACAAAAAAAAAUUAUAGUUAUUUAGUUGUCAAUGUCCAAAUUGAUGAAUUAUUGUUCUUUUUGUUAACAUGUGUUUGUUUUACUUAAUAAUAAAAGUUUAGUUUACAAUUACACCGGUGUCAAAUCAGCAGAGCAUUUUUGCAGCCAGUCACAUUAUACAUUAUAUACUAAUAGCAUCGGCAAGAGUUUUCGAUUGUUGCAACUUGCAAUGCACGCGAUGCGAGAAAAUGAGAAUCUUGUUUAAUUGCAAUAAUGACAAACCUAAUCCUUUCAUUAGGAGUAAAUUAAUAAUCGUUUGUUAUUAUUGAAUAUGUAUAAAGAAAGGACAAUUCUAUUCAUAGAUUCGACUUAUUUUUUGUUUAAAGUAAUUAAUCAUUCAACCAUCUUCAUUUGCCUCUGGCCAAUGCCCUUGUAGAUUAGUUGAAGCGUUUAUUACUUAAUUCAGAUAAUUACAACGUCCUUUUCGCUAAUUAAUUAUGAUUAUGAACAUUUUCAUAUAGCAAGUGGCAUUGUAGAUCUAAACUACGUUGCUAUUUCAAUACGUUAAUUAAGUGAUUCUCCUCAUUGUCAUCAACGUUAUAAACAGGAAUUGUGCAAACAGUACACAAUGCUGCAGCAAGGCGUGGGUGGCUAGAGUUUUGCAACCACCCUUGAGAUCCUGUGCUGCCAGUAGUAAAAGAAUUUUACGCCAAUUUGGUAAGCCCUGGUCAGCACAACAUUUGGGUAAGAAACUCACUUGUUCCAUUAGACUCUCGAGUUAUAAAUGUUUUUUAUAAUUUACCUGCUGAAAUUAAUUGUGAGUAUGCCAAGUUGCUUGACAAAUUGACCCCGCAACAAUGGAACACAAUUUUCACGACACUUACGGUAGAGGGUGCAUCGUGGGCUAAUGAGGAGGGGCAUGUAAUUAACAAGAUAGAUUUAAAACCCAUUGCUAAGGUGUGGGUGAAAUUUCUAAAAUCCAGGCUUAUGCCAACCACCCACACCACUACUGUUUCACAGGAAAGGUUGGUGCUGUUAUAUGCUAUUGUUAGAGGGCUUCCCAUAGAUGUGGGAAGCAUUAUCGAAAAAGAAAUUCGAGAUUGUGCCAUGAAAAACCACAAGGCUGCUGCCUUGUUAUUUCUUUCACUCAUAACCAGCAUAUGUGUAGUAUCAGGUGUUCGUCUUGAUGCAAAGGAUGAAAUUUGUAAUUAUAUUAUGGCUCCAUUUGGUAUAACUUUUUAAUUCGAACUUAUUUAAGGAGAAUUUUUAUUAGUAGAGUUUUUAUAAAUAGAGAUUUUACUAAAAAACAAAAAUUAUAGUUAUUUAGUUGUCAAUGUCCAAAUUGAUGAACUAUUGUUCUUUUUGUUAACAUGUGUUUGCCAGUCACAUUAUACAUUUUUGCAACUUGCAAUGCAAGCGAUGAGAGAAAAUGAGAAUCUUGUUUAAUUGUCAAUAAUGACAAACCUAAUCGUUUCAUUAGGAGUAAUUUCAUAAUCGUUUGUUAUAAUUGAAUAUGUAUAAAGAAAGGAAAAUUCUAUUCGUAGAUUCGACUUAUUUUUUGUUUAAGGUAAUUAAUCAUUCAACCAUCUUCAUUUGCCCCUGGCCACUGCCCUUGUAGAUUAGUUGAAGCGUUAAUUGCUUAAUUCAGAUAAUUACAACGUCCUUUUCGCUAAUUAAUUAUGAUUAUAUACGUUUUCAUAUAGCAAGUGGCAUUGUAGAUCUAAAUUAUGUUGCUAUUUCAAUACGUUAAUUAAGUGAUUCUCCUCAUUGUCAUCAAGUGGAAAAUAGCUCAAUUGUUUCCCUGCAUCGAUUUUCAUUGGUAAGUGAUUUCUUAUGAUAUUCGUUUGAGCUUUCCUUAUUAAAAAAGCUUGAGCCUUGAUCACCUAAUACUGAUAUCAAUUAACUUGUGAACGAUUUUGUAAUGAAAUUAGGAGUUAAAUAUAUAAGAUUUUUACGUGAUGAAUUUUGAUUUUUUUAAUUUUUUGAUGUAGUCAAUUUGCUAAUUUUAUAUAUUUCAUAUUCAACGGAAUUUGGGCACGGAAAGUUUGGAUUCUAAUAUUUAUAUAUUUAGCUUUAAUCAGCUUGACUUUAGCAAUCUUUUUCCCUCAUCAUUAAGGGAUUCAGAAUUAGAGAAACGCUAGGAAGAGGAAGAAAAUAACUUUGGAAGUAAGUAAGAGGGAAAAAAUUAUGAAAUUUGGAAUUAUUUUUUGUAAAGUAUGUUGCGUUUACUAAACUGGAAUUAGAAUGAGCUGAAAUCAGAAUGAAUAGGAAUGCGAAUGUGCUGAAAUCGGAAUAGGUAAUGAGAAUAAGAAUAAGUUGUUUACUUGAACUGUAAAAAUCAAAAUCGGAAUGAGCUGAAUUGCAAUUACUUUGUCUUGGAAUCGGAAUCGGAAUCGGAAUGAGUUAGAUUAUAACAAAUUACUGAAAAGUACUUAAUGAAUUAUUGUCAUAAUUAUUAUUUUAUAUUUUAAUUAUAGUGAUUAUUUAUUCAAAAAUUAUUAUUAUUAAUUAUUUCCAAUAAUAUAUUAAUAUGUUAAUUAAUUUUAAAAAUUAUUAAUUAAUUUAUUAUAAUAAUAUACUAAUUAAUUAUAAUUAUUAUUAUAAAAAUAUAUUAAUAAUAAAAUUACUAAUUUAAUUGUAAUAAUAUAUGAAUUAAUUAUAAUAAUUAUUAUAAUAGUAUAUGAAUUAAUUAUAAUAAUUAUUAUAAUAGUAUAUUAAUUAAUAAUAAUAAUAAAAAUAUAUUAAUUAUGUGAUUAUUUAUUCAAAAAAUAUUAUUAUUAAUAAUUAUUGUUAAUAAUGUAUCAAUAUACUAAUUAAUUAUAAUAAUUAUUAUAAAAAUAUAUUAAUUAUUAAUAAUAAAAUUACUAAUUUAAUAAUAAUAAUAAAAAUAUAUUAAUUAUGUGAUUAUUUAUUCAAAAAUUAUAAUUAUUAAUAAUUAUUGUUAAUAAUGUAUCAAUAUAUUACUUAAUUAUAAUAUAUUAAUUAAUUAUAAUAAUAUAUUAAUUAAGUAUAAAUGAGGACAAAGUGGGUAUUUUUAAUUUCACGAAGGGGCAAAAUGGUCAAUUCUAGUAAUGGGAGACUCACUCCCACCCUCUCCUUUGGGAAUGAGUCUCCCAUUCCUCAUUCCCAAAUUGUGGUGGGCCCCAUGAUUUUGACUCCGAUUUCUAACUCAAUUUUGCGAAGUAAACGCUACCAAUGAUUCCGAUUUCGGAUUCUGAUUCACUUAUCUGAGAAGUAAAAGCAACAUAAAUGUGUAUGAAUAAUUGAUACCUAUGAAUAGUUUUGGGAGUUUUAGCUAGGAGUCAUCUAUUGAAGAUGUUUAGCAAUUGAAGAUCUCUGUCUCAGUAGUUUUCCCAAUCAAAAUCAAGAAGCAAAAAAACUUGCCAUUUUUCUACUUGAUAAUUAAUUGAAAUUUAAGAAAAUACAAUGGCAUUUCAAUUAGAAUUGGUAAUUGUUUAUCUUUUUUCAUUGAUCAAAUUCUAAUCGUGAUCCAAUAGUUAUGGAUGAAGGAAAUAUUAUGAGAGGCGAUAGGCCAAGUGAAGACGUACCAGCAAAUUCAAAAUAGUCGGGAGGUGGACGUCCAGCAUAUCUCCUUCUCUCUGUAGCACCCAGAUGCAUUGUUAUUUGCUCCAAGAAAUGUUAAAAGGAUUGGCCCUAUCUCAAUGUGGUUAGUGGCAAGGGCGGAGACAGCAUAUUAAUUGACUGUGGGCUUACUCAACUGCGAUAAAAAAAAUUUAAAAAAUAAUAAAUAAUAAAUUUAAAAGAUUUAUCAUACUUCAAUAUAUGUUUAUAAUUAUCCUUUACGAGUUUUCAUACAUUGAUAACGUUGUAUUACAACUUCAUUAUCAAUAUUAUUGUGGGCUGUUUAAAAAUUUGAUUAAUAUUAAUAUUUAUAGGCUUGAUUUUAUUUUGUAAAGCCCAUCUCUUUUUAUUUGUUUUAAAAACUUAGAGUGUGAGAAUUUAAGUAUAAUUAUGUAUUAGGAACUUGAAUAUAAAUUAGUGGGGGCUUAGGAAAAAUUUAUUAGAAAUUUUUGGCAAAUCAAAUUAGUUAGUAAAAGAUUUUUUUUUUUUUUUUCAGUGGGGACUUAAGUCCCCACUGGUCCCAAGCUAGAUCCGCCACUGGUUAGUGGUGAAAAAUUAAACACCAUGGAAGGAUUUGCAAGGAAUAUGCCAAGAAACUGGCUAAGUUCCACAAAUAUGGCAUUAUUGCUCUUUUUUUUUUAAAGAAAAAUUAUACACGUUAAUUUAGCAAAAAGUCUAAGACACGUGCCUUUUGAAAAGAAUAGCUAUUACCAUGACACAAUCGAUGCGGCUGAAACCAAAAUUUUCUUUUCUUAAUGUAAAGUUUUUUUUUUAAAUAGAUUUUAAUAUCAAAAUGCCCUUCGAUGUUAUUACUCUCACAAGCCCUGUAACAGGAGUAAUAAAAAAGUUUAGAAUUUUUGGGCAUGAAAAAAGUAGUAUUAAACAUCAGCAAGCAAAGGUUGUUCUGUUAAAGAAUUGAUAUUGACGUGAUUUUAUUUUGGUUAUCGAGAAAAAAAUAUAUUUGUUGACAAGUAAGAAAAUAUUAUUAUAUUUUACAAUCUAUUAUACAUAUUUUAUUAUAUUAAAUAAUACUAAAUAGAAACAUAAAAUUAGAAUAAAAUAAAUUAAAAUUAAAAUUAAAAUUAUUUUGAAUAUUAUGUAAAAAAUAAUGUUAAUAUCAUUGUUACUUGUAAAAUAUAUUUAGCCUAAAGAUUUAUUUAAAAUUUUAUAAUGAAUAAAAAUAUAAAAAUAAAUUAAAUAUCAUAGUUUAAAAUCUUAAUAUUAUUUUAAAUAUUAAAAAUACUUUAAUGUAUCUUAAUAUUAUUUUAAAUAUUAAAAAUACGUUAAUGUUAUUAUUCUACUACACAUGUUAUAUUAUUUAUAUUAUAUUUGUAUUAAUUAAAAAUUUUAAAGUCAACUUUCUAGUAACUAUAUUCAAAGGUAUUAUGGUUAAAUAAAGGUCUUAGUGUUUCUUUUUCAAAAUUUGAGGGUCUACAUGAUAAUUUUUCCAAACCCUAAGGUAUAGGAGUCCUUUUUGUCAAUAAUUUAUUUCACUUUUGAGAGAAUACGAUGAGAAAUAAGAUCAGAGAAAUGUCAAUUUAAUGUUCUCUAGCUUAAUGAAAAAAAAAUGGAAACCAAGAACUAUUCAAUUUUGUAUUUUUUGUUUGUAAUUCAAAAAAUCCAUCCGCCAAACAAGAUUCACGCAUUUAUGUUGUCAUAAAAUGAAAAAACAGUUUGUGAAAAAAUGGCACCAAACAUACCCUUAAUGUCCCACAUGAUUUCUUAUGAAGCCCAUAUUAGAUAUAUUUAUACAUUUUACUGCAUUUAGGACAUGUUUGAUAGCCUGCAUUAUAUAGGAUAAAAACAUAAUUUUGUAUUAAAUUAAUGCACACUCACGUUUGGCGCUAAAAGUAACUCCAGCCGCAUUGCAUUAAUGGGCUGCUACUGCGGCAAUUGCCGCACUAGCUUGCCUCUUUUUCUUUUUAAUUUUAUUUAUAAUAAUAAUAAUAAUAAUAAUAAUAAUAACAUAAUAUAACUUUUAUUUUAAUAUAAUAUUAAGUAUAAUUUUUAUUUUUACAUUAUAAUUAUUGAUAUAAAUUAAUAAAUUUAUUAUUUAUUAUUCAAUAAUAUUAUAUUAUUAUUUUUUUAUUUUUACAUUAUAAUUUAUUAGUAAAUUUAUAAUUUAAUAUAAUUAAUGAUAAUAGAAAAUAUCAUUACAUGUACUACAAAACUCUUACUUGGAUUAUUUAACACAAUUUAUUUUAUUCGUGAAUAUGUUAUAACAAUUGUAUCACUUUAUUGUUUUGUUAUUAUUUUGUGGUAUGUAUAAAUUUUUAUUCUAUUAUUCAAAGAUGACUUUUGAACUAAUCUUAUAGGUUUUAACUAUUUAUUUAUGUUGUUAUAUUAUUAGAGAUUAUUUGAUUAAAUUAUUUGCUUCGAUCUUUAUUUUACAGGUCAUAUAUUUAGAAAUUACUGAAAAAUAAAUGUUCUACUUCCAAAAAAUUUAAGGCUAUAAGCUCGAUCUUUAUGAAUAAUUGUGAUAUUUUUUAACAUUUACACUAAAAAAAUUGUUAAAUUUCUAAAAUUUAAGACUUCUAUAUUUAGUAUUUUUCCAAUUACUAAUAAGUAUUAUUUUCUAAAUAUAUAAUUUAAAUUAAUCACAAAAAAUUAAUACAGUACAGUGCAAUAUCAAAUAUAAUAUAAUUAAAAAUUAUACAGUACAAUGUAGCACCAAAUAUUGUACAAUAUUAUUAUAAAAUAGUACUGAUGCAAUACAAUAUAAUACAAUAUAGUGUGCCAAACGCACCCUUAGAGUGUGUUUGGAACAUGGGAUUAUAGGGUAUUAAAACACUGUUCACAUUAGCUUAAUACCAAUAUCAUGUUUGGAAAGAAAUUUUAAGGGAUUAAAGGGGGGUGAGCUAAUGCCAUAACUGCGCCAUUAGUGUCUUGGUUUUUUUUUAAAUAAUAAUAAAAAAUAUAAAUUCCUAAUUUUAUGUAAUAUUAUAUAAUAUUAAUUUUUAUUUUCUUUGAUCUUUACAUUAUAGUAAUUAAUAUAAGUUAAUAAAUUUAUAAUUUAUUAUUCAUAUUUUAAUUUUUAUUAUAUUAAAAAUAUAACUAAAUAAUUUAAUUUUAAUUAUAUAAUAAUUAAUGUAUAAAAUUGAUUAAUAUUUAAUAAGUUAAUACAACUAGUAAUAAGUGCUUAAAUAAUAUAUAAAAAUAAAAAUAUAACAUAAUAUUACAUUAUUUAAUUAUAUUACAAUAACUAAUAUAUAAAAAUUGAUUAUUAUUUAACAAUUUAAUAUAGCUAAUAAUAGAUACUUAAAUAAUAAUUUAAUAUAACUAAUAAUGAAUAUUGAUAUAUGAAUAUAUUUAAAUAAUAUUAAUACCAAUAUAUAUAAUAAUAUAAAAUAUUAUUACAUGUACUGUAGUAUUCUUACUUGGAUUAUUUAGCGCAAUUUAUUUUAUUAGUGAAUAUGUUACAACUAUUGUAUCACUUUAUUAUUUAAAUUAAUCAAAAAAAUUAAUACAGUACAAGAUAGCACUAAACAUUGUAUAACAUUAUUAAAAUACAGUGUUAAUGCAAUACAAUAUAAGACAAUACAUCUAUAUUAAAAUAAAAUAAAAUAAUUUAAUUUAAUAUAAUACAGUAUGUCAAACGCACCUCGUAUAUUUUAAUUUCAAAAGAAGUUGGUCCUUCCGUUAUUUAUAAAAGAUAACUUUAUUUUCAGAUUACCACUAAACUCUGAAGUAGAAUUGGUGUAAUGUUAAGAGAGAGUAACACAGUUUUCCAUUACCAUCUUUGAAAAUAGAAAGAUAUGGAUCAGUGUAUUUAAGAGUUAUCGUGAAAAUCAUACAGUUCAAUUCCCUGACACAUAUAUUUAUGAGCAUAUGCCAAAAGAAUAAAUAGAUAGAAAGUAAAUUUACAAUCCUCACUUCCUCACAAUUGUUAAAAUGAAGAUGCAUUACAACUGUGAACUGUCACUAUUUUAGCCUUUUUUAUUUUUUACUUUUAGUUAUAGUGCGAUGGAGACAGUGAACAUCAAGGAUGAGAAUAAAAGUUAAAGAUGACCCACCCACUUUCUUUUUAAAGUGCUCUGCUCAAAGACAAACUUCCUCUGGCUAAUUAAUUUAGAUGUGAAGAGAGAAUAAAGUCCUAGAUGCCUUCUGAAAUUAGAAAUACAUUUUAUAUGCUUUAAUUAUGAUUAUUUGGUAGACUAUAGACCUAAAAGACAUGUUAGAUUAUAAAACAGUGCGAUUAAAAAAAAAAGAGUAUUUGUGACGUCAAAUAACAAUUGGUAACUAAAAUCCAAAAUAUUUGAGUUGUUAAAAGCAAAUAAAAAAAAAGAAGGUAAGAGUGAUGCAGAAACACAAUAUUAGCUUAUCUUGAUUUUCCCACUUUAUUCAUUCUCGAUGCUUUUCAAAACAAAUUCUUCUAAUCUUUCUGGUGUCUGCAGCCCCUUGUCACGGGACGAGAGGUUUCGAGCCCGUGCGGUACUCUCGCAUCCCAUACUGCGAGAGUAAACCUAGUGGAAGUGGCACAAUAUCGACUGGUUUCACCCUGUCUUGGGCUCAUCAGGAGAACGGCUCCAGUUCCCAACCAGUGUGUGAAGAGCUUCGCCUAAACCCCUCUUCAACGUUAAGUCCUUGACUAGCGACAAGCUCCCCAAACUCAACCAGGUUGGCCUGCCUGAACUCCAAGAAAUCUAGGAUCAUUGUAUUCCCCACACGACGCCCCUGAAGCACGUCUCCUACAAUCAGCACAACCCUUAUCGAUACCAGCGUACAAACGCAUAUCUUCGGCGUCACAAUUGCAGUCCGUGACACCCUGCUCUUGUUAUAAAACUCCACCCCAAAUCUACACUACAAACAAGUUGAUUGAAAUUAAACAAUUGCUUUUUGAAGUGGACCCAUUGAGUCGUGGUCAUUACUCGUCAUUGUCUAUUUUUUCUAUGAGCCAUUUAUUUUGAGCAAUAGUGAGCUUCUCUGAACUACUCCAAUUAUUGAUGUAACUCCAGUGGCUGCAUCCAUAGUUGAAUAUAUGACAGUAUUAGCUCUUAUUUGAGAAUAUAGGGGGAUCUUUCUUUGUUUCUUUGUUGCAGUGUUCUAGUUUAUAGUCUUGCUGUUAAUGAAUUCACUGAGGCAUUAUUAAUUUAAUUUCAGUGAAGUAAUUAUGGAUGAAAAAUAAAUAAAGGAUAACAGAAUAGAGCUGAAGUGCUGAAUCGGCUAUUAAAGAAAGUGUCACGUGAUCACAAUCACACUGAUGCACAACUCUCUCUAUGUACUCCAAAUUCAGCCAAACCAUACAUGCCUCAACAAAAUUAAACCGUAGUUCUCAUCACUACAGUAAAUGAAGCCCACAAAGACAGCUGAAAUGGAAAAUAUUGACUAUUGAAUGGAUCAAUGCUGAAUUACACUUGAAAUGGGAAGCUUGGCUGCGGUUACGAUGUUUCCCCCUCUGAUUUUUCUCCAAAACAAAUUCCGUUGUAAAUAAUAUUCAAUGUAGCAACACUUUAUUCAGCAAAGAAAAUACCUAAUUUUUCAACUAACAAAUUCUCUUGUCUAAACUAAAAAAACUCACAUCUCUCCAAUCUAUCUACAAAAUAUUGGAGAUGAGAGGUGAUUUGUCAACUCGAUAAAUAAAUUCAUGCAUAAUGUUACCAAUAAUGAUAAAUUACUUAAUAAUUCUUAUAAAGAAUCAUAAAUAAGGAACAUUAACCAUUUUACAGUCUAUUACAUAAGUAAGAUUAAUCUUAUAAUAAGUUAACUUAUAACGUAAUAAAUAUUUCAAUUCAUAAUUAUUUAAGAAGUCACUUAACAAUAAAAUAUUUUUUUAUUUAAUUGAUCAUGUCAUAUAACGUUAUCUAAACUCCUGACGAUAUUAUUAUUACUCACUUUUCUCAAAAAAACAUGACUAACGUUUAGAGAAAAGUCAUGCCUUUUAGAUAGAUAGAAUAUGAUUACAAGCUAUCCAUACUUUAUCUUACCAUGACAAAAUUGAUGGUGAUUAAAUCUAUUUUUAAAAUAGAUUUAAUGCACAAACAUGAUGACUUUUGCCAAAAAUUAGUUUCAGAAGAUAACUAAAUUAAGUUGCAAAGGAGCUUACUUCAAUUUCUAAGCUUUUCAAUCAUGAUUCCUCCAUGCCUUCCUCUGAUACCAUUUUGUUACGUGCCAACGUAAUUGACCUUGUAAUUGGUUUGUAUAAGGAAUGAAGCCCUUUCAAGAUCGUUUCUUUUGUGUCCAUAUUGUAGUAGACUAGUAGUCAAGUAAAUAAAGAGUGAAUAACUGAAUUUGGUCUAUUUCGAAGAAGACUAUGGCCUCCACACUACAAGAAAAUAGGCGAUAGAUAACGGGAAAUAACCGUCAUAAAAGGUGGUGUAUGACAGACAGUUUAUUCGUCAUCUAUGUCACUGUCAUUAAUUUAUGACAGAAUAUUUUCCGUCAUGAAUUCUUGAUGUUAUUUUACAAUCAUAUAUCCAUCACACAAUAUUUUAAUGAGAAAAAAUAAUUAAAUAAAAUUUGAAUUUAUUAAAAUUUUUGCUCUAUUUUUUAAUUUUUUGGCGGAAAAUUAAAUUGUCAUUUGUAAAUUUCUUAUUCAAUUUUGGUGGAAAAUUUUUUUAUGACAGACUUUAUGAUGUGUAUUUCCCAUCAUAAAGUUAAUUUUUUUAAAUUAUAUUGUGAUUAUAGUUUAUUUCUGAAUUCCUGUUUACAAAUUUAAUUAAUUAAUAAAAAAUGAAUAUUGUCAAAAAAUAAAAAAAUAAUAGUAACUAAAAUCCAUUCAAUCCAACAAAUUAAUUUCAAAAUAAAUACAUCUAAUAUUCAAUGUCAUUACCACUAAUACAUAAUAAAACAUCCCAAAUUAAAAAAAAGAAUGUCAAAAUAUAAAACAAUAGUUAAAUUCCAAUUAAAUUCCAAGAAAUGUAAUUCAAAUUCCGGACACCGAGCCAAGCUCCCCAGCAAAACUUCCAAAGAUUAAUGGAAAUAUUCCAAUAGCAAGACUUCCAGAAGCAAUACCCUCUUCCAGUGGCAAUACAUUGACUAAUCUUUGAAGCCAUGACUCCUCAAGCCAAUGCCAAAAAUGUGUGCAAAAUUAAUGCUCUAUCCACAAAAAUUUCAGUCUAUAUUGGUAAGAAGAAACAUGAAGAAACAAUUACCUCAGCAUCAUCGUCAUUGGAAGCCAAAUCAGCUGUAAAGACCACAAAAUGUUUGGUUAGAACUAGUGGAAGUCUUACUCUAAAACUUUUAAUUUUUGAAUUUCGAAAGAUCUAGUAAUGACAAAGAUUCUCAUAUCCAGUGACCAAGUUUUGAAAAUUAGAAUACGGAAUAACGUCAACUAAAUUCACUAAUAUAGGGUGCAUUUGAGAUUGAGGUUGGACAGCUGUAGCUUAAAAGCUACAGUAGUAAAGUGUUUGGUAAACACUAGUUGCUGUAAUUUAAAAACUAUGUUGAUAUGAUUUUUCACUUGUAUAAUGGAGAAUCUAUUUUUUUAAAUAAUUAUGUCAAAAUUAUUAUUUAAAAUUUAUAUUUACUACAUAUUAUUAAUUUUUGUUUCAUAGUCACAGUUUUUUUUCCACAGCAGUUGUAAAGCUACAUCACCUCAAUCCCAAACGCACCCUAAGCUAGAGGAAUCCCUAGUUGAUAUAGCACACAUGCACACAUGAUAUGCAUGCAUCAGAAUACACAAUAAUAAAUUAUCUCAAAGUCAAUAAGAAGCCAAAACUAGAGAUAAACCUUUAGCCACUAUAAGGAAGACUGAUAUUUGCAGUGUGAUUACAAUAAACAAACAGAAACUUCACUACCCAUAAGUAAAGCAAAAUAAAUAAAGGAUAAUAACUAACCAAGAAAUGGAAAAGCUCACAUUCUCUGAACACGCACCCCAAAAAGAAAGAAAGAAAUAAAUGUUCCCAUUGGAUCUGAAGCACAAGCAAUCCACUGACAUCCUUCUAUAAUUAGGUAAUUUAAAGGGGUUAAGCUCACAUCUUUUACGGAAGCAACAAGAGAAUUAACAACAUUCCAGAGGAUUUAGGGAAAAACCACGAGGCAAGAAAAAAGAAAGAUCCUUCUUCAAUCUAGAUAUCUUGACACUGCUCACCAUCUACAGCAGUCUGGGGCUUAAAAAGCAUGAUCUCUCCCCCCCUCUGGCACCAUUUUCUCUCAUGUGAAUCUGUCAUUGCCCGUAGAAACAAACCAGAACUGCAUAAAUUCUCUUAUCUUCCAGCAGCUUCUUUUCUCCAGAAAUAGGCACAACUAUUUGACAUGGAAACAAUUUAUCUAACAUGGCCACCUUUAAAGACAAAGACAUACUAAGGACAUGGUUUUAGAUACGGAUACAAGAAACAAUCACAAAAUGUAAAAUCUAUACAUAUGAUAUUAAUUUCCAAUGGAUACAGCACUUCAUUCUUUGACUUAACUUCAUUAGAUUACUAGGUUUGAUUAGGUUAUACACACAUUUAUUCAUUUAUGGUUUUCAACCUAUAAUCUACAUGCACUUAGAAUGAGAGGUACCUAUAAAAACAAGUUACCAGAAAACAAUACAGCUAGAAAACAUUAAAACAUUAAUCUAAGCAGUUCUAUAGGUUUAACUAACUGCAGGAAAAAACCGUUGAUUUUGUCCGUCGGAUUAUUGAGAUCCUAAUUCUGGUAAAAAGAAAAUGAGAUAAUAGAAAAUCAAAAAUUAAAUAGACACAAAAUGAGAAAUCAAGAUCAUACGGCAACUAAUAUAUAGCAUGGGCUGCAGCUAACAAGCAAUAUAAGCCAUGAUAUUAUGCCAGAUACAAAAUUUUGAGAUCCAAGAGAGAUCAAGAAGCAUGAAUAUUGAAAGAAGUGAGUGCAGAAGGAUAAGAAAUCAGGUUGAUAUUCUUCAUACUUUGGGUCAACACGUAGUGAUGCAAUAAACUUGUAAUUAGCUUCAAGUGUAUAGGCUACCAUGUCAACAUUUCCGAAAACACACAAGAUUGUGCUGGAUUCAUAUAUAGUACAUAUAUAAAAAAACAAUCUGCUUCUAAACUUCAUGAGAACAUCGAAUAAUGAACUUACAAUUUGAUCCCUCAUCAUCUUCAUCGCACCAUUUGUUCCAAUCAACCUUAAUGUAAGGUGCUGGUUUCUCUUCUGACUUGAGUAGCCUUUUCCACCAACCUUUCUCUUCUUUUUGCACCGAGCAUAUUAUGUUCCUUAAGCCAACUUUAGUCUUACAUUUCUGCACCACCAGCAACAAAAUUCAAAGCAUUACAAAAGAGGUAUAUUUAGCCGCUCUUGACUCGAGUGAGAGAACAGGAUAAACAGCCUAGGUAUAUCCACAUCCAUGUUAUGAGAUUAAUUAUGCAACAACUAACUUUAAUAUAAAGUUUGUGCUCCAACAAAGACUAAAAUGUUUGUAAUUGUUAUGCUUCCGGAGCUAAAAUGUUUCGCAAACACUCACUUUUACUCUGCAGCUAAUAUCUAGCACCCAGCCACACAAAGUCCGUAGUCUUUGUCUCAACUUUGUCUGAGGCCAAUGUAAAUCCAAUUUGCACAAGCUCUCUAUGCACCACAGCUCUUCUGGAAGCUUUCUCAAGUACGCACAAGGGUUGACAAUUAAGCUUUCAAGUUUUGGUAUUGCUCCAGCCCCCAUCGUCCACUCAUCUAGCCAAUACAUUGAUUUCAGGCGCAAAACCUUAAGUUCCGGAAAGCCACCCGAGCAAGCACAGGCCAGCUUUCUUCCUAAAUACAAGCUCUGCUUCAGUUUCAGCACUUGAAGGCGUGGAAGCUUUUUGAUAAGGAAAGGGAGCCACGGAGGUCAACAAAGGUUCAUAAGCCUAACUACAGAUACGAGGGCUUUGUUUGAACAUUCGUAAGUCUCAUGCAGCCAUGCAUGCGGUCAUGCAUGUUGCAUGCAAUACCAUGCAAGACUUAUUUACGCAUGGAUUAAAGAGUAGUCUGUUUCUAGUUUUUUAUUUAAGAUUGCUCAGUUAUUUAAAUUGAUUUUAGCCGUGAAUUGUGGCUACAAAUCCUUAGUAGUGUUUGUAUUAACUACUAUAAAUAAGCUCCAGCAAUUAAUAAAAGGAUUAUGCAAAAAAUUAUCUCAAAGUACUAUUCUUGGUCGUUUUCACCGUAAGUAGAACAACGUAAACUUAGCUAUUGUUGAACGUUUUUGAUUGGGACCUAUCACUUUUCCAGCCUUGGCAUGGGAUCCUCCAUUAGCUCAGUAUUUGAUAAGCUCAGUUGGGUCAGACUUGGAGGAAAUUGGUAUUCAGACAGGACCGUCCGUGAGAGCUUGCUUUCAUUCACCAGCUUCAAGCAUUCAAGUUUCUCUAGUUCGCAUAGGCUUUUGGAAAUCCCAGAUUGAUAGUAACUCAAAUCUCCAGACACUCUAAGAGUUUGAAGAUUAGGUAGUCUGCCCAAUAUAGCUGGAGUGCAACUACUAGGGUGUAAGGCUGAUAUGAAAAUGAGAUUUUUCAGAGAGCUGGAAUAAUUUUUUGGAGGCGCAGGCAGAGUGAUGCAACCGAAGUUUAAAUGCACGAGUUUUCGCAUCAUCCAAAUAUCCUCUGGUGAAUGAUCUAUGUAGCUUGAUGGCAUUUCUAGUGUUUGAAGGUUUAAAAGAGUGCAUAGCAGUGAAGGAAGGCAUUUGAGCGAGGGGAUAUUCAAUUUCAAAUACUUCAAAUGGAAAAAGUUUCUAAUCCGGGCGGAUAUUGGUCGAGAAUUGCAGAACCCAAGUUCAAUACCCCAAGGUGUUUGAACGUUUGACGAAAAUUCUCGCAAUCUAUCAGAGCGAGAUGAUCGCUUUCUGAACUGUGAUUCAGAAAAGAUUGGAGAUAGAUGUCAGGAUGUUCUAAAGAUAAAAACUGAAUCAGAUGUUCCAAAAUGAAGCACCGUUUAACAUUUGCCAGUGGUUCCUUUUCCCUUUCAUGCAUGCAGACAAAUUCCGUCUGCGCUGCCACCAAAAACAAUGGAGUACAUAAAAAACUUGGAACAUAACACGCUUUAAUUGUGCCUCCGGCUCUUCUCUUACUCACUUGAAUGAAGCCGCAAUAGAUUAGUUCUUUCAAAUAAUGCUCGGCAGUUUCUUCACUGUUGUAUGGUAUGAAACCUUCAGCUACCCACAAAUGAUAUAAUUGCCUCGUAGAUAUUUCAAUACUUGGACGAAAGACACACAAAUAGAUGCAGCAGACUUUCAAGUGAAAAGGUAACUCCAUCAAAGAAUAACUGUGUCUCUAAAUUGUCGGAAUCGCUACGCCUUGAACAUAAUUUUCUAAUGGCAUACUUCCAUAGUGUAGGAUGAAAAAUUGCCAGGCUUUAUGCUUUAAUCUGAUCAAUGGUCCUCCACUGAGCACUGAAUCAAACCGAAUCAUCUCUCCGUUUUCCAUGUCCAACAGCGUAAGGGGGCAUGGAUCAGUGACCAAUAUCAAUACUCUGCUUCCAUUCUGAUUGUCAGGAAGAACUUGUUCAAGAUCAUCCAAUACAUCGUCACUCUCUUCACAGUAAUCAUCAAGCACAAUAAAGUACUUCUUGUUUGUUAGGAAAUCUCGAAGAAUAGAUUUCUUCAAUUGAUAAUGUUCACCGAUAAUUACACUAACCCGAGAUGGAGGCAUCACAGACUUGAUUAUGUCAUCCAAUAUCUUGCCAAAAUCGUAGAGUACAGAAAUCCUGACCCAAGCAAGGCAGUCAGAGAAUUGCAACCACUGCAAGCCGAGGAUGUCCUUCAAUCAAUAAAUCAAACAACUCCUCUCUACCACUUUCAAAUUCGUUGAUAUCAAGCCGAGGUUUUCCCUCAAUCAAUAAGUGAAUGAGUUUGUCCCUUUGUUCAGUGAUUACGAAACCAUUGUCGCCGGGUGGAAGUUGUUGCAUCCGAUUUCUAAUAUCAAUAAUUUUACUGUGGAGUCCAACAAGAAGAGCCAUAUUAGUACUGCUUUCACUUUCUUCUUCACUGUUUUGCUGCUGCAUGAUGUUGAUGAAGAAUGUGUCAAUGGCUUCCUCAGAUUCAUGGACAAAGUCAUUGAUGUCCUUCACAAUUUCCAGAAUGUCUGAUCUUUUAACGUCUUCAUCGCUUUCUUGUAAAAAAGCCAAAUAUAUUUCGGAUUCAUCGAAUUCUCCUCUAAUGAGUUGAAACAAAAGCCGAGCCAUGUCAGCUUCAUAGUUUCCCACCAGAGUAGUAGCAAUGAUUUCUGACUCCGUAAGAAGGUUCUGAAAAAGUGGAGUCAAAUUUGUUCAAUCAGGCAACGUUAACGCGCCUUCUUCACCUGCUAGCACCCUUUUCAACCUCUCACAAAAUAGUCGGAGGUUCACGUCCACCAUAUCUCCUUCCCUCCGUAGCACUCAGAGAAGAUUGGUCCUAUCUCAAAGUGGUUAGUGCUGUAAAAUUAAACACCAUGGAAGAAUUUGAAAGGAAUAUGCCAAGAAACUGGCCAAGUGGCUAAAUUCCACAAAUAUGACAUUAUUGCUCAUUUUCUCUCAGACACGUGAUACACGUUGAUUUAGAGGAAAGUUCAAGAAUUUUGCUUUAAAAAAAAAAAUUGAUGGUGCUUAAAUUAUUAUUUUUUUAAUUUAAAGAGUUUUGCUUUUAAAAAAAAAUUAAUAUCAAAAUGCCUUCAAUGUUAUUACUGCCACAAGCCCAGUAACAAAACUCAUUAAAAAUUUUAGAAUUUCUGGCCAUGGAAAGAGUAGUAUUAAACAUCAGAAAGCAAAGGUUGUUCCGUUAAAGAAUUGAUGUUGACAUAAUUUUAUUUUGGUUUUCGGGAAAAAAAAAAUAUUUGUUGGCAAGCAAAGAAAAUAAUUUUAUACUUUACAAUCUGCUAUACAUAUUUUAUCAUAUUAAAGUAAUUUUAAUAUCUAUCAAAAAAAUAAAUUUAAUAAUAAUUGGAACAUAAUAUUACAAUAAAUAAAUUAAAAUUAUUUUAAAUAUUAGGAAAAAAAUAUUAUUAAUAGGAAGAUAUUUUGUUAAUUGUAAAAUCCUUUUAUUCCAAAUAUUUUAUUUAAAUUUUUUAUAAUAAAUAAAAAUAUAAAAUUAAAAUAAAUAUCAUAAUUUAAAUUUUUUAUAUUAAAAAUAUUUUAAUGUUAUUAGUCUACUACAUAAAUUAUAUUAUUUAUAUUAUAUUCGUAUUGAUUAAAAUCUUUUAAAGUUAAUUUUAUAGUUACUAUAUCCACAGGGUAUUAUAUUAUAUUUAAGAGUAAUUUUUUCAAAUUUUAGGAUUGCAGAUGUCCUUCUUCCGAUAAUUUAUUUCACUUUUGAGAGAAUCCAAUGAGAAAUAUGAUAAGAGAUGGUCAGUUUAAUGUUCUCUGCCUUUAUGGAAAAAAAGUAAAAAGUAAAAACUAUUCAAUUUUGUACUUUUUGUGUCCACCAAAUAAAUUUUACACAUUUAUGUUGUCAUAAAACGAAAAAAAAGGGUUUGCCAAAAAAUGGUACCAAGCAUACCUUUAAUGUCCCACGUGAUUUCUUAUUAAGCCCAUAUUAUAUAUAUUUAUACAUUUUAUUGCAUUAAACAUUUUUAUUAUAAAAGAAGUUGGUCCUUCCCCUAGUGAUAAAAGAUAAAUAUGAUAAUGUUUGAGAUGGGUUUAGUCUUUUAUAUUUGCUGAGUCCAGUGGGUUAAAGAAUUAGAGUAAAGCAUCUGGGCAUUCUUUCAUGCAAAACUAAAAAUCCUGAAAAUAGUUGGCUUUAACUGAUUAAGACAAGCUUGGUCGAAUUGAGUUGAACUUCAUAUAUAAAAGCCAAAUAUAUUGCGGAUUCAUCGAAUUCUUCUCUAAUGAGUUGAAACAAAAGCCGAGCCAUGUCAGCUUCAUAGUUUCCCACCAGAGUAGUAGCAAUGAUUUCUGACUCCGUAAGAAGGUUUUGAAAAAGUGGAGUCAAAUUUGUUAAAUCAGGCAACGUUAACGCGCCUUCUUCACCUGCUAACACCCUUUUCAACCUCUCACAAAAUAGUCGGAGGUUCACGUCCAGCAUAUCUCCUUCUCUCCGAGAAACUGUGUAAGUGGCUAAAUUCCAGAAAUAUGACAUUAUUGCUAUUUUUUUAACUCAAAAAAAUGGUACGCGUUCAUUUAGAGAAAAGUUCAAGACGCGCGCCUUUUGAAAAAUGGUACCCGUUCAUGUAGAGAAAAGAACAGGUAUCCCAAUCGGUAUCCAACCUUUAUCUUCUUUAAUUACCACCACGACAUGAUUUUUUUUUUUUUUUUUUGAUGACAUGAGACUAUUGCUUAAAUUACAACUCAAAUUACAACUCAUAUUACAUGAGAGUAUAAUUGAUAUGUACAAUCAUAUAUACAUACUGAGAUCUAUUGACAUUAAUGCUGAUAUGACACUGCUCAGAUUUUUGUAACCCUCUCAAAUAUUCGAGGGACGUCAAACUCCUAUCCUGGGAGAAAGACUGCCUUCACUCGAGCUCUGUGGCUCCAAGGAAGGAAAUAUAAAUUAAACCUCUACAAUGCGACUGCGGAGGCUCGAACCCCUUCCCUCACAUAUGUGAGGGAGUGGCUCUAGCCACUUGGGCUAGCCCAAGUGGUUCCACGACAUGAUUGAUGGUGCUUAAAUCAAUUGUUUCUUUUUUAAUUUAAAGAAAUUUUCAUUAAAAAAAUAUUUUAAUAUCAAAUACCCUUCAAUGGCAUAACUGCCGCAAUCCCAGAAACAGGAUUAAAUAUUUUUUUUUUUUUGAAUUUUUGGGCAUGGAAAGAGCAGUAUUAAAAAUCAGAAAGCUAAGGUCGUUCUGUUAAAGAAUUGAUAUUGACAUAAUUUUUUUUUGGUUUUCGGGGGAAAAAAAAAAUUGUUGACAAGCAAGAAAAUAUUUUUAUAUUUUACAAUUUAUUAUACAUAUUUUUUUUUUUUGGAUCAAUAAUGGGCUCUAAAAGAGCUAAAGCACCAGUAAACGGGAGUGGGCAACCCCAGACACAUCGUUAUGAAGAAUACUCUGUAAAUUAGGAGGAGCAACAGUAAGUAACUGCAAUCCUAAAGGACAAGACAAAUUAAAUGAGGCCAGAAAAUCUGCUGCUAUGUUUGCUUCUCGAUAGAUGUGGUUCACUUUCACGACCCAGUCCCUGCUGAUCAGCUCACGAAUGGCAAGGAUAAGAGAAUGAUGCUCAUUAACAGGAGUGGUCGGAUUCUCCAAGAUUUGAGAUUUAUUAUACAUAUUUUAUCUUAUUAAAGUAAUUUUAAUAAUAAAUAGAAACAUAAUAUUACCAUAAAUAAAUUAAAGUUUAACUUAUUUUGAAUAUUAUAAAAAAUAAUUUUAAUAUUAUUAAUAGGAGGACAUUGUAUUAAUUUUAAAAUUUUUUAACCCAAAGGUUUAUUUAAAAUCUUUAUUAUAAAUACAAAUAUAAAAUUAAAUAUAAUAAUUUAAAAUUUUUAAUAUUAUUUUAAAUAUUAAAAAUAUUUUAAUGUUAUUAGUCUACUACAUAGAUCAUAUUACUUAUAUAAUAUUUGUAUUAUUAAAAAUUCUUAAAAUCAAAUUUUUAGUUAGUAUAUUUAUGAGGUAUUAUGGUUAAAAAAAAAACCUUAUUAUUACUUUUUAAAACAUUGAGGGCCUGCGUGAUAAUUUUUUCAAAAAGAAAAUGCUUGGUAUCUAGGAGGGUUAGAGAAACAGGACUACCAAAAUCUCUCACCCUUUUUUAAUUAAAAAAAAUUAAAAUAUCAAUAAAAAAAAUAAAGAAAAUAGAAUUUUAUCUGCUCCUUACUCCAUUUUUGUAACUCUCUCACCAUCUCUGUCGAGCAGCCCUCUCUUUCACUGUCUCUCACUAUUUCACAAUCUCUCUCUCACUCACACAGUCCUUUAGAAAAGCCCAAAAUAGGCCCAAUAAGCCCAUAAUUAAAAUAAUCGAAUCGAAUUAUUUCAAUUAAUCGAGUAUUUGAUUAUUUCGGUAAUUUGAUUAAUCGCGAUUAUGAUUUUAAAAUAAUCGUAAUCGAACGAUUAUGAAAAAUUUAGUAAAAAACCGAAUUGAACCGAACCGCACCCACCCCUACAUAAAAGAACAACAAUUACUUGUCAUUUUCAAUUUUUUCUAUAAGCUAUUUAUUUUGAGCAUUAGUGAUCUUGUCUGGACUACUCCAAUUAUUGACGUAACUCCAGUGGCUGCAUCCACUGGAAAAAGUGGAUGAGAACAUUUUUUUUUUUCAUAAAGGUAACUACUCCAAUUAUUGACAUAAUUGAUGGUGCUUAAAUCAAUUUUUUUUUUUAAUUUAAAGAAUUUUGCUUUAAAAAAUAAUUAAUAUCAAAAUGCCUUCAAUGUUGUUACCGCCACAAGCCCAGUUAGAGGACUCAUUAAAAAUUUUAGAAUUUUUAGGCCUGGAAAGCGUAGUAUUAAACAUCAGAAAGCAAAGGUUGUUAUGUCGAAGAAUUGAUGUCGACAAAAUUUUAUUUUAGUUUUCGGAAAAAAAAAAAAAUUUGUUGACAAGCAAGAAAAUAUUUUUUAUACUUUACAAUCUGCUAUACAUAUUUUAUCAUAUUAAAGUAAUUUUAAUAAUAUAUGGAAACAUAAUAUUAUAAUAAAUAAAUUAAAAUUACUUUGAAUUAUUGAAUAUUACAAAAAGAUAAUUUUAAUAUUAUUAAUAGGAAAACAUUUUUAAUUGUAAAAUCUUUUUAAUACAAAAAUUCAUUUAAAAUCUUUAUAAUAAAUACAAAUAUAAAAUUAAAAAAAUAUCAUAAUUUAAAUUUUUUAAAAUUAUUUAAAUAUUAAAAAUACUUUAAUAUUAUUAGUCUACUACAUAAAAUAUAUUAUUUAUAUUAUAUUCGUAUUGAUUAAAACGUUUUAAAGUCAAAUUUUUAAUUAGUGUAUUCAAAGAUACAAAAGAUUUUAGUAUUAUUUUUAAAAAAUUUCAGGAUAUGAAUGAUAAUUUUUUCAAAUUUUAAAGAUGUAAGAAUCUUUUUUUCUGAUAAUUUAUUUCACUUUUGAGAGAAUCCGAAAACGUUAAUUUAACAUUCUUUACCUUUGUGAAAAAAGUGAAAAUCAAGAACUAUUCAAUUUUGUUUUUAUUUGUAAUUCAAAAACUUUAUUCAUUUUCGAUGCUUUUCAAAAGAGACUCCUCUAAAUCCUUUUGGUGUCUGCAGCUCCUGCAAUUCUCAUAAAUCUCCAUCCCACAUCUACACUAUCAAACAAGUUGAUGGAAAUUCUUAUCAAAAAAAAAAAAAAAAACAAGUCGAUGGAAAUUGAUCAAUUACUUUUUGAAGUGGACCCAUUGAGUCAUGUUCAUUUCUGGUCAUUGUCUACUCUUUCCAUCAGCCAUUUAUUUUGACCAUUUGCGAUCUUAAAGGAUAUGAGAACGUAGCUGAAGUGCUGAAGGGGCUAUUAAAGAAGAGUGUCACUUGAUCACAAUCACAUUGAUGCACAACUCACUCGUGGCAAAUUUCGACUAUACGUUCUGCAAAUUCAGCCAAACCAUACAUGCAUGAACAAAACUAAAAUGUAGUUCUAAUCACAACUGCAGUUAUAAUGUUUACCCCUCUGAUUUUUCUCCAAAACAAAUUCAGUUCAAAACAAUAAUUAAAUAGCCACAUUUUGUUCGUCAAAAUAAAUGCCCAAAUUUUCAAUUAACAAAUCAUCUUCUCUAAACUAAAAAUCCCACAUCUCUAAAAUCAAUCUACAUAAUGUUGGAGAUGAGGGGUGAAUUGUUAACUCAGUAAAAAAAACUCAUGCAUAAUAUUACUAAUAAUAUAAAAUAUAUAUUAAUCAUUAUAAAGAAUCAUAAUUAGAAAAAUUAAUCAUUUUAUAAUUUAUUACACAAGUAAGAUAAAUCUCAUAAUAAGUUAUAACAUAAAAAAAACGUUAUCAAUAUAUAAUCAUUUAAGAAGUCAUUUAACAAUAAAAUCGUUCUUUAAUCAGUUGGUCAUGUCACAUAGUGUCAUCUAUAUUUACGGUGAUAAUAUUAUUACUCAGUAUUAUCAAAAAACAUGAUUUAACAUUUAGAGGAAAUUCUUGCCUUUUAAAAAAAACAUGUAUGCAACAACUACCCAUGCUUUAUCUUACCAUGACAAAUAUUUUCUCAAUGAAAGAAAAUUUUUUAAAAAUUGAUUUAAUGCACAAAUAUGAUGAUUUUUCCAAAAAUUAGUUUUGGAAAACAUAGUGAGAGAAAAUAGUGACGAUUAUUGUUUAGAUGUAUAAAUAGCCUAAACAUAAUCCUUAAUACCAAUAUCCUAAUGCAUCUUAUCAUCUUUCAUGAUAUUCUUUCAUUUAUGUCCAUUGGUUCAAGAUUUGAAUUUGAUCAUUAAAUCAUGUUCAAUAAUAUUAGAGAUUCUAACAAAUGAGUACCAACUUAAAUCCCAAUGUUAUGUGUCAUUGACCAAUUUUGUGUCAUUUUGUUAUUAACUAGGUGAUGAAUUUGUAGUUGAUAAAAUCACUUAAAAAUAUCUUAAAAAUCAAACAAUAGUUUGCUUAAUUUUUCCAAGUUAACUGCUCAAGAUGCUCUAUUAUAAAUAAUAACCUAAUUAUAUUCAUAAAAAAUGAUAUUUUUUUUGUGGUGUUGAUAAUGAGAUUAUCAUUCAACAUUUUAAAAUGUGAAAACAUAUGGAAGAUGGUUGUAAAUUGAUUGAAUGAAAACAUUUCAGUGAAGUCUCAAAAAUUUGGUACUUGUUGUCUUAUCGAAAGUUUUCUAAAUUAUAUUCGUGGCACAGCCACUAUCCAAACCAUACAAGUCCAAAGCUAUCCAAACCAUACCUGCAAGUCCGGGGCUUAAAUGGAGUACUUCUAAGCAAAAAAACAUUGACUAAAAUAGAAUAUAUACAUACAGACACACAUACAUACCAGCAUAUUCAAAAUAGCAAAAGGAGUGCAAAAGUUCAAGUUUGUAGACAACAUUGCAACCAUAGCAUGUUUAUAGCAAAUCCUCAAAAUCUGCUAAAUAAAACAAUGCCCUGUCUCAUGAAUCAAUGCUGAAUUAAAAUUGAAACUGAAAGUCUGGAUGGUUUUGUUUGUUGAGAAUGUCAAAUAAAACGGCAUUGAAGGAAGUUUUCAAAGGCAGAAUCCGCACUUGUCAAAGGGAUGAUCUGCACUUGUCAAAGACACUAUCCGCGCCGAACGGAUCGACACAUUUCCUUCCGUAUUCACAUAUGUAAUCUUUGAAAAAAUAUAGCUUCUGCAUCUAUAAAUAACGCUCAGUGUAUAAUGUUUUAUUCAAGAAAUAAAAACAAGUUUCUACAUGGUAUCAGAGCCAUGAAUGCGCUCAAGUUUCUUCAAGUUUCGCUGCUCUGUUUGUCACAAAAACAGAGGAAACCAAUUAAAUUCGUCCCACAACCAUUUUUUCCACCAUUUUCUUCCUUAAAAUCAUUCCUAACAUUACAGAAAUCCAUGCCGAUCAAAAAACAUGAAAGACAAAUUACACAUGUGCAGUAACCAAUGAUCAUAUUUCGUUACUGUCAAACACAAUGCAUCUGAGCAAAACAUUGGAAGCCAACACCAGAAUACAUAUGAAUAAACAAUUAAAGAUAGAGAAAAAAGGCUUAAACCUUGGGGGGAAAAAGUGAAAAAACAUGAAAGACAAAUUACACAUGUGCAGUAGCCAUCGAACUUAUCAGUGACAGCUGCAUCCAUUACAUUGCUCCAACAACACAAUGGCAAACCACCAGUUUCAAAUUGAGGAUAGCUAUCGAGAAUGAGAAAGUGUCCAAAACGUCAUAAAUAGACAUGUUCCGAUUGUGCAUAAUUUACAUUAUAGGCAAAUAUUCUUAUACCAUCAAAGGCAAAACAUGACACUAACAAUUGAUCACCCCCCCCCCCCCCCCCCCAACAACAAAAAAAAGGAAAAAAACAAUACAGAAAAGAUUGAAACAGAUAAGGCUACACUGAGCACAGGAUGCCAUGAAACAUAAUCCAGGAACCAAAUUAAUAAAAAAGGAAGCCAAACCAUUAUUUAACAAUCUGUUUUGUAUUUGGGAAAGUCUGAUAAAAUCUACUUGGGGAUAAUUAGAGAACCUCAACUAUUAAUCACACCUCAUAAAUGAACUAACAUUAAACAUCUACCAUCCCAACGUCACACAAACAUUCUCUACACUUCUGAACCUAAUACUUCCAUCUUCAAUUGGGGUUUUUUUUUCUUUUUCUUUGGGGGGGGGGGGGGGGGGGAUUGAAAUGCUGAUUUCGAAUCACUAACAGUAAAAUUGGAAGCUCAUGAAAAAAUAGUUUUAUCUCAAAAUUACAUCUCGAUAUAAAUUCUCUUUUCAUUUCCUUCAACUUUCUAAUUAAGCUUAAAAAAUGUACCUUCAACCACAAAGGGGUUUAAAAUUUAAAAUAUAAAAAAUAAAUUCAGAUAACAAUAAUUAAUUUAAUUAAAAAUAUAAAUAGAGUUACAGAGAAAGAGAAAAUAGAGAAAGACGUAAUGUUGAGUCCUUUGGCGCAAGUCUCUUCAUAGGUCCGAACCAUUUCUUCGGGCGUGGGUUUCGGGUCUUUAGGAUACUCCAUAGUGAUAAGCCAGUGAUUGUAAUCGCAACCCUCGAACAGAAUCGUGUCGGGUGUGAUCUCGUCGCCGUCCUUAUACAAGUGGUACGUCUUGUUAACCGACGGCGUAGACGAGAGGGAGAUCGUCGGGGACGAUCUGAACGGCCGAGAUUGGAUAAUGAUGGAGGAGGAGAAGAUUAGCGAUGACGACGCCGAUGAAAUGGAAGGGUUUACCAGAGGAGUGGAUGCGAAGAAUGCAGGGACGGCCGCAAAGAGAGAGCGGCGGAGAGCGGCGACGGACGGUAGUGACCAGCGGAGGCGGAAAAUGGCGGUAUGGGCCAUUGCUUGCGCGUCGGUGAGUGUCUCGAGUGAGAGAGUGAAGGGUUUUGGGAAAUGAAAAAUGCAAAUGUUUGAUUUUGUUGCUAGAAACUUCUUCUGCCGCUGCCUUUUAUUUUCGCUAUAAUAAUAAUAAUUUGUUAAUCAAAUAUUUUCUUAAAAAAGAUAAAUUUCUACAACAAAAUUUAUAUUAAAUCAAAUUGUAAAAAUGUCUAUUAGGGUUAAUUUCUCCUUAAUAUUAUUAUUAGUAGAUGUAGAUUUUCGAAUUAGUCUUGAUAUAUUUCAGAGUUGUAUUAUAAAUGUAUAUGUAUCUGGAUUGCAAUUAUAUUUUUAAAAAAUAUAAUUUUUUUAAUUAUUGCACAAUAAAUGUAAAUAGUAUCUAUAAAAUAAUAUUAUUAGGACUACGAAAAAAAUAUUAUUUUAGAGAAGUUAUUUAUUUAUUAUUGAAUGAAUAAAAAAAUUAGUUUGGCAUUUUUAUAACCUCCUUGAAGGUUUUACGAUAAACAUAAAUCUACUGAGAAAGUGGGAAAAAAAAAAGAAAAUGCAUAUAAAAGUAUGAGUUAUCAGAUAAGAUUAAAACUCACCCAAUUCAAUCCAUCAGAUUCCGUAAGGAUAUAACUGGAUGUCAUACCGCCACUCCAUAUCCUCGAAAGUCCGUAGUCCUUGUCUCAACUGUGUCUGAGGCCAGUGUAAGUCCAAUUUGCGCAAGCUCUUUAUGCACCACAGCUCUUCUGGAAGCUUUCUCAAGUAAGCACAUGGGUUGACAAUUAAGCUUUCAAGUUUCGGCAUUGCUCCAGCCCCCAUCGUCCACUCAUCUAGCCAAUACAUUGAUUUCAGGUGCAAAACCUUAAGUUCGGGAAAGCUACUCAAGCCAACACAAGCAAGCUUUCUUCCUAAAUACGAGUUCUGCUUCAGUUUCAGCACUCGAAGGCGUGGAAGAUUUUCCAGAAUUGGCAUGGGAUCCUCCAUUAGCUCAGUAUUUGAUAAGCUCAGUUGGAUCAGACUUGGGGGAAAUUGGUAUUCAGACAGGACCAUCCGUGAGGGCUUGCUCUCAUUCACCAGCUUCAAGCAUUCAAGUUUGUGGAGUUCGCAAAGGCUUUUGGAAACCCCAGAUUGAUAGUAACUCAAAUCUCCAGAUAUCCGAAGAGUCUGAACACUAGGUAGUCUGCCCAAUAUAUCAGGAGUACAACUGCUACGGUUUAAAGCUGAUAUGAAAAUGAGAUUUUUCAGAGAGCUAGAAUAAUUUUUUGGAGGUGCGGGCAGAGUGAUAGAACCAAAGUUUAGAUGCAUGAGUUUUUGCAUCAUCCAAAUAUCCUCUGGUGACUGAUCUAUGUAGCUAAAUGGCAUUUCUAGUGUUUCAAGGUUUAAAAGGGUGCAUAGCAGUGAAGGAAGACAUUUGAGCGAAGGGAUAUUCAAUUUCAAAUACUUCAAAAGAUAUAAAUUUUCUAAUCCGGGCGGAUAUUGGUCCAGGACUGCAGAACCCAUGUUCAAUACCCGAAGGUGUUUGAACUUUUUACAAAAAUUCUCGCAAUCUAUCAGAGCGAGACGAUCGCUUUCUGAACUGUGAUUCAGAAAAGAUUGGAGACGCAUGUCAGAAUAUUCUAAAGGAAAGAAGUCAAUCAGACGUUCCACAAUGAAGCACCGUUUAACAUUUGCCACUGAUUCCUCUUCCAUGUCAGGCGUCCAGACAAAUCCCGCCUUCUUUGCCAGAAAAUACAAUGAAGUGUAUACAAAACUUGGAACAUAACACGCUUUAAUUGUGCCGCCGGCGCUUCUCUUACUCACUUGAAUGAAGCCGCGAUGGAUUAGUUCUUUCAAGAAAUGGUCGGCAGUUUCUUCACCGUUGUAUGGUACGAAACCUUCAGCUACCCACAACUGAUGUAAUUGCCUCCUGGAUAUCUCAAUACUUGGAGGGAAGACACACAAAUAGAUGAAGCAGACUUUCAAAUGAAAAGGUAACUCCAUCACAGAAAAAAUUUGUCUCCAAACUGUCGGAAUCGCUUCGCCUUGAAGAUAAUUUUCUAAUGGCAUACUUCCAUAGUGUAGGAUGAAAAAUUGCCAGGCUUCAUGCUUUAAUCUGAUCAAUGGUCCUCCAAAGAGCACUGAAUCACGCCGAAUCUUCUCUCCGUUUUCCAUUUCCAACGACGCAAGGAGGUCUGGAUUAGUGACUGUUAUCAAUACUCUGCUUCCAUUCUGCUUAUCAGGAAGAACUUCUUCAAGAUCAUCCCAUAUGUCACUGUCAUUGAAGACAUCAUCAAGCACAAUAAAGUACUUCUUGUUUGUCAGGUAAUCUCGAAGAAUAGAUUUCUUCAAGCGAUAAUCUUCACUGAUAAUUACCCUAGCCCGAGAUGGAGGCAUCAAAGAAUUGAUUAUGUCAUCCAAUAUCUUGCCAAAAUCGUAGGCUAUAGAAACCCUGACCCAAGAAAGACAGUCAAAAUAGAACUUGACAUGGUUAUUAUUGUAAGUAUCUGCAGCAAAAGCAGUCUUAUCGAAGCCACUGCUGUCGAGAAUUGCAACCACUGAAAGCCCAGAUGGUCCCUCAAUCAAUAGAUCAAAAAACUUCUCUCUGCCCCUUUCAAAUUCACUGAUAUCGAGCCGAGGUUGUCCCUCAUUCAAUAGGCGAAUGAUUUCGUUACUUUUUUCACUGAUAUCAAAACCAUUGUCGCCGGGUGGAAGUUGUUGCAUCCGAUUUCUAAUAUCAAUGAUUUUAGUGUGGAGUCCAACAAGAAGAGCCAUAUCAGUACUGCUUUCACUUUCGUUUUCACUGUUUUGCUGCUGCAUUAUGUUGAUGAAGAAUCUGUCAAUGGCUUCCUCAGAUUCAUGGACAACGGGAUUGAUGUCCUCCAGAAUUUCCAAAAUAUCUGCUGUUUCAACGUCUUCUUUAUCGCUUUCUUCUAAGUCCAACAGUUGCAAAAAAGGCAAUGAUAUUUUGGAGUCAUCGAAUUCUUCUCUAAUGAGUUGAAACAAAUGCCGAGCCAUGUCAGCUUCAUAUUUUCCCAGCAGAGUAGUAGCAAUAAUUUCGGACUCCGUAAGAAGGUUUUGAAAAAGUGGAGUUAAAUUUGUUGAAUCAGGCAAAGUUAACGUGCCUUCUUCACCUGCUAACACCCUUUUCAACCUCACACAAAACAGUCGGAGGUGGAGUUCCAGCAUAUCUCCUUCUCUCCGCAGCACUCAGAGGUAUAGUUGAAAGAUUAAACACCAUGGAAGAAUUUGAAAGGAAUAUGCCAAGAAACUGUGUAAGUGGCUAAAUUCCACAAAUGCGGCAUUAUUGCUCAUUUUUAACUCAAAAAAUUGAUACGCGUUCAUUUAGAGAAAAGUCCAAGACGCGUGCCUUUUGAAAAGAACAGGUAUCCCAAUCGGUAUCCAACCUCUAUCUUAUUUAAUUACUAUCAUGACAUAAUUGAUGGUGCUUAAAUCAAUUGUUUCUUUUUUAAUUUAAAGAAUUUUUCAUUAAAAAAAUAUUUUAAUAUCAAAUUGCCUUCAGUGGCGUAACUGCCUCAAGCCCAGUAACAGGACUAAUUAAAGAUUUUACAAUUUUUGGGCAUGGAAAUAGUAGUAUUAAAUAUUAGAAAGGUGAGGUUGUUCUGUUAAAGAAUUGAUCUUGACAUAAUUUUAUUUUGGUUUUCGUGGAAAAAUAAAAUUUGUUGACAAGCAAGAAAAUAUUUUUAUAUUUUAAAAUUUAUUAUGCAUAUUUUAUCAUAUUAAAGUAGUUUUAAUAAUAAAUAGAAACAUAAUAUUACGAUAAAUAAAUUAAAAUUUAACUUAUUUUGAAUAUUAUAAAAAAAAUUUUAAUAUUAUUAAUAGGAAGACAUUGUAUUAAUUUUAAAAUUUUUUAACCCAAAGGUUUAUUUAAAAUCUUUAUUAUAAAUACAAAUAUAAAAUUAAAUAUCAUAAUUUAAAAAUUUUAAUAUUAUUUUAAGUAUUAAAAAUAUUUUAAUGUUAUUAGUCUACUACAUAGAUCAUAUUACUUAUAUAAUAUUUGUAUUAUUAAAAAUUCUUAAAAUCAAAUUUUUAGUUAGUAUAUUCAUGAGGUAUUAUGGUUAAAAAAAAAAAAGACCUUAUUAUUACUUUUUAAAAAAUUGAGGGUCUGCGUGAUAAUUUUUUCAAAAAGAAAAUGCUUGGUAUGUAGGAGGGGUAGAGAAACAGGACUCCCAAAAUCUCUCACCCUUCUUUAAUUAAAAAUAAAUAAAAUAUUAAUAAAAAAUAAUAAAGAAAAUAGAAUUUUAUCUGCUCCUUACUCCAUUUUUGUAACUCUCUCACCAUCUCUGUCGAGCAGCCCUCUCUUUCGUUGUCUCUCACUAUUUCACGAUCUCUCUCUCACUCACACAGUCCUUUAAAAAAGCCCAAAAUAGGCCCAAUAAGCCCAUAAUUAAAAUAAUCGAAUCGAAUUAUUUUAAUUAAUCGAGUAUUUGAUUAUUUCGGUAAUUUAAUUAAUCGCAAUUAUGAUUUUAAAAUAAUCGUAAUCGAACGAUUAUGAAAAAUUUAGUAAAAAAACCGAACUGAACCGAACCGCACCCACCCCUACAUAAAAGAACAUCAAUUACUUGUCAUUUUCAAUUUUUUCUAUAAGCUAUUUAUUUUGAGCAUUAGUGAUCUUGUCUGGACUACUCCAAUUAUUGACGUAACUCCAGUGGCUGCAUCCACUGGAAAAAGUGGAUGAUAACAUUUUUUUUUUUUUCAUAAAGGUAACUACUCCAAUUAUUGACAUAAUUGAUGGUGCUUAAAUCAAUUUUUUUUUUAAUUUAAAGAAUUUUGCUUUAAAAAAUAAUUAAUAUCAAAAUGCCUUCAAUGUUGUUACCGCCACAAGCCCAGUUAGAGGACUCAUUAAAACUUUUAGAAUUUUUAGGCCUGGAAAGCAUAGUAUUAAACAUCAGAAAGCAAAGGUUGUUAUGUCGAAGAAUUGAUGUCGACAAAAUUUUAUUUUAGUUUUCGGAAAAAAAAAAUUUGUUGACAAGCAAGAAAAUAUUUUUUAUACUUUACAAUCUGCUAUACAUAUUUUAUCAUAUUAAAGUAAUUUUAAUAAUAUAUGGAAACAUAAUAUUAUAAUAAAUAAAUUAAAAUUAAAAUUACUUUGAAUUAUUAAAUAUUACAAAAAGAUAAUUUUAAUAUUAUUAAUAGGAAAACAUUUUUAAUUGUAAAAUCUUUUUAAUACAAAAAUUCAUUUAAAAUCUUUAUAAUAAAUACAAAUAUAAAAUUAAAAAUAUCAUAAUUUAAAAUUUUUAAUAUUAUUUUAAUAUUAAAAAUACUUUAAUAUUAUUAGUCUACUACAUAAAAUAUAUUAUUUAUAUUAUAUUCGUAUUGAUUAAAACGUUUUAAAGUCAAAUUUUUAAUUAUUGUAUUCAAAGGUACAAAAGAUUUUAGUAUUAUUUUUUAAAAAUUUUAGGAUAUGAAUGAUAAUUUUUUCGAAUUUUAAAGAUGUAAGAAUCUUUUUUUCUAAUAAUUUAUUUCACUUUUGAGAGAAUCCGAAAACGUUAAUUUAACAUUCUUUACCUUUGUGAAAAAAGUGAAAAUCAAGAACUAUUCAAUUUUGUUUUUAUUUGUAAUUCAAAAACUUUAUUCAUUUUCGAUGCUUUUCGAAAGAGAUUCCGUUAAAUCCUUUUGGUGUCGGCAGCUCCUGCUAUUCUCAUAAAUCUCCAUUCCACAUCUACACUAUCAAACAAGUUGAUGGAAAUUCUUAUAAAAAAAAAACAAGUCGAUGGAAAUUGAUCAAUUACUUUUUGAAGUGGACCCAUUGAGUCAUGUUCAUUUCUGGUCAUUGUCUACUCUUUCCAUCAGCCAUUUAUUUUGACCAUUUGCGAUCUUAAAGGAUAUGAGAACGUAGCUGAAGUGCUGAAGGGGCUAUUAAAGAAGAGUGUCACUUGAUCACAAUCACAUUGAUGCACAACUCACUCGUGGCAAAUUUCGACUAUACGUUCUGCAAAUUCAGCCAAACCAUACGUGCAUGAACAAAACUAAAAUGUAGUUCUAAUCACAACUCCAGUUAUGAUGUUUACCCCUCUGAUUUUUCUCCAAAACAAAUUCAGUUCAAAACAAUAAUCAAAAUAGCCACAUUUUGUUCGUCAAAAUAAAUGCCCAAAUUUUCAAUUAACAAAUCAUCUUCUCUAAACUAAAAAUCCCACAUCUCUAAAAUCAAUCUACAUAAUGUUGGAGAUGAGGGGUGAAUUGUUAACUCAGUAAAAAAAACUCAUGCAUAAUAUUACUAAUAAUAUAAAAUAUAUAUUAAUCAUUAUAAAGAAUCAUAAUUAGAAAAAUUAAUCAUUUUAUAAUUUAUUACACAAGUAAGAUAAAUCUCAUAAUAAGUUAUAACAUAAAAAAAACGUUAUCAAUAUAUAAUCAUUUAAGAAGUCAUUUAACAAUAAAAUCGUUCUUUAAUCAGUUGGUCAUGUCACAUAGUGUCAUCUAUAUUUACGGUGAUAAUAUUAUUACUCAGUAUUAUCAAAAAACAUGAUUUAACAUUUAGAGGAAAUUCUUGCCUUUUAAAAAAAAACAUGUAUGCAACAGCUACCCAUGCUUUAUCUUACCAUGACAAAUAUUUUCUCAAUGAAAGAAAAUUUUUUAAAAAUUGAUUUAAUGCACAAAUAUGAUGAUUUUUCCAAAAAUUAGUUUUGGAAAACAUAGUGAGAGAAAAUAGUGACGAUUAUUGUUUAGAUGUAUAAAUAGCCUAAACAUAAUCCUUAAUACCAAUAUCCUAAUGCAUCUUAUCAUCUUUCAUGAUAUUCUUUCAUUUAUGUCCAUUGGUUCAAGAUUUGAAUUUGAUCAUUAAAUCAUGUUCAAUAAUAUUAGAGAUUCUAACAAAUGAGUACCAACUUAAAUCCCAAUGUUAUGUGUCAUUGACCAAUUUUGUGUCAUUUUGUUAUUAACUAGGUGAUGAAUUUGUAGUUGAUAAAAUCACUUAAAAAUAUCUUAAAAAUCAAACAAUAGUUUGCUUAAUUUUUCCAAGUUAACUGCUCAAGAUGCUCUAUUAUAAAUAAUAACCUAAUUAUAUUCAUAAAAAAUGAUAUUUUUUUUGUGGUGUUGAUAAUGAGAUUAUCAUUCAACAUUUUAAAAUGUGAAAACAUAUGGAAGAUGGUUGUAAAUUGAUUGAAUGAAAACAUUUCAGUGAAGUCUCAAAAAUUUGGUACUUGUUGUCUUAUCGAAAGUUUUCUAAAUUAUAUUCGUGGCACAGCCACUAUCCAAACCAUACAAGUCCAAAGCUAUCCAAACCAUACCUGCAAGUCCGGGGCUUAAAUGGAGUACUUCUAAGCAAAAAAACAUUGACUAAAAUAGAAUAUAUACAUACAGACACACAUACAUACCAGCAUAUUCAAAAUAGCAAAAGGAGUGCAAAAGUUCAAGUUUGUAGACAACAUUGCAACCAUAGCAUGUUUAUAGCAAAUCCUCAAAAUCUGCUAAAUAAAACAAUGCCCUGUCUCAUGAAUCAAUGCUGAAUUAAAAUUGAAACUGAAAGUCUGGAUGGUUUUGUUUGUUGAGAAUGUCAAAUAAAACGGCAUUGAAGGAAGUUUUCAAAGGCAGAAUCCGCACUUGUCAAAGGGAUGACCUGCACUUGUCAAAGACACGAUCCGCGCCGAACGGAUCGACACAUUUCCUUCCGUAUUCACAUAUGUAAACUUUGAAAAAAUAUAGCUUCUGCAUCUAUAAAUAACGCUCAGUGUAUAAUGUUUUAUUCAAGAAAUAAAAACAAGUUUCUACAUGGUAUCAGAGCCAUGAAUGCGCUCAAGUUUCUUCAAGUUUCGCUGCUCUGUUUGUCACAAAAACAGAGGAAACCAAUUAAAUUCGUCCCACAACCAUUUUUUCCACCAUUUUCUUCCUUAAAAUCAUUCCUAACAUUACAGAAAUCCAUGCCGAUCAAAAACAUGAAAGACAAAUUACACAUGUGCAGUAACCAAUGAUCAUAUUUUGUUACUGUCAAACACAAUGCAUCUGAGCAAAACAUUGGAAGCCAACACCAGAAUACAUAUGAAUAAACAAUUAAAGAUAGAGAAAAAAGGCUUAAACCUUGGGGGAAAAAGUGAAAAAACAUGAAAGACAAAUUACACAUGUGCAGUAACCAUCGAACUUAUCAGUGACAGCUGCAUCUAUUACAUUGCUCCAACAACACAAGGGCAAACCACCAGUUUCAAAUUGAGGAUAGCUAUCGAGAAUGAGAAAGUGUCCAAAACGUCAUAAAUAGACAUGUUCCUAUUGUGCAUAAUUUACAUUAUAGGCAAAUAUUUUUAUACCAUCAAAGGCAAAACAUGACACUAACAAUUGAUCACCCCCCCCCCCCCCCCCCCCAACAACAAAAAAAAGGAAAAAACAAUACAGAAAAGAUUGAAACAGAUAAGGCUACACUGAGCACAGGAUGCCAUGAAACAUAAUCCAGGAACCAAAUUAAUAAAAAAGGAAGCCAAACCAUUAUUUAACAAUCUGUUUUGUAUUUGGGAAAGUCUGAUAAAAUCUACUUGGGGAUAAUUAGAGAACCUCAACUAUUAAUCACACCUCAUAAAUGAACUAACAUUAAACAUCUACCAUCCCAACGUCACACAAACAUUCUCUACACUUCUGAACCUAAUACUUCCAUCUUCAAUUGGGGGUUUUUUUUUUCUUUUUCUUUGGGGGGGGGGGGGGAUUGAAAUGCUGAUUUCGAAUCACUAACAGUAAAAUUGGAAGCUCAUGAAAAAAUAGUUUUAUCUCAAAAUUACAUCUCGAUAUAAAUUCUCUUUUCAUUUCCUUCAACUUUCUAAUUAAGCUUAAAAAAUGUACCUUCAACCACAAAGGGGUUUAAAAUUUAAAAUAUAAAAAAUAAAUUCAGAUAACAAUAAUUAAUUUAAUUAAAAAUAUAAAUAGAGUUACAGAGAAAGAGAAAAUAGAGAAAGACGUAAUGUUGAGUCCUUUGGCGCAAGUCUCUUCAUAGGUCCGAACCAUUUCUUCGGGCGUGGGUUUCGGGUCUUUAGGAUACUCCAUAGUGAUAAGCCAGUGAUUGUAAUCGCAACCCUCGAACAGAAUCGUGUCGGGUGUGAUCUCGUCGCCGUCCUUAUACAAGUGGUACGUCUUGUUAACCGACGGCGUAGACGAGAGGGAGAUCGUCGGGGACGAUCUGAACGGCCGAGAUUGGAUAAUGAUGGAGGAGGAGAAGAUUAGCGAUGACGACGCCGAUGAAAUGGAAGGGUUUACCAGAGGAGUGGAUGCGAAGAAUGCAGGGACGGCCGCAAAGAGAGAGCGGCGGAGAGCGGCGACGGACGGUAGUGACCGGCGGAGAGCGGAAGAUGGCGGUAUGGGCCAUUGCUUGCGCGUCAGUGAGUGUCUCGAGUGAGGAGUGAAGGGUUUUGUACUUUUGUUUAGGGUUUUGGGAAAUGAAAAAUGCAAAUGUUUGAUUUUGUUGCUAGAAACUUCUUCUGCCGCCGCUUUUUAUUUUCGCUAAAUAAUAAUAAUAAUUUGUUAAUAAAAUACUUUCUUAGAAAAGAUAAAUUUAUAGAACAAAAUUUAUAUUAAAUCAAAUUGUAAAAAUGUGGAAUAGGGCUAAUUUCUCCUGAAUAUUAUUAUUAGUAGAAGUAGAUUUUCGAAAUAGUCUUGAUAUAUUUCAAAGUUGUAUUAUAGAUGUACAUGUAUCUGGAUUGUAAUUAUAUUUUAAAAAAUAUACAUUUUUUUUCAUUAUUGCACAAUAAAUGUAGAAAGUGUCUAUAAAAUAAUAUUAUUAGAACUAUGAAAAUAUAUUAUUUUAGAGUAGUUAUUUAUUUAUUUUUGAAUAAAUAAUUUAUUAAUUUAUUAAUUUAUUGAUAAAUUAAUAAAUAUUAAUUUAAAGAGAGAUUUUUUUUUUUGGGGGUUUUUAAGAAGAGUUUUGUUGGUAUAUGUACAAACUUAUAAAGAAAUACAAAAAAUGCUUCCUCAAGUCAAUAGUAUUUACUUUAAUUCAUAAUAGUAUAGUUUAAUCAAGAAACUUAUAAUUAUACUAUAUCUUUCUUUCUUUGUUCUAUUUGGUGGGACAUUGUGAUAAAUCAUUGGAUUAAAAUGCAUUUCUAAAUGAAAACUUGUUAAAACCUAAUUUAUUUGGGAACGACAUUUUAUUUGUCAGUCGUAUUUCUCAACUUCGUAAGUUAUUUCUAAUUUAUCGGUCUCUAUUGGUUCUCUUAAGUACCUAUUUGGCAUGACUUAUUUAAUAGUAAUAAGUGCUUAUUUAAUCUCAUAAGUUUUUUCCCUCUCUGACAAUUGAGUUAGGGGGUCAAACUUGAAAGUAUCUUAAAAUUAGACAACAAUUUAACUAUUUUUUUUUUUUUAGAUAACUGCUAAUAUGCUCUAUUAGACAAUGAUGAGUGAUAACCUAGGUGUUUGCAUUUAAAGGGAUACUUUUUGUGGUGUUGAUAAAGAGGUUAAGUAUGAUUCAACAAUUUAAAAUAUGAAAACAUAUGGAAGACGGCCGCAAUUAAAUUAAUUGUAUGAAAAUAUUUCAAUGAAAUUUUAAAAAUUUAGUAUUUGUUAUCUUAUCGAGAGUUUUUUAAAAUUAUAUUACUACUUGAACUUGACUGCUUUUGUAUUUAAUUCCUACCGUUGCCAUUGCUUCUACUCAAAAGCCAUUUAAGUUUGUGUAAGCUACGUAUAGUUUGAACAACAAUUUACUCAUGAAUUGUUGUUCAUAAUAGCAUCAGUGCAUGCAUCAUUUUAAUGAGAAAGAAUAUUCUAAGAACGAAAUUGAACGUGGGAGGUAUCGGGAAGGAAUUGGAAUGGAAUAAUAUCGAUUCAUAUAGAUACAGAAGAAAAAGUUCUCUAUUGAUUCAAAUGCUGUGCCUAUGGGAUAAGGAUAGAGAAAGAGGAAAAAACCGAAGCCAGAAAUGUACACGCAUGAGGAACUUUUCCUAGAAGAUUGAUAUUUCUUUGACUAGCAAACCAUACAAGUCCAAAGCUAGCCAAACCAUACCUGCAAGUCGGGGGUUUAAAUGGAAUACUUCUAAGCAUAAAACAUUGAUUAAAACAGAAUACACACAUACAUACCAGCAAAUUCAAAAUAGCAAAAGGAGUGCAAAAGUUCAAGUUUGUAGACAACAUUGCAACCAUGGCAUGUUUAUAGCAAAUCCUCGAAAUCUGCUAAAUAAAACAAUGCCCUGUCUCAUGAAUCAAUGCUGAAUUAAAAUUGAAACUGAAAGUCCGGCUGGCGUUGUUUCCCUCUCCAAUUUUGCCUACAUAAGUGAAAAUAAGAAUAAUAAAUGAAAAUCUGCUUUUACGGUUCUUAUUAGAUAGAUAAAAGGGGGAUCUUUCUUUGUUUCUCUGCUGCAAUGUGUGGCUAUCCCACUCUGUUUUGCCACCCAAGCUGAGUCUAUGCUGAGACAUAAUUUUGACAUCAGAAGCAAUCUCAAUUAGUUUGGCACUUUUAAGCAAUCUCAUAUUUUGCUCACUUGAAGGUUUUACGAUAAACAUAAAUCUACAGAGAAAGUGGGAAAAAAAAAAGAAAAUGCAUAUAAAUAUAUGAGUUAUCAGAUAAGAUUAAAACUCACCCAAUUCAAUCCAUCAGAUUCCGUAAGGAUAUAACUGGAUGUCAUACCGCCACUCCAUAUCCUUGAAAGUCCGUAGUGUUUGUCUCAACUCUGUCUGAGGCCAAUGUAAAUUCAAUUUGCGCAAGCUCUUUAUGCACCACAGCUCUUCUGGAAGCUUUCUCAAGUAAGCACAUGGGUUGACAAUUAAGCUUUCAAGUUUCGGCAUUGCUCCAGCCCCCAUCGUCCACUCAUCUAGCCAAUACAUUGAUUUCAGGUGCAAAACCUUAAGUUCCGGAAAGCUACUCAAGCCAACACAAGCAAGCUUUCUUCCUAAAUACGAGUUCUGCUUCAGUUUCAGCACUCGAAGGCGUGGAAGAUUUUCCAGAAUUGGCAUGGGAUCCUCCAUUAGCUCAGUAUUUGAUAAGCUCAGUUGGAUCAGACUUGGGGGAAAUUGGUAUUCAGACAGGACCAUCCGUGAGGGCUUGCUCUCAUUCACCAGCUUCAAGCAUUCAAGUUUGUGGAGUUCGCAAAGGCUUUUGGAAACCGCAGAUUGAUAGUAACUCAAAUCUCCAGAUAUCCGAAGAGUCUGAACACUAGGUAGUCUGCCCAAUAUAUCAGGAGUACAACUACUAGGGUUUAAAGCUGAUAUGAAAAUGAGAUUUUUCAGAGAGCUGGAAUAAUUUUUUGGAGGUGCGGGCAGAGUGAUAGAACCAAAGUUUAGAUGCAUGAGUUUUUGCAUCAUCCAAAUAUCCUCUGGUGACUGAUCUAUGUAGCUAGAUGGCAUUUCUAGUGUUUCAAGGUUUAAAAGGGUGCAUAGCAGCGAAGGAAGGCGUUUGAGCAAAGGGAUAUUCAAUUUCAAAUACUUCAAAAGGAAUAAAUUUUCUAAUCCGGGUGGAAAUUGGUCGAGAACUGCAGAACCGAAGUUCAGUACCCGAAGGUGUUUGAACUUUUUACAAAAAUUCUCGCAAUCUAUCACAGCGAGAUGAUCGCCUUCUAAACUUUGAUUGAUAAAAGAUUGGAGAUAGAUCUCACCAUGUUCUAAAGAAAUGAAGUCAGUCAGAUGUUCCAAAAUGAUGUAGCGUUUAACAUUUGCAAAUGGUUCCGCUUCCAUUCCAGGCAUCCAGAGAAAUUUCGUCUUGUCUGCCACCAAACCCAAUGAAGUAUAUACAAAACUUGGAACAUAGCAAGCUUUAAUUGUGCCGCCGGCUCUUCUCUUACUCACUUGAAUGAAGCCGCGAUGGAUUAGUUCUUUCAAGUAAUGUUCGGCAGUUUCUUCACCGUUGUAUGGUAUGAAACCUUCAGCUACCCACAACUGAUAUAAUUGCUCCGUAGAUAUCUCCAUACUUGGAGGGAAGACCAACAAAUAGAUGCAGCAGACCUUCAAGUGAAAAGGUAACUCCAUCACAGAAAAAAUUUGUCUCCAAACUGUCGGAAUCGCUUCGCCUUGAAGAUAAUUUUCUAAUGGCAUACUUCCAUAGUGUAGGAUGAAAAAUUGCCAGGCUUCAUGCUUUAAUCUUAUCAAUGGUCCUCCAAUGAGCACUGAAUCACGCCGAAUUUCCUCUCCAUUUUCCAUUUCCAACGACACAAGGAGGUCUGGUUCAGUGACUGUUAUCAAUACUCUGCUUCCAUUCUCAUCAUCAGGGAGAACUUCUUCCAGAUCAUCCCAUAUCUCACAGUCAUCGAAGACGUCAUCAAGCACAAUAAAAUACUUCUUGUUUGUUAGGUAAUCUCGAAGAAUAGAUUCCUUGAAUUGAUAAUCUUCACCGAUAAUUACACUAACCCGAGAUGGAGGCAUCACAGACUUGAUUAUGUCAUCCAAUAUCUUGCGAAAAUCGUAGAGUAGAGAAACCCUGACCCAAGCAAGACAGUCAAAAUAGAACUUGACAUAGUUAUUAUUGUAAGUAUCUGCAGCAAAAGCAGUCUUAUCGAAGCCACUGCUGUCGAGAAUUGCAACCACUGAAAGCCCAGAUGGUCCCUCAAUCAAUAGAUCAAACAACUCCUCUCUGCCCCUUUCAAAUUCACUGAUAUCAAGCCGAGGAUGUCCCUCAUUCAAUAGGCGAAUCAUUUCGUUACUUUUUUCACUGAUAUCAAAACCAUUGUCGCCGGGUGGAAGUUGUUGCAUCCGAUUUCUAAUAUCAAUGAUUUCACUGUGGAGUCCAUCAGGAAGAGCCAUAUUAGUGCUGCUUUCACUUUCGUUUUCACUGUUUUGCUGCUGCAUGAUGUUGAUGAAGAAUGUGUCAAUGACUUCCUCAGAGUCACGGACAAAGUUAUUGAUGUCCUUCAGAAUUUCAAAAAUAUCUGCUGUUUCAACGUCUUCUUCAUCGCUUUCUUCUAAGUCCAACAGUUGCAAAAAAGGCAAAGAUAUUUUGGAGUCAUCGAUAUCUUCUCUAAGGAGUUGAAUCAAAUGCCGAGCCAUGUCGGCUUCAUAGUUUCCCAGAAGAGUAGUAGCAAUAAUUUCGGACUCCGUAAGAAGGUUUUGAAAAAGUGGAGUUAAAUUUGUUGAAUCUGGCAGAGGCAACGUGCCUUCUUCACCUGCUAACACCCUUUUCAACCUCUCACAAAACAGUCGGAGGUGGACGUCCAGCAUAUCUCCUUCUCUCUGUAGCACCCAGAGGUAUUGUUUUUUGCUCCAAGAAAUAUUAAAAGGAUUGGUUCUAUCUAAAAGUGGUUACUGGUGUAAAAUUAAACGCCAUGGGAGAAUUUGAAAGGAAGAUGCCAAGGAACUGGCGAAGUGGCUAAAUUCCACAAAUACGGCAUUAUUGCUCAUUUUUAACUCAAAAAAUUGAUACGCCUUCAUUUAGCGAAAAGUCCAAGACGCUUGCCUUUUGAAAAGAAGAGGUAUCCAUAGAUAUCCAACAUUUAUCUUAUUUUAAUUACUACCACGACAUGAUUGAUGGUUGUUAAAUCAAUUGUUUCUUUUUUAAUUUAAAGAAAUUUUCAUUAAAAAAUAGUUUAAUAGACACAUAAUAUUACAAUAAAUAAAGUAAAGUUUAAAUUAUUUUGAAUAUUAUAAAAAAUAAUUUUAAUAUUAUUAAUAGGAAGACAUUUUGUUAAUUUUAAAAUCUUUUUAACCCAAAGGUUUAUUUAAAAUCUUUAUUAUAAAUACAAAUAUAAAAUUAAAUAUCAUAAUUUAAAAUUUUUAAUAUUAUUUUAAGUAUUAAAAAUAUUUUAAUGUUAUUAGUCUACUACAUAGAUUUUAUUAUUUAUAUUAUAUCUGUAUUGAUUAAAAUUUUUUAAAGUCAAUUUUUUAGUCAAUAUAUUCAAGAGGUAUUAUAGUUAAAGAAAAGAUUUUGGUGUUAUUUUUUGAAAAUUUUAAGGUUUAAAUGAUUUUUUUUUUAAUUUUAAGGAUGUGGGUAUUAUUUUUCCGACAAUUUAUUUUAUUUUUGGGGAAUCCGAUGAGAAAUAUCAUGAGAGAAGGUUAAUUUUACAUUCUUUACCUUUAUGAAAAAAGUGGAAACCAAGAACUAUUCAAUUUUGUAUUUUUUGUUUGUAAUUCAAAAAAUGCAUCCACCAAACAAGCUUAUCUUGAUUUUCCCACUUUAUUCAUUUUCGAUCCUUUAAUCCAUCUAGCAUCUGCAGCCCCCGCUAUUUUCACAAAGAGUAAUGAUACAGCCACAAAUUCUUGUACAAAUUUAUUUUGUAUAAACUGACGUGGCAUGAUAAGAUUGGUUGAAUUAAAUAUCACUUGGCCCACAUGAUUUGUUUUUAUUAUUUUAUAUUUUUAUUCAACCAAUGAAUUAAUGCCACGUCAGUUUGUACAAAAUAAAUUUGUACAAGAGUUUGUGGCUGUAUCAUUACUCUGUCAAGAAUCUCCAUCCCACAGCUACACUAUCAAACAAGUUGAUGGAAAUUGAACAAUUGCUUUUUGAAGUGGACCCAUUAGGUUAUGUUCAUUACUGGUCAUUGUCUAUUCUUUCUAAGAGCCACUUAUUUUGAGCAUUAGCGAUCCUAUCUGGACUACUCCAAUUAUUGAUGUAACUCCAAUGGUUGCAUCAACAGUUGAAUGUAAGAUAGUGUCAGUUCUUUUUUGAGAAUAUAGAGGGAUCUUUAUUUGUUUCUCCGUUGCAGCGUAUUAGUAUAAAUUUCUUGACCUUACAGUUCCUACAGUCUUCCUGUUAAUGAAUUCGCUGAGGCAUUAUUGAUCCAAUCUCAGUGAAGUAAUUGUGGGUGAAAAAAAAAUAAAGGAUAAGAGAACGUAGCUCAAGUGCUGAAUUGACUAUUAAAGAAGAGCGUCACCUGAUCACAAUCACAUUGAUGCACAACUCACUCGAGGCAAAUUUCAUCUAUAUAUACUGCAAAUUCAGCCAAGCCAUGCAUGCAUGAACAAAACUAAAAUGAAGUUCAUAAUCACAACUGUAAUUAGAGCUACAAAAGGUGGCAAACCAUACAUGCAUGAACAAAAUUAGACAUAAAUUGAAGCCACAACAUUAAUUGAAGCCACAAAAGCCAGCAAAUCCAAAUGAAAACUUAAAAGGAAGAUCUUAUCGAAGUUUGUCCCCAAAAGACAGCGGAAAUGAAAAAUAUUGACUAUCGAGUGGAUCAAUGCUGAAUUACAUUUGACCUGGAAAGCUUGGCUGCAGUUGCGAUGUUCCCCCUCUGAUUUUCCCUAAAACAAAUUCAGUUGUAAACAAUAACUGGAGUAGCAACAAUUUAUUCAUUAUAGAAAAUACCUAAAUUUUCAACUAUCAAAUCCUCUUGUCUAAACUAAAAAACUCAUAUCUCUAAAAUCUAUAUACAAAAUGUCAUAAAUGAGGGUGAUCUCUCAAUUCGGUAAACAAAUUCAUGCAUAAUAUUACCAAUAAUGAUAAAUUACAUAAUAAUUAUUAUAAAGAAUCAUAAAUUGGAAACAUUAAUCAUUUUAAAAUCUAUUACAUAAUAAAAAUAAAUCUUAUAAUAAGUUACGUUAGAACAUAACAAAUAUUUAAAAUGAUAUAUAUAAUUAUUUAAGAAGUCUUUUAACAAUAAUUUUUUUUUUCUUUUUCAGUUGAUCAUGUCAUAGCGUUAUCUAAAAUGCUAGCGAUAUCAUUAUUCCCCACUUUUCUCAAAAAAAAGAAAAAGAUAAAGAAAAAAGAAAUAUGAUUAACGUUUGGAGAAAAGUCAUGCCUUUUAAAAAGAAUAUGUAUACAAUACCAAUUCAUACUUUAUCUUACCAUAAAAAAAUUGUUUAAAAUAGAUUUAAUGCACAAAUAUGAUGACUUUUGGCAGAAAUGAGUUUCGGAAAUAUUGGGAUGAAAACCAUAUUGGUUCAGACUUAAAAUUACUUAAUAAAAUUACUUAACUACCAUUUAAUAAAUAAAAAUCAUAUUAGUUGAAAGUUAAAUUAAGAUUUAAAUGUUGAGAUAUCUAACGUUACUCAAUCAGAAUAAACAAUAAUCAAUUCAAAUUAUGACUAUCAUGUAGAAGCAAAUGUUUAUGCUUGGGUCUUUUACUUCUUGAAUUUGAUUGGAAAAAUUUCUGAGACAGGGAAGUGAGUGUUUUGGAUAAUAUUUUUCGGGAUUGAAACCACAAGUUGGUCGAGGAAAAUAAUUUUGGACAAAUUUUUAUUAUAUUGUAGAACCUUUUUGGUUCCUUUUGUGUCGGCAGCCCCUCACUAUUCUCUUAACCCUGAGUUUUGAGAUAGAAAUUUCCCGAACUCCAACCCCACAUCCACAGACAAGUUGAUUGAAACAAUUGCUCUUGUAAUUAAGAGGAUGAGUUAGGGUUCAGUUCUUAUCAUUGUCUGUUAUUUCUUUGAAUCAUUAUCUUAGUUAAUUACAUCAAUUGUUUCUUUUCUUAAUUUAAAGAAUUUUUCUUUUAAAAAAAUAUUUUAAUAUCAAAAUGCGUUAAAUGGUAUUACUGCCGCAAUCCCAGUAACAGGAUUAAUUAAAAAAAUAUUCUUAGGAAGAUAUUUUGUUUAUUGUAAAAUCUUUUUAACCCAAAGGUUUAUUUAAAAUCGUUAUAAUAAAUAAAAAUAUAAAAAAAAAUAAAUAUCAUAAUUUAAAAUUUUAAUAUUAUUUUAAAUAUUAAAAAUACUUUAAUGCUAUUAGUCUACUACACAGGUUAUAUUACUUAUAUUAUAUUUGUAUAAAUUAAAACUUUUAAAGUUAAAUUUUUAAUUACUAUAUUGAAAAGGUAUUAUGGUUAAAAAAAGUUUUGGCAUUUGUUUUUUGAAAAUUUGAGGGUCUGCAUGACAAUUUGUCCAAAUCCUAGAGGUAUAGGUGUCUUUUUUUUUCGAUAAUUCAUUUUACUUUUGAGGGAAUCCGAUGAGAAAUAAGAUAAGAGAAACGUCAAUUUAACGUUCUCUAGGGAAAACCAAGAACUAUUCAAUUUUGUAUUUUUUGUUUGUAAAACAAAAAACAGUUUGCCAAAAAAGGUACCAAACAUAUCCUUAAUGUCUCACAUGAUUUCUUAUUAAGUCCAUACUCGAUAUAUUUAUACAUUUUAGGUAUUUUAGUUAUAAAAGAAGUUGGUCCUCCCUCUGUUUAUAAAAGGUAACUUUAUUUCGAGAUUACCACUAAAGUCUUACAAAGAAUUAGUGUAAUGUUAAGAGAGACUAACACAGUUUUCCAUUACCAUUUUGAAAAUAGAAAGAUAUGGAUGUGUGCAUUUAAUGGUGCGUUUACUUGCCGGAUUGGGGAAUCAGAAUCUGGAAUCAGAAUGAUUGAUGGUGUUUACUUCACAAAUAUGGAGCAGGAAUCGGAAUUGGAAUGGUGGGGCCCACCACUAUUUGGGAAUGGGAGAUUGAUUCCCAUGGGGGAAGGUGGGAAUGAGUCUCUCAUUCCCUGGAUUGACCAUUUUGCCCUCCCUCAAAAUUAAAAAUGCCUACUUUGUCCUCUUUUAUAAUUAAUUAAUAUAAUAUUAUAAUUAAUUAAUUAAUAUAUAAAUAUUUUAUUAACUAUAAUUAUUAAAAAUUAUAGUUCUUGAAUAAAUAAUCACAAUAAUUAAUUUAUUAUUAUUAUUGUUAAUGAAUUAAUAUAAUUAUUACUAUUAAUUAAUAUAUUAAUAUAUUAUUAACAAUAAUAUAUUAAUAAUUAUUGUUCGUGAAUAAAUAAUCACAAUAAUUAAUAUAUUAUUAUUGAAAUUAAUUAAUUAAUAUACUAUUAUAAUAAUUAUUAUAAUUAAUUCAUAUAUUAUUAUUAAUUAAUUAAUAAAAUUAAAAUUAUUAAUUAAAUAAAUAAUAUAAUUAUUACUACUAAUUAAUAUAUUAAUAUAUUAUUAAAAAUAAUUAUUAAUAAUUAUAAUUUUUGAAUAAAUAAUCACAAUAAUUAAUAUAUUAUUUUAAUUAAGUAAUUAAUAUUAAUAUUAUUAGUUAAUAUAUUUUUAUAAUAAUUUUUGAUAUAGUUAUUAUAAUUAAUUAAAAUUUUUUACAAUUAAUUAAUAUAUUAGUUAAUAAUAAUUAUGACAAUAAUUCAUUAAGUACUUUUUAGUAAUUUGUUACAAUCUAAUUCAUUCCGAUUCCGAUUUCAAGACAAAGUAAACACAUUAAUGGCAAUCUAGCUCAUUCCGAUUUCGAUUCUUACAGUUCAAGUAAACAACUUAUUUUGAUUCCCAUUACCUAUUCCCAUUCCAGCCCAUUCUCAUUUCUGCCCAUUUCAAUUCCAGCUCAUUCCGAUUCCAGUUUAGUAAACGCAGCAUAAGAGUUAUCAUGAAAAUCAUACAAUUUAAUUUCCUGAAAUAUAUAUUUUAUUCACAUGUGCCAAAAGAAUAAAUAGAUAGAAAGUAAAUUUACAAUCCUCACUCCCUCAUAAUUGUUAAAGUGAAUAUGCAUUACAACUGUGAACUGUCACUACUUUAGCCCUUUAUUUGUUUUUUCAAUUAUAGUGUGAUGGAGACAGUGAACAUUAAGGAUAAAGUGCUCUGCUGAAAGCCAAACUUCCUUUGGCUAAUUAAUUUAGAAGUAAAGCAGAGAAUAAAGUCCUUGAUGCCUUCUGAAAUUAGAAAUACAUUUUAUAUGCUUUAAUUAUGAUUAUUUGGUAGACUAUUGACCAAAAGACAUGUUAAAGUAUAAAACAGAGCGAUUAAAGAAAAAAAAAAGGAGCGUUUGUGACGUAGAAUAACAAUUUGUAAGCAAAGUCCUAAUUUGAGUUGUCAAAAAGCAAACAUAACAGAGAAGGUAAGAGAGAUGCAAAAACAGAAAACUAUUAGCUUAUCUUGAUUUUCCCACUAUAUUCAUUUUCGAUGCUUUUCAAACGAGAUUCUUUUAAUCCUUCUGGCGUCUGCAGCCCCUGCUCUUCUUAUAAAUCUCCUUCCCACAUCUGCACUACGAACAAGUUGACUAAAAUUAAAUAAUGUUGGAGACGAGGGGUGAGCCGUCAACUUAUUAAAAAAAACUCAUGUAUAAUAUUAUCAAUAAUAUAAAAUAUAUAAUAAUUAUUAUAAAGAAUCAUAAAUUAGAAAAAUUAAUUAUUUUACAAUUUAUUUCUUAAGUAAGAUAAAUCUCGUAAUAAGUUAAGUUUAAUGUAAAAAAUAUUUUCAAUUUAUAAUCAUUUAAGAAGUCAUUUAACAAUAAAAUCUUUUUUUUGAUCAGGUGGCCAUGCCAUAGAGUAUCAUCUAUAUUCGUGGUGAUAUUAUUAUUACUCAAUAUCCUCAAAAGACACUAUUUAACAUUUAGAGAAAAUUUCUGCCUUUUAAAAAGAACAUGUAUGCAAUAGCUAGCCACACUUUAUUUUACCACGACAAAAUUGAUAGUGAUUAAAUCAAUUUUCUCAAUUAAAGAAAUUUUUUUUAAAUUGAUUUAAUGCACAAAUAUGAUGAGUUUUUGCAAAAAUUAGUUUUGGAAAAUAUAGUGAGAGAGAAUGGUGACGAUUAUUUUUCAGAUGUGCAAAUAGCCUAAACAUAAUCUCUAAUACCAAUAUCCUUGUGCAUCUUAACACCUUUCAUGAUAUUCUUUCAUUCAUAACCAUUUGUUCAAUAUUUGAAUUUGAUUAUUAAAUUAUGUUCAAUAAUGUUAGAGACCCCAACAAUUGGGUACCAACUUAAAUCCCAAUGCUAUGUGUCAAUGUAACAUAGCAAAAUCCCAUUAACAAAUGUUGUGUCAUUUAUCAUUAUUGAAUGAAUAAUUCGUUAAUUUAUUGAUAAAUGAAAAUUUAUUAAUUUAAAGAGAGAUUUUUUUUUUUGGUUUUAAGAAGAGUUUUGUUGGUACAUGUACAUACUUAUAAAGGAAAAACUUGUAAUUAUACUAUAUCUUUCUUUCUUUGUUCAGUUUGGUGGGAUAUUGUGAUAAAUCAUUGGAUUAAAAUGCAUUUCUAAAUUGAAACUUGUUAAAAUCUAAUUUAUUUGGGAAACGCAUAUUAUUUGUCAGUCGUACUUCUCAACUUAGCAAGUUAUUUCUAACUUGUCGGUCUCUAUUGGUUCUCUUAAAACUAAUAGUCUCGUAUCUCCCGCAUUUGAUAUCUUGCCAUUACUGUUGGCAUUAACAUGUUACCUGAGAUUGGGAUUCAUUAAAAUCCUCAAUGUAAUCGGUGGAACGAAUGGAUUUCUUCUGUUCACCAAUCCACCAAAAUUUCUGUAAUUAAAUUCAAAAGUCAAGAUCUAUGCUUAUAAUCUAUUCAACAGCUAAUAUUCUAUUUUAUAUUUACUUAAAUAUGAAGAGCUAUGCUUGUAGUUAACUUCAAAUGUGAUCGAAGCAGCCUUACAUCUAUAUAUUACUUAUGCCCAACCUUUUUUUUUGACUUCAUAUACAUUCUUUUCAUGUUAUUUACUCUUUUUUCCCCCUCUCUGACAAUUGAGGUAGGGGGUCAAACUUGAAAGUAUCUUAAAAUCAGACAAUAAUUUUUUUUUUUUAAAGAUAGCUACUAAUAUGCUCUAUUAGACAAUGAUAAGUAAUAACCUAGUUGUUUGCAUUAGAAAUGAUAUUUUUUGUGGUGCUGAUAAAGAGGUUGAUUAUGAUUCAACAAUUUAAAAUAUGAAAACAUGUGGAAGACGGCCGCAAUUAAAUUGAUUGUAUGAAAAUAUUUCAAUGAAAUUUUAAAAGUUUAGUACUUGUUAUCUUAUCGAGAGUUUUUUUAAAUUAUAUUACUACUUGAACUUGACUGCUUUUGUAUUGAAUUCCUACCGUUGCCAUUGCUUCUACUCAAAAGCCAUUUAAGUUUGUGUAAGCUACCUAUAGUUUGAACAACAAUUUACUCAUGAAUUGUUGUUCAUAUUAGCAAUUUGAUUGAAAGUGCGGCUGCACUAAUUUUCUAGAUGAAUUUUUUCCUACAUGCUUGUUCUCGUAUGACCCAAAAUCCUACUACAUCAGUUGUAUUAGAAAUUAAUCAACUGGGUUACAAUUAUGCAUCCCCACCAAUAUUUAAGCAAUUUAAUUACAGAAAUAUUUCUUGAGGAAAGAAACUCAUAUCGCCACUAGGCUUGUAAUGAGGCUCAUUUUUAUGAAUCUGGAUGGCAUUAGAUAUCUCUACGAAUAUUGGUGGGAGUAGAUCGCAGAUCUCUGGGCUAUACUACAAAGUUUAUGUACGUUGACUCUCAAUAAAUACAAACGAUUCUCUGAUAUGAUUCAAACAUCAGUGCAUGCAUCAUUUUAAUGAGAAAGAAUAUUCUAAGAACGAAAUUGAAGGUGCAAUCAGCAGCUAAAAUGAAGCCAGAAAUGUACAUGCAUGAGGAAUUUUUCCUAGAAGAUUGAUAUUUCUUUGACUAGCAAACCAUACAAGUCCAAAGCUAGCCAAACCAUACCUGCAAGGUGGGGGUUUAAAUGGAAUACUUCUAAGCAUAAAACAUUGAUUAAAACAGAAUACACACAUACAUACCAGCAAAUUCAAAAUAGCAAGAGGAGUGCAAAAGUUCAAGUUUGUAGACAACAUUGCAACCAUGGCAAGUUUAUAGCAAAUCCUCGAAAUCUGCUAAAUAAAACAAUGCCCUGUCUCAUGAAUCAAUGCUUAAUUAAAAUUGAAACUGAAAGUCUGGCUGACGUUGUUUCCCUCUCCAAUUUUGCCUACAUAAGUGAAAAUAAGAAUAAUAAAUGAAAAUCUGCUUUUACAGUUCUUAUUAGAUAGAUAUAAAUGGAUCUUUCUUUGUUUCUCUGCUGUAUUUUGUGGCUAUCCCACUCUGUUUUGCCAGUCAAGCUGAGUCUAUGUUGAGACAUAAUUUUGACAUCAGAAGCAAUCUCAAUUAGUUUGGCACUUUUAUGACCUCCUUAAAGGUUUUACAAUAAACAUAAAUCUACUGAGAAAGUGGGAAAAAAAAGAAAAUGCAUAUAAAAAUAUGAGUUAUCAGAUAAGAUUAAAACUCACCCAAUUCAAUCCAUCAGAUUCCGUAAGGAUAUAACUGGAUGUCAUACCGCCACUCCAUAUCCUUGAAAGUCCGUAGUGUUUGUCUCAACUCUGUCUGAGGCCAAUGUAAAUUCAAUUUGCGCAAGCUCUUUAUGCACCACAGCUCUUCUGGAAGCUUUCUCAAGUAAGCACAUGGGUUGACGAUUAAGCUUUCAAGUUUCGGCAUUGCUCCAGCCCCCAUCGUCCACUCAUCUAGCCAAUACAUUGAUUUCAGGUGCAAAACCUUAAGUUCGGGAAAGCUACUCAAGCCAACACAAGCAAGCUUUCUUCCUAAAUACGAGUUCUGCUUCAGUUUCAGCACUCGAAGGCGUGGAAGAUUUUCCAGAAUUGGCAUGGGAUCCUCCAUUAGCUCAGUAUUUGAUAAGCUCAGUUGGAUCAGACUUGGGGGAAAUUGGUAUUCAGACAGGACCAUCCGUGAGGGCUUGCUCUCAUUCACCAGCUUCAAGCAUUCAAGUUUGUGGACUUCGCAAAGGCUUUUGGAAACCCCAGAUUGAUAGUAACUCAAAUCUCCAGAUAUCCGAAGAGUCUGAACACUAGGUAGUCUGCCCAAUAUUUCAGGAGUACAACUACUAGGGUUUAAAGCUGAUAUAAAAAUGAGUUUUUUCAGAGAGCUAGAAUAAUUUUUUGGAGGUGCGGGUAGAGUGAUAGAACCAAAGUUUAGAUGUAUGAGUUUUUGCAUCAUCCAAAUAUCCUCUGGUGACUGAUCUAUGUAGCUAGAUGGCAUUUCUAGUGUUUCAAGGUUUAAAAGGGUGCAUAGCAGUGGAGGAAGGCAUUUGAGCGAAGGGAUAUUCAUUUUCAAAUACUUCAAAAGAUAUAAAUUUUCUAAUCCAGGUGGAAAUUGGUCGAGAACUGCAGAACCGAAGUUCAGUACCCGAAGGUGUUUGAACUUUUUACAAAAAUUCUCGCAAUCUAUCACAGCGAGAUGAUCGCCUUCUGAACUUUGAUUGAUAAAAGAUUGGAGAUAGAUCUCACCAUGUUCUAAAGAAAUGAACUCAGUCAGAUGCUCCAAAAUGAUGUACCGUUUAACAUUUGCAAAUGGUUCCGCUUCCCUGUCAGGCAUCCAGAGAAAUUUCGUCUUGUCUGCCAUCAAACCCAAUGAAGUAUAUACAAAACUUGGAACAUAGCAAGCUGUAAUUGUGCCGCCGGCUCUUCUCUUACUCACAUGAAUGAAGCCGCGAUGGAUUAGCUCUUUUAAGUAAUGUUCGGCAGUUUCCUCACCGUUGUAUGGAAUAAAGCCUUCAGCUAUCCACAACUGACAUAAUUGCCUGGUAGAUAUCUCAAUGCCUGGACGGAAGACACACAAAUAAAGGCAGCAGACUUUCAAGUGAAAAGGUAACUCCAACACAGAACAAAUUCGACUCAAGAGUGUCAAAACCACUUUUUCAUCCAUAUAAUUUACUAAUGGGGCACUUCCAUAGUGUAGGAUGAAAAAUUUCCAGGCUUCAUGCUUUAAUCUGAUCAAUGGUCCUCCAACAGGCACUGAAUAAAGCGGAAUGAUCCCUCCAUGCUCCAAUUCAAAAAAGGUAAGGAGGAAUGGAUCAGUGACCAAUAUCAAUACUCUGCUUCCAUUCUGCUUAUCAGGAAGAACUUCUUCAAGAUCAUCCCAUAUGUCACUGUCAUUGAAGACAUCAUCAAGCACAAUAAAGUACUUCUUGUUUGUCAGGUAAUCUCGAAGAAUAGAUUUCUUCAAGUGAUAAUCUUCACCGAUAAUUACCCUAGCCCGAGAUGGAGGCAUUAAAGAAUUGAUUAUGUCAUCCAAUAUCUUGCCAAAAUAGUAGCCUAUAGAAACCCUUACCCAAGCAAGACAGUCAAAAUAGAACUUGACAUGAUUAUUAUUGUAAAUAUCUGCAGCAAAAACAGUCUUAUGGAAGCCAUUGCUGUCGAGAAUUGCAAUCACUGAAAGCCCAGAUGGUCCCUCAAUCAAUAGAUCAAACAACUCCUCUCUGCCCCUUUCAAAUUCACUGACAUCAAGCCAGUGUUGUCCCUUACUCAAUAGGCGAAUGAUUUUGUUACUUUGUUCAGUGAUAUCAAAACCAUUGUCGCUGGGUGGAAGUUGUUGCAUUCGAUCUCUAAUAUCAAUGAUUUUACUGUGGAGUCCAACAAGAAGAGCCAUAUUAGUACUGCUUUCACUUUCGUUUUCACUGUUUUGCUGCUGCAUGAUGUUGAUGAAGAAUGUGUCAAUCGCUUCAUCAGAUUCAUGGACAAAGUGAUUGAUGUCGUCCAGAAUUUCCAAAAUGUCCCGUCUUUUUACGUCUUCAUCAGUGUCUUCUAAGUCUAACAGUUGCAGACAAAGCCAAGCCAUUUCAGCUCCAUUGAGUUGUUCUCUAAUGAUGCGUCGAAUCACACGACGAGUCAUGUCACCUUCAUAGUUCCCGAGCAGAGUAGUAAUAAUUUCAGUCUCCGUAAAAAGGUUUUGAAAAAGCGGGGCUAAGUUUGUUGAAUCAGGCAACGUUAACGUGCCUUCUUCACCUGCUACCACCCUUUUCAACCUCUCACAAAAUAGUCGGAGGUGGACGUCCAGCAUAUCUCCUUCUCUCUGUGGCACCCAGAGGUAUUGUUAUUUGCUCCAAGAAAUGUUAAAAGGAUUGGUCCUAUCUCAAAGAGGUUAGUGGUGUAAAGUUAAACACAAUGGAAGAAUUUGAAAGGAAUAUACCAAGAAACUGUGUAAGUGGCUAAAUUCCACAAAUAUGGCAUUGUUGCUCAUUUUUAACUCAAAAAAAUACACGUUAAUUUAGCGAAAAGUCCAAGACACGUGCUUUUUGAAAAGAACAGGUAUCCCAAUAGGUAUCCAACCUUUAUCUUAAUCAAUUACUACCAUGACAUACUUGAUGGUGCUUAAAUCAAUUUUUCUUUUCUUAAUGUAAAGAUUUUAUUUUUUUAAAACAGAUUUUAAUAUCAAGAAAAAAUAUCACUCGUAUAUCCUUAAAUGACACUUGUAUCAAACGUACUACAACACUUUUAACAUGUAUCACUUGUAUACCUUAAGUUGACAAAUUGUGUCUACCAUCCACCAAACCGUUAGUUGCCGUUUGCAAGCGCUGACAUCAUAAAGGUAAUCUAGUCUUUUCAAAUGGAAGAAACUUUGAUUAAAAAAACGACAUGUCAUCCCAUUUACCUCGUAAAAAAUGACAUAUCAUAUGAUAUAUAUUGACAAAAAAUGACAUGUCAUCCCAUUUAUCGGAAGAUGAUGUCAUCUAUGUGAAACAACGUUGUUUCAACGGGACUAAAAAAAAAAUGAUACUCCACAACCGAAUCGACUCCUCCAAACUUUAACUUGAAUAUUUGAAGAUCUACUCAUCCAAGCUCCAACUGGAAUUUUUUAUGGUAUAAUAUGUUGUUAAUAAUUUUUUAUGGUAUAAUAUGGAUUAUUUUUUAUGGAUAAUUGUUAAUAAUACGUACCAUUAAUAAUUCAUUUUUUAAUAAAAAAUGUAUUGUUAAUAAAAAAUAAAAAAUAUAUUGAAAAUUUACGUUAAUUUUUUGGGCAAAUAUGUAUUUUUACCUUAUUUUGAGUUUCAAGGGCGAAAUAGUCAAUUUGUCAUAAUUCUGUUAACUUUCUAAUGGUAGCUAACAGUUUGGUGGACAGCAGACACAUUUUGUCAACUUAGGGUGUACGAGUAAUACAUGUUAAAAGUGCUGCAAUACGUUUGAUACAAGUGUCAUUUAAAGGUAUAUGAGUGAUACAUGUUAAAAGAGUUGUAGUACAUUUGAUACAAGUGUCAUUUAAGGGGAUAUAAGUGAUAUUUUCCCUAAUAUCAAAUUGCCUUCGAUGUUUUUACAGCUACAAGCUCAGUAACAGGAUUAAUUAAAAAGUUUAGAAUUGUUGGGCGUGCAAAGAGUAGUUUUAAACACCAGAAAGCAAAGGUUGUUAUUGACAUAAUUUUAUUUUUGUUUUCGAGGGAAUUUGUUUUUUUUGUUGACAAGAAAAUAGUAUUAUAUUUUACAAUCUAUUAUACAUAUUUUAUCAUAUUAAAGUAAUUUUAAUAUUAAAUGGAAACAUUAAAUUUAAAUUAAUUAAUUAAAAAUUGAAUUAUUUUGAAUAUUAUGUAAAAAAUUAUUUUAAUAUCAUUAAUAAGGAGAUAUUUUGUUAAUUGUAAAAUAUUUUUAACCCAAAUAUAUAUUAAAUUUUUUAUAAUAAAUACAAAUACAAAUAUAAAAAUAAAAUAAAUAUCAUAGUUUAAAAUUUUAAUGUUAUUUUAAAUAUUAAAAAUAAUUUAAUGCUAUUAGUCUAUUACACAGGUUAUAUUAUAUUUGCAUUAAUUAAAAGUUUUAAAGUCAAUUUUCCAGUUUCUAUAUUCAAAGGUAUAAUGGUUAAAAGAAAGUUCUUGGUGUUUCUUUUUAAAAAUUUGAGGGUCUUAAUGAUAAUUUUUCUAAAUCGUAAGGGUAUAGGUGUCUUUUUUUCCGAUAAUUUAUUUCACGGGUAUCCAAUAAGAAACAUGGUAAGAGAACGUCAAUUACUUAUCAUUUUCUAUUUUUUCUAUGAGUCAUUUAUUUUGAGCAUUAGUGAUCUUAUCUGGACUACUCCAACUAUUGAUGCAACUCCAGUGGCUGCAUCCACAGUUAAAUAUAUGAUAGUGUUAGCUCUUAUUUGAGAAUUUAGAGGGAUCUUUCUUUGUUUCUCUGUUGCAAUGUGCUAGUAUAAAUUUCUUUACCUUAAAAUUUAUAUAGUCUUGCAGUUAAAGAAUUCACUGAGGCAUUGUUGAUUCAAUUUCAGUGAAGCAAUUGUGGGUGAAAGAUAAAUGAAGGAAAAGAGAACAGAGCUGAAGUGCUAAAUUGGCUAUUGAAGAAGGAUGUCACAUGAUCACAAUCACAUUGAUGCACAACUCUCUGGAGGCAAAGUUUGUCUAUAUGUACUCUGAAUUCAGCCAAGCCAUACAUGCAUGAACAAAAAUUAAACCGUAGUUCUAAUCACAACAGUAAUUGAAGCUACAAAAGCCAGCAAAUCUGAACGAAGACUUAAAAGAAAGAUCUUAUUCAAGUUUGUCCCCAAAAGACAGCUGAAAUGAAAAAUAUUGACUGUUGAAUGGGCCAAUGCUGAAUUACAUUUCAAAUGGAAAGCUUGGCAGCAGUUACAAUGUUUCCCCCUCUGAUUUUCCUCCAAAACAAAUUCAGUUGUAAACAAUAACCGAAGUAGUAAUAAUUUAUUCAUCAAAGAAAAUGCCCCCAAGUUUUCAAUUAAAAAAUCCUCUUGUCCAAACUAAAAGAACUCAUAUCUCUAAAAUUUAUUUGCAAAAUGUUGGAAAUGAGGAGUGAUCCGUUAACUCUGUAAAUAAACUCAUGCAUAAUGUUAACAAUAAUGAUAAAUUACAUAAUAAUUAUUAUAGAGAAUCAUAAAUUGGAAACGCUAAUCAUUCUACUAUUAUAUAAGUAAGAUAAAUAUCAUAAUAAGUUAAGUUAUAAUGUAAUAAAUAUUUGCAAUAUAUAAUUAUUUAAGAAGUCAUUUAACAAUAAAAUAUUUUUUUAUCCAGUUGAUCAUAUAGCGUUAUCUAAACUCUUGACAAUAUUAUUAUUACUCACUUUUCUCAAAAAAACAUGAUUAACUUUUAGAGAAAGUCAUGUCUUUGAGAAAGAAUAUGUAUACAAGCUAUCCAUACUUUAUCUUACUGUGACAAAAUUGAUGGUGAUUAAUUGUAUUUUUUAAAAUAGAUUUAACGCACAAAUAAGAUGACUUUUGGCAAAAAUUAUUUUCGGAAGAUAUAGUGAUAGAAAAUAGUGAUGAUAAUUAUUGUUUAAAUGUGUAAAUAGCCUAAGCAUAGCCCGUAAUACCAAUAUUCAUUUGCACCUUGAAAGAAACUUAGUUCUAUAUUGUUUGGCAAGCAAGAAAGUAAAGGAAAAUGAAAGAGAACUCUAAAGAACCUUUUUUAUUAUACUCAGAUAUCUCAACUUAAUGAAUACUGAUUGACAUUUAUACUAAGCUACAAUCUUCACUACACACACGAGUUUGUAACAUCACAUAACCAUUUGCUGCAUAACUAACUUUACACAUCAGCUCAACCAGCUAACUAACUUUGACAGGUCAGCUCAGUGAGUUGAUCUGCUACAACCAGCUACACAGCAACAGCAUGCUCUGCUCCAGCUAUACAGCAACAUCAUGCUCUGUUCCAGCUUUAUCCGCUCUGCUUUGCUCUGCUCCAGCUUUGACAGGUCAGCUCAGUGAGUUGAUCUGCUACAACCAGCUACACAGCAACAACAUGCUCUGCUCCAGCUAUACAGCAACAUCAUGCUCUGCUCCAGCUUUAUCCAAUUCACUAACAUCCCCCCUCAAGCUAAAAUGUUUAGGAUGAACAUUCAGCUUGCUUCUGAAGUAACUGAAUUGUUUGAAAGUAAGAGCCUUAGUUAACACAUCUGCUGUUUGAUCUGGACUAGGCACAUAGCAUACUGCAACCUCUUUAGCAGUGACCUUAUCUCGGAUAAAAUGUAUAUCCAAUUCAACAUGCUUAGUCUUAGCAUGAUAAACUGGAUUAUAAGCUAAAGCAAUUGCUCCUUGAUUAUCACACCACAUUAUAGGAGUGGAGCUUAAUGUGAUACUAAGUUCACCAAGUAAGGAUUUAAUCCAGGUAACCUCUGAAGCAGCAUGGGCAAGAGAUCUAUACUCAGCUUCUGUGCUGGAUCUGGAAACAACAACUUGUUUCUUUGACGACCAGGAAACAAGAUUAGGACCUAGAUAAACAGCAAAGCCAGCCACUGACUUCCUAUCAUCAUGAUCACAAGCCCAAUCAGAAUCUGAAAAACAAUGUAAUUGCAGAGCUCCUUGAUUGUAGAAAUGCAGCCCCAGAUGGAUAGUGCCUUUUAAGUACCUCAAUAACCUUUUACAUGCUUCCCAAUGUUGAGUUCUAGGACUGGAAAGGAACUGACUUAACUUGUUUACAGAGAAGGCAAUGUCAGGUCUGGUAAGAGUAACAUAUUGAAGAGCUCCUAUAACACUUCGAUAUUGAGAAACAUUUUCAAGUGGCUCUCCUGAGUCUUUGGUGAGAUAAAAGCCUGUAGACAUUGGAGUUGGCACAGGACUGCAGUCUGUCAUGCCAUGUUUAUCCAGAAUAUUAGCAAUGUACUUUGCUUGUGUCAAGGAAACCCCUUGUGAAGAUUUGCUGACUUCAAUCCCCAGAAAAUAGUGAAGUUCCCCCAGGUCUUUUAAAGCAAAAGCUUGAUGCAUAUGCUGGAUAACUUGUUGAAUUAUGGAUGGACUGGAACCAGUGAUGAUAAUAUCAUCAACAUAGACCAAAACAACAGUUAGAUGACCACUGUUCCAGGCAUAAAAGAGAGAGUUAUCAGACCUGGAAUGCUGAAAAUGCCACUUGGAGAUCAUUGCAUCCUUAAACCUAUCAAACCAGGCUCUAGGAGCUUGUUUUAAGCCAUACAAAGCCUUAUUUAGCUUGCAGAUAUGAUUAGGUUUAGUUGAAUCAACAAAACCUUGAGGUUGAGCCAUGUACACAUCUUCAAUUAAAAUGCCAUUUAGAAAGGCAUUGUUAACAUCCACCUGCCUUACAACCCAGUGACUCAAUACUGCUAAGCUAAGAAUAACUCUAACAGUGGAGGACUUAACCACUGGACUGAAGGUUUCUGUGUAGUCAAUCCCAUGUGUCUGAUGAAACCCUUUAGCCACAAGCCUGGCUUUAUACCUUGAAACUGAACCAUCUGAGUUAUACUUUACUCGAAAUACCCACUUGUUGCCAACUAUCUUCACUGGAGUAGCAGGUAAGACUAAAUCCCAGGUGUGAUUGGUUUUAAGAGCUAGAUACUCUUCUUGCAUAGCUUUAUACCACAUAGGAUCAGAAAGUGCUUUGGAAACAGAGGUUGGUUCUGACUUCUGAGCUAGUAAAGCUGACAAGUAGAUCUUGGGCUUGAAGAUACCUGCUUUUGACCUGGUUAUCAUUGGAUGACCAGAUGAUGCAGGUUGUGACAAGGUAUGUGGAGGUGAAUGAUGGGAUGGUGAAGAAGGAGAAGAAGAAGUGGAAUUGAAAUUAUCAGAAAAGUAAACUGGAGUAGAAUUUGGGAAGGAAAUAGAAGCAUGUGACUGAGAAUCAUUAAGAAGAUAUUCUGAUGAUGCUGCUAAAGGUGCUUGUAACUGAGUAACAAAAGGAGUAGAAGAAUUAAAAGAAGACUCAGAAUGAGUUGAUGACUGACAGUUUGAAGAAACUGAAGAAAAAUCUGUUCCUGACUCAUAAGGAAAAGAACGUUCAUAAAAGGUUACAUGAUUUGAAAUAUAGACCCUCCCAGAAGAGUGAAGACACUGAUAUCCCUUGUGUUGUGAACUGUAGCCAAUGAAUAUACAUCUAGCUGUUCUGAAAUCAAACUUAUGUCUAUUGUAUGGUCUGAGUGUUGGAUAACAAGCACAGCCGAAAAUUUUAAGUGUUGAAUAAUCUGGUUGGGAAUGAAACAACUUUUGAAAAGGAGAAAUGCUGUUUAGAACUGGAGUUGGAAGUCUGUUUAUCAAGUAGACAGCUGUAUGGAAUGCAUUCCACCAAAAUUUGAGUGGUAAAUGUGCUUGAGCUAAUAAAGUCAGUCCUACAUCAACUAUGUGUCUAUGUUUCCUCUCAAUUUUUCCAUUUUGAUGAUGAAUGUGGGGGCAAGGAUGUCGAAAAUGGAUGCCAGAAGUGGUGAGUAAUGAUGAAAAUGUUCUGAACUCCCCUCCCCAGUCAGUUUGGACAGUUUUGAUGGAAAGUUGAAGAUGCUUCUCAAUGAAUAUUUUGAAAUUGGUAAAAACUUCAAGAGCAUCAGAUUUUGCUGAUAAGGGAAAAAUCCAGGUAAACCUACUGUAAUCAUCUAGGAUUGACAAGUAGUAAUUAUAUCCUUGGGUAGAACAAACAUGAGAAGGGCCCCAAAGAUCUGCAUAUAUCAGUUGUAAAGGUGCUGAAGUUUUUGUUUCUACUGAAUCAAAAUGCAGCAUGUGAUUUUUACCAUAUUGGCAUGCUGAACAAAAUUUCAAACUGUCAACUUUAUUAAAAGCAGUAGAGUUGUUACAAGCUUUGAGAAUGGUUUUGAGAGUAUAAGAUGCUGGGUGUCAUAAUCUUCUAUGAAGAAGAUUUACAUCAAUAGAACCCUUUACAACAACUGACAGACAUGACUUUUUAUUCAACUCAUAAGAGCUAACAGUAGAGAGCUGAGCAGAAUUAAAAACAGGAGAACAAGCAAAAAGAGACUGAAUUUUGUUUUGACCAACUGAACUGAGAAAGACUGAAUGAACAGCAGCAUGAGAAGAGACUUUAUACAAGCUGUUGUGCAAAUUUUAAUGUACUCGCAAGCGCACGAAUCUAUUAUAGUAUAGAUCAAUGGUGACGAGUGUCGAUCCCACGAGGAGGUAGAUUUUAAUUGUGUAUAGAAUUAAUUUUGCAAAUGGUUGAUUGGAUUUGUAGUGGAAAUGAUUAGGAAUAUGCUAAAACUUAAAUUAAAAUGGCGAGAAUAAAUUCUAAAAUUGGAAUUGCAAUGGCGAGAAUAAAUUGAAGAGAAAUGUAUUGAAAUGACGUACUUGGGUAUCUGGAUCCGUAUCAACAUGCAUCAUGGGCUAAAUAAUCCGUAUUAAUGCCAAUUAAAUCAUGAGGGGGGAAUCCACACCUCAUGAACCACGCUCUAAUCAAUAUGGUGCUAAGGGCUUAUCGUGCCAAAUAAUAAUAACCUUAUACUAGAGAGCCGGUGUAACCAAGGCGGUAUCUAGACAAGAUCAGUAUUAUUUGUCGACGAUAAGUCAAAUCAUCCACAAAAACUAGAGGGGAAAAGAAAAUAAAUUUACCAAAUAAAGCCCAUGACACAUGUUGAGACUUCACCUUCAACCCAAGCUUGAAAGGAAAUUAGCUACUCAUAAUUGAACUAGGGGCAAAAUGGGAAUUUAUUAAAAUACAAAGAAAAUACAAGAUGGAGAGGGAAUUACAGAAAAUGGAUCCCAAAAAUGGAUUCAGAGAUAUCAAAUUAGGGGGGGAGGCCCAUUUUUUAUAGAUACAUGGAGUAAAUCAUGGCCAUCGGAUUAAAAACAGUUUGGACGCUCAGGAUUGCGCCACGUCAUCAGUCAACAGUCAACGGUUUGACCACGCGGAUGAACAGUAACAUGGUUUGGUUGAAAAUAAUCCUGUGUGAUGCAUACACCGUACGCGAGAUUUUUCGUCCACUGAUAUGCUGCCACGUCACCAUCAACAGUACAUAAGAAUUUUAGUCCAACAGGAUCGUGACACCUCAUCAGUCAAUGCCACAUCAUCGGUCAAUGCCACGUCAUCGAUCCGUCUAUGUGAACAGUGUCGUGAACAGUAACGUAGACAGUACCGUAUACGUGAAUAGUACCGUACAUGUGAAUAGUGCCAUUUUUCCUUUUAUGCUCCUCCUAAGGUUUUCGACCGUCCUGAGUUCAAAAGUGAUGUCCGUUUUGCCGUCUGAUCUCUCCUUUAUUGUGAAAUGACUAUAAUGCCCCUAAAAUACAUAAAAUACUUAAUUAAAAUAACACACACGUAAUUACAUCACAAGAGGGUUAAAUACAUAAAAGUAAGGGUUGUUAGUAAGACUUGAAACGUAAAAUGACGGUUUUCUCCUUUAUAAAUAUGCAUUUUCUAACACUCAACACAAGCCACCUUUAGCAACACCUUCAAGUAAAAUUUUCCCUGUGUUCCUGGCCUUUAUAAAACACAAAUUACCAAGAAAUUCAACAGUAACUGGAUUGUCAGCCAACAAUUUUGAGAUGCUAAGCAAAUUCUUAGUAAUAAAAGGGACAUGAAGAACAUGGUUAAGAAAUAAGGAUUGAGAAGCUGAAGUAUUUAGCACAACUGACCCUACAUGUGUAAUAGCUAAUGCAUUUCCAUCUCCAACAAAUAACCUUUCAGUACCAGUGUAAACUUUUGAAUCCAGAAGCUUACCUAGAUCAUUGGUAAUAUGAUUUGUUGCUCCACUAUCAAUAUACCAGGAAGGAUCUUCAAUGUGUUCAGGUGGGAGUGAAGAAGACAUAGCAGAGGAGGAGGAAGCACUUGACUGUUCCAGAUUAUUAUGUCCUAGACAGAAACAAAAUUAGAUGAUCCAGGGUUGAAUGAGAAAUAAGCAGAUGGGUUGCUUUCUGGAUAUACUAUAUUUCCUUGAUAGCCAAAACCCCUGGGGGCAUUACCAAAACCAACAUUUUGUCCAAAACCAGCAUUUGAACCAAAACCUCCAAAACCUCUUCCACUAUUACCAUUAAAGGCUCUUCCUCGACCAUAUUGCCCUUGAUUAAAACCUCUGCCACCAUUCAUAUUACCUCUACCAUGGUUCCUCUGUGGAACAAAAGAUGAGUUGUACCUAUUUCUGCAUUUAUAGGCUGCAUGACCAGGUAUGAAGCAAAUUUGGCAAACAACUUCAGAGAAAUUACUAUUAUUAUUAAACUGACCAUAUCCAUAUCCAGAAUUAUUACCACCUCCAGAGUUAUUUCCAUACUGUUUCUGAAAAUUUCCAUUAUUCUUUCCAGCAUAUGAGUUCUUCUGAACAAUAUUUGCUGUCAUGUUAUGCAUCACAUCACCAGCAAUUUUUCCUUUCUUUUGCUCAACUCUAUUUUCAUGAUUCAACAGCAAAGAAUAUAGUUCAUCUAAUGUUAUCUUUUCACCUCGAGCUAACACAGCAGUGACUAAAGAUUCAUAAUCUGAUGAAUCAAGACCAGUUAAUACAUGCAUCACAAGAUCAUUUAACUCAACAGGUUUUCCAGCUAGAGCUAAAGUAUCAGCUAUACGUUUUACUUUUACAAAGUAAUCAGACAUAUGCAUUGCACCUUUCUUAAUAGUUUGAAUCUGCAUUCUAAGUGUUUGAAUUCUAGCUUGUGAUUGAGAGAUAAACAUACUAGCAAGAGUCUCCCAAAGCUGUUUUGAGGUUGUUGAGUCAAUCACAGUAGCAAGCAGAUUUUGUUGUAUCAAUGACAUCAUCCAACUCAGCAGAAGUUGAUCAGCCUUCAUCCAAGCUACGAACUCUGGAUUAACAGAUCUGGAUCCAGAUUCAGUAACAGAUCUGGAUCCAGAUUCAAUUAAGAUUUCAGCUCCAUUGUUGUUGCCAGAAGAAAGAAACUGCUCAGGACAUUCUCGAUCACCAUUGAUAAAACCUUCCAAACCAUUUCCUUUGAUCGAAGCUAGAAUUUGUGUGCGCCACAAAAUAUAGUUGUUUUGAUCUAGCUUUACAGGCGUAACAAAACUAAAAGAGUUGUUGUUUUGAACUGUAUUUGCCAUUUAUGGCUCUGAUACCAUGAAAGAAACUUAGUUCUAUAUUGUUUGGCAAGCAAGAAAGUAAAGGAAAAUGAAAGAGAACUCUAAAGAACCUUUUUUAUUAUACUCAGAUAUCUCAACUUAAUGAAUAUUGAUUGACAUUUAUACUAAGCUACAAUCUUCACUACACACACGAGUUUGUUACAUCACAUAACCAUUUGCUGCAUAACUAACUUUACACAUCAGCUCAACCAGCUAACUAACUUUGAUAGGUCAGCUCAGUGAGUUGAUCUGCUACAACCAGCUACACAGCAACAGCAUGCUCUGCUCCAGCUAUACAGCAACAUCAUGCUCUGCUCCAGCUUUAUCCGCUCUGCUCUGCUCUGCUCCAGCUUUGACAGGUCAGCUCAGUGAGUUGAUCUGCUACAACCAGCUACACAGCAACAGCAUGCUCUGCUCCAGCUAUACAGCAACAUCAUGCUCUGCUCCGGCUUUAUCCAAUUCACUAACACACCUUCAUUUGUGUUAUCACAUUUCAUGAUAUUCUUUCAUUUAUGACCAUUGUUCAAGAUUUUAAUUUGAUUAUAAACUAAGUUGCAAGGGAGCUUACUUCAGUUUCUAAGCUUUUCAAUCGUGAUUCCUGCAUGCCAAACGUAACUGACCUUAUAAUUGGUCUGUAUAAGAAAUCAAGCCCUUUCAGGAUCGUUUUCUUUUUCUCCCUAUUGUAGUAGUCAACUAAAUAAAGAAUGAACAACUAAACUUGGUCUAUUUCGAGGAAGACUAAGGCUUCCAAUACUAGAUGAACUUUGAAGAAAAUUAAUCCGUUGUUUUUAUUCAUCUUUGGACUAUGAAUUUAUACAAAGACUUUAACAGAAAAUAACAAAGACACAGCUAAAUGAUAGCAAUAAGUGCUGACUUGGUGGACCACUUCUGCAAGUAAAUAAAAACUAAAUAUUUAUUUUGACUAUAACAACAACUACGCUGAUGAAUAGGAUUUCACAGCAGCCACGUGACAACUAAUUUCUCCUUAAUAUUAUUAUUAGUAGAAGUAGAUUUUAAAACUAGUCUUGAUAUAUUUCAAAGUUGUAUUAUCAAUGUAUAUGUGUCUAGAUUGUAACUAUAUUUUAAAAAAUAUAAAAUUUUUAAUUAUUGCACAGUAUAUGUAGCAAAAUAUCUAUAGAAUGAUAUUAUUAGGACUAAGAUUUUUUUUUAUUUUAGAUAAGUUAUUUAUUUAUUAUCGAAUGAAUAAUUUAUUAAUUUACUGAUAAAUGAAUAUUUAUUAAUUUAAAGAGAGAUUUUUUUGGUUUUAACAAGAGUUUGUUUGGUAAAUGUACACACUUAUAAAGAAACAUAAAAAGUGGUUCCUCAAGUCAAUAGUAUUUGCUUCAAUCGCAAUGGUUCAUAAUAAUAUAGCAUAGUUAGGAAAUUUGUAAUUAUAUUAUGGCUCUGUUUGGUAGUAAAACUCAUUUAAGUAGAGUUGUUGUUAAUAGAGCUUUUAUAAAUAAAGCUUUUACUAAAAAAAAUUUAGUUGUUUGCUUGUCAAUGUCCAAAUUGAUAAACUUUUGUUCUUUUGUUAAGAUAUGUUUGUUUUACUUAAUAAUAGCAUCGGCAAGAGUUUUCGAUUGUUGCAACUUGCAAUGCACGCGGUGAGAGAAAAUGAGAAUCUUGUUUAAUUGUCAAUAUAUAAUGACAAACCUAAUCCUUUCAUUAGGAGUAAUUUAAUAAUCGUUUGUUAUAACUGAAUAUGUAUAAAGAAAGGAAAAUUCUAUUCAUAAAUUUCGACUUAUUUUUUGUUUAAAGUAAUUAAUCAUUCAACCAUCUUCAUUUGCCUCUGGCCAAUGCCCUUGUAGAUUAGUUUACUUAAUUAUGAUUAUAUACAUUUUCAUAUAGCAAGUGGCAUUGUAGAUCUAAACUAAGUUGCUAUUUCAAUACCAGCAAAUUCAAAAUAGAAAAGGAGUGCAACUAUUCAACUUUGUAGACAAUAUUGCAACCAUGGCAUAUUUAUAGCAAAUCAUUGAAAUCUGCUAAAGAAAACAAUGCCCUGUCUCAUGAAUCGAUGCUCAAUUAAAAUUUAAAUUGAAAGUCCGGCUGGUGUUGUUUUCCUCUCCAGCGAAAUAAGAAUCAUAAGUGAAAAUAGGCUUUGACAGGUCUUAUUUCUUUGUUUCUCUGCUGCAAUGUGUGGUUAUCCCACUCUGUUUUGCCACUCAAGCUGAGUCUACGUUGAGACAUUAUUUCAGUAUUGAGGUAACAAUAAUUUCGGACUCCGUAAGAAGGUUUUGAAAAAGUGGAGUCACAUUUGUUGAAUCAGGCAACGUCAACGUGCCUUCUUCACCUGCUAACACCCUUUUCAACCUCUCACAAAAUAGUCGGAGGUGGACGUCCAGCAUAUCUCAUUCACAUUUGUUGAAUUUGCAUGGAAUUUGCAAGGAGUAUGCCAAAGAAUUUGCAAGGAAUAUGCCAAGAAUUUGCAAGGAAUAUGCCAAGAAACUGGCCAACCCGCUUAGCUUAAUUCCACAAAUAUGACGUUAUUGCUCAUUUUUCUCUCAAGCACAUAAUACACGUUCUUCGAGACGCGUGCCUUCUGAAAAGGACAGGUAUCCAACCUCAUCUUAAUUACUACCAUGACAUAAUUGAUGGUUGCUUAAAUCAAUUUUUUCUUCUUUUUUUUUUUUAAUUUAAAGAAUUUUCCCUUAAAAAAAAUUUAAUAUCAAAAUGCCUUCAAUGUUAUUACUGCCGAAAGCCAAACUUCCUUUGGGUAAUUAAUUUAGAAGUGAAGCAGAGAAUAAAGUCCUAGAUGCCUUUUGAAAUUAGAAAUACAUUUUAUAUGCUUUAAUUAAUCAAUUCACUGAGGCAUUAUUGAUCCAAUCCCAGUGAAGUAAUUGUGGGUGAAAAAAAAAUAAAGUGCUGAAUUGGCUACUAAGAAAGAGUGUCACUUGAUCACAAUCACAUUGAUCCACAACUCACUCGAGGCAAAUUUCAUCUAUGUGUACUGCAAAUUUAGCCAAACCAUACAUGCAUGAACAAAAUUAGGCCGUAGUCCUCAUCACAACAUUAAUUGAAGCCACAAAAGCCAGCAAAUCCAAACAAAAACUUAAAAGAAAAUGCUUGGUAUAGAGAAGCACGAGAGAAAGACGAGAAAAACAAUGAAGAAAGUGGUAGAGAGAGAGUGAGUGGGUAGAGAGAGAGCAAAAUUCUCUCGUCUUUCUCUCGUGCUUCUCUCUCUCUAUCACUACUCAAACUUAAAAGGAAGAUCUUAUUCAAGUUUGUCCCCAAAAGACAGCUGAAAUGAAAAAUAUUGACUAUUGAGUGGGUCGAUGCUGAAUUACAUUUGACAUGGAAAGCUUGGCUGCAGUUGCGAUGUUCCCCCUUCUGAUUUUCCUCCAAAACAAAUUCAUUUGUAAACAAUAACGGAAGUAGCAACAAUUUAUUCAUUAUAGAAAAUACCUAAAUUUUCAACUAUCAAAUCCUCUUGUCUAAACUAAAAAACUCAUAUCUCUAAAAUCUAUAUACAAAAUGUCAAAAACGGGUGAUCUCUCAAUUCGAUAAAUAAAUUCAUGCAUAAUGUUACUAGUAAUGAUAAAUUACAUAAUAAUUAUUAUAAAGAAUCAUAAAUUGGAAACAUUAAUCAUUUUACAAUAUAUUACAUAAUAAAGAUAAAUUUUAUAACAAGUUAAGUUAGAACAUAUCAAAUAUUUUCAAUAUAUAUAAUUAUUUAAGAAGUCUUUUAACAAUAAUUUUUUUCUUUUUCAGUUAAUCAUGUCAUAUACCGUUAUCUAAAAUGCUGGCGAUAUUAUUAUUCCUCACUUUUCUCAAACAAAAAAGAAAAGAAAAAAGAAACAUGAUUAACGUUUAGAGAAAAGUCACGCCUUUUAAAAACAAUAUGUAUACAAUAGCAAUCCAUACUUUAUAAAAUUGAUGGUGAUUACAAAGAAAAAUUGUUUAAAAUAGAUUUAAUGCACAAAUAUGAUGACUUUUGGCAAAAAUUAGUUUCGGAAAUGUUGGGAUGAAAACCAUAUUAAUUGAGAAUUAAAAUUACUUAAUAAAAUUACUUAACUACCAUCUAAUAGAUGAAAACCAUAUCAAUUGGGACUUAAAUUAAGAUUUAAAUGUUGAAAUAUCUAGCAUUACUCACAAUAACCAAUUCAAAUUAUGACUAUCAUGUAGAAGCAAAUGUUUAUGCUUGGGUUUUUUACUUCUUGAAUUUGAUUGGAAAAAUUUCUGAGAUAGAGAAGUGUUUUGGAUAAUUUUUUCGGGAUUGAAACCACAAAUUGGUAGAGGAAAUUAAUUUUGGACAAAUUUUUCUUAUAUUGUAGGACCUUCUAGUUGGAGUAGUGAUGGCUUUGUCUUCAUUUUUGGUUCCUUUUGUGUCAGCAACCCCUUACUAUUCUCUUGACCCUGAGUUUGAGAUAGAAAUUUAUCAACCUCCAACCCCACAUCCACAAACAAGUUGAUUGAAACAAUUACUCUUUUAAUUAAGAGGACCCAAAUGAUUUAGGUUUCAGUUCUUAUCAUUUGUCUAUUAUUUCUUUGAAACAUUUAUUUUGAGCGUUACUGAUCUUAAUUAUCUGUAUUUCUCCAAUUAUUGAAGAAUUUCAAGUGGCCACUUUUUCUCCUUUUUAUAUAUGUUUAUUUUUUGGAGUGAUCAAACGGGUGAAAAAUCAAGUAUUCGCUGGUCUGUAGUUUAGCCAACGAUGGCUGAUCCACACAGUUGAUUAUAUGAUACUAUUAGCUCUCAAAAUCUUUCUUAUUUGAGAACAUAAAUUGCCCAUUGAAGUUAAACUAUGUUACCCAGCUCCAUGCACAUACAUUAAAUGUUUAGGUAGUUUUACAAAAUGAUAACAGCAUGCCAAAACUUGAUGUUGUCAUAUUCGACAUUUCAAAUUGAAAAAUAUGCAAGCAAUCUUCAGUGACCAUUACGUUUUUAUUGAAUAAUUUAAAUGGCCAGUAAAUCAACAGUCCGUGAGUUUUAAAUCUGUUAUGACUUAAUGUAUCUUUCUGUAUUCGUACACAGGUUAUAUUAUCAUAGUUUAAAAUUUUAAUAUUAUUUUAAAUGUUAUAAAUACUUUAAUGCUAUUAGUCUACUACACAGGUUAUAUUAUUUAUAUUAUAUUUGUAUUAAUUAAAACUUUUAAUGUCAACUUUCUAAUUACUAUAUUGAAAAGGUAUUAUGGUUAAGAAAAAGUUUUGGCAUUUCUUCUAAAAAAUUUGAGGGUAUGCAUGACAACACUACAAGAAAAAUGACCUACCAUGACAGUCCUCUGUGUGACAGUUUUUGGUCUGCAGAGCUACUACGAUAGAUGGAUGAUAAAUUUUUUUUCUAUCAUUCAUUUAUGACAUACUUGUGAUAGAAAUUUCAUCUAUCAAGCACUUAUGAUAGACUGAUGAUAAAUUAUUUGGUUAUCAAGAAGUAAUGACAAGUUUGUGAUAUAAUUUAGAUCAUCAAGUAGCUUUUUUAUUUUGACUUUAUUUCACAAGGUUGACUGAAAAUUUUAAAAUGAAUGAAAAAAAUAAAUAAAGAAUAAACGGUACCGUUUGGAUUAAAAGUUUCUCUUUGGACAAGAAACGACACCGUUUAGAUUGAAGCUAAAUAAAAACAAAACCCUCUUCAGUUUUCACUAAUCGAAUUUUUUUUCCCUAAGUGUCGGCACUCUCACUCACUCUCGUCUCUCGCUCAGUCAUUCUCGUCAAUCUCACACUCACAAAGCCCUUUUCACCCGAAAUCCUUGCAUGGGCACUGAACCACUGCCGCCAUUCUCUUGUAUUUGACUAUCAAUUUUGGCUCUCACCGAGAACUAUAUGGAAUACCCACCAAACGCAUGUGCUUCUACUAUUGAAUUUCAAUACCCUAACUGAGAGCCCACGCUCACCCACUAUUGUAACCGUUCGAUCAAUACAGGUAAAUAAUAUUUCUAGUGUUGUGUUCCAUUUCAAUUUUAAUGUUCUUGUCAAACUCGAACCCUAUAUAUGUAAACUUAAAAACCCUAGAUGUGUUCUUGUCAAAUUCGAACCCUACACACCUAAAUCUUGUAAAACCUAGAUGUUUUCUUGUCAAAUUUGAACCCUGUACGUGUAAAACUUGAAAAUCCUAGGUGUGCUCUUGUUAAAUUUGGAUCUAUUUGAUUGGUCUUCUAUGUUUCUUUAUUUAUGGAAUUUUAAACAUUUAUUUGAUUUUUUUGGAAUUUAAUUAUUAUAGUUUUAUUGUUAAAUUAAUUUGAUUUAGGCUGUAAAGAUCCUUGCCAAUUUAAUCGUGAUGGGUGUUGGGAUAUUGUCUAGGCUGCUUUAUCUUUGGGGUUUUCUAAUAACUAAUUUUUUUUUUUCACUUUUUUGUGGAUGCAUGGAACUAUAUAUAUAGAUAAUUCUCAAAUUCGUUCACUGUGAUGCAAAGUCUUUUUUUUUUCAAUUUCAUUGGUUAAAUUCACUAAUUCGUUGAAAUUAGUGGUGAUUGUGGGCCGAGUCGCAUGUGCAGGAAGUGGUGUCAGGUCUGGGCGCACAUUGAGUCAUGCACUUGGUGGGCAAUUGGUAUUGUUUCUAUUGUGUGUGUUGGAAAUAAUGUCAAUAUCAUCCAACCAAUGUGUGUUUCUAGUGGCUGUUUUUGCACCGAGCAGAUAAUUUAUUAUUACAUCAGAGUUCCCCAUCCCUUGUUUCUCUUUUGGGUAAUGCAGGUAUUGACUAGUUCAUUUCCAUUUUCAUUUGUCUUGAGGGAAUGUUAUCAAUUUUUCGAUCUUACAAGAUAUUGAUUGAUACAUAUGUGUACAAUACAUUAAAAAUCAUUAAACAUUUUGCUCUUAGUUACAAUUUUGAAUGAAUGUCACAUGGAAAGAUCCUCUAAGAAUAUCAAUAGUAUUGUGGUUUCUACUCAAUUUCCACUCUCCGCACUCAUAUGAGCAUGGUUUGAAUCUCAAGCCUUUUGUACCAUUCAAAAAUUUAUACCAAUUAACAACAUAGCUUGCUAGCACCACAAAUUGUUUCAACUCCAAGGCAGAGAAUUCCUAGAAGAUAUAUACAUAUUGAUAUAUACUUGCAUGUAGCCGUAUGCUCACUACCUUCGAAUUGGGGAUAUAGUCACUAUUUUUGUAUUCCCUCCAAGUGUUUGAUAAAAAGCAUGAAUGAAUCUUGGCUCUUUAAUUGUUGCAGGCCAUUUCUACCUAUGAGGAGCAAAGGAAUAUGAAGCUUAUUAUAUUCAUUCACAAAGCAAAGCUGAUAUAAUUCAUGGCAAAGCUUGAUGAGGUGUUGUAUUUAAUCUUGCUCAUGAGAUCAAUUACCUAUCUUGUUGGACUUUAUUCUUGUAAUUAAGGUCCAUCCAAAGUUGAUGGCUUGUUUGUCAGAAAGAUAAUCUGAAGGCUAUGAUUGAUUACUUGCGGGCCGAUGGAAAUGUCUCCAUGAUUGGUUUAUGAGGUUGUUAAAUUACUAAAUAGGUAUAUUUACUUUUCAUGAGCUUUAUCUUCGUUUUUCCAUUAUGGAAAUGUCUCUAUGAUUGUAACUUUUAACACGUGGAACUCUUGAACCCUAUGUUUAGUUAUAUACUUAUAUUGGGACUUGUAUAAAUUAAUAUGAUGGUUUUAUUAUUAUUAUUAUUAGUAGUAGUAGUAGUAGUAGUAGCAGCUACAAAAGAUCAAAAGAACUUAAAGGUGUGGCUUGUGGCUUUCUUGCUGUUUGGGCUUUAACUGCUGCCUCACUUGUCAUUGUUGCUAAUCUGGUGUGCCACGUCCAUUUCAGUGUAAUUACAUAAGUUAGUUUGCUUGAUUAAUUAAUUAAUUAGUUAGCGGAUUGAAUAGCCAGAGUACUACAUUUUGCAUAGGUCUGAUGCUGGAUGAAUUUUCAUGUCUUGGCUUUGGGGCUGCUGGAUUUUGCUGCUGGAAGACUAGAUUUUGCAAUUUUGUUGCUGGAAGACUACAUUUUGUGUAGGUUUGUUGCUGGAUGUUGCUGAAUGCGGAGUACUUUGCUUGGUUUUGGAUUGGCCUUUGUUGUCUAUUGGCUCGACUUUGGAAUAUGGAUUAACUAAUGUAAUGUACUUUGGAUAUUUUUAUGGUUAAUAAAGUUCACUAAUUUAGUUCAUUAGUUUUGGAUUUAAUUGCAUUUAGUAAUUUAUUUUCUUUCAUAUAAUUUUAAUAAUUUUAAUAAUUUUAAUUUUUAAAUUUCAUAAUUUUUAUUUUAAAUUAAUAAAUAAAAUAAAUAAUCAAUUUUUUCAAAAAAAAUGUGAUAGAAAAUACUAGUCAUACACACAAUUGAUAUCCCAAAAAAAAAUACAAUCCAAAAAUUUCUAAAAAAAUGAAAAUAUAAAAUAAAAAAAUAAUUUCCCUCUUCUAAGUAGUAUGACAUAAUUAUGAUAGGUAAAAUCUAUCACAACUUGUGACGCGAUUUUAUCUGUCAUCUUUUCUUGACGCUGACUAUAAUGACAGUAAGGAUAACCGUCAUCUACCCCCUAAGAUGACAGUUUUUACCUAUCAUAAUAGGUCAUUUUUCUUGUAGUGCAAUUUUUCCAAUUCUAAGGGUAUAGGUUUGAAAAUUUAACGUUAUUUAACUUAAUGAAACAAAAGGGGAAACCAAGAACUAUUCAAUUUUGUAUUUUUUGUUUGUAAUUCAAAAAAUACAUCCACCAAACAAGUUUUACACAUUAAUGCUGUCAUAAAACGAAAAACAGUUUGCCAAAAAAUGGUACCGUCACAUGAUUUCUUAGUAAGUCCAUAUUAGAUAUAUUUAUACAUUUUAGGUAUUUUAGUUAUAAAAGAAGUUGGUCCUCCCCCUAUUUAUAAAAGAUAACUUUGUUUCGAUAUUACCACUAAACUCUUACAUAGAAUUAGUGUAAUGUUAAGAGAGAGUAAUGCGGUUUUCCAUUACCAUCUUUGAAAAUAGAAAGAUAUGGAUGCGUGCAUUUAAGAGUCAUCGUGAAAAUCAUACAAUUCAAUUUCCUGACAUAUAUAUUUAUGCACGUAUGCCAAAAGAAUAAAUAGACAGAAAGUAAAUUUAUAGUCCUCACUUCCUCACAAUUGUUAACGUGGAGAUGCAUUACAACUGUGAACUGUCACUACUUUAGCCUUUUUUUUUUUUAAUUAUAGUGUGAUGGAGACAUUAAGGAUGAGCAUAAUAGUUAAAGAUGACUCAUUUCUCAUUUUCUUUUUAAAGUGCUCUGCUGAAAGCCAAACUUCCUUUGGCUAAUUAAUUUAGAAGUAAAGCAGAGAAUAAAGUCCUAGAUGCCUUCUGAAAUUAGAAAUACAUUUUAUAUGCUUUAAUUAUGAUUAUUUGGUAGACUAAAGACCUAAAAGAUAUGUCAAAAGUAUAAAACAGAGCGAUUAAAGAAAAAAGAAAAAAAAAACAGAGUAUUUGUGACGUAGAAUAACAAUUGGUAAAUAAAUCCUAAAUAUUUGAGUUGUUAAAAGCAAAUAUAACAGAGACGGUAAGAGAGAUGCUGAAACAGAAAACUAUUAGCUUAUCUUGAUUUUCCCACUAUAUUCAUUUUCGAUGCUUUUCAAACGAGAUUCUUUUAAUUCUUCUGGUGUCUCUUAUAGAUCUCCAUCCCACAUCUGCACUACGAACAAGUUGAUUAAAAUUAAAUACUGUUGGAGAUGUGGGGUGAGCGGUCAACUUGGUAAAAAAACUAUGUAUAAUAUUGUUAAUAAUAUAAAAUAUAAAAUAAUAAUUACAAAGAAUCAUAAAUUAGAAAAAUUAUUUAUUUUACAAUCUAUUUCUUAAGUAAGAUAAAUCUCGUAAUAAGUUAAGUUAUAAUGUAAAAAAUAUUUUCAAUUUAUAAUCAUUUAAGGAGUCAUUUAACAAUAAAAUCUUUCUUUUUUUGAUCAAUUGGUCAUGCUACAGAGCAUCAUCUAUUCGUGGUGAUAUUAUUAUUACUCCGUAUUCUCAAAAAACACGAUUUAACAUUUAGAGAAAGUUCCUACCUUUUAAAAAGAACAUGUAUGCAACAACUACCCAUACUUUAUCUUACCACGACAAAACUAAUAGUGACUAAAUCAAUUUUCUCGAAUAAAGAAAAAUUUCUUAAAAUUAAUUUAAUAUACAAAUAUGAUGACUUUUUGCAAAAAUUAGUUUUGGAAAAUUAGUGACAGAAAAUAGUAACGAUUAUUGUUUAGAUGUGUAAAUAGCCUAAACAUGAUCCCUAAUACCAAUAUCCACGUGCAUCUUAACACCUUUCGUCAUAUUCUUUCAUUCAUGGUCACUGGUUCAAGAUUUGAAUUUGAUCAUUAAAUCAUGUUCAAUAAUAUUAGAGAUCCCAACAAUUGAGUACCAACUUAAAUCCCAAUGCUAUGUGUCAUUAACAAAUGUUGUGUCAUUUAUAAUUAUUGAAUGAAUAAUUCGUUAAUUUAUUGAUAAAUGAAAAUUUAUUAAUUUAAAGAGAGAUAUUUUUUUUUUGGGUUUUAAGAAGAGUUUUGUUGGUACAUGUACAUACUUAUAAAGAAAUAAACUUGUAAUUAUACUAUAUCUUUCUUUCUUUAUUCAGUUUGGUGGGAUAUUGUGAUAAAUCAUUGGAUUAAAAUGCAUUUCUAAAUUAAAACUUGUUAAAAUCUAAUUUAUUUGGGAAGCGCAUAUUAUUUGUCAGUCGUACUUCUCAAGUCUCAACUUAGCAAGUUAUUUCUAACUUGUCAGUCUCUAUUUGUUCUCUAAAAGCUAAUAGUCUCGAAUCUCCCGCAUUUGAUAUCUUGCCAUUAUUGUUGGCAUUAACAUGUUACCUGAGAUUGGGAUUCAUUAAAAUCCUCAAUGUAAUCGGUGGAACGAAUGGAUUUCUUCUGUUCACCAAUCCACCAAAAUUUCUGUAAUUAAAUUCAAGAGUCAAGAUCUAUGCUUAUAAUCUAUUCUAACAGCUAAUAUUCUAUUUUAUAUUUACUUAAAUAUGAAGAGCUAUGCUUGUCAUUAACUUCAAAUGUGAUCGAAGCAGCCAUACAUCUGUAUAUUACUUAUUCCCAACCUUUUUUUUUGACUUCAUAUACUUUCUUUUCAUGUUAUUUACUCUUUUUUUCCCCUCUCUGACAAUUGAGGUAGGGGGUCAAACUUGAAAGUAUCUUAAAAUCAGACAAUUUUUUUUUUUUUUAAGAUAGCUGCUAAUAUGCUCUAUUAGACAAUGAUAAGUAAUAACCUAGUUGUUUGCAUUAGAAAUGAUAUUUUUUGUGGUGCUGAUAAAGAGGUUGAUUAUGAUUCAACAAUUUAAAAUAUGAAAACAUGUGGAAGACGGCCGCAAUUAAAUUGAUUGUAUGAAAAUAUUUCAAUGAAAUUUUAAAAAUUUAGUACUUGUUAUCUUAUCGAGAGUUUUUUUAAAUUAUAUUACUACUUGAACUUGGGUACUUGUUAUCUUAUCGAGAGUUUUUUUAAAUUAUAUUACUACUUGAACUUGGCUGCUUUUGUAUUGAAUUCCUAGCGUUGCCAUUGCUUCUACUCAAAAGCCAUUUAAGUUUGUGUAAGCUACCUAUAGUUUGAACAACAAUUUACUCAUGAAUUGUUGUUCAUAAUAGCAAUUUGAUUGAAAGUGCGGCUGCACUAAUUUUCUAGAUGAAUUUUUUCCUACAUGCUUGUUCUCGUAUGACCCAAAAUCCUGCUACAUCAGUUGUAUUAGAAAUUAAUACUGGGUUACAAUUAUGCAUCCCCACCAAUAUUUAAGCAAUUUAAUUACAGGAACAUUUCUUGAGGAAAGAAACUCAUAUCGCCCCUAGGCUUUUAAUGAGGCUCAUUUUUAUGAAUCUGGAUGGCAUUAGAUAUCUCUCCGAAUAUUGGUGGGAGUAUAUCGCAGAUCUCUGGGCUAUACUACAAAGUGUAUGUACGUUGACUCUCAAUAAAUACAAACGAUUCUCUGAUAUGAUUCAAAACAUCAGUGCACGCAUCAUUUUAACGAGAGAGAAUAUUCUAAGAACGAAAUUGAAGGUGCAAUCAACAACUAAAAUGAAGCCAGAAAUGUACACGCAUGAGGAAGUUUUCCUAGAAGAUUGAUAUUUCUUUAACUAGCAAACAAUACAAGUCCAAAGCUAACCAAACCAUACCUGCAAGUCCGGGGCUUAAAUGGAGUACUUGUAAGCAUAAAACAUUAAUCAAAACACAGUAUAGACACACACACACACCCCUACAUACAUACCAGCAAAUUCGAAAUAGAAAAAGGAGUGCAACUAUUCAAGUUUGUUGACAAUAUUGCAACCAUGGCAUAUUAAAGCAAAUCCUUAAAAUCAGCUAAACGAAACAAUUCCCUGUCUCAUGAAUCGAUGCUCAAUUAAAAUUGAAAUUGAAAGUCCGGCUGGUGUUGUUUCCCUCUCCAGGUUUGCCUACAUAAGUAAAGGGAAAUGAGAAUCAUAAAUGAAAAUCUGCUUCGAUCACUGUUCACAAAUCACUGUUCACAAAUCCCUAAUUCAAAAAUUACUGUUGAUUAUCGUUUUACAGCAGCGCCUCAGCUCCAGCCUUCACCCCGCAACGCAAGCAGCAGCCAGCGCGAACCAGUCGCGCCCAACGCAAGCCCCAGCAACCCAGAUUGUUAGCUCCAGCCGCGCGCAACGUAGCUGAGCAGCAGCAGACCAGCAGCGCGAACCAGCUCUCGCGCGCAACACAACGCGAACGCAGCAGUGCGUAGAUGCAGCCCAGCAACGCAGCGCGAACCAGCAAUGCAGCCUCACCAGCGCGCAACGCAAGCCCCCGCACGCGCAGCACCAGCAUCCCGUUUCUCGCAGCGCAGCAGCGCGCAACGCAGCGCAGCACCCGCAAAGCAAGCCUCACCAGCGCGCAACGCAAGCCCGCAACGCAGCAACGAGCACGCCCUGCAACGCAACCAGCUUACGCCUUGUAUUCCAGCCGGGUAAAUCGAAAUCCGUGAGUACAAUUAUUGUAACAAUGCCGAAGAGGAAAGCAUCCACUUCCAAGUCAUCGAAAAAGACACCCAUCGCAAAGAAAUCUAAGAUUGCCGCUCCCACUACGGUUCCAUGGAACACAAUUUCAGAUUCACGCCAAGCCGUGAGACAAAGAUCGAAGCAUGGAAAAGGCAUGAGUAUUUUGCCACUUGCGGAAUCCAAUCUCGAAGGGUGCCUUGCAUUCGCGACUCAACAAGAGAAAGAGAGGUACAAAGAUAUUUCCACGGGCAAAAUACUUCCAGCUAAGAAUUUUUGGAUAUGUCUAUGUUUGAAAGAACAUGUGUGGUUGAAUUCAAGGAGGGGAGAUUUCAGUUUACUGAACCAGGACCCACUCAACUUCCGAAGAAGCUUUAUGCUAGGAGUGGUGCUACCUCUGAUGACGAGUUUGACGACGACACUGCUGCCCCGCCAACUAUUCCUUCUACAUCCGCACCACCUUUGAGCAUUCAAUUAGAGAAAAUGGAGCACAAGCUGAACAAGAUGGAGCAGAAUUUGGCCGCAUACUUCGAGAGUGUGGGAUUUACCCCACCAUUUCCGCCAAGCCCAUAGACGUUAUGUGGAUCAAAGCUCACAAUUCAGGGAAGUUUCUUUUUGCCCUUAAUCCUUUAUCCUUACGCUUUAAUUUUUAUGUGAGCUUUGAUUAUCUUACAUUGGGGACAAUGUAAGUUCUUGGUGUGGGGGAGGGAUUUUUGCAUUAUUGAUGUCUGGAAUUAUUGUUUUCACUCUACUUAUUUUUUUUUUUCACUCUACUCAUCCUUAAAUGAUUUUGGAGUUAGUAUGCUUUAUAUAUUAUUAUUUUUUCUUUUCUUUUAUUUCUCACAACUUUUUUUUUCCCAUCUAUCUCAAAUUAUUUACAUCUAUUUUUAUUCUAUCAUACUGUUUCAUCGCUCACAUUUUAUCUUUCACUUUUCAUCUUUCUCACUUCUUAUCAUUUUUACCUUUCCUUUUAUAUAUCACCCAUACCUUCUUCUCAUUCUACACCACUAUUGAUGGUUGAUUCAUUUGAAGAGUGUACAUGAUUUGAUGGCAAAUUUACCAACUUUGUGAGGAUUUGAGCCUAUGAGCAACCACUUUGCUCUAAUAUUUUUGUUAUGUGAAUAUCAAUCUUAGUUUGUUUAUUCUAGAACUUGCUUUGUUAUGCAUGUUGAAGCCGCAUUACGGGAUUUUAUGCACUAAAAUGAUAAGGGCAAACCCUUUUCCAUUUUUCUAUUCUCGCAUUUUUUUUCUCUACCCGAAGAUCUUUAUUUGCUAUCUUUGUUUGAGCCUUAACAAUUACCCAUCUAAUUCUCUCCGUCUACUUAACCAUUUUUCUUCUUUUUUUUGAGCCUCAAUUUAAGGAGAUUUUUGGACUCAUUGUGUGGAUAUAUUUUGUUGCUUUUUCUACCUUGUAAUAAAGUUUCUCAAUUAGAUCAACAAGCAUUAUGCUUGAAUUAAAUUGUGCAAGGUUCGUUUCUUUUGUUUGAUUCAAAAACAAAAACAAAAAAAAAAAAACAAAAAACAAAAAAAAAAAAGAAAAAAAAAGAAAAAAAAAAAGAAAAAGAAAAAUCACAAAAAAAAAACAAAAAAAAAUGUUUACAUUCUUGGUGACUUAAGUAGAAAUAAGCAUUUUGAUAUCAUAAGUUCAUUCAAUGAGUUCAUUUUUCUCGUUUUAAUCUCUUUUUCUUUCGUAAACCUUUCUUUUUCAUUUAACCCAUUUAACCCCAUUACAACCCUCUUAAGACCCUUAGAUUUUUGCAUUUUAUUCAUGUUUUGUGGAUUGAGAUGUGAUAUAUGAGCAAGCUUAUGGUAAUAGCAUUCUUUGAUUUGAUUUGAGUGGAUAAAUGACACCCUAAAAACUUUGAGUGCAUGGAGUGAAGUUAUUGAGAGGGCUAUUAAAUCUUGUUGCACUUGAAUUUUGAAUGGAUCUCCUUGGUGGUUGAAUGUUCUUAUUCUAUCUUAUGAAAUUCUAUGCUUUAAAAUCCUUGUCUCUCGAAUGUUAAUCGACUUAAUUUCUUGAGGUAUGCUUUCUUAAAAUUGUUUUUGGAUGAGUUGAGAUGAGAAUUGAGUGGAGAUUUGAGAUUAAUCUUGAGUUAUAUGCUUGAGGACAAGCAUCAUCUUGGUGUGGGGGAAUUUGUUAGAGUGCAAUUUAUGCACUAGUUUUGCAUUGUUUACUUCCCUUAAUAUCGAUGUUUUACACUUAAUAAUAAUGUUUUACUUGUGUUUUACUUUUGUAGGUGCAAUUCUAUUGAUUGGUGAUAAAAUUGAGCUAAAAGAUGAUGUUUAAGGAGGAUUGUUCUCUUGGAGAAAUUAUGAGCGUCGAAAGAACUUUGUUGAUAAGGCGUGGGCGCGUGCUGUCAACUGCGGACCUGCAGUUUUUAGUUUAACGUGUUUUGUAUUUUUGGUUAUUUUUGUAAUUACGAAUUUAAUAUUUCAGAUAUUAGUAUUUUAUUUUAAAUAGAAUUCUAAAAGAGAAGAGAGAGAGAGUAUUUAAGGGAGGAAUCUAUUGUGAAAAGGGGGAUUUGGAUUGGAGAAAAAGAAAGAAACCCUAGAUCUAAUUUUUCUCUUCUCUCUAUGAAGAACUAAACCUAUUUUUCUGGUUGAAGGAUAAUGACGCUUUGAUUCAUCACUACUGUGAGAUUUUUCUUAUGCUUUAAUUGUUUUAUUACUUUUUGGGUAUUUGUUUAUUCUCUGAAUUAGUUUCAUGAUUAUGUUUGUUAAUUAGGUAAUUGUCCACUAUUUAAUUAUCAACUUAAUCUAUUGUCAAUUAAAGGAUUCAUCGUAUGAAGAAUUUAAUGUUUGUGACAAAUAACAUAGCAGAGAGUUGUGUUGUGAGAAUAAACAAUCUAAUUUAAAUGAAUCAUCAUAUGUGUUGAUUAGGAUUUGGGUCUCUCUGGUUUUUCAGGCUGUCAAUUGAUUAAAUCCUAUGAUCGUAUCAAGGGUUGUCUAUUGAUUAGGGAAAUAUCCAACGGUCGUACCUUGGUUAUCGACUAGUUAAGGAGAGAUUGGCUAUUAGAGGGUCUCAAUAGCUAUAACCGGUCUAUUCAUAAGUAAUAAUAAUAUAUAUUUGAAUCAAUGAUCAGUAGUCGAAUCAAGCUGAGUUAAUUCCUUCAACCAGAGCUUUCUCCAAUUUGAAUUACAACUUUAAUUUGCAUUUUGUAUUUAAUUUGAUUUUUAUUAUUGUCUACAAUUCCCCCAUUUUAUGUUUUACGUUUCAAAAGGAUUUAAAUAAUUACCGAUCUCUGUGGACACGACCCUGCUCAAUCACUAUACACAAUUUAUUUAGAGUAGGAAUUUAUUUUUGUUGGCUUCGACACCCAUCAGUUGAUUUGUGUUGUUUAUUGCUAGAUUUCGCAUAAUUGUUUGCUGAUUACUAGAACUGGCUCUGUUUGGAUCUGAUACCAUGUUUAAAAACAUAAAAAAUCACUGAUCAGUUUGUUUGGUUGCUAAGAAAAUUUGCUCUGUUUGCUGAGAAAGUUUCAAAGAAGAUUCUCGAUUUUUUUUAUUUCAUCUUUCUUACUUCACGAAUGAUUACAAACACACCUUUUAUACACAACUCAACUAGCUAACAGAAAGAAAGCUACAAAACAGAAUCUCAGUAAGCUUAACUAAUUUUGCUGAGCUGGCAUUACACACUUAACUAACUUCGGCUAACUAAAUUCUCACAUGUGCUAAGCAUGAGCAGACUGUUUGUACACAUUAUGUGCUUCUUUAACACAAUGGAGUUUUAAAAAUUUGGUACUUGUUAUCUUAUCGAAAGUUUUCAAAAUUAUAUGAAUGUUCAAACUUAGCCCCUCCCGGCACUGCCACUGCUUCUACGUGAAAGUCAUUUAAGUUUGUGUUAGCUGCCUAUAGAUUGAAUAACAAUUUUACUCCGGAUUUUUUGUCCAUUAUGAAAAUUUGAUUGAAAGUGCGGCUGCACUAAUUUUCUAGAUGAACUUCCCUACAUGUUUUUUCUCAUAUGACCCAGAAUACUGCUAUAACAAUUGUAUUGGAAACUAUUCAACUGGGUUACUAUUCUACAUCCCCACCAAAAUUUAAACAGUCGACAUUGUGGAAAGAAACUCAUUUCGCCACUAGGCUUUUAGUGAGGCUAAUUUCUCUGAAUUUGGACAGAGUAGAUUUCUAAGCUAAUGCUUGGAAGAUCUCUGGCGAUAUUACAAAGUGCAUGUACAUUGAGUCUUAAUAAAUAUAAACGAUUCUCUAAUAUGAUUCAAAACAUCACUACAUGCAUAAGUUAAUAAGAGAAAAAAUUAUAAGAUUAUUUAUGCAUCACCAUUUAUAGUUGCACCCUCUCUAAUGAAAUUGAAGGUGCAGCCAGCAAUUAAAAUGAAGCAGAAAUGUACAUUGACCCUUAAUAAAUAGAAACUAAGGCGUUAUCGAUUCAACUUCAGUUGAUCAAUUGCGGGUGAAAGAUAAAUAAAGGAUAAGAGAAUAGAGCUGGAGUGCUAAAUUGGCUAUUGAAGAAGGGUGUCACAUGAUCACAAUCACAUUGACGCACAACUCUUUGGAGGCAAAUUUUGUCUAUGUGUACUCUAAAUUCAGCCAAACCAUACAUGUAUGAACAGAAUUUAAACCGUAGUUCUCAUCACAAUAGUAAUUGAAGCUACAAAAGCCAGAAAAUCUGAACAAAAACUUAAAAGGAAGAUUUUAUUCAAGUUUGCCCCCAAAAGACAGUUGAAAUGAAAAAUAUUGACUAUUGAAUGGGUCAAUGCUGAAUUACAUUUCAAAUGGAAAGCUUGGCAACAGUUACAAUGUUUCCCCUCUGAUUUUCCUCCAAAACAAAUUCAGUUAUAAACAAUAACUGAAGUAGGAAUAAUUUAUUCAUCAAAGAAAAUACCCUAGUUUUCAACUAACAAAUCCUGCUAUCCAAAUUAAAAAAACUCGCAUCUCUAAAAUUUAUUUGUAAACUGUUGGAAAUGAGGAGUGAUCUGUCAACUCCGUAAAUAAACUCAGGCAUAAUAUUAAUAAUAAUUAUAAAUUACAUAAUAAUUAUUAUAAAGAAUCAUAAAUUGGAAACGCUAAUCAUUCUACAAUCUAUUAUAUAAGUAAGAUAAGUCUCAUAAUAAGUUAAGUUAUAAUGUAAUAAAUACUUUCAAUAUAUAAUUAUUUAAGAAGGCAUUUAACAAUAAAAUAUUUUUUUUUCUAUUCGGUUGAUCAUAUAGUGUUAUCUAAACUCUUGACGAUAUUAUUAUUACUCACUUUUCUAAAAAAAAAACAUGAUUAACGUUUAGAGAAAAGUCAUGCCCCUUAAAAAUAAUAUGUAUACAAGCUAUCCAUACUUUAUCUUACCAUGACAAAAUUGAUGGUGAUUAAAUCUACUUUUAAAAUAGAUUUAAUGCACAGAUAUUAUGACUUCUGGCAAAAAUUAGUUUUGGAAGACAUAAUGGUAGAAAAUAGUGAUGAUCAUUAUUUAAAUGUGUAAAUAGCCUAGGCAUAGCCUGUAAUACCAAUAUCCAUUUGCCUUUAUUUGGAUUAUCACAUUUCAUGAUAUUCUUAUAUUUAUGACCAUUGUUCGAGAUUUGAACUUGAUCAUAAAUUAAGCUGCAAGAGAUUUUACUUCAGUUUCUAAGCUUUUCAAUCGUGAUUCAUCCAUGCCUUUCUUGGAUACCAUUAUGUUACGUGCCAAUGUAACUGACCUUGUAAUUGGUGUGUAUAAGGAAACAUGCCCUUUCAAGAUUGUUUUCUUUUGUUUCCUUAUUGUAGUAGUCAAAUAAAUAAAGAACGAACAAUUGAACUUGGUCUACUUCGAGGAAAACCAAGGCCUGCAAUAUUAGAUGAACUUUGAACAAAAUUAAUCUACUGCUUUUAUUCAUCUUUGGACUAUGAAUUUAUACAAAGACUUUAACAAAAAAUAACAAAGACACAACUGAAUGAUAGCAACAAGUGCUGACUUAGCGGACUACUGCAACAACUAAAUAAAAACUAAAUAUUUAUUUUGACUGUAACAACAAUUGCCCUGAUGAAUAGGACUCCACAGCAGCCACGUGACAACUAAUUUCUCCUUAAUAUUAUUAUUAGUAGAAGUAGAUUUUCAAACUAGUCUUGAUAUAUUUCGAAGUUGUAUUAUUAUCAAUGUAUAUGUAUCUAGAUUGUAACUAUAUUUUAAAAAAUAUAAUUUUUUUAAUUAUUGCACAGUAAAUGUAGAAAAAUAUCUAUAAAAUAAUAUUAUUAGGACUAAGAAAAAAAUAUUAUUUUAUAUAAGUUAUUUAUUUAUUAUUGAAUGAAUAAUUUAUUAAUUUAUUGAUAAACGAAUAUUUAUUAAUUUAAAGAGAGAUUAUUUUGGUUUUAAGAAGAGUUUGUUUGGUACAUGUACACACUUAUAAAGAAACACAAAAGGUGCUUCCUCAAGUUAAUAGUAUUUGCUUUAAUCGCUAUAGUUCACAAUAAUAUAGCAUAGUUUGGAAAAUUGUAAUUAUACUAUGUCUACGUUUGGUACAAUUUUUCAAGAAGAACUUAUUUAAAUAGAGUUUUUGUUAGUAGAACAUUUAUAAAUAAAAUUUUUACUGAAAAAAUUUAAGUUAUUUGGUUGUCAUUGUCAAAAUUGAUGAACUUUUGAUCUUUUGUUAACAUGUGUUUUUUUUACUAAAUAAUAAAUGUUAGGUUACAAUUAUUUUCAAUAGUUUUUGAAGGAAUCAAGUUAUGAAAUUUUUAUCAAUGAACUUUCAAUAUGUCAGCAUAUGGUCUGUAAAAUUUGAGAGUUUUCCAAUGAGGGAAUAAUUUAUUAAAAAUAAGAGAAUAUGGAUUGUUCUGUUUUAAGGGCCGAUUAUUGAGGACAUUUGAGGUUGAGCUUAGGAGAUGUUUAAAUUGAGAUAUUUGAGGACAUUAUGUUAGCCUAAAGGGCUACACAUAAUGUAAUUUUGAUGAUAACAAACAUGUGUCUUAAGUAAAAAUAAUAAAUAUUGUAUUUCACAUUUUCACUAGUUUUUGAAGGAUAAUAUUUAUGCAAGUGAAUCAAGUGAAAUCAAGAUUGAAGAUACUCAACGGACAACGGCGACAUCAAGAAUAUAGUUUAGAGCUCAAUGAACAAAUUAGUGCGAUAAAUUCUUGUAAAGCCGGUAUGAUUUAAUUGAUGCAUGAUUUAGCAUUUGAGAAGCUCAAGAGAUUAAUUUAAUUAAAUACUUUUCAUAAACUAAAAGGUUUUAUUUUUAUAAAGUAAAGUAUUUUGUGGAUUUGAGUAAUUUGGACUUAAAUGCUAAGAUUUGAAAUCUUUGAUUUUAAUAAGUAUUAAAUUUCGGAGUUGGACGUUUUGAUAAACAUUUGAAAUGUUUUGGGUCAUACUAUAAUUUAUAAAUAUUUUGGACUAAAGUGAAAGGUUUUGAGAACUUUGAAAAAUAUGGGUAUUAUGUUGAAAAGGACCUUUGUGCGAACUAAAAAUUUCUUUGGGGCCAUAUCAUAAUUUCAGAAAGUUUGGGAAGACAACUACUCUUAGGAAGUUCUGAAAUUGGACCUAUUUGCAAAGUUUUAUGACAUUUUGAGCCAUAGUAUAAUUAUAGAAAGUUUUGAGCCAAAGUAUAAUUUUAGUGAACAGUGUUACUAUAGCAAUUCAAAAAUAACGGUAAUAUCACUGUUCCUGAGCGGCUAGCCGGAUAAAUCAAGCGGCUAACUGCUUGGGCGAGGGAAUUUGCCUAUAACGGCUAGUUUUCAGGCUUUAACUAUAAAAACUCAGCUCAAACUUCAUUCUAAGUACUAAUGCAUGCAAAUAUAAGAUCAUACAACAUAUAUUGAGCUUCCAAAAUGCAAAUCAUCAUUGAUUGAAUCAUUGUUGAGCUAUUAGUUGCAUAUCCACUCUUAAAGAGAGUUUUUGUUGUAAUUUUCAUUUCUUAUCAAAUUGUGAGUGUGUGAGUGUGUAAGUGUGGGAAACACUUGGGGUGAAGAGAUUGGGGAGAUAAUCUCUUGGUUGUAAAGGUUCAUUGACACCUUGGAAGUCAAUUGUAAAAACUUGAACCCUUGAGAGGCUUGGAUAGUGAAAUCCUCGAGCAUGGUUGGCUUGGAGGCGUGGACGUAAGCAGGGAUUGCCGAACCACGUAAAAAUCCGCGUGUUUGUUUCUCUCUUCCCUUGCUCUUUUAUUUUUACGCUUGUUUGAAUUUAUUGUUCUCUAUUUCAUUAAGGCGUUAGAUUGAUUUAUUGUGCGAAUUGUAUUGCAUUAUUUUUAAAAACUCAAUUCACCCUCCCUCUUGGGUUGCAUUACUUGCAUUUACAUUAGAGUUUAUGAUUGAGACUCGAUUAUAUCUUAUGAGAAAUUUAUUGAUGAUUUUAGGUUGAUGAUAACAGUACGCAUUUGUUACAUGAGGAUGCCAAGAGGUAAGUAAACUAGACUUAAAAACGAAUCACAAUAAACAAUAUAUAUGUUUGACUUGUAUGAAAAGUCUAUUUUGAUAUGUACGAAUAUAGAUUUAUAUGUCUCUACUCAUGUGUUUAUGUGAUGUGUUGUUAUGUAUUGGGCGUGAUUAUGUACAUAGGCAUAUGUAUGUGUGAUGGUUCAUUGUCAUGAGCACGAAAAUGCAUUGAGUUUUCUAUGAAUGAAAAGUGGAUUUUAGCAAAUGAGAUUUCUCUUUUAUGAGAUUUUGCAUUGGGGGCCACCUCUUGAGGGCCAGAGUGCCGCAAAGUACCACGCACAACACAAAGUGCCACAUUGCAGGAUACGUAUUUUAUUGAAAGGAAAUAUGAAAGUUUGAAAGCGACAGAAAGAGAUUUUUAUGAAUUUGUUUUACAGUAUUUCCAAAAGAUCAUGGCAUAGCAUCCAUCUACAUUAUGUAUAAGUAUGCAUGUUUGCUUAUUGAGUUUUGUACUCAUUAUAGUUUAUUAUGAUUCAGUUUCCAGAAGUCAGGAUUGAUUCGUGAUGAGUGAGAAGAUGAAUUUAAAUUGAGGAUGGUAGAUGGUUUGGCUAAAUUUUUAAGUUAUUCCGCUGGCUUUUGUAUUCGAGGCUCGAAUUUUAUCGGUUGUAAAGAGUUAUUUAAAUUCAUAUGUGAGUUGUAGUCAGAUUUGCCCUCGGAGUUCGGGUUGGGGCGUUACAGAUGCAGAAACAGAAAACUAUUAGCUUAUCUUGAUUUUCCCACUAUAUUCAUUUUCGAUGCUUUUCAAACGAGAUUCUUUUAAUCCUUCUGGCGUAUGCAGCCCUUGCUCUUCUUAUAAAUCUCCAUCCGACAUCUGCACUAGGAACAAGUUGAUUGAAAUUAAAUAACAUUAGAGAUGACGGACGGUUGAGCCGUUAACUCGGUAAAAAAACUCAUAUAUAAUAUUACUAAUAAAAAAAAAUAUAAUAAUCAUUACUAAGAAUCAUAAAUUAGAAAAAUUAAUUAUUUUACAAUCUAUUUCGCAAGUAAGAUAAAUCUCAUAAUAAGUUAAGUUAUAACGUAAAAAACAUUUUCAAUUUAUAAUCGUUUAAGAAGUCAUUUAACAAUAAAAUCUUUCUUUUGGUCAGUUGGCCAUGCCACAGAGUAUCAUCUAUAUUCGUGGUGAUAUUAUUAUUACUCCGUAUUCUCAAAAAACUUGAUUUAACAUUUAGAGAAAAUUCCUACCAUUUAAAAAGAACAUGUAUGCAGCAGCUACCCAUACUUUAUCUUACCCCGACAAAAUUAAUGGUGACUAAAUCAAUUUUCUCGAUUAAAGCAAAAUUUUCUUAAAAACGAUUUAAUGCACAAAUAUGAUGACUUUUUGCAAAAAUUAGUUUUGGAAAAUAUAGUGAGAGAAAAUAGUGACGAUUAUUGUUUAGAUGUGUAAAUAGCCUAAACAUAAUUGCUAAUACCAACAUCCACGUGCAUCUUAACACCUUUCGUGAUAAUCUUUCAUUCAUGGUCACUGGUUCAAGAUUUGAAUUUGAUCAUUAAAUCAUGUUCAAGAAUAUUAGAGAUCCCAACAAUUGAGUUCCAACUUAAAUCCUAAUGCUAUGUGUCAUUGACCAAUAUUGUGUCAUUUUUUGUUAACUGGGUGAUGAAUUUCUAGUUGAUAAAAUUACUUAAAAAUAUCUUAAAAAUCAGAUAAUAGUUAGCUUAAUUUUUUGAAGCUAACUGCUCAAGAUGCUCUAUUAGAAAUGAUAACCUAAUUAUAUAAAAAAAAAAAUGAUGUAUUUUUUUCGGUGUUGAUAGUGAGAUUAUCAUUCAACAUGUUAAAAUAUGAAAACAUAUGGAAGAAGGUUGUAAAUUGAUUGAAUGAAAAUAUUUCAGUGAAGUCUAAAAAAUUUGGUACUUGUUAUCUUAUCGAAAGUUUUCUAAAUUACAUUCGUGGCACUGCCACUGCUUCCAUGUGAAGGUCAUUAAAAUUUGUGUUAGUUACCUAUAUGUUGAAUAAUAAUUUUAUUCAUGAAUUGUUGCUCAAUAUAGCAGUUUCUAGAUGAAUUUUCCUACAUGUUUGUCCUCAUAUGACCUAGAAUGCUGCCAUAUCAAUUGUAUUGGAAAUUAUUCAAGUGGGUUUGUGCUCUAUACCCCCACCAAAAUUUAAGCAAUCUACAGAACAUUCCUUGUGGAAAGAAACUUAUUUCGCUACUAGGUGGGAGUAGAUUUCUAAGCUAAUGCUCGGCAGAUCUCUAGGCUAUACUAAAAAGUGUAUGCACUUUGACUCUCAAUAUAUACGAGUGAUUCUAUGAUAUGACUGAAAACAUCAGUACAUGCAUGAUUUUAUAAGAAAGAAUAUUCUAAAAUUAUUUAUGUAUCACCAUUUGAAGUUGUACCCUCUCGAAUGAAGGUGCAAUCAGCAACUAAAAUGAAGCCCGAAAUGUACACGCGUGAAGCAGUUUUUCUAGAAGAUUGAUAUUUCUCAAACUAGCAAACCGUACAAGUCCAAAGCUAGAAAAAGGAGUGCUUCUAAGCAGAAAACAUUGAUUAAAACAGAAUGCACACAAACAUACCAGCAAAUUCAAAAUAGAAAAAGGAGUGCAACUGUUCAAGUUUGUGGACAAUAUUGCAACCGUGGCAUAUUUAUAGCAAAUCCUUGAAAUCUGCUAAAUAAACAAUGCCCUGUCUCAUGAAUCAAAGCCGAAUUAAAAUUGAAAUUGAAAGUCCGGCUGGUGUUGUUUCCCUCUCCAGUUUUGCCCACAUAAGUGAAGGGAAAUGAGAAUCAUAAACUAAAAUCUGCUUUUACAGUUCUUAUUAGAUAGAUAUAAAGGGAUCUUUCUUUGUUUCUCUGCUGCAAUUUGUGGCUAUCCCACUCUGUUUUGCCACUCAAGCUUAGUCUACGUUGAGACACAAUUUUGACAUCAGAAGCAACCUCAAUUAGUUUGGCAUUUUUAUGACCUCCUUGUACGUUUUACGAUAAACAUAAAUCUACUGAGAAAGUGGGAAAAAAAGAAAAUGCAUAUAAAAGUAUGAGUUAUCAGACAUGAUUAAAACUCACCCAAUUCAAUCCAUUAGAUUCCGUAAGGAUAUAACUGGAUGUCAUACCGCCAUUCCAUAUCCUCGAAAGUCCGUAGCCUCUGUCUCAACUCUGUCUGAGGCCAAUGUAAAUCCAAUAUGCGCAAGCUCUUUAUGCACCACAGCUCUUCUGGAAGCUUUCUCAAGUAAGCACAAGGGUUGACAAUUAAGCUUUCAAGUUUUGGCAUUGCUCCAGCCCCCAUCGUCCACUCAUCUAGCCAAAACAUUGAUUUCAGGUGCAAAACCUUACGUUCCGGAAAGCAACCAGGGCCAACGCAGGCCAGCUUUCUUCCUAAAUACGAGUUUUGCUUCAGUUUCAGCACUUGAAGGCGUGGAAGCUUUUCCAGCAUUGGCAUGGGAUCCUCCAUUAGCUCAGUAUUCGAUAAGCUCAGAUGGCUCAGACUUGGAGGAAAUUGGUAUUCAGACAGGAUAAUCCGUGAGGGCUUGCUCUCAUUCACCAGCUUCAAGCAUUCAAGUUUGUGCAGUUCGCAUAGGCUUUUGGAAACCCCGGAUUGAUAGUAACUCAAAUCUCCAGAUAUUCUUAGACUUUGGACAAGAUAUUCUUAGACUUUGGACAUUUGGUAGUCUGCCCAAUAUAGCUGGACUGCAACUACUAGGAUGUAAGGCUGAUAAGAAAAUGAGAUUUUUCAGAGAGCUUCAAUAAUUUUUUGGAGGUGCGGGCAGAGUGAUGCAACCGAAGUUUAGAUGCAUGAGUUUUUGCAUCAUCCAAAUAUCCUCUGGUGAAUGAUCUAUGUAGCUAGAUGGCAUUUCUAGCGUUUGAAGGUUUAAAAGGGAGCAUAGCAGUGAAGGAAUGCAUUUGAGCGAAGGGAUAUUCAAUUUCAAAUACUUCAAAAGGAAUAAAUUUUCUAAUCCGGCUGGAUAUUGGUCGAGAACUGCAGAACCCAAGUUCAAUACCCGAAGGUAUUUGAACUUGUCGCAAUCUAUCAGAGCGAGAUGAUCGCUUGCCGAACUGUUAUUCAGAAAAGAUUGGAGAUACAUGUCAGAAUGUCCUAAAGAUAAAAACCCAGUCAGAUCUUGGGCAAUGACGCACCGUUUAACAUUUGCCACUGGCUCCUCUUCCCUGUCACGCAUCCAUACAAAUUCCGUCUUCUCUGCCACCGAGCACAGUAAAGUAAAUUCAAAACCUGGAACAUAAAACGCUUUAAUUGUGCCGCCGGCUCCUCUUACUCACUUGAAUGAAGCCGCAAUGGAUUAGUUCUUUCAAGUAAUGUUCUGCCGUCUCCUCACUGUUGUAUGGUAUGAAACCUUCAGCUACCCACAACUGAUAUAAUUGUCUCGUAGAUAUCUCAAUGUCUGGACGGAAGACAAACAAAUAGGUGUAGCAGACUUUCAAGUGAAAAGGUAACUCCAUCACAGAAUAAAUUUGUCUCCAAAUUGUCCGAAUCGCUUAGGCUUGAAGAUAAUUUUCUAAUGGCAUACUUCCAUAGUGUAGGAUGAAAAAUUGCCAGGCCUCAUACUUUAAUCUGAUCAAUGGUCCUCCAACGAGCACAGAAUCAGGCCGAAUCUUCUCUCCAUUUUCCAUUUCCAACGACACAAGGAGUUCUGGAUCAGUGACUGUUAUCAAUACUCUGCUUCCAUUCUCAUUAUCAGGGAGACCUUCUUCGAGAUCAUCCCAUAUCUCACUGUUAUCGAAGACAUCAUCAAGCACAAUAAAGUACUUCUUGUUUGUUAGGUAAUCUCGAAGAAUAGAUUUCUUCAAUUGAUAAUUGAAAGAGUUUGUAUAUAGUGUUUGGUUUAAGAGAAACUAACAAGAAAAUAAAAGAAAAUCAUAAAGAACCAGAUCUGAAAAUGAUCAUAUUCUCAUUUUUUGACUAAUGAUUACAACUUGUUAUUUAUAGUAAAGAUCAGAGGCGUCACGUAGCUUGUCAGUUUGUUGGAUCUAAUAUGCAUGCAGUACAGUUCGUUAUCUUUGCUGCUGAGCUGGAUAACUAACUCAACACACGUAAGCAUCAGCAGCUCCAUUUAAUCAGAUGCUCUCAUCUAUACCAUAUUAUCAUACUCUAUAACAUCCUCCCUCAAGCUGAACUGACCUGGAUGGACAUUCAGCUUGCUUCUUAGAUAGUGAAACUGAUUGAAGGUUAGUGCCUUGGUAAGAACAUCGGCAUUUUGGUCUUCACUGGGAAUGAACUGAACUGUAAUUUGCUUAGCUGUUACUUUGUCUCUGAUGAAGUGAAUAUCAAGCUCAACAUGCUUAGUUUUAGCAUGAUAAACAGGAUUGUGAGCUAAAGCUAUGGCACUUUGAUUAUCACACCACAUUAUGGGGGCUGUGACAAGAUGAAUAUGUAGCUCUUUCAGUAAGGACUGAAUCCAAGUAACCUCAGCUGUAGCUUGAGCCAAAGCUCUGUAUUCAGCUUCAGUGCUUGAUCUGGAAACUACUGCCUGUUUCUUAGACGACCAAGAAACCAAAUUUGAACCAAGAUAAACAGCAUAACCAGCCACUGAUUUGCGAUCAUCCUUAUCACAUGCCCAAUCUGAGUCACUAAAACAAUUUAUCUGCAUAGUGCCGUAAUGAUAAAAAUGUAAUCCAAAAUGAAUUGUUCCUUUCAAAUAUCUAAGAAGCCUCUUACAAGCCUCCCAGUGCUCUGCUGUUGGUGAAGCUAAAAACUGACUAAGUUUGUUUACAGAGAAAGCUAUUUCUGGCCUAGUGAGAGUCACAUAUUGUAAAGCUCCAACUGCACUUCUAUAUUGAGAACUAUUUGAAAUAACACUUCCUGACCCCUUUGUAAGAUAAUGACCAGUGGCCAUGGGAGUAGGAACUGGACUGCAGUCAGCCAUAUUGUGUUUGGCUAGAAUAUCAGCUAUGUAUUUAGAUUGAGAGAGAUAAAUUCCAGAUGCUGUUUUGGUAACUUCUAUCCCAAGAAAAUAACUCAAUUUGCCCAGAUCCUUCAAAGCAAAAGCAUUUUGCAUAUUGGUAAUCACUUGCUGCACCAUUUGAUCACUUGAGCCUGUUAUGAUUAUAUCAUCCACAUAGACAAGAACAAAAAUUACUUGAUCACCUAUCCACUUGUAGAAAAGGGAGUUGUCUGACCUUGAAUUUUGGAAACCCCAUUUCACAACCAUAGCAUCUUUCAGUCUCUCAAACCAUGCCCUGGGGGCUUGUUUUAAACCGUAGAGAGCCUUUUUCAACUUACAGACAUGAAGAGGUCGAGAUGGAUCAAUGAAGCCCUCUGGCUGCCCCAUGUACACAUCUUCAACUAAUAUGCCAUUCAAAAAGGCAUUAUUCACAUCCACUUGUCUGAGCUCCCAUUUAUUCAUAACUGCCAAACUUAAAAUAACUCUGACUGUGGAUGCUUUAACAACUGGACUGAAUGUUUCUGUGUAAUCAACUCCUUGUGUCUGAUGAAACCCCUUAGCCACUAACCUGGCUUUGUAUCUAGAAAUGGUUCCAUCAGCAUGAUAUUUUAUCUUGAAUAUCCAUUUGUUACCAACUACCUUAACUGGUUCACUUGGCAAAACCAGAUCCCAUGUAUGAUUAUUCUGAAGUGCUUGAAAUUCUUCUUGCAUUGCCUUAAACCAUUUUGGAUUAGAUAAAGCAGCUGAAACAGAAGUAGGUUCUGAAGGUAUGGCUAGUAAAGCAGCUAAAUAAGAUUUAGGCUUAAAUAUACCAGCCUUGGAUCUGGUUAUCAUGGGAUGACCUAUAGGUGGUGCAGCAGGUAAUAUAUGAGGAGGAGAUUGUGUAUGAUGUAUAGGAUGUGUAUGUGAUGUCAAAGUAGAAGAUGAAGAGGAGGUUGAAGAAGGAGAGAAUACCUGUGGAGUGUCAGCAGGUAGGUAAUCACUUGCUAGAGAUUGUUGCAGGGGGGAUUGUACUUGUGGGAUUGGAACAAGAGUAACUUUGGACUCUGAAGAAAUAUCUGAGGGACUGCAAGACUGAGCAAUGGAAGAGAAGUCUAAUCCAGAUACAUAUGGAAAAGAUUGUUCAUCAAAGAUGACAUGAUUGGACACAUACACACGACCAGAUGAAUGAAGACACUGAUACCCUUUAUGAGAAGAGCUAUACCCAAUAAAAACACAUCUGUUUGAUCUAAAACUGAGCUUGUGUCUGUUAUAAGGUCUGAGAUAAGGAAAGCAAGCACAACCAAAGACCCUAAGAGAGACAUAAUCUGGUACUUGCUGAAAAAGUUUUUGGUAAGGUGAAAUGUAUUCAAAGUUGGUGUGGGUAGUCUGUUAAUAAGGAAUACAACAGUAUGAAAGGCAUUCCACCAGAACUUAAGUGGUAAAUUAGCUUGAGCUAACAGAGUGAGGCCAAUGUCCACUAUGUGUCUAUGUUUUCUCUCAAUUCUUCCAUUUUGAUGAUGGAUAUGUGGACAAGGAUGCCUGAACUGAAUUCCAAACUGAGUGAGAUAUGAUGCAAAGGUUCUAAACUCCCCUCCCCAAUCUGUUUGAACUGUUUUGAUGUGUUGUUGUAAGUGUUUUUCAAUAAAAGAUUUGAAUUCUGUGAAAACUUGGAGUGCAUCUGAUUUGGCAGUCAAAGGAAAAAUCCAUGUGAAUCUGCUAAAAUCAUCUAAAAUGGACAAAUAAUAUAUAUAGCCUUGAGUGGAUGCAACAUGUGAUGGUCCCCACAAAUCAGCAUAUAUAAGUUGUAAUGGUGCUGUUGUUUUUGUUGGAAUAGAUCCAAAAUGUAAAAGGUGACUUUUACCAUGUUGACAGGCAUUGCAAAAGUUUGGAGUUUUAUUGAGUACAUUGAAACUAUUACAAGCUUUCAAUACAGAUUUGAGUGUGUGUAAGGCAGGAUGUCCUAGCCUUUUAUGGAAAACAUUGACAUCGACUGAGCUAGUAUUGACAGCCAAGGCUGAUUUACACAGCAAAUGAUGAGACAAAGUACUCUUACUUAUUUCAGGAGAAAUAUCACUAGACAAAGGAGAAUGAAAAGCAAACAAAGACUGAGGUUUAUUGGAAGAAAGUUGACAAGACAAGGCUGAGCUAGUUUCAGAGACUUGAGCUGCAGAUUGGACUUGAUACAAUCCCCCUGUUGCAAUUCCUCUAAGCAAAGUGAUCCCUGAGUUCCUGGCCUUGACAACACAGACAUUUGCAAAAAACUCAAGUGUCACAUUAUUAUCUACUAAGAGCUUUGAAACACUGAGUAAAUUUUUCUUAAUAUUUGGAACAUGAAGAACAUGGUUUAAACACAAGGGUUUAUUUGCAGUAGUAGCUAGCAAUACUGAUCCAAUAUGCUGAAUAUGCAAUGCAGAACCAUUCCCAACAAGCAAUUUGUCAGUUCCAACAUAUGGCUUGAGAUCCAGUAAUUUACCUGGGUCAUUUGUGAUGUGGUUAGUAGCACCACUGUCAAUGUACCAAGCUGGAUCUUCAAUCAUCUCAGGUGCAUGAGCUGGAACAGGGACUGAAGGAGAUCCAGAGUAAUCUCCAGUAGGAGCAAAAGCAUGAGCAGGAGAGUAACCACCAUGAGAAUUAGAUGGUUGAUAAACAUUGAAAGCAGCUGGAUCUGAAUACAUCAAAUGGCCUUGAUAACCAGGUGCUCUUGGUAUGUUGAAAUUACCAAACUGAGAGUUACCAAUUCCAGCACCAUAUUGAGGAUUAAGAUUUCUACCAAAAUUACCAAAAUUUCCAUAAGCCAUAGAAGACCUAUUGCCAUUAGCAUAGCCAAAACCUCUACCAUACUGCCUCUGACCAGGCCUAAAAUUUCCAUUAAAACCACCUCUUCCUUGAUUUCUUGAAGGAACAAAAGCUGAGUUAAACCUAUUCCUGCAUUUAUUGGCACCAUGACCAGGAAUGAAAUAGAUCUGACAUACAAUUUGUGAGAAGUUACCAUCACUAGAUCCAGCUCCAGAAUUAUAACUUCCUCCAUACGAUCCAAUGUUAAACUUCUGAUUACCACUAGUGUUUUUACUAGGAUUGAACUGCUUUUGAGCAACAUUAGCUGACAAGUUAUGUGUAACAUCACUUGCAAUUUUUCCUCUCUUUUGUUCCACAUGAUUUUCAUGACUCAAUAACAAUGAAUAAAACUCAUCAAGACUGAUAUUAUCUCCUCUAGCUAACACAGUAGUAACUAGUGAUUCAUAAUCAGAGGAAUCCAAUCCAGUCAAAACAUGUUGAACGAAAUCAUUCACUUCAACAGGUUUUCCAGCUAAAGCCAAGCUAUCAGAUAUCCUUUUCAUUUUUGCAAAAUAAUCAGUUAUGGACAUCGAGCCUUUUUUAAGAGUUUGGAUUUGCAUUUUUAGAGGCAUUAUUCUAGCUUGUGACUGGGAAACAAACAUACUUGUAAGUGUAUCCAGCAGCUCCUUUGCAGUUGAGCAGUGGAUCACAGUUGUCAACAGAUUCGGCUGAAUAGAUGAGAGCAUCCAGCUCAGAAUCAAUUGAUCCGUCUUUAUCCACAUUGUGUAAGCUGGAUUGAUCUCUUGAUUCUCUGUUCCAGUUGAGAAACCAGCAGCAGAGCUUAUAGCAGAGAAAAAUUUUCCCGGACAGACUUGAUUUCCAUUGAUGAAAUCUUCUAAACCAUUUCCUUUAAUGGAUAUGAGAAUCUGAGUUCGCCAAACAAUGAAGUUAUUAUGAUCUAGUUUUAUCGGAGUAAUAAAACUAUAGGAUCCAGAAUUUUGAUUCGAAUUUGCCAUUUGUUAGCUCUGAUACCAUGAAAGAGUUUGUAUAUAGUGUUUGGUUUAAGAGAAACUAACAAGAAAAUAAAAGAAAAUCAUAAAGAACCAGAUCUGAAAAUGAUCAUAUUCUCAUUUUUUGACUAAUGAUUACAACUUGUUAUUUAUAGUAAAUAUCAGAGGCGUCACGUAGCUUGUCAGUUUGUUGGAUCUAAUAUGCAUGCAAUACAGUUCGUUAUCUUUGCUGCUGAGCUGGAUAACUAACUCAACACACGUAAGCAUCAGCAGCUCCAUUUAAUCAGAUGCUCUCAUCUGUACCAUAUUAUCAUACUCUAUAACAUCCUCCCUCAAGCUGAACUGACCUGGAUGGACAUUCAGCUUGCUUCUUAGAUAGUGAAACUGAUUGAAGGUUAGUGCCUUGGUAAGAACAUCGGCAUUUUGGUCUUCACUGGGAAUGAACUGAACUGUAAUUUGCUUAGCUGUUACUUUGUCUCUGAUGAAGUGAAUAUCAAGCUCAACAUGCUUAGUUUUAGCAUGAUAAACAGGAUUGUGAGCUAAAGCUAUGGCACUUUGAUUAUCACACCACAUUAUGGGGGCUGUGACAAGAUGAAUAUGUAGCUCUUUCAGUAAGGACUGAAUCCAAGUAACCUCAGCUGUAGCUUGAGCCAAAGCUCUGUAUUCAGCUUCAGUGCUUGAUCUGGAAACUACUGCCUGUUUCUUAGACGACCAAGAAACCAAAUUUGAACCAAGAUAAACAGCAUAACCAGCCACUGAUUUGCGAUCAUCCUUAUCACAUGCCCAAUCUGAGUCACUAAAACAAUUUAUCUGCAUAGUGCCGUAAUGAUAAAAAUGUAAUCCAAAAUGAAUUGUUCCUUUCAAAUAUCUAAGAAGCCUCUUACAAGCCUCCCAGUGCUCUGCUGUUGGUGAAGCUAAAAACUGACUAAGUUUGUUUACAGAGAAAGCUAUUUCUGGCCUAGUGAGAGUCACAUAUUGUAAAGCUCCAACUGCACUUCUAUAUUGAGAACUAUUUGAAAUAACACUUCCUGACCCCUUUGUAAGAUAAUGACCAGUGGCCAUGGGAGUAGGAACUGGACUGCAGUCAGCCAUAUUGUGUUUGGCUAGAAUAUCAGCUAUGUAUUUAGAUUGAGAGAGAUAAAUUCCAGAUGCUGUUUUGGUAACUUCUAUCCCAAGAAAAUAACUCAAUUUGCCCAGAUCCUUCAAAGCAAAAGCAUUUUGCAUAUUGGUAAUCACUUGCUGCACCAUUUGAUCACUUGAGCCUGUUAUGAUUAUAUCAUCCACAUAGACAAGAACAAAAAUUACUUGAUCACCUAUCCACUUGUAGAAAAGGGAGUUGUCUGACCUUGAAUUUUGGAAACCCCAUUUCACAACCAUAGCAUCUUUCAGUCUCUCAAACCAUGCCCUGGGGGCUUGUUUUAAACCGUAGAGAGCCUUUUUCAACUUACAGACAUGAAGAGGUCGAGAUGGAUCAAUGAAGCCCUCUGGCUGCCCCAUGUACACAUCUUCAACUAAUAUGCCAUUCAAAAAGGCAUUAUUCACAUCCACUUGUCUGAGCUCCCAUUUAUUCAUAACUGCCAAACUUAAAAUAACUCUGACUGUGGAUGCUUUAACAACUGGACUGAAUGUUUCUGUGUAAUCAACUCCUUGUGUCUGAUGAAACCCCUUAGCCACUAACCUGGCUUUGUAUCUAGAAAUGGUUCCAUCAGCAUGAUAUUUUAUCUUGAAUAUCCAUUUGUUACCAACUACCUUAACUGGUUCACUUGGCAAAACCAGAUCCCAUGUAUGAUUAUUCUGAAGUGCUUGAAAUUCUUCUUGCAUUGCCUUAAACCAUUUUGGAUCAGAUAAAGCAGUUGAAACAGAAGUAGGUUCUGAAGGUAUGGCUAGUAAAGCAGCUAAAUAAGAUUUAGGCUUAAAUAUACCAGUCUUGGAUCUGGUUAUCAUGGGAUGACCUAUAGGUGGUGCAGCAGGUAAUAUAUGAGGAGGAGAUUGUGUACACACUGAUCCAUGUACAACACAUCUCUUGAUUAUCUGUGUGUGUGCUGCUCAUCAAUGAUUAACAAGAUACAGUAGUUUUGUGAAGUCUCAUGUCUUGUGUUACAAAAUUUUGUGAUGGAAAGAAGGAAUAAUUCAACUAAAAAAAAAAAACACACGCGCGCAGCACACACACAGAGGGCCGCAACUAGCCCUUGAACCCCUAUUGAACUCGCACAAGAUACUAUUGAACUAAAUUCAAAAACAGCUGUUAAUAGCAUCUUAAAAUAUGGGUUCUAUCCAUACUCCCACCUGAAUCAUUUCUUGCGGCAUGACUCAAAAAUAACAAUAAGCCUGUCGCACCGAUAACUCAUUAGUGCAAUUUUUUUAACUCAAAAAAUUGAUACGCGUUCAUUUAGCGAAAAGUCCAAGACGCUUGCCUUUUGAAAAGAAGAGGUAUCCAAUAGAUAUCCAACCUUUAUCUUAUUUAAUUACUACCACGACAUGAUUGAUGGUGCUUAAAUCGAUUGUUUCUUUUUUAAUUUAAAGAAUUUUUCAUUAAAAAAUAUUUUAAUAUCAAAUUGCCUUCAAUAGCGUAACUGCCGCAGGCCCAGUAACAAGAUUAAUUAAAAUUUUUUGAAUUUUUGGGCAUGGAAAGAGUAGUAUUAGACUUCAGAAAGCUUAAGGUUGUUAUGUUAAAGAAUUGAUAUUGACAUAAUUUUAUUUUGGUUUUCGGGAAACAAAUUAUUUGUUGACAAGCAAGAAAAUAUUUUUGUAUUUUACAAUUUAUUAUACAUAUUUUAUCAUAUUAAAGUAAUUUUAAUAAUAAAUAGACACAUAAUAUUACAACAAAUAAAGUAAAGUUUAAAUUAUUUUGAAUAUUAUAAAAAUAAUUUUAAUAUUAUUAAUAGGAAGACAUUUUGUUAAUUUUAAAAUCUUUUUAACCUAAAGGUUUAUUUAAAAUCUUUAGAAAUCUCCAUCCCACAUCUACCCUAUUAAACAAGUUGAUGGAAAUUGAACAAUUGCUUUUUGAAGUGGACCCAUUGAGUUAUGUUCAUUACUGGUCAUUGUCUAUUCUUUCUAAGAGCCACUUGUUUUGAGCAUUAGCAAUCCUAUCUGGACUACUCCAAUUAUUGAUGUAACUCCAAUGGUUGCAUCAACAGUUGAAUGUAAGAUAGUGUUAGUUCUUUUUUGAGAAUAUAGAGGGAUCUUUAUUUGUUUCUCCGUUGUAGCGUAUUAGUAUAAAUUUCUUUACCUUACAGUUCCUACAGUCUUCCUGUUAAUGAAUUCGCUGAGGCAUUAUUGAUCCAAUCUCAGUGAAGUAAUUGUGGGUGAAAAAAAAAAAUAAAGGAUAAGAGAACGUAGCUGAAGUGCUGAAUUGACUAUUAAAGAAGAGCGUCACCUGAUCACAAUCACAUUGAUGCACAACUCACUCAGAUCAUUACAACGUCCUUUUCGCUAAUUAAUUAUGAUUAUAUACAUUUUCAUAUGGCAAGUGGCAUUGUAGAUCUAAACUACGUUGCUAUUUCAUUACGUUAAUUAAGUGAUUCUCCUCAUUGUCAUCAGCGCUUUUUGGGCAUGGAAAGAGUAGUAUUAAACAUUAGAAAGCAAAGGUUGUUCUGUCAAAGAAUUGAUAUUGGCAUAAUUUUAUUUUUGCUUUCGAGUAAAAAAAAAAAAAUUGUUGACAAGCAAGAUACUGUUUUUAUAUUUUACAGUCAGUUAUACAUAUUUUAUCAUAUUAAAGUAAUUUUAAUAAUAAAUGGAAACAUAACAUUACAAUAAAUCAAUUAAAGUUUAAAUUAUUUUGAAUAUUAUAAAAAAUAAUUUUAAUAUUAUUAAUAGGAAGAUAUUUUGUUUAUUGUAAAAUCUUUUUAACCCAAAGGUUUAUUUAAAAUCGUUAUAAUAAAUAAAAAUAUAAAAACAAAAUAAAUAUCAUAAUUUAAAAUUUUAAUAUUAUUUUAAAUAUUAAAAAUACUUUAAUGCUAUUAGUCUACUACCCAGGUUAUAUUACGUAUAUUAUAUUUGUAUAAAUUAAAACUUUUAAAGUUAAAUUUUUAAUUACUAUAUUGAAAAGUUAUUAUGGUUAAAAAAAGUUUUGGCAUUUCUUUUUGAAAAUUUGAGGGUCUGCAUGACAAUUUGUCCAAAUCCUAGAGGUAUAGGUGUCUUUUUUUUUUUUCGAUAAUCAUUUUACUUUUGAGGGAAUCCGAUGAGAAAUAAGAUAAGAGAAACGUCAAUUUAAGGUUCUCUAGGGAAAACCAAGAACUAUUCAAUUUUGUAUUUUUUGUUUGUAAAACGAAAAACAGUUUGCCAAAAAAGGUACCAAACAUAUCCUUAAUGUCUCACAUGAUUUCUUAUUAAGUCCAUACUCGAUAUAUUUAUACAUUUUAGGUAUUUUAGUUAUAAAAGAAGUUGGUCCUCCCUUUGUUUAUAAAAGGUAACUUUAUUUCGAGAUUACCACUAAAGUCUUGCAAAGAAUUAGUGUAAUGUUAAGAGAGAAUAACACAGUUUUCCAUUACCAUUUUGAAAAUAGAAAGAUGUGGAUGUGUGCAUUUAAUAUUGCGUUUACUUGCUGGAUUGAGGAAUCGGAAUCUAGAAUCGGAAUGAUUGAUGGUGUUUACUUUGCAAAUAUGGAGCAGGAAUCGGAAUUGGAAUGGUGGGGGCCACCACUAUUUGGGAAUGGGAGAUUGAUUCUCAUGGGGGAAGGUGGGAAUGAGUCUCCCAUUCCCUGGAUUGACCAUUUUGCCCUCCCUCAAAAUUAAAAAUGCCUACUUUGUCCUCUUUUAUAAUUAAUUAAUAUAAUAUUAUAAUUACUUAAUUAAUAUAUAAAUAUUUUAUUAACUAUAAUUAUUAAAAAUUAUAGUUCUUGAAUAAAUAAUCACAAUAAUUAAUUUAUUAUUAUUAUUGUUAUUUUAAUUAAUUAAUUAAUAUACUAUUAUAAUAAUUAUUAAUAUAAUUAAUUUAUAUAUUAUUAUUAUUAUUAAUGAAUUAAUAUAAUUAUUACUAUUAAUUAAUAUAUUAAUAUAUUAUUAACAAUAAUAUAUUAAUAAUUAUUGUUCGUGAAUAAAUAAUCACAAUAAUUAAUAUAUUAUUAUUGUAAUUAAUUAAUUAAUAUACUAUUAUAAUAAUUAUUAAUAUAAUUAUUAUAAUUAAUUCAUAUAUUAUUAUUAAUUAAAUUAAUAUUAUUAAAUAAAUAAAUAAUAUAAUUAUUACUACUAAUUAAUAUAUUAAUAUAUUAUUAAAAAAUAUUAAUAAUUAUAAUUUUUGAAUAAAUAAUCACAAUAAUUAAUAUAUUAUUUUAAUUAAGUAAUUAAUAUUAAUAUUAAUAUUAUUAGUUAAUAUAUUUUUAUAAUAAUUUUUAAUAUAGUUAUUAUAAUUAAUUAAUUUUUUUUACAAUUAAUUAAUAUAUUAGUUAAUAAUAAUUAUGACAAUAAUCCAUUAAGUACUUUUUAGUAAUUUGUUACAAUCUAAUUCAUUCCGAUUCCGAUUUCAAGACAAAGUAAACACAUUAAUGGCAAUUUAGCUCAUUCUGAUUUUGAUUCCUACAGUUCAAGUAAACAACUUAUUUUGAUUCCUAUUACAUAUUCCCAUUCCAACCCAUUCUCAUUUCUGUCCAUUCUCAUUUCUGCCCAUUCCGAUUUUAGCUCAUUCCGAUUUCAGUUUAGUAAACGCAGUAUAAGAGUUAUCAUGAAAAUCAUACAAUUCAAUUUCCUGAAAUAUAUAUUUUAUUCACAUGUGCCAAAAGAAUAAAUAGAUAGAAAGUAAAUUUACAAUCCUCACUCCCUCACAAUUGUUAAAGUGAAUAUGCAUUACAACUGUGAACUGUCACUACUUUAGCCCUUUUUUUUUUUUCAAUUAUAGUGUGAUGGAGACAGUGAACAUUAAGGAUAAAGUGCUCUGCUGAAAGCCAAACUUCCUUUGGCUAAUUAAUUUAGAAGUAAAGCAGAGAAUAAAGUCCUAGAUGCCUUCUGAAAUUAGAAAUACAUUUUAUAUGCUUUAAUUAUGAUUAUUUGGCAGACUAAAGACCUAAAAGAUAUGUCAAAAGUAUGAAACAGAGAGAUUAAAGAAAAAAGAAAAAAAAAAAAAAACAGAGUAUUUGUGACGUAGAAUAACAAUUGGUAAAUAAAUCCUAAAUAUUUGAGUUGUUAAAAGCAAAUAUAACAGAGACGGUAAGAGAGAUGCAGAAACAGAAAACUAUUAGCUUAUCUUGAUUUUCCCACUAUAUUCAUUUUCGAUGCUUUUCAAUCGAGAUUCUUUUAAUUCUUCUGGUGUCUGCAGCCCCGGCUCUUCUUAUAAAUCUCCAUCCCACAUCUGCACUACGAACAAGUUGACUGAAAUUAAAUAAUGUUGGAGAUGAGGGGUGAGCCGUCAACUUGUUAAAAAAAACUCAUGUAUAAUAUUAUCAAUAAUAUAAAAUAUAUAAUAAUUGUUACAAAGAAUCAUAAAUUAGAAAAAUUAAUUAUUUUACAAUCUAUUUCUUAAGUAAGAUAAAUCUUGUAAUAAGUUAAGUUAUAACGUAAAAAAUAUUUUCAAUUUAUAAUCAUUUAAGAAGUCAUUUAACAAUAAAAUCUUUCUUUUGAUCAUGUGGGCAUGCCAUAGAGUAUCAUCUAUAUUCGUGAUGAUAUUAUUAUUACUCAGUAUCCUAAAAAAAACACGAUUUAACAUUUAGAGAAAAUUCCUGCCUUUUAAAAAGAACAUGUAUGCAAUAGCUAGCCAUACUUUAUUUUACCACAACAAAAUUGAUGGUGAUUAAAUCAAUUUUCUCAAUUAAAGCAAAAUUUUAAAAAUUGAUUUAAUGCACAAAUAUGAUGAGUUUUUGUAAAAAUUAGUUUUGGAAAAUAUAGUGAGAGAAAAUGGUGACGAUUAUUUUCAGAUGUGCAAAUAGCCUAAACAUAAUCUCUAAUACCAAUAUCCAUGUGCAUCUUAAUACCUUUCAUGAUAUUCUUUCAUUCAUGGCCAUUUGUUCAAGAUUUGAAUUUGAUUAUUAAAUCAUGUUCAAUAAUGUUAGAGAUCCCAACAAUUGAAUACCAACUUAAAUCCCAAUGCUAUGUGUCAUUAACAAAUGUUGUGUCAUUUAUAAUUAUUGAAUGAAUAAUUCGUUAAUUUAUUGAUAAAUAAAAAUUUAUUAAUUUAAAGAGAGAUACUUCUUCUUUUUUUGUUUUAAGAAGAGUUUUGUUGGUACAUGUACAUACUUAUAAAGAAAUAAACUUGUAAUUAUACUAUAUCUUUCUUUCUUUGUUCAGUUUGGUGGGAUAUUGUGAUAAAUCAUUGGAUUAAAAUACAUUUCUAAAUUAAAACUUGUUAAAAUCUAAUUUAUUUGGGAAACGCAUAUUAUUUGUCAGUUGUACUUCUCAACUUAGCAAGUUAUUUCUAACUUGUCAGUCUCUAUUGGUUCUCUAAAAGCUAAUAGUCUCGAAUCUCCCGCAUUUGAUAUCUUGCCAUUACUGUUGGCAUUUGUUAAGUAUAGCUGAAGCUGGUGACGUGUAUAAGCUGCUGAUGAAGCUGCUGAGUUGGCUGGCUGGUGAUGUGUAUAAACUGAAGGUGCUGAGCUGGAUUGGGUUGUUGUUCACACCAACUAAAGAUGUAACAGAUUAUCCAGCUGGCUUGUUAUGAUUGGAAGUUAGAUUAGUUUGUUAAUACAGCAAACAAUGAGCUCUGUUUUGGUAGUUAGUUUUGAGUGUAACUAUAAAUACUGGCUAACAUGUUUUCAGUGUUAAGCUUGAGUUUUAAUCAAUAAAAAUCAAUUCAGUUAAAGUUUCUUUGUUAACUUUCUUUCACUUUCUCACUUGCCAAACAACCUAUUAAUUCUAAAAUGGUAUCAGAGCUUGCACCUAUGUCAGGAUCUAAUCAUAUAGCUUCCUCAUCACUUUCAUUCAAUUUUGUUCAACCUAUAAAACUCGAUAGAUCAAACUACUUGGUGUGGAAAGCUCAAGUUAGAACAUCGAUCAUUGCUAAUGGACUUGAGAGCUUCAUCAAUGGUGAGAGUGUAUGUCCAAAAUGUUAUCUCAUUGAUUCUAUUCAAGAACUUCAAAGAUCUGGAGCUGAAACAUCACAGAAGCAGGAAAAUCCAGAGUAUAUCUUAUGGAUGAAAACUGACAAACUUCUGCAGAGCUGGAUGCUUUCGUCAAUGGUGGACAAUGUAUUAAUCAUGGUGAUCAAUUGUGAAACAUCACUUGAACUUUCGGAGAUGCUUGCUAGAAUCUUCAUGUCACAAUCCAAAGCGAGAUAUCUGCCUUUGAAGAUGCAGAUUCAAUCAACAAAUAAAGGAUCUCUCUCCAUCAGUGAUUACUUCAAAAGGAUGAAGAAAAUUGCUGAUAGCUUGGCCAUUGGAGGUAAUCCAAUUACUUCGAAUGAACUGAUUAUUCACUUGCUUACUAGAUUGGAUGAAAACUAUGAAUCCAUAGUCACAAAUAUACUUACUAGACUGGAAAAAGAGAGACUUACUGCUGAAGAGGUGUACUCUAUGUUACUUAGUCAUGAAACUAGGUUGGAAAUGAGCAAAGGAAAAUCACAUAAUGAACCUCUGCAUGAUAUGACAUCAAAUUUUGCUCAGAAAGGCCAAGGUUAUAAUACUGGUCCUGGAAGAGAUGUUGUGUGUCAAAUCUGUUACAUUCCAGGCCAUGGAGCUUAUAAGUGUAAACAUAGAUUCAAUCAAGGGUUUAUUCCUAGAAACAAAGGCUUUGGUGGUUUCAGGCCAAGAGGUGGAGGUCAGAAUUAUAGAGGAUUCCCUAGAAAUAAUCAGAAUUAUUUUGGUAGAGGUUCUGGAUACAAUAGUUCUGCUUUUGGAUCUGGAUUCAGACCUAACUUUCCCAGGCAAGCCGGACCUACUGGACCUUUCUUUGGCUAUGUUGCCUAUCAGAAUCCAGGAUUCAUGAAUCCUCAAGGUGCCUUUGACUUUCCAAGUGCAAAUGGUGAUUAUACUGGUGUUCCAACAGCAAACAUGUAUGUUGGAAAUUAUGGCAUUCCUCAUAAUGUCUCUCCCUCUGCACAAUUGGCAAACUUCAGCAAUGUAGCUGAUUCAGCCUGGUACCUUGACUCUAGAGCAACAAAUCACAUUGCUCAAGAUGCAGGUAUACUUUCUAAGUGCUCAACUUACCAUGGCCUUGAAAAACUACAUGUAGGAAAUGGUAUGGGGCUGCCUGUUCAUAAUGUUGGUUUUGUUGCUGUUAAAACCUUGACUACAACACCUAUAUACCUAAAUCAUGUUCUGCAUGUCCCUAAAAUUACUAAAAACCUUAUCAGUGUUUCCAAAUUGCUUGCUGAUAACAAUGUUUUUAUUGAGUUUUACAACCAUGUUUGUUUUGUUAAGGACAAGAAUUCAAGAAUCACAUUGCUCAAGGGGAUUGUUAGAGGAGGUCUUUAUCAAGUUUCAAGCUUAAAUACAGUCUGUGAUAACUCCAGUUCAGUGUUCCCAGUGUCAACCACUUCUGAGUUUGUUUUUACUUCAAUAAGUACAUUCCCAGCAACUCCAGUGUCUAUGUUUACUCAACUAAGUUCAUUUGAUACUAAGUUUCACUCUUGUAUGCUUGUAAAUAAUUCUCAAAUCAAUAAGAAUGUCCCUGUGGCUCACUUUGCUUCAUAUAACAAGCCUAUUGAUUAUAGUUUACUGCACAAAAGAAUGGGUCAUCCAACUACUCAUGCUUUAAAACAGAUCAUGAAAUGCCUGAACUCAAAUUUUAUUCUUCCCAAAGAUUUCACAACACAGUUCUGUGAUGCCUGUCAACUAGGCAAGUGCCAUACGCAGCAUUUUCCCUCCAUAGAAACUUCAACCACUCAGCCCCUUGAAUUACUACAUGCUGACCUUUGGGGACCAGCUCCCAUUACCUCUUCACAAGGUUACACCUACUAUCUAUCUAUCUUAGAUGACUACACUCGAUACACUUGGAUUUUUCCUCUCAUUGCCAAAUCCAAAACCUUGUCAGCCUUUAUUGAAUUCAAAAACAUGAUUGAAAACUGCCUGAACUUGAAAAUUAAAUGUUUACAAACUGAUUGGGGUGGAGAAUUCAGGCCUUUUGUGUCAUAUCUUUCUAACCAGGGUAUACAAUUUUGACAUCCCUGCCCUUAUAUCCAUCAUCAACAUAUUACCUGAGAUUGGGAUUCAUUAAAAUCCUCAAUGUAAUCGGUGGAACGAAUGGAUUUCUUCUGUUCACCAAUCCACCAAAAUUUCUGUAAUUAAAUUCAAGAGUCAAGAUCUAUGCUUAUAAUCUAUUCAACAGCUAAUAUUCUAUUUUAUAUUUACUUAAAUAUGAAGAGCUAUGCUUGUCAUUAACUUCAAAUGUGAUCGAAGCAGCCUUACAUCUGUAUAUUACGUAUUCCCAACUUUUUUUUGACUUCAUUUACUUUCUUUUCAUGUUAUUUACUCUUUUUUCCCCCUCUCUGACAAUUGAGGUAGGGGGUCAAACUUGAAAGUAUCUUAAAAUCAAACAAUUUUUUUUUUAAGAUAGCUGCUAAUAUGCUCUAUUAGACAAUGAUAAGUAAUAACCUAGUUGUUUGCAUUAGAAAUGAUAUUUUUUGUGGUGCUGAUAAAGAGGUUGAUUAUGAUUCAACAAUUUAAAAUAUGAAAACAUGUGGAAGACGGCCGCAAUUAAAUUGAUUGUAUGAAAAUAUUUCAAUGAAAUUUUAAAAAUUUAGUACUUGUUAUCUUAUCGAGAGUUUUUUAAAUUUUUCUACUUGAACUUGACUGCUUUUGUAUUGAAUUCCUAGCGUUGCCAUUGCUUCUACUCAAAAGCCAUUUAGUUACUCAUGAAUUGUUGUUCAUAAUAGCAAUUUGAUUGAAAGUGCGGCUGCACUAAUUUUCUAGAUGAAUUUUUUCCUACAUGCUUGUUCUCGUAUGACCCAAAAUCCUGCUACAUCAGUUGUAUUAGAAAUUAAUCAACUGGGUUACAAUUAUGCAUCCCCACCAAUAUUUAAGCAAUUUAAUUACAGAAACAUUUCUUGAGGAAAGAAACUCAUAUCGCCACUAGGCUUUUAAUGAGGCUCAUUUUUAUGAAUCUGGAUGGCAUUAGAUAUCUCUCCGAAUAUUGGUGGGAGUAGAUAUGCUACAAAGUGUAUGUACGUUGACUCUCAAUAAAUACAAACGAUUCUCUGAUCUGAUUCAAAACAUCAGUACAUGCAUCAUUUUAAUGAGAAAGAAUAUUCUAAGAACGAAAUUGAAGGUGCAAUCAGCAGCUAAAAUGAAGCCAGAAAUGUACACGCAUGAGGAAGUUUUCCAAGAAGAUUGAUAUUUCUUUGACUAGCAAACCAUACAAGUCCAAAGCUAGCUAAACCAUACCUGCAAGUCGGGGGUUUAAAUGGAGUACUUCUAAGCAUAAAACAUUGAUUAAAACAGAAUACACACAUACAUACCAGCAAAUUCAAUAUAGCAAAAGGAGUGCAAAAGUUCAAGUUUGUAGACAACAUUGCAACCAUGGCAUGUUUAUAGCAAAUCCUCGAAAUCUGCUAAAUAAAACAAUGCCCUGUCUCAUGAAUCAAUGCUGAAUUAAAAUUGAAACUGAAAGUCUGGCUGGCGGUGUUUCCCUCUCCAAUUUUGCCUACAUAAGUGAAAAUAAGAAUAAUAAAUGGAAAUCUGCUUUUACAGUUCUUAUUAGAUAGAUAUAAAGGGAUCUUUCUUUGUUUCUCUGCUGUAAUUUGUGGCUAUGCCACUCUGUUUUUCCAGUCAAGCUGAGUCUACGUUGAGACAUAAUUUUGACAUCAGAAGCAACCUCAAUUAGUUUGGCAUUUUCAUGACCUCCUUGAAGGUUUUAUGAUAAACAUAAAUCCACUGAGAAAGUGGGAAAAAAAGAAAAUGCAUAUAAAAGUAUGAGUUAUCAGAUAAGAUUAAAACUCACCCAAUUCAAUCCAUCAGAUUCCGUAAGGAUAUAACUGGAUGUCAUACCGCCACUCCAUAUCCUCGAAAGUCCGUAGUCCUUGUCUCAACUGUGUCUGGGGCCAGUGUAAGUCCAAUUUGCGCAAGCUCUUUAUGCACCACAGCUCUUCUGGAAGCUUUCUCAAGUAAGCACAUGGGUUGACAAUUAAGCUUUCAAGUUUCGGCAUUGCUCCAGCCGCCAUCGUCCACUCAUCUAGCCAAUACAUUGAUUUCAGGUGCAAAACCUUAAGUUCGGGAAAGCUACUCAAGCCAACACAAGCAAGCUUUCUUCCUAAAUACGAGUUCUGCUUCAGUUUCAGCACUCGAAGGCGUGGAAGAUUUUCCAGAAUUGGCAUGGGAUCCUCCAUUAGCUCAGUAUUUGAUAAGCUCAGUUGGAUCAGACUUGGGGGAAAUUGGUAUUCAGACAGGACCAUCCGUGAGGGCUUGCUCUCAUUCACCAGCUUCAAGCAUUCAAGUUUGUGGAGUUCGCAAAGGCUUUUGGAAACCCCAGAUUGAUAGUAACUCAAAUCUCCAGAUAUCCGAAGAGUCCGAACACUAGGUAGUCUGCCCAAUAUAUCAGGAGUACAACUACUAGGGUUUAAAGCUGAUAUGAAAAUGAGAUUUUUCAGAGAGCUAGAAUAAUUUUUUGGAGGUGCGGGCAGAGUGAUGCAACCGAAGUUUAGAUGCAUGAGUUUUUGCAUCAUCCAAAUAUCCUCUGGUGACUGAUCUAUGUAGCUAGAUGGCAUUUCUAGUGUUUCAAGGUUUAAAAGGGUGCAUAGCAGUGAAGGAAGGCAUUUGAGCGAAGGGAUAUUCAAUUUCAAAUACUUCAAAAGAUAUAAAUUUUCUAAUCCGGGUGGAUAUUGGUCCAGGACUGCAGAACCCAUGUUCAAUACCCGAAGGUAUUUGAACCUUUUAAAAAAAUUCUCGCAAUCUUUCGGAUUAAGAUGAUUGCUUUUUGAACUGUGAUUCAGAAAAGAUUGGAGACACAUGUCAGAAUGUUCUAAAGAAAAGAACUCAAUCAGAUCAUCGUCAAUGACGCACCGUUUAACAUUUGCCACUGAUUCCUCUUCCACGUCAUGCAUCCAGACAAAUCCCGUCUUCAUUGCCACAAUAUACAAUGAAGUGUAUACAAAACUUGGAACAUAACACGCUUUAAUUGUGCCUCUGGCUCUUCUCUUACUCACUUGAAUGAAGCCGCGAUGGAUUAGUUCUUUCAAGUAAUGUUCGGCAGUUUCUUCACCGUUGUAUGGUAUGAAACCUUCAGCUACCCACAACUGAUAUAAUUGCUCCGUAGAUAUCUCAAUACUUGGAGGGAAGACAUACAAAUAGAUGCAGCAGACUUUCAAGUGAAAAGGCAACUCCAUCACAGAAAAAAUUUGUCUCCAAACUGUCAGAACCACUUCGCCUUGAAGAUAAUUUUCUAAUGGCAUACUUCCAUAGUGUAGGAUGAAAAAUUGCCAGGCCUCAUGCUUUAAUCUGAUCAAUGGUCCUCCAAAGAGCACUGAAUCACGCCGAAUCUUCUCUUCAUUUUCCAUUUCCAACGACGCAAUGAGGCCCGGAUCAGUGACUGUUAUCAAUACUCUGCUUCCAUUCUCAUCACCAGGAAGAAGUUCUUCGAGAUCACUCCAUAUCUCACUGUUAUCGAAGACAUCAUCAAGCAAAAUAAAGUACUUCUUGUUUGUUAGGUAAUCUCGAAGAAUAGAUUUCUUCAAUUGAUAAUCUUCACCGAUAAUUACACUAACCCGAGAUGGAGGCAUCACAGACUUGAUUAUGUCAUCCAACAUCUUGCCAAAAUCAUAGAAUAUAGAAACCCUGACCCAAGCAAGACAGUCAAAAUAGAACUUGACAUGGUUAUUAUUGUAAGUAUCUUCUGCAAAAGCAGUCUUAUCGAAGCCACUGCUGUCGAGAAUUGUAACCACUGCAAGCCGAGGGCGUCCUUCAAUCAAUAAAUCAAACAACUCCUCCCUGCCCCUUUCAAAUUCAUUGAUAUCAAGCCGAGGUUGUCCCUCACUCAAUAGGUGAAUGAUUUCGUUACUUUUUUUACUGAUAUCAAAACCAUUGUCGCCGGGUGGAAGUUGUUGCAUCCGAUUACUAAUAUCAAUGAUUUUACUGUGGAGACCAGCAAGAAGAGCCAUAUUAGUACUGCUUUCACUUUCGUUUUCACUGUUUUGCUGCUGCAUAAUGUUGAUGAAGAAUGUGUCAAUGGCUUCCUCAGAUUCAUGGACAAAGUCAUUGAUGUCCUUCACAAUGCCCAAAAGGUCCGCUCUUUCAACUUCUUCUUCAUCGCUUUCUUCUAAGUCCAACAGUUGCAAAAAAGGCAAAGAUAUUUUGGAGUCAUCGAAUUCUUCUCUAAUGAGUUGAAAGAAAUGCCGAGCCAUGUCAGCUUCAUAUUUUCCCAGCAGGGUAGUAGCAAUAAUUUCGGACUCCGUAAGAAGGUUUUGAAAAAGUGGGGUUAAAUUUGUUGAAUCAGGCAGCGUUAACGGGCCUUCUUCACCUGCUAACACCCUUUUCAACCUCUCACAAAACAGUCGGAGGUGGAAUUCCAGCAUAUCUCCUUCUCUCCGUAGCACUCAGAGGUAUAGCUGAAAGAUUAAACACCAUGGAAGAAUUUGAAAGGAAAAUGCCAAGACAUUAUUGCUCAUUUUUUAACUCAAAAGAUUGAUACGCGUUCAUUUAGAGAAAAGUCCAAGACGCGUGCCUUUUGAAAAGAACAGGUAUCCCAAUCGGUAUCCGACCGAUAUCUUAUUAAAUUACAACCAUGACAUAAUUGAUGGUGCUUAAAUCAAUUGUUUCUUUUUUAAUUUAAAGAAUUUUUCAUUAAAAAAAUAUUUUAAUAUCAAAUUGCUUUCAGUGGCGUAACUGCCUCAAGCCCAGUAACAGGACUAAUUAAAAAUUUUACAAUUUUUGGGCAUGGAAAUAGUAGUAUUAAACAUUAGAAAGGUAAGGUCGUUCUGUUAAAGAAUUGAUAUUGACAUAAUUUUUUUUGGUUUUCGGGGGAAAAAAAAUUGUUGACAAGCAAGAAAAUAUUUUUAUAUUUUAUAAUUUAUUAUACAUAUUUUAUCUUAUUAAAGUAAUUUUAAUAAUAAAUAGAAACAUAAUAUUACGAUAAAUAAAUUAAAGUUGAACUUAUUUUGAAUAUUAUAAAAAAUAAUUUUAAUAUUAUUAAUAGGAAGACAUUGUAUUAAUUUUAAACUUUUUUAACCCAAAGGUUUAUUUAAAAUCUUUAUUAGAAAUACAAAUAUAAAAUUAAAUAUCAUAAUUUAAAAUUUUUAAUAUUAUUUUAAGUAUUAAAAAUAUUUUAAUGUUAUUAGUCUACUACAUAGAUCAUAUUACUUAUAUAAUAUUUGUAUUAUUAAAAAUUGUUAAAAUCAAAUUUUUAGUUAGUAUAUUCAUGAGCUAUUAUGGUUAAAAAAAAAAAGACCUUAUUAUUACUUUUUUAAAAAUUGAGGGCCUGCGUGAUAAUUUUUUCAAAAAGAAAAUGCUUGGUAUGUAGGAGGGGUACAGAAACAGGACUCCCAAAAUCUCUCACCCUUUUUUAAUUAAAAAAAAAAAUUAAAAUAUCAAUAAAAAGUAAUAAAGAAAAUAGAAUUUUAUCUGCUCCUUACUCCAUUUUUGCAACUCUCUCACCAUCCCUAUCGAGCAGCCCUCUCUCUCACUGUCUCACUCACACAGUCCUUUUCACGAUUUGAAAUUCUUUGGCCCUCUGCAUUACAAGAAAUUAACGCUUUGGUUCUCCCAAGGGUAGAUUGGUUUUAUUGGGAAGCUAUUAAUUUUUUUUUUUUUUGAAUACUGAUUAAUCAUCAGAUUACUGCAUUACACAGAUAUUUACAACAACUGCUAUUGUAGCAGAGAUAUUAUACUGAUAUUUACAAUCAGAUAUACAUAAUUGGGACUUAUAUUAUGACAUUGAAUUCUAUGAAGUACAUGCCCAAACAAAUAACCCCUCACAGGAGAGGGAUGUCCAUACUCCACUCGCAUUUCGCAAGGGAGAAUGAUUUUUUGGAAGUAUAAAGAACAUUUAGCCCCCACAAUACUUUUGUGGGGGCUAGAACCGCUGCAGCAUUGUGAGGGCAGCAGCCCACCACUUCGGCCUUGGCCGAAGUGGCGGGAAGCUAUUAAUUAGAAGGAGGAAAAAGGACUAUAUUUAGAAUAUGAUUUGUUGGAGAAUCUCAGAGUUAGUCAAUUUUCAAGCCACACUUUCAAUAGCCAAUUGAUUUAGUAACCAUUAAUUACUUUAAUUUCCAUAAAUUGUAAUGACAGUGCAAAUGCAUCUGGUUGUGAUAGCUAAGGGUUAGCUUGAAGAAUUAAAUUUCAUAAGAUAUUACUGGAAAAUGCUUUGCAGAUAACGUGCUGCUUCCUUUGCUAGACUACAAUUUCAAAAAUCUCACGAGUUUUCCAUUGUUGUCACAAACCGAGAAAUUAUAAAAUACAUGGCCUGGUUCUUUGGCAAUGACCAUCUCAUCGUCGGCGGUCGUGUCGUCAUUGUCACUGUUCUUGCUCGACCGAGACAGUGAGAGAGAGGUUUGUUAGAUGGAGUUAGUGAGAGAGAGUUGUAAAGAUGGAAUGAUGAUAAAAGGAUUCUAUUUGUUUUUAUUGUUUUUUAUUAAUAUUUUAAUUUUUUAAAUUAAAAUGUGCUGCCGUUUCUCUAGCCUUUUUAGCUGCUUAACUUAACAGUAUUCUUUUCAAAAUUUAAGAAUGUAGUAGGUGUCCUUUUCUCUAAUAAUUUAUUUCAUUUUUAGGGAAUCCAAUGAGAAAUAUGAUAAAAGAACGUCAAUUACUUGUCGUUUUCAAUUUUUUCUAUAAGCUAUUUAUUUUGAGCAUUAGUGAUCUUGUCUGGACUACCCCAAUUAUUGACGUAACUCCAGUGGCUGCAUCCACUGGAAAAAGUGGAUGAGACCAUUUUUUUUUUCAUAAAGGUAACUACUCCAAUUAUUGACAUAAUUGAUGGUGCUUAAAUCAAUUUUUUCUUUCUUUUUUUUAAUUUAAAGAAUUUUGCUUUAAAAAAUAAUUAAUAUCAAAAUGCCUUCAAUGUUGUUACCGCCACAAGCCCAGUUAGAGGACUCAUUAAAAAUUUUAGAAUUUUUAGGCCUGGAAAGCAUAGUAUUAAACAUCAGAAAGCAAAGGUUGUUAUGUCGAAGAAUUGAUGUCGACAAAAUUUUAAUUUUGUUUUCGGAAAAAAAAAAAAAUUUUGUUGACAAGCAAGAAAAUAUUUUUUAUACUUUACAAUCUGCUAUACAUAUUUUAUCAUAUUAAAGUAAUUUUAAUAAUAUAUGGAAACAUAAUAUUAUAAUAAAUAAAUUAAAAUUACUUUGUAUUAUUGAAUAUUACAAAAAGAUAAUUUUAAUAUUAUUAAUAGGAAAACAUUUUUUAAUUGUAAAAUCUUUUUAAUACAAAAAUUCGUUUAAAAUCUUUAUAAUAAAUACAAAUAUAAAAUUAAAAAAUAUCAUAAUUUAAAAUUUUUAAUAUUAUUUAAAUAUUAAAAAUACUUUAAUGUUAUUAGUCUACUACAUAAAAUAUAUUAUUUAUAUUAUAUUCGUAUUGAUUAAAACGUUUUAAAGUCAAAUUUUUAAUUAGUGUAUUCAAAGGUACAAAAGAUUUAAGUAUUAUUUUUUAAAAAUUUCAAGAUACGAAUGAUAAUUUUUUCAAAUUUUAAAGAUGUAAAAAUCUUUUUUUCUGAUAAUUUAUUUCACUUUUGAGAGAAUCCGAAAACGUUAAUUUAACAUUCUUUACCUUUGUAAAAAAAGUGAAAAUCAAGAACUAUUCAAUUUUGUUUUUAUUUGUAAUUCAAAAACUUUAUUCAUUUUCGAUGCUUUUCAAAAGAGAUUCCUUUAAAUGUCUGCAGCUCCUGCUUUUCUCAUAAAUCUCCAUCCCACAUCUACACUAUCAAGUAUCAAACAAGUUGAUGGAAAUUCUUAUAAAAAAAAAAAAAAAAUUGAUGGAAAUUGAUCAAUUGCUUUUUGAAGUGGACCCAUUGAGUCAUGUUCAUUUCUGGUCAUUGUCUACUCUUUCUAUCAGCCAUUUAUUUUGACCAUUUGCGAUCUUAUCUGGACCUACUCCAAUUAUUGUUGUAACUCCGAUGGUUGUAUCUACAGUGGAAUGUAAGAUAGUGAAAGCUCUUUCUUUGAGAAAAUAGAGGGACCUUUCUCUGUUUCUCCGUUGCAACGUGCUCGUAUAAAUUUCUCUACCUUACAGUUUAUACGGUCUUGCUGUUAAUGAAUUCGCUGAGGCAUUAUUGAUCCAAUCUGAGUGAAGUAAUUGUGGGUGAAAAAUAAAUAAAGGAUAUGAGAACGUAGCUGAAGUGCUGAAGGGGCUAUUAAAGAAGAGUGUCACUUGAUCACAAUCACAUUGAUGCACAACUCACUCGUGGCAAAUUUCGACUAUACGUUCUGCAAAUUCAGCCAAACCAUACAUGCAUGAACAAAACUAAAAUGUAGUUCUAAUCACAACUGCAGUUAUGAUGUUUACCUCUCUGAUUUUUCUCCAAAACAAAUUCAGUUCAAAACAAUAAUCAAAAUAGCCACAUUUUGUUCGUCAAAAUAAAUGCCCAAAUUUUCAAUUAACAAAUCAUCUUCUCUAAACUAAAAAGCCCACAUCUCUAAAAUCAAUCUACAUAAUGUUGGAGAUGAGGGUUGAAUUGUUAACUCAGUAAAAAAAAAAAAACUCAUGCAUAAGAUUACUAAUAAUAUAAAUUAUAUAUUAAUCAUUAUAAAGAAUCAUAAAUUAGAAAAAUUAAUCAUUUUAUAAUUUAUUACACAAGUAAGAUAAAUCUCAUAAUAAGUUAUAACAUAAAAAACGUUAUCAAUAUAUAAUCAUUUAAGAAGUCAUUUAACAAUAAAAUCGUUCUUUGAUCAGUUGGCCAUGUCACAUAGUAUCAUCUAUAUUUAUGGUGAUACUAUUAUUACUCAGUAUUCUCAAAAAACAUGAUUUAACAUUUAGAGGAAAUUCUUGCCUUAAAAAAAAAACAUGUAUGCAACAGCUACCCAUGCUUUAUCUUACCAUGACAAAUAUUUUCUCAAUGAAAGAAAUUUUUUAAAAAAUUGAUUUAAUGCACAAAUAUGAUGAUUUUUGCAAAAAUUAGUUUUGGAAAACAUAGUGAGAGAAAAUAGUGACGAUUAUUGUUUAAAUGUAUAAAUAGCCUAAACAUAAUCCUUAAUACCAAUAUCCAUAUGCAUCUUAUCAUCUUUCAUGAUAUUCUUUCAUUUAUGUCCAUUGGUUCAAGAUUUGAAUUUGAUCAUUAAAUCAUGUUCAAUAAUAUUAGAGAUUCCAACAAUUGAGUACCAACUUAAAUCCCAAUGUUAUGUGUCAUUGACCAAUUUUGUGUCAUUGACCAAUUUUGUUAUUAACUAGGUGAUGAAUUUCUAGUUGAUAAAAUCACUUAAAAAUAUCUUAAAAAUUAGACAAUAGUUUGCUUAAUUUUUCCAAGUUAACUGCUCAAGAUGCUCUAUUAGAAAUGAUAACCUAAUUAUAUACAUAAAAAAUGAUGGAAAUUGAACAAUUGCUUUUUGAAGUGGACCCAUUGAGUUAUGUUCAUUACUGGUCAUUGUCUAUUCUUUCUAAGAGCCACUUGUUUUGAGCAUUAGCAAUCCUAUCUGGACUACUCCAAUUAGGAUAGUGUUAGUUCUUUUUUGAGAAUUUCUUUAUUUGUUUCUCCGUUGCAGCGUAUUAGUAUAAAUUUCUUUACCUUACAGUUCCUACAGUCUUCCUGUUAAUGAAUUCGCUGAGGCAUUAUUGAUCCAAUCUCGGUGAAGUAAUUGUGGGUGAAAAAAAAAAAAAAGGAUAAGAGAACGUAGCUCAAGUGCUGAAUUGACUAUUAAAGAAGAGCGUCACCUGAUCACAAUCACAUUGAUGCACAACUCACUCGAGGCAAAUUUCAUCUAUAAAUAAAAGAUCCCUUACUAUUCUCUUAACCCUGAGUUUUGAGAUAGAAAUUUCCCGAACUCCAACCCCACAUCCACAGACAAGUUGAUUGAAACAAUUGCUCUUGUAAUUAAGAGGAUGGGUUAGGGUUCAGUUCUUAUCAUUGUCUGUUAUUUCUUUGAAUCAUUAUCUUAAUUAAUUACAUCAAUUGUUUCUUUUUUUUAAUUUAAAGAAUUUUUCUUUAAAAAAAUAUAUUUUAAUAUCAAAAUGCCUUAAAUGGUAUUACUGCCGCAAUCCCAGUAACAGGAUUAAUUAAAAAUUUUAGAAUUUUUGGGCAUGGAAAGAGUAGUAUUAAAUAUCAGAAAGCUAAGGUUGUUCUGUCAAAGAAUUCAUAUUGGCAUAAUUUUAUUUUUGCUUUCGAGUAAAAAAAUAUAUAUAUAUAUAUUUGUUGACAAGCAAAAUACUGUUUUUAUAUUUUACAAUCAGUUAUACAUAUUUUAUCAUAUUAAAGUAAUUUUAAUAAUAAAUGGAAACAUAACAUUACAAUAAAUCAAUUAAAGUUUAAAUUAUUUGGAAAAUUAUAAAAAAUAAUUUUAAUAUUAUUUAUAGGAAGAUAUUUUGUUUAUUGUAAAAUCUUUUUAACCCAAAGGUUUAUUUAAAAUUGUUAUAAUAAAUAAAAUAUAAAAACAAAAUAAAUAUCAUAAUUUAAAAUUUUAAUAUUAUUUUAAAUAUUAAAAAUACUUUAAUGCUAUUAGUCUACUACAAAGGUUAUAUUACUUAUAUUAUAUUUGUAUAAAUUAAAACUUUUAAAGUUAAAUUUUUAAUUACUAUAUUGAAAAGGUAUUAUGGUUAAAAUAUGUUUUGGCAUUUCUUUUUAAAAAUUUGAGGGUCUGCAUGACAAUUUGUCCAAAUCCUAGAGGUAUAGGUGUCUUUUUUUUUCGAUAAUUCAUUUUACUUUUGAGGGAAUCCGAUGAGAAAUAAGAUAAGAGAAACGUCAAUUUAACGUUCUCUAUGGAAAACCAAGAACUAUUCAAUUUUGUAUUUUUUGUUUGUAAAACGAAAAACAGUUUGCCAAAAAAGGUACCAAACAUAUCCUUAAUGUCUCACAUGAUUUCUUAUUAAGUCCAUACUCGAUAUAUUUAUACAUUUUAGGUAUUUUAGUUAUAAAAGAAGUUGGUCCUCCCUCUAUUUAUAAAAGGUAACUUUAUUUCGAGAUUACCACUAAAGUCUUACAAAGAAUUAGUGUAAUGUUAACAGAGAGUAACAUAGUUUUCCAUUACCAUUUUGAAAAUAGAAAGAUAUGGAUGUGUGCAUUUAAUGGUGUGUUUACUUACCGGAUUGAGGAAUCAGAAUCUGGAAUUAGAAUGAUUGAUGGUGUUUACUUCGCAAAUAUGGAGCAGGAAUCGGAACUGGAAUGGUGGGGCCCACCACUAUUUGGGAAUGAGAGAUUGAUUCCCAUGGGGGAAGGUGGGAACGAGUCUCCCAUUCCCUGGACUGACCAUUUUGCCCUCCCUCAAAAUUAAAAAUGCCUACUUUGUCCUCUUUUAUAAUUAAUUAAUAUAUAAAUAUUUUAAUAACUAUAAUUAUUAAAAAUUAUAGUUCUUGAAUAAAUAAUCACAAUAAUUAAUUUAUUAUUUUUAUUUUUAUUUUAAUUAAUUAAUAUACUAUUAUAAUAAUUAUAAAUAUAAUUAAUUUAUAUAUUAUUAUUAUUAUUAAUGAAUUAAUAUAAUUAUUACUAUUAAUUAAUAUAUUAAUAUAUUAUUAAAAAUAAUAUAUUAAUAAUUAUUGUUCGUGAACAAAUAAUCACAAUAAUUAAUAUACUAUUAUUUUAAUUAAUUAAUAUAAUUAAUUUAUAUAUUAUUAUUAUUAUUAAUGAAUUAAUAUAAUUAUUACUAUUAAUUAAUAUAUUAAUAUAUUAUUAAAAAUAAUAUAUUAAUAAUUAUUGUUCGUGAACAAAUAAUCACAAUAAUUAAUAUACUAUUAUUUUAAUUAAUUAAUAUACUAUUAUAAUAAUUAUUAAUAUAAUUACUAUAAUUAAUUCAUAUAUUAUUAUAAUUAAUUAAUUAAAUUAAUAUUAUUAAAUAAAUAAAUAAUAUAAUUAUUACUACUAAUUAGUAUAUUAAUAUAUUAUUAAAAAUAAUUAUAAUUUUUGAAUAAAUAAUCACAAUAAUUAAUAUAUUAUUUUAAUUAAGUAAUUAAUAUUAAUAUUAUUAGUUAAUAUAUUUUUAUAAUAAUUUUUAAUAUAGUUAUUAUAAUUAAUUAAAUUUUGUUACAAUUAAUUAAUAUAUUAGUUAAUAAUAAUUAUGACAAUAAUCCACUAAGUAUUUUUGAGUAAUUUGUUACAAUCUAAUUCAUUUUGAUUCCGAUUUCAAGACAAAGUAAACACAUUAAUGACAAUCUAGCUCAUUCCGAUUUCGAUUCCUACAGUUCAAGUAAACAACUUAUUUUGAUUUUCAUUACCUAUUUACAUUCCAGCCCAUUCUCAUUUCUUCCCAUUCUCAUUUCUGCCAAUUCCAAUUCCAGCUCAUUCCGAUUCCAGUUUAGUAAACGCAGCAUAAGAGUUAUCAUGAAAAUCAUACAAUUCAAUUUCCUGAAAUAUAUAUUUUAUUCACAUGUGCCAAAAGAAUAAAUAGAUAGAAAGUAAAUUUACAAUCCUCACUCCCUCACAAUUGUUAAAGUGAAUAUGCAUUACAACUGUGAACUGUCACUACUUUAGCCCCUUUUUUUUUUUCAAUUAUAGUGUGAUGGAGACAGUGAACAUCAAGGAUAAAGUGCUCUGCUGAAAGCGGAACUUCCUCUGGCUAAUUAAUUUGGAAGUAAAACAGAGAAUAAAGUCCUACAUGCCUUCUGAAAUUAGAAAUACAUUUUAUAUGCUUUAAUUAUGAUUAUUUGGUAGACUAUUGACCAAAAGACAUGUUAAAGUAUAAAACAGAGCGAUUAAAGAAAAAAAAAGGAGUGUUUGUGACGUAGAAUAACAAUUUGUAAGUAAAGUCCUAAUUUGAGUUGUCAAAAAGCAAAUAUAACAGGGAAGGUAAGAGGGAUGCAGAAACAGAAAACUAUUAGCUUAUCUUGAUUUUCCCACUAUAUUCAUUUUCGAUGCUUUUCAAACGAGAUUCUUUUAAUCCUUCUGGCGUCUGCAGCCCCUGGUCUUCUUAUAAAUUUCCAUCCCACAUCUGCACUAGGAACAAGUUGAUUGAAAUUAAAUAACAUUGGAGAUGACGGACAGAUGAGCCGUCAACUUGGUAAAAAAACUAUGUUAAUAUUGUUAAUAAUAAAAAAAAAUAUAAUAAUCAUUACAAAGAAUCAUAAAUUAGAAAAAUUAAUUAUUUUACAAUCUAUUUCGUAAGUAAGAUAAAUCUUGUAAUAAGUUAAGUUAUAACGUAAAAAAUAUUUUCAAUUUAUAAUCAUUUAAGAACUCAUUUAACAAUAAAAUCUUUCUUUUGAUCAAUUGGUCAUGCCACAGAGUAUCAUCUAUAUUCGUGGUGAUAUUAUUAUUACUCCGUAUUCUCAAAAAACACGAUUUAACAUUUAGAGAAAAUUCCUACCUUUUAAAAAGAACAUGUAUGCAACAGCUACCCAUACUUUAUCUUACCACGACAAAACUAAUGGUGACUAAAUCAAUUUUCUCGAAUAAAGCAAAAUUUCUUAAAAUUAAUUUAAUAUACAAAUAUGAUGACAUUUUGCAAAAAUUAGUUUUGGAAAAUAUAGUGACAAAAAAUAGUAAUGAUUAUUGUUUAGAUGUGUAAAUAGCCUAAACAUGAUCCCUAAUACCAAUAUCCACGUACAUCUUAACACCUUUCGUGAUAUUCUUUCAUUCAUGGUCACUGGUUCAAGAUUUGAAUUUGAUCAUUAAAUCAUGUUCAAUAAUAUUAGAGAUCCCAACAAUUAAGUACCAACUUAAAUCCUAAUGCUAUGUGUCAUUGACAAAUGUUGUGUCAUUUUUUGUUAACUGAGUGAUGAAUUUCUAGUUGAUAAAAUUACUUAAAAAUAUCUUAAAAAUCAGACAAUAGUUUGCUUAAUUUUUUGAAGCUAACUGCUCAAGAUGCUCUAUUAGAAAUGAUAACCUAAUUAUAUACAUAAAAAAUGAUGUAUUUUUUGCGGUGUUGAUAGUGAGAUUAUCAUUCAACAUGUUAAAAUAUGAAAACAUAUGGAAGAAGGUUGUAAAUUGAUUGAAUGAAAAUAUUUCAGUGAAGUCUAAAAAAUUUGGUACUUGUUAUCUUAUCGAAAGUUUUCUAAAUUACAUUCGUGGCACUGCCACUGCUUCCAUGUGAAGGUCAUUAAAAUUUGUGUUAGUUACCUAUAUGUUGAAUAAUAAUUUUAUUCAUGAAUUGUUGCUCAAUAUAGCAGUUUCUAGAUGAAUUUUCCUACAUGUUUGUCCUCAUAUGACCUAGAAUGCUGCUAUAUCAAUUGUAUUGGAAAUUAUUCAAGUGGGUUUGUGCUCUAUACCCCCACCAAAAUUUAAGCAAUCUACAGAACAUUCCUUGUGGAAAGAAACUUAUUUCGCUACUAGGUGGGAGUAGAUUUCUAAGCUAAUGCUCGGCAGAUCUCUAGGCUAUACUAAAAAGUGUAUGCACUUUGACUCUCAAUAUAUACGAGUGAUUCUAUGAUGACUGAAAACAUCAGUACAUGCAUGAUUUUAUAAGAAAGAAUAUUCUAAAAUUAUUUAUGUAUCACCAUUUGUAGUUGUACCCUCUCGAAUGAAGGUGCAAUCAGCAACUAAAAUGAAGCCCGAAAUGUACACGCGUGAGGCAGUUUUUCUAGAAGAUUGAUACUUCUCAAACUAGCAAACCGUACAAGUCCAAAGCUAGAAAAGGAGUGCUUCUAAGCAGAAAACAUUGAUUAAAACAGAAUACACACACACAUACCAGUAAAUUCAAAAUAGAAAAAGGAGUUCAACUGUUCAAGUUUGUGGACAAUAUUGCAACCGUGGCAUAUUUAUAGCAAAUCCUUGAAAUCUGCUAAAUAAACAAUGCCCUGUCUCAUGAAUCAAAGCCGAAUUAAAAUUGAAAUUGAAAGUCCGGCUGGUGUUGUUUCCCUCUCCAGUUUUGCCCACAUAAGUGAAGGGAAAUGAGAAUCAUAAAUUAAAAUCUGCUUUUACAGUUUUUUAUUAGAUAGAUAUAAAGGGAUCUUUUUUGUUUCUCUGCUGCAAUUUGUGGCUAUCCCACUCUGUUUUGCCACUCAAGCUUAGUCUACGUUGAGACAUAAUUUUGACAUCAGAAGCAACCUCAAUUAGUUUGGCAUUUUUAUGACCUCCUUGUACGUUUUACGAUAAACAUAAAUCUACUGAGAAAGUGUGAAAAAAAGAAAAUGCAUAUAAAAGUAUGAGUUAUCAGACAUGAUUAAAACUCACCCAAUUCAAUCCAUUAGAUUCCGUAAGGAUAUAACUGGAUGUCAUACCGCCACUCCAUAUCCUCGAAAGUCCGUAGUCUUUGUCUCAACUCUGUCUGAGGCCAAUGUAAAUCCAAUUUGCGCAAGCUCUUUAUGCACCACAGCUCUUCUGGAAGCUUUCUCAAGUAAGCACAUGGGUUGACAAUUAAGCUUUCAAGUUUUGGCAUUGCUCCAGCCCCCAUCGUCCACUCAUCUAGCCAAUACAUUGAUUUCAGGUGCAAAACCCUAAGUUCCAGAAAGCAACCAGAGCCAACGCAGGCCAGCUUUCUUCCUAAAUACGAGUUCUGUUUCAGUUUCAGCACUUGAAGGCUUGGAAGCUUUUCCAGCAUUGGCAUGGGAUCCUCCAUUAGCUCAGUAUUCGAUAAGCUCAGAUGGCUCAGACUUGGAGGAAAUUGGUAUUCAGACAGGACAAUCCGUGAGCGCUUGCUCUCAUUCACCAGCUUCAAGCAUUCAAGUUUGUGGAGUUCGCAUAGGCUUUUGGAAACCCCAGAGUGAUAGCAACUCAAAUCUCCAGAUAUCCGAAGAGUUUGAACAUUAGGCAGUCUGCCCAAUAUAUCUGGAGUACAACUACUAGGGUGUAAGGCUGAUAUGAAAAUGAGAUUUUUCAGAGAGCUGCAAUAAUUUUUUGGAGGUGCAGGCAGAGUGAUGGAACCGAAGUUUAGAUGCAUGAGUUUUUGCAUCAUCCAAAUAUCCUCUGGUGAAUGAUCUAUGUAGCUUGAUGGCAUUUGUAGUGUUUGAAGGUUUAAAAGGGUGCAUAGCAUUGAAGGAAGGCAUUUGAGCGAAGGGAUAUUCAAUUUCAAAUACUUCAAAAGGAAUAAAUUUUCUAAUCCGGGUGGAAAUUGGUCGAGAACUGCAGAACCGAAGUUCAGUACCCGAAGGUGUUUGAACUUUUUACAAAAAUUCUCGCAAUCUAUAAGAGCGAGAUGAUCGCUUUCUGAACUGUGAUUCAGAAAAGAUUGGAGAUACAUGUCAGAAUAUUCUAAAGAAAGGAACUCAAUCAGAUCUUCCAAAAUGAAGCACCGUUUAACAUUUGCCAGUGAUUCCUCUUCCAUGUCAGGCGUCCAGACAAAUCUCGUCUUCUCUACUACCAAAGCCAAUAACGUAUAUACAAAACUUGGAACAUAACACGCUUUAAUUGUGCCGCCGGCGCUUCUCUUACUCACUUGAAUGAAGCCGCGAUGGAUUAGUUCUUUCAAGUAAUGUUCGGCAGUUUCUUCACCGUUGUAUGGUAUGAAACCUUCAGCUACCCACAACUGAUAUAAUUGCCUCGUUGAUAUCUCAUUGCAUGAAAGGAAGACACACAAAUAGAUGCAGCAGAUUUUCAAGUGAAAAGGUAACUCCAUCACAGAAAAAAGUUGUCUCCAAACUGUCGGAAUCGUUUCGCCUUGAAGAUAAUUUUCUAAGGGCAUACUUCCAUAGUGUAGGAUGAAAAAUUGCCAGGCCUCAUGCUUUAAUCUGAUCAAUGGUCCUCCUACGAUCACUGAAUCAAGCCGAAUCUUCUCUCCGUUUUCCAUUUCCAACAGCGUAAGGAGGUGUGGAUUAGUGACCAAUAUCAAUACUCUGCUUCCAUUCUGAUUAUCAGGAAGAACUUCUUCAAGAUCACUCCAUAUCUCACUGUCAUCGAAGACAUCAUCAAGCACAAUAAAGUACUUCCUGUUUGUUAGGUAAUCUCGAAGAAUAGAUUUCUUCAAUUGAUAAUCUUCCCCGAUAAUUACACUAACCCGAGAUGGAGGCAUCACAGACUUGAUUAUGUCAUCCAAUAUCUUGCGAAAAUCGUAGGCUACAGAAACCCUUACCCAAGCAUGACAGUCAAAAUAGAACUUGAUAUGGUUAUUAUUGUAAGUAUCUGCAGCAAAAGCAGUCUUAUCGAAGCCACUGCUGUCGAGAAUUGUAACCACUGCAAGCCGACGAUGUCCUAAAUCAAUAAAUCAAACAACUCCUCUCUGCCACUUUCAAAUUCAUUGAUAUCAAGCCGAGGUUGUCCCUCACUCAAUAGGCGAAUGAUUUUGUUUCUUUGUUCACUGACAUCAAAACCAUUGUCGCCGGGUGGAAGUUGUUGCAUCCGAUUACUAAUAUCAAUGAUUUUACUCUGGAGUCCAUCAAGAAGAGCCAUAUUAGUGCUGCUUUUACUUUCGUUUUCACUGUUUUGCUGCUGCAUGAUGUUGAUGAAGAAUCUGUCAAUGGCUUCCUCAGAUUCAUGGACAAAGCGAUUGAUGUCCUCCAGAAUUUCCAAAAUAUCUGGUCUUUUAACGUCUUCUUCAUCGCUUUCUUCUAAGUCCAACAGUUGCAAAAGAGGCAAAGAUAUUUUGGAGUCAUCGAAUUCUUCUCUAAUGAGUUGAAAGAAAUGCCGAGCCAUGUCAGAUUCAUAUUUUCCCAGCAGAGUAGUUGCAAUAAUUUCGGACUCCGUAAGAAGGUUUUGAAAAAGUGGGGUUAAAUUUGUUGAAUCAGGCAGUGUUAACGUGCCUUCUUCUCCUACUACCACCCUUUUCAACCUCUCACAAAAUAAUCGGAGGUGGGCGUCCAGCAUAUCUCCUCCUGUCUGUAGCAGCCAGAGGUAUUGUUAUUUGCUCCAAGAAAUGUUAAAAGGAUUGGUCCUACCUCAAAGUGGUUAGUGGUGUAAAAUUAAACACCAUGGGAGAAUUUGAAAGGAAGAUGCCAAGAAACUGGCAAAGUGGCUAAAUUCCACAAAUACGGCAUUAUUGCUCAUUUUUAACUCAACAAAUUGAUACGCGUUCAUUUAGAGAAAAGUCGAAGACGCGUGCCUUUUGAAAAGAACAAGUAUCCAAUAGGUAUCCAACCUUUAUCUUAUUUAAUUACUACCAUGACAUGAUUGAUGGUGCUUAAAUCAAUUGUUUCUUUUUUAAUUUAAAGAUUUUUUCAUUAAAAAAUAAUUUAAUAUCACAUUGCCUUCAAUGGCGUAACGGCCGCAAGCCCAGUAACUAGAUUAAUUAAAAUGAAAUUAUGAUUGCACUACUUUUUUAUUUAUUUAUUUAUCUAAUCACUAUAAAAUUUUAACAUAUUUUAUUUACUAUAUUUUUUUUAAAUUUGCAUCAAUUAGUCACUUUUACACUAAUACCGUUAAAUAAUUUAAACGGAAUGAUAAUUUUACCCCUAAAUAAAAUUAAAAGUUCAUUUUAUUUUAUAAAAACUUUGAAAAUAAAAAAUUAUAAUUAUAAAAUAUCCCUAAAUUUAAUAAAGAAAUAAAUCCCAAAAUUAGAAUGUUUAUUUUUAAUAAAAAUUAUUUUAAUAAAAAAUUAUAAUUAGAAAAAUAAUUACAAAAUUUUGGGAUUUAAUAAAAAUCCCCUAAAUGAUUAAAAUUUUAGGAUUUAUUUUUUAAUAAAUAAAUUCAGUUAUUUUAAUAAAAUUUUGCAAAAUUAUAAUUUUUAAUAAAUAAAUUCACUUAUUUUUAUUAUAAUUUUAAAAAAAUUUAAAUUUUUAAUAAAAAUAAUUAUUAAAAUUUUACAACAUCUAAAUUGAAUAAAAAUCAGCUGAGCACCUAUAUUUUGUAUUUAUUUUUAUUAAAUUUAGGGGUAUUUUUAUAAUUAUAAUUUUUUAUUUUUCAAAGCUUUAUAAGAUAAAAUGGUCUUUUAAUUUAUUUAGGGGUAAAAUUAUCAUUUCGUUUUAAUUAUUUAACGGUGUUAGUGCAAAAGUGGCUAAUUGAUACAAAUUUGAAAAGAAAUGUGGCGCAGAGAACAUAUUAAAAUUUUGUGGUGGUUGGAUGAACAUAAGGCAACAGAAAGGUGGUGCAAUAAUAAUUUCCCUAAUUAAAAUUUUAGAAUUUUUGGGCAUGGAUAGAGUAGUUUUAAUUAUGUUAAAGAAUUGAUAUUGACAUAAUUUUAUUUUGGUUUUCAACGAAAAAAAAUUUGUUGACAAGUAAGAAAAUAUUUUUUUUUUACUUUACAAUCGGUUAUACAUGUUUUAUCAUAUUAAAGUAAUUUUAAUAAUAAAUAGAAACAUAAUAUUACAAUAAAUAAAUUAAAGUUUAAGUUAUUUUGAAUAUUAAAAAAAUAAUUUUAAUAUUAUUAAUAGGGAGGCAUUUUGUUAAUUGUAAAAUCUUGUUAACCCAAAGGUUAUUUAAAAUCUUUCUAAUAAAUACAAAUAUAAAAUUAAAUAUCAUAAUUUAAAAUAUUUAAUACUAUAUUCAAUGUAAAAAUAUUUUAAUGUUGUUAAUAUACUACAUAGAUUAUAUUACUUAUAUUAUAUUUAUAUUGAUUAAAAAUUUUUAAAAUUAAUUUUCUAGUUACUAUAUUCAUAAGGUAUUCUGGUUAAAGAAAAUAUCUUGAUAUUACUUUUUGAAAAUUUGAGAGCCUGCAUGACAAUUUUUUCAAAUUUUAAGGAUGUAAUUAUCCUUUUUUCCAUAAUUUAUUUCAAUUUUGAGGGAAUCCAAUAAGAAAUAUGGCAGGAGAAUGUCAAUAGGCGAAUGAUUUUGUUACUUUGUUCACUGAUCUCAAAACCAUCGUCGCCGGGUGGAAGUUGUUGCAUCCGAUUACUAAUAUCAAUGAUUUUACUGUGGAGUCCAUCAAGAAGAGCCAUAUUAGUACUGCUUUCACUUUCGUUUUCACUGGUUUGCUGCUGCUUGUUGUUGAUGAAGAAUGUGUCAAUGGACAAAGUUAUUGAUGUCCUCCAGAAUUCCAAAAAUAUCUGCUGUUUCAACGUCUUCUUCAUCGCUUUCUUCUAAGUCCAACAGUUGCAAAAAAGGCAAAGAUAUUUUGGAGUCAUCGAAUUCUUCUCUAAUGAGUUGAAACAAAAGCCGAGCCAUGUCAGCUUCAUAGUUUCCCACCAGAGUAGUAGCAAUGAUUUCUGACUCCGUAAGAAGGUUUUGAAAAAGUGGUGUCAAAUUUGUUGAAUCUGGCAACGGCAACGCGCCUUCUUCACCUGCCAACACCCUUUUCAACCUCUCACAAAACAGUCGGAGGUGGAAUUCCAGCAUAUCUCCUUCUCUCCGUAGCACUCAGAGGUAUAGUUGAAAGAUUAAACACCAUGGAAGAAUUUGAAAGGAAUAUGCCAAGAAACUGUGUAAGUGGCUAAAUUCCACAAAUAUGACAUUAUUGCUCUUUUUUGAACUCAAAAAAAUGGUACGCGUUCAUUUAGAGAAAAGAACAGGUAUCCCAAUCGAUAUCCAACCUUUAUCUUAUUUAAUUACUACCAUGACAUGAUUGAUGAUGCUUAAAUCAAUUGUUUCUUUUUUAAUUUAAAGAAUUUUUCAUUAAAAAAAUAUUUUGAUAUCUAAUACCCUUCAAUGGCAUAUCUGCCGCAAGCCCAGAACAGGAUUAAUGAAUUUUUUUUUUAAUUUUUUGGGCAUGGAAAGAGCAGUAUUAAACAUCAGAAAGCUAAGGUUGUUCUGUUAAAAAAUUGAUAUUGACAUAAUUUUAUUUUGGUUUCGGGGAAAAAAAUAUUUUCUGAAAAGCAAGAAAAUAUUUUUAUAUUUUACAAUUUAUUAUACAUAUUUUAUCGUAUUAAAUUAAUUUUAAUAAUAAAUAGAAACAAAAUAUUACGAUAAAUAAAUUAAAGUUUAAAUUGUUUUGAAUAUUAUAAAAAAUAAUUAUAAUAUUAUUAAUAGGAAGACAUUUUGUUAAUUUUAAAUUUUUUUAACCCAAAGGUUUAUUUAAAAUCUUUAUUAUAAAUACAAAUAUAAAAUUAAAUAUCAUAAUUUAAAAAAUUUAAUAUUAUUUUAAGUAUUAAAAAUAAUUUAAUGUUAUUAGUCUACUAUAUAGAUCACAUUACUUAUAUUAUAUUUGUAAUGAUUAAAAAAUUUUUAAAUCAAUUUUCUAGUUAAUAUAUUCACGAGGUAUUAUGGUUAAAGAAAAGACCUUGGUGUUACUUUUUAAAAAUUUGAGCGCAUGCAUGAUAAUUUUUUCAAAAUUUAAGAAUGUAUGUGUCCUUUUCUCCAAUAAUUUAUUUCACUUUUGAGGGGAAUCCAAUGAGAAAUAUGAUAAGAGAAUGUCAAUUACUUGUCAUUUUCUAUUUUUUCUGUAAGGUAUUUAUUUUGAGCAUUGGUGAUCUUGUCUGGACUACUCCAAUUAUUGAUGGAACUCCAAUGGCUGCAUCCACAGUUGAAUAUAUGAUGGUGUUAGCUCUUACUUGAGAAUUCAGAGGGAUCUUUCUAUGUUUCUCAAUUGCAAUGUGCUAGUAUAAAUUUCUUUACCUUACAGUUUAUAUAGUCUUGCUGUUAAUGAACUCACUGAGGCAUUAUUGAUUCAAUUUCAGUGGAGCAAUCGCGGGUGAAGGAUAAAUAAAGGAUAACAGAACAGAGCUGAAGUGCUAAAUUGGCUAUUGAAGAAGGUUUUCACAUGAUCACAAUUAUGUAAAAUAAUCAUUUUUCUGAAAUUGUGUUUCCUAAAAUUAAUAAAUUUCCUUUUUUUUAAAAAAAAAAAAAAACUCUUCUACGACGUGGUUGCACAGCAAAUUAGAGAAUUAUAGGGUCUCUAAUCAAUACUCCAACCAAUAAUGAUAUGUGCACAAAAAAUAGUAUCAAUCACAACAAGAUUAAAAUUAAAAAAAGUAACUAUAAGAUGGAAAAAAAAAUUAUUACAAGAAAAUAAUUUUUUUGUCUUUUCUAUCUUUUAUACUAUUUUUGUUUAUAUGUACUCUAAAUUCAGCCAAACCAUACAUGCAUGAACAAAAAUUAAACCGUCGUUCUAAUCACAACAGUAAUUGAAGCUACAAAAGCCAGCAAAUCUGAACGAAGACUUAAAAGAAAGAUCUUAUUCAAGUUUGUCCCCAAAAGACAGCUGAAAUGAAAAAUAUUGACUAUUGAAUGGGUCAAUGCCGAAUUACAUUUCAAAUGGAAAGCUUGGCAGCAGUUACAAUGUUUCCCCCUCUGAUUUUCCUCCAAAACAAAUUCAGUUGUAAACAAUAACCGAAGUAGUAAUAAUUUAUUCAUCAAAGAAAAUACCCCCAAGUUUUCAACUAAAAAAUCCUCUUGUCCAAACUAAAAGAACUCAUAUCUCUAAAAUCUAUCUGCAAAAUGUUGGGAAUGAGGAGUGAUCUGUCAACUCCGUAAAUAAACUCAUGCAUAAUGUUAACAAUAAUGAUAAAUUACAUAAUAAUUAUUAUAAAGAAUCAUAAAUUGGAAACACUAAUCAUUCUACAAUCUAUUAUAUAAGCAAGAUAAAUCUCAUAAUAAGUUAAGUUAUAAUGUAAUAAAUAUUUUCAAUAUAUAAUUAUUUAAGAAGUCAUUUAACAAUAAAAUAAUUUUUUUAAAUCAGUUGAUCAUACAGCGUUAUCUAAACUCCUGACGAUAUUAUUAUUACUCACUUUUCUCAAAAAAAUAUGAUUAAUGUUUAGAGAAAAGUCAUGCAUUUUAGAAAAAAUAUGUAUACUAGCUAUCCGUACUUUAUCUUACCGUGACAAAAUUGAUGGUGAUUAAAUCUAUUUUUAAAAUAGAUUUAAUUCACAAAUAUGGUGACUUUUGGCAAAAAUUAUUUUCAGAAGAUAUAGUGGCAGAAAAUAGUGAUAAUUAUUGUUUAAAUGUGUAAAUAGCCUAAGUAUAGCCCAUAAUACCAAUAUCCAUUUGCACCUUCAUUUGGUUUAUCACAUUUCAUGAUAUUCUUUCAUUCAUGACCAUUGUUCAAGAUUUUAAUUUGAUUAUAAAUUAAGUUGCAAGGGAGCUUACUUCAGUCUCUAAGCUUUUCAAUCGUGAUUCCUGCAUGCCAACGUAACUGACCUUAUAAUUGGUCUGUAUAAGAAAUCAAGCCCUUUCAGGAUCGUUUUCUUUUUCUCCCUAUUGUAGUAGUCAACUAAAUAAAGAAUGAACAACUAAACUUGGUCUAUUUCGAGGAAGACUAAGGCUUCCAAUACUAGAUGAACUUUGAAGAAAAUUAAUCCGUUGUUUUUAUUCAUCUUUGGACUAUGAAUAUAUACAAAGACUUUAACAGAAAAUAACAAAGACACAGCUAAAUGCACUACUAAAAAAAUGAGUUUUACUGACACUAAUUUAGCGUCAGUAAUUACUUUUAUUGACACUUGUUAAUUGUGUCAGUGUUGCUCAAGCCAGAACACACUGACACUAAUUUUUGAUGUCAAUAAUUUUUGUGUCAGUAAUUUGUUUCACUAUAGUAUCACUAAAAUAAUGACACGAUGAUGUUGGUAUUUAAUAAUACUAUUUACACGUCAGUAAUUUAUGUGACUAUAGUAUCAAAAACUGACUCGAUAAUAUAAAAAAUUCUUAUUGUUAUUUUAAAUAUGUAGUGUCAGUAUUUAGUAAUGUUAUGCUGCUUUUGGUUAAUAGUAUAUUUUUUAUUUUAAUUAUAUUUUUCGUGUUUGUUGUACAACCAAAAGAAAACUCGAAAUAUAUUUAUUAUUAAAUAUCUUGCAACACAAUUCAUAUAAUAAACAUCUCAAAUACAUCACUUAAAUUCACACAAUUCAACUACAUCACUAUGUGUAAAAGACUUAACAUAAGUAUCAAAUUAAAUUUUCAACAAUCUCUAAACAACAAGUGCUAACUACUACUCAAUUAAGUUUCCAACCCAAAAGAAAAAAAAAAAAGCACAAGGUCACUCAAUAUCCAUCCACGGCUUCAUUUUGUUCCCACCUACAAAUGCAUAAAAUCAAUUAGUAUACUGUGAAAAAUAAAUCUUAGUUAUUUUGAAGCAAAAAUACUCAUAAAUUACUUCAACAUGGAAGAGUAGGAUUAAAAGAAGCAAGUUAAGGAAUCAGAAAAAGAAAUUGUAGAAUCUACACGUUCCCAAGUUAAUUACAGCCUGCAAUCAUGAUACCACAAAUUGCUUCACCAAAAGUAUUCUAUCAAGUAUUAAAGAGAACACUUAAUAAGUACAUCAAUAUUUAGUAAUGAUGACAUGAACAAUGGUGUCUACAACUUGACAAGCAUAAGUUAUUUUUUUUGUAAUCUAUUUCAUUGUCUAAAUUUAAAGUAAACAAUGCUAUAAUAUAUGAUCAAGUACAUUAAGUUAACAAGCACUAUAACAUUUAUUUAGCCCACAUUCAACGAUGAUCAGUUGGACCGAAAGCCAUAAAUUGAAAAACAAAAGAUAUUUAAUGAGCUUAAAGAGGAAAAAUAAAAGUUAACAAAAUUUAAACGACUAAUGAAGAAAUUAACCAAGCCGAGAUGAAAAACAGAAAUAGAAGGCCACUAUAAGCCAAACAUUACAAAUCAGGUUGCUUUUUAAGACACGAACCCAGUUUCCAAUUACAGUACUUUGCAAUUCUUUAAAAAAAAAAGGGUUUCCCAAUUACUAAAUCUUUUUAGGUUUGAAGUGGAUUGAUAAUUAAAUUGAUGAAAGAAAGGAAAGUGAAGCAAAAAUUAGAUUCAAGUAUGGGUCAAGUAAAAAAGUAAAAGAUAAAAAUCAGAUUCAGUGCAAACCUGGGUUUCAAAUGAUUAGCAAAGGAACAACUUCUUCUUUCUUCAAUCUAAUAUUCUUCUUCGAACAUGGAAUACUAACAAAAUACAAUUAGUAAUUCAUAAACAUAUAGUAAAAUGAGAUAGGUAUUUUUUGAGAGGAGAUUGAGAAAUACAUAUUUGAUUGAAGAAAGAAAACACAACAAAAAAAAAGGACCAGGUCUCCUCAAAGAAAAGCAAAAUGGGAAAAUAGGGGAAUAGUCUAUACAAAAGCCAACCCACCACCCUUGGAGGACCAUCCUUCUUCUGAGCAAAAAUCUAUACAAGAUUAGCCCAAACCUCCAAUAUAGUAAAAUGGGUUCGACAGACUAUUUCUAAUCUGUCAUUUGCAAAGUAAAGCUAAAAUUAGAAUUGUCUACUAACAACCUUCCUAUAGUUUGUCCACUAUAUUAUUACUAUAUUAUUAGAUGUAAAAUGCCCACUAUAAAAGGUAAUUAAUAGAGAAACUUCUCUGUAGUAUUUUCAUACCUGUGCCAAAACAGAGAAGAGAAAGAAAUGGUGUCUGACCUCGGUGGUAAAGGAACCGCUAUGGUAAAGGAUCGAACAUGGAUGAAAAAUAAACUUGUGCAAAUGGAGCCACCAGCAUUUUGCAAGAAUUAAAGAUUUUGGGUGAAAUCCUCUCUUAUAAACACUUAUUUGUAUUGGGAGCAUGCAUACUUCCGAGUAUGAUAUAAUUCUAUAAAAUUUAGACUCCUGAUAGAUAGAUAGAUAACACGUAUUAGCAUUAAUUAAAUGGAAGCAUCAACAAUAAUCAAUAAAUCAUUAUAGAAAAAAAAUUAAAAAUGAAAGGAGCUGAGGCACACCAUUGUGAUGCAAGAUUGACAAUCAAAAGAACCUUUCCUUUGUAGAUGCUAAGAUCAACAUCCUGUCCCUUCGCAUCCUGCAAAUAAGAUAAAUUUUUAUAAAAAUUAAAAAAUAUAUCUGUCAAAUCCCAAAUUGAAUUAAAAAUCAAAACAAGGGAAAGAAAAUGAAAGGAACAUGUCAUCAAAUUGUAGGUGGCUGGUGGUGCUUUUUAGUGAAGUGUUUGUAGAACUGUUAGAUGUAACCAUUCUUUACGCAUCAACUUCGCUAGUGAUUUGAUUUGAUGAAGAGGAUCUUUCCUUAUCUAGUUAUCUUCUUGUGUAGAUCCAUGUAGGAUUCCUUCACGAUUUCUUUUUUUUUUUUUUGGGGGGGGGGGGGGGGAGGUUUAAUUAACAAAACAAUAAGAGUAAAUGAGGAAUCAAUCCCUAAUUUAAGGCCUUCUAAGAUUGCUGAAGCUCUGCAUAAUCAAUGUCUCCAAGAAAAAGGUUUAUUUGCAGGCUGUAGCAGCAAUUUUCUUCCCCAUGAAAUCCAACUGAUCCAUUUGUAUUGAAUUUAAGCACACGCCUGAGGCUGGAAAAGACAAAGAAAUUAAUGAAAACAGGCUAUGUAUCUUUUUUACUUAUCAUUGCUCUAUGAAUUAAUUAUGCUACUAAUCACGACGCCGUUUAAAUCUUAGAACAAUAAUAAUCUUUUAGCAACAAAUAUGACGGUUCAAUAAUAUGUUCCGACUAGGGAUGUCAUAUUGUGAGGGCUGUUAAGUUUAAGAAACGAUCAAAUCUAAUUUUGUGUUCCAAAAACUCAUUGGCUUAACAGAUUAACUCCUCUGUAGUAUUUUCAUACCUGUGCCAAAAGAGAGAAGAGAAAGAAAUGGUUCUUGAUCUCGACGGUAAAGGAGCGGUGGCUGGCUGGGCUGAAGUUGAUGUGACGGCAUAAAAGCGGUAGCAGCGACAUACUGAAAGGUGGCUAGCUAGUCGUAGGUGGCUGAAGCUUGACAACAGUAGAGCAAAGGCGGCAGUGACGUCAAGGAACGGCGGCCGACAGCAGUGAAAGUCGAGGAGCAGCGGCCGGCAGCAGUGAAAGUCGAGGAGCAGCGGCCGGCAGCAGUGAAAGCCGAGGAGCAGCGGCCGGCAGUAGUGAAAGUCGAGGAGCAGGGGAGCGGUCGGCAGCAGUGAAAGUCGAGGAGCAGGGGAGCGGCGGCAGCAACUUAAGAAGUGGUGUGUUUGAUUCGGUUAGAUUUAGGGUUUCUUAUUUUCAUUUUAUACUUUGAAAAAUUAUACAGUGUAAUUGUUCGCAUUGUAAUUUAAUAAAACAACAAACUACAAGUCAACAUGUGGUCAAGUAAAAUUAUUAUUAUUAACAACGAAUUACAAGUUGACAUGUGGCAAAAUAAAAAAUAUUAUUCUCAAAACUAUUAUUAUUAUUAUUAUUAUUAUUAUUAUUAUUAUUAUUAUUAUUAUUAUUAUUAUUAUUAUUGUCCACAAAGUAAUUGUGUAAAAUUUAAUUAAAUAAAAAAAUUAAUCAAAUUGAAAAUUUAAAAACACAUGCAUCAAUGGUUUGCACUCUAAACUUACAAAUUUUAAGUUUAGAGAUCUUGAGUUCGAGUUCAAAUUAAAACAAAAUUAAUAUUAUUAUUUUUUUAUCACUGAUGCUUUAGUAUCAAUAAUCAUUGAAUUUUAAGCUACUGACACCUUAGUAUCAAUGAUUUAUGAUACAUACUUGUUAAAGGCGGAAAAUGGUCCAAACGUACACCAUUUCUGACACUUUUUACUAAGUGUCAGAAACAAAGUGUCAGUAAAUGUCAUUUUUGUAGUAGUGAUGAUAGCAAUAAGUGCUGACUUAGACACUUAGUGGACCGCUUCUACAAGUAAAUAAAAACUAAAUAUUUAUUUUGACUAUAACAACAACUACGCUGAUGAAUAGGAUUUCACAGCAGCCACGUGAGAACUAAUUUCUCCUUAAUAUUAUUAUUAGUAGAAGUAGAUUUUCAAACUAGUCUUGAUAUAUUUCAAAGUUGUAUUAUCAAUGUAUAUGUGUCUAGAUUGUAACUAUACUUUAAAAAAUAUAAAAUUUUUAAUUAUUGCACAAUAUAUGUAGAAAAAUAUCUAUAAAAUGAUAUUAUUAGGACUAAGAAUUUUUUAUUUUAUUUUAGAUAAGUUAUUUAUUUAUUAUCGAAUGAAUAAUUUAUUAAUUUAUUGAUAAAUGAAUAUUUAUUAAUUUAAAGAGAGAUUUUUUUGGUUUUAACAAGAGUUUGUUUGGUAAAUGUACACACUUAUAAAGAAACAUAAAAAGUGGUUCCUCAAGUCAAUAGUGUUUGCUUCAAUCGCAACGGUUCAUAAUAAUAUAGCUUAGUUAGGAAAUUUGUAAUUAUACUAUAACUUUGUUUGGUACAACUUUUCAAGUAAAACUUAUUUAAGUAGAGUUGUUAUUAGUAGAGCUUUUAUAAAUAAAGCUUUUACUAAAAAAAAUUUAAUUGUUUGGUUGUCAAUGUCCAAAUUGAUAAACUUUUGUUCUUUUGUUAAGAUAUGUUUGUUUUACUUAAUAAUAGCAUCGGCAAGAGUUUUCGAUUGUUGCAACUUGCAAUGCACGCGGUGAGAGAAAAUGAGAAUCUUGUUUAAUUGUCAAUAAUGACAAACCUAAUCCUUUCAUUAGGAGUAAUUUAAUAAUCGUUUGUUAUAACUGAAUAUGUAUAAAGAAAGGAAAAUUCUAUUCAUAGAUUUCGACUUAUUUUUUGUUUAAAGUAAUUAAUCAUUCAACCAUCUUCAUUUGCCUCUGGCCAAUGCCCUUGUAGAUUAGUUGAAGCGUUAAUUACUUAAUUAUGAUUAUAUACAUUUUCAUAUAGCAAGUGGCAUUGUAGAUCUAAACUAAGUUGCUAUUUCAAUACCAGCAAAUUCAAAAUAGAAAAGGAGUGCAACUAUUUAACUUUGUAGACAAUAUUGCAACCAUGGCAUAUUUAUAGCAAAUCCUUGAAAUCUGCUAAACAAAACAAUGCCCUGUCUCAUGAAUCGAUGCUCAAUUAAAAUUUAAAUUGAAAGUCCGGCUGGUGUUGUUUUCCUCUCCAGUUUUGCCUACAUAAGUAAAGGGAAAUAAGAAUCAUAAGUGAAAAUAUGCUUUGACAGGUCUUAUUUCUUUGUUUCUCUACUGCAGUUUUGCCUACUCAAGCUGAGUCUACGUUGAGACAUAAUUUCAGUAUUGAGGUAACAAUAAUUUCGGACUCCGUAAGAAGGUUUUGAAAAAGUGGAGUCACAUUUGUUGAAUCAGGCAACGUCAACGUGCCUUCUUCACCUGCUAACACCCUUUUCAACCUCUCACAAAAUAGUCGGAGGUGGACGUCCAGCAUAUCUCCUUCUCUCUGUAGCACCCAGAGGUAACAGGAUUAAUUAAAAAUUUUAGAAUUGUUGGGCGUGGAAAGAGUAGUAUUAAACAUCAGAAAGCAAGGUUGUUCUGCUAAAGAAUUGAUUUGUUGACAUAAUUUUUUUUUUUUUUUUUUGGUUUUCGAGGAAAAAGGCAUAUUUGUUGACAAGCAAGAAAAUGUUUUUGUAUUUUACAAUCUGUUAUACAUAUUUCAUCAUAUUAAAGUAAUUUUAAUAAUAAAUAGAAACAUAAUAUUAUGAUAAAUAAAUUAAAGUUUAAAUUAUUUUGAAUAUUAUAAAAAAAUAAUUCUAAUAUUGUUAAUAGGAACAUAUUUUGUUAAUUGUAAAAUCUUUUUAAUCCAAAGAUUUAUUUAAAAUCUUUAUAAUAAAUACAAAUAUAAAAUUAAAAUAAAUAUCAUAAUUUAAAAUUUUUAAUAUUAUUUUCAAUAUUAAAAUAUUUUAAUGUUAUUAGUCUACUAUGUAAGGUAUCAGAGCCAUACCCAUCCUUGAAUGGGUCAAUGCUGAAUUACACUUGAAAUGGAAAGCUUGCUGCAGUUACGAUAUUUCCCCCUCUGAUUUUUCUCCAAAACAAAUUCAGUUGUAAACAAUAACCGAAGUAGCAAUAAUUCAUUCAUCAAAGAAAAUACUCAAAUUUUCAACUAACAAAUCCUCUUAUCUAAACUAAUUAAAAAAAACUCAUAUCUCAAAAAUCUAUCUACAAAAUGUUGGAAAUAAAGGGUGAUCCGUCAACUCGAUAAAUAUACUCAUGCAUAAUGCUAACAAUAUGAUAAAUUACAUCAUAACUAUUAUAAAGAAUCAUAAAUUGGAAACACUAAUCAUUCUACAAUCUAUUAUAUAACUAAGAUAAAUCUUAUAAUAAGUUAAGUUAGAACAUAAUAAAUAUUUUCAAUAUAUAUAAUUAUUUAAGAAGUCUUUUAACAAUAAAUUUUUUUUCUUUUUCAGUUGAUCAUGUCAUAUAGCGUUAAUGGUGAUUAGUGACUGAUUACAAAGCAAAAUUGUUUAAAAUAGAUUUAAUGCACAAAUAUGAUGAAUUUUGGCAAAAAUUAGUUUCGGAAAUGUUGGGAUGAAAACCAUAUUAGUUGAGACUUAAAGUUACUUAAUAAAAUUAUAUCACUACCAUUCAAUGGAUGAAAACUAUUUUAGUUGAGACUUAAAUUUAGAUUUAAAUGUUGAGAUAUCUAGUAUUACUCAAUCAGAAUAAACAAGAACCAAUUCUGACUAUCAUGUAGAAGCAAAUAUUUAUGCUUGGAUUUUUUACUUCUUGAAUUUGAUUGGAAAAGUUUCUGAGACAGAGAAGUGUUUUGGAUAAUCUUUUUCGGGAUUGAAACCACAAAUUGGUCGAGGAAAUUAAUUUUGGACAAAUUUUUAUUGAGUUGUGCUAAACAUCAAGAAGGGCGAGAGAAUGCUGAGAGAAACGGCAGCUUUGUGCUGCUGUUUCGACUUCUCACUCUCUCGCCAUUCUAAUAAUUUUUUAUUAUUAAAAAUAAAAAAGCGGAGAAAAUGAUAGCAGACAACCCACAUCUACCAAAUCUCCAUCACUCCAUCACUCUCUUUCUCUCUCUCCCUCUCUUGAUUUUCAUCCUCUCUCUGGCUUCCUCACUCUCUACGGCUCCCCAUCAAGCUUCCUCAGUCUCUUCGGCCUCACUAUCUCUAGCCUCACUCUCUCCAGAUUCUUUCAUUUUCUCCUUUUUUUUAUAUUUUUAACAAUAAAAAAUUAGCAUUCUGCUGAGAAAGAGAGUGGUACACGACUCUUGAACAAUUUUUUUUCUGUCGUGAUCGUCUAUCAAACCACCUAAAAAUGAGCCAAGGGGGUUCUCAGCCCUAGCAGCUCACGUACUUUCAAGAUUUAGAGUAUGGUUCCAGUCCAAGCUAUUUAAUUAGUAUUGGGAUUCGAUUUAGUUGUUCUUCUAAUUUAAUAGGAUAAAGAAUUUAAUUGGAGAAAUGUCAUUAAUAUCAUAGGAGCAUAUAUAUUGUUUUGAUUUAAAUAUUGCUAUUUUUUUAUUGUUGAAAAAAAAAACACUAGAAAAUGGGAAGCCAAAAUCUUAGCCCUGUGUUUUUACUUUUACUUUUCUCUUAAACAUUUUAAAGAUGUAAAGGAAAAUGCUCAGAAUGGUGAGAGAGUGAUGGACGUGAUGGGCUAUCUUCUAUCCUUUUUUUAAUAAAUUUUUAAGAAUAAAAAAUUUAUUAAAACAGUAAGAGAGCGAAACCAAAACGGCAGCUUGUGCUGUCGUUUCUCUUAACAUUCUCUCGUCAUUCUUGAUGUUAAGCAUUUUCCAUUUUUAUUAUGUUGUAGCACCUUUUUGGUUCCUUUUGUGUCGGCAGCCCCUUACUAUUCUCUUAACCCUGAGUUUGAGAUAGAAAUUUCCCGAACUCCAACCCCACAUCCACAGACAAGUUGAUUCAAACAAUUGCUCUUUUAAUUAAGAGAAUGAGUUAGGUUUCAGUUCUUAUUGUUGUCUGUUAUUUCUCUGAAUCAUUAAUUUUGAGCAUUACUGAUCUUAGUUAUCUGUAUUUCUCCAAUUAUUGAAGAAUUUAUUAUUGAAUGAAUAAUUUAUUAAUUUAUUGAUAAAUGAAUAUUUAUUAAUUUAAAGAGAGAUUAUUUUGGUUUUAAGAAGAGUUUAUUUGGCACAUGUACACACUUAUAAAGAAACACAAAAAGUGCCUGCUCAAGUCAAUAGUUUUGGUACAUUUACACACUUAUAAAGAAACACAAAAAGUGCUUGCUCAAGUCAAUAGUAUUUGCUUUAAUCGCUAUAGUUCAUAAUAAUAUAGCUUAGUUAGGAAAUUUGUAAUUAUACUAUGGCUCCGAUUGGUACAACUUUUUAAGUAGAACUUAUUUAAUUAGAGUUUUUAUUAGUAGAGUUUUUAUAAAUAGAGAUUUUACUAAAAUAAAAUUUAGUUAUUUAGUUGUCAAUGUCCAAAUUGAUGAAAUAUUGUUCUUGUUAACAUAUGUUUGUUUUACUUAAAAAUAAAAGUUUAGUUUACAAUUACACCAGUAUAAAAUCAGCAGAGCAUUUUUGCUUAAAUAUUUAUUAAUUUAAAGAGAGCUUAUUUAAAUAGAGUUUUUGUUAGCAAAACUUUUAUAAAUAAAACUUUGCUUAAAAAAAUUUAAUUAUUUAAUUGUUAAUGUCCAAAUUGAUGAACUUUUGUUCUUUUGUUAACAUGUGUUUCUUUUACCUAAUAAUAAAAAUUAGUUUACAAUAACACUGGUGUCAAAUCAGCAGAGAUAUUUUCCAGCCAGUCACAUUAUACAUACGGGAGCCUCUAUGUUACAUUGAAUGUACCAUACACAACUAAUAAGAACCACAUAAAUUGUGGGACCCACAUAAUUGUGUGGUUCUUAUUGGUUGUGUAUGGUACAUUCAAUGUAACAUAGCAAAAUCCUAUACAUUAUACUAAUAGCAUCGGCAAGAGUUUUCGAUUGUUACAACUUGCAAUGCACGCGGUGAGAGAAAAUGAGAAUCUUGUUUAAUUGUCAAUAAUGACAAACCUAAUCCUUUCAUUAGUAGUAAUUUAAUAAUCGUUUAUUAUAAUUGAAUAUGUAUAAAGAAAGGAAAAUUCUAUUCAUAAAUUUCGACUUAUUUUUUGUUUAAAGUAAUUAAUCAUUCAACCAUCUUCAUUUGCCUCUGGCCAAUGCCCUUGUAGAUUAGUUGCAGCGUUAAUUACUUAAUUAUGAUUAUAUACAUUUUCAUAUAGCAAGUGGCAUUGUAGAUCUAAACUAAGUUGCUAUUUCAAUACCAGCAAAUUCAAAAUAGAAAAGGAGUGCAACUGUUCAACUUUGUAGACAAUAUUGCAAGUUGCAACCAUCCAAAGGUGAAGAUCUAUGCUUAUUAUCUAUUUAACAGCUAAUAUAUAUAUAUAUAUAUUUAUUUAAAUAUCAAGAGCUAUGCUUUUAAAUAAGUUCAAAUGGGAUGAGAACAGACUUAUAUUUAUUUAUUUAAAUAUGACCCAGGCUAAUUUCUCUGAAUUUGGACAGAGUAGAUUUCUAAGCUAAUGCUUGGCAUAUCUCUGGCGAUACUACAAAGUGCAUGUACAUUGACUCUUAAUAAAUAUAAACGAUUCUCUGAUAUGAUUCAAAACAUCACUACAUGCAUAAGUUAAUAAGAGACAAUAUUCUAAGAUUAUUUAUGCAUCACCAUUUAUAGUUGUACCCUCUCUAAUGAAAUUGAAGGUGCAGCCAGCAACUAAAAUGAAGCAGAAAUGUACACGCAUGAGGCAGUUUUUCUAGAAGAUUGAUAUUUCUUUAACUAGAAAACCAUACAAGUCCACAACUAGCCAAACUGUACCUGCAUGUGUCUAGGGCUUAAAUGGAGCACUUCUAAGCAUAAAACAGUAACUAAAACACAUACACAAACAUACAUACCAAAAAAUUCAGAAAAUAGAGAAAGGAAUACAACUAUUCUUGUUUGUAGACAAUAUUGCAACCAUGGCAUCAGUUAUAGCAAAUCCUUGAAAUCUACUAAACAAAAUAAUGUCCUGUCUCAUGAAUCAAUGUUGAAUUACAGCUGAAAUUGAAAGUCUGGCAUCAGUUAUAGGAAAUAUUGAAUUACAAUAUUUCCCUUGCCGAUUUUGUCUACACAAGUAAAAUGGAAAUAAGAAUCAUAGAUGAAAAUCAACUUUUACAGUUCUAAUUAUUAGAUAGAUACAGAAUGAUCUAUCUUUGUGAGUUUGUUUUUCUGCUGCAAUGUGCGAUCCCACUCUGUUUUGAUACUCAAAUUGAGUCUAUGUUGAGACAUAAUUUUGACAUUGCAAGCAAUCCCAAUUAGUUUGGCAUUUGUAUGACCCUUUGAAGGUUUUACAAUAGAUGCAAAUCUACUGAGAAAAUGGUAAAAAAGGUGCAUAUAAAAUGAGGCAAGUAACAGAAGUAUGAGUUAUCAGAUUAGAUUAAAAGUCACCCAAUUCAAUCUAUCAGAUUCCGUAAGGAUAUAACUGGAUGUCAUAUCGCCACUCCAUAUCCUCGAAAGUCCGUAGUCUUUGUCUCAACUCUGUCUGAGGCCAAUGUAAAUCCAAUUUGCACAAGCUCUUUAUGCACCAUAGCUCUUCUGGAAGCUUUCUCAAGUAAGCACAUGGGUUGACAAUUAAGCUUUCAAGUUUUGGCAUUGCUCUUGCCCCCAUCGUCCACUCGUCUAGCCAAUACAUCGACUUCAAGUGCAAAAUCUUAAGUUCCGGAAAGCCACCAGAGCCAACGCAGGCCAGCUUUCUUCCUAAAUAUGAGUUCUGCUUCAGUUUCAGCACUUGAAGGCGUGGAAGCUUUUCCAGCAUUGGCAUGGGAUCCUCCAUUAGCUCAGUAUUUGAUAAGCUCAGUUGGAUCAGGCUUGGAGGAAAUUGGUAUUCAGACAGGACCAUCCGUGAGAGCUUGCUCUCAUUCACCAACUUCAAGCAUUCAACUUUGUGGAGUUCGCAUACGCUUUUGGAAACCCCAGAGUGAUAGCAACUCAAAUCUCCAGACACUCUAAGAGUUUGAAGAUUAGGUAGUCUGCACAAUAUAUCUGGCGUGCAACUACUAGGGUGUAAGGCUGAUAUGAAAAUAAGAUUUUUCAGAGAGCUGGAAUAAUUUUUUGGAGGUGCAGGCAGAGUGAUGGAACCAAAGUUCAGAUGCAUGAGUUUUUGCAUCUUCCAAAUAUCCUCUGGUGUUUGAUCUACGUAGCUAGAUGGCAUGUCUAGUGUUUGAAGGUUUGAAAGGGUGCAUAGCAGUGAAGGAAGACAUUUGAGCGAAGGGAUAUUCAAUUUCAAAUACUUCAAAUGGAAUAAAUUUUCUAAUCCGGGUGGAUAUUGGUCCAGGACUGCAGAACCCAUGUUCAAUACCCGAAGGUGUUUGAACAUUUUACAAAAAUUCUCGCAAUCUAUCGGAUUAAGAUGAUCGCUUUCUGAACUGUGAUUCAGAAAAGAUUGGAGGUACAUGUCAGAAUGUUUCAAAGAAAAGAACUCAAUCAGAUCAUCGACAAUGAUGUACCGUUUGGCAUUUGCCAUUGAUUCCUCUUCCAAUCCAGGCGACCAAAAAAAUCCCGUCAAUGCUGCCGGCAAAAGUAACGCAACAUAUGCAAAAGUUGGAACAUAGCACGCCUUAAUUGUGCCUCCGGCUCUUCUCUUAUUCACUUGAAUGAAGCCACGAUCGAUUAGUUCAUUCAAGUAAUGCUCGGCAGUUUCCUCACUGUUGUGUGGUAUGAAACCUUCAGCUACCCACAACCAAUAUAAUUGCCUGGUAGAUAUCUCAAUGCCUGGAUGGAACAAACACAAAUAGAGGCAGCAGAUUUUCAAGUGAACAGGUAACUGCAACACAGAAUAAAUUGUACUCCAAGCUGUCAGAAACGCUUUUUCUCCCAUGUAAAUUCUUAAUGUCGUUUUUCCAUAGUGUAGGAUGAAAAAUUGCCAGGCUUCAUGCUUUAAUCUGAUCAAUGGUCCUCCAACGAGAACUGAAUCAGGAUGAAUCGUCUGUCCAUUUUCCAAUUCGAACGAGGAAAGGAAGUCUGGAUCAGUGACCGUCAUUAAUACUCUGCUUCCAUUCUGAUUCUCAGGAAGGACUUCUUCAAGAUCAUCCAAUACAUCGUCACUCUCUUCACAGUAAUCAUCAAGCACAAUAAAGUACUUCUUGUUUGUUAGGUAAUCUCGAAGAAUAGAUUUCUUCAAUUGAUAAUCUUCACCGAUAACUACACUAACCCGAGAUGGAGGCAUCACAGACUUGAUUAUGUCAUCCAAUAUCAUGCGAAAAUCGUAGGCUAUAGAAACCCUGACCCAAGCAUGACAGUCAAAAUAGAACUUGACAUGAUUAUUGUUGUAAGUAUCAGCAGCAAAAGCAGUCUUAUCAAAGCCACUGCUGUCGAGAAUUGCAACCACUGAAAGCUGAGGUUGUCCCUCGAUCAGUAAAUCAAACAACGCCUCUCUGCCGCUUUCAAAUUCACUCUUAUCAAGCUGAAAUUGUCCCUCAAUCAAUAAGUGAGUGAAUUCGUUCCUUCGCUCUUUGAAAUCAAAACCAUUGCCUCCAGGUGGAAGUUGUUGCAACCGAUUUCUAAUAUCAAUGAUUUUACUGUGGAUUCCGACAAGAAGAGCAAUGCAAGUAGUGCUCUCACUUUCACUGUUUUGCUGCUGCGUGAUGUUGAUGAAGAAUGUGUCAAUAGCUUUCUCAGAUUCACGGACAAAGUAAUUGAUGUCUUUCAGAAGUUCCCAAAUGUCUGUUCUUUUAACAUUUUCUAAGUGCAAGAGCUGCCGAUAACGCGAAGGCAUUUCGUCUUCAUCGAAUUGUUCUCUAAUGAGUUGAAUUAAAACUCGAGCCAUGUCAACUUCAUAUUUUCCCAGCAGAGUAGUAGCAAUAAUUUCGGACUCCGUAAGAAGGUUUUGAUAAAGUGGAGUUAAAUUUGUUGAAUCAGGCAACGUUAACGCGCCUUCUUCACCUGCUAACACCCUUUUCAACCUCUCACAAAAUAGUCGUAGGUGGACGUCCAGCAUAUCUCCUUCUGUCAGUAGCACCCAGAUGUAUUGUCAUUUGCUUCAAGAAAUGUUGAAAGGAUUGGUUCUAUCUCAAAGUGUUUAGUGGUGUAAAAUUAAUUAAUUAAACACCAUGGAAGAAUUUGCAAGGAAGAUGCCAAGAAACUGGCGAAGUGGCUAAAUUCCACAAUUAUGACAUUAUUGCUCAUUUUCAACUCAAAAAAAUGAUACGCGUUCAUUUAGAGAAAAGUCCAAGACGCGUUCCUUUCGGAAAGAACAAUUAUCCAAUAGAGAUCCAACCUUUAUCUUAUUCAAUUACUACCCUGACAUGAUUGAUGGUGCUUAAAUCAAUUGUUUCUUUUUUAAUUUAAAGAAUUUUUCAUUCAAAUUUUUUUUAAUAUUAAAUUGCCUUCAAUGGCAUUACUGCAGCAAGCCCAGUAACACGAUUAAUUAAAAAGUUUAGAAUUUUUGGGCCUGGAAAGAGUAGUAUUAAACAUCAGCAAGCUAAGGUUGAUAUGUUAAAGAGUUGAUAUUGACAUAAUUUUUAUUUUGGUUUUCGGGGAAAAAAAAUUGUUGACAAGCAAGAAAAUAUUUAUAUAUUUUACAAUUUAUUAUACAUAUUUUAUCAUAUUAAAAUAAUUUUAAUAAUUAAUGAAAAACAAAAUAUUGCAAUAAAUAAAUUAAUGUUUAAAUUAUUUUGAAUAUAAUAAAAAUAAUUUUAAUAUUAUUAAUAGGAAGACAUUUUGUUAAUUUUAAAAUCUUUUUAACCCAAAGGUUUAUUUAAAGUCUUUAUUAUAAAUUAAAUAUCAUAAUCUAAAAUUUUUAAUAUUAUUUUAAGUAUUAAAAAUAUUUUAAUGUUAUUAGUCUACUACAUAGAUCAUAUUACUUAUGUUAUAUUUGUAUUGAUUAAAAAUUUUUAAAAUCAAUUUUCUAGUUACUACAUUCACGAGGCAUUAUGGUUAAAGAAAAGAUCUUGAUGUUACUUUUAAAAAAUUUGAGGGCCUGCAUGAUAAUUUUUUCAAAAUUUAAGGAUGUAGGUGUCCUUCUCAAAUAAUUUAGGGUGAGGCUAUUUGAAUCCACCAAUCUACUCACUACACCCAUUUACUAAAUAAACCCGCACUUAAGUUUUGAAAUUUUAAAUUUUACUCAACAAACCGACCUAAAUGUCCAAUAUACCCUUAUUGAACCCAAUUAUUAUAAUAAUAUGUUUUUGCUAAUUAAACCCAUUUAAUUCAUUUAAAGUUAAUAAAUGAUUAUAUUUAUUAAAUUGAAAACUAAAAGAUUAUACAAAACAUAAACAAUACUCUCAAUUAUAUAUUUUGGAGCAAAAAUUCCAAAGUGUAGUAAGCAAAGCCAAUGCAAAAUGGCUGGAGCAGCUAAUAAUGGUAAAAGUCAGAGCCUAGUAAUGUGGUACCGCUACUUGACUUUGGGAAAGAAGUGAUAAUUAUAUCAAUUUCUUCAACUUGGAAGUUGGAAGUGCUGUUGAAAGCGGUUGAUGCCAGAAAAAUAAUUAGAUAUCUGUCAAAAAAAAACUUUGGUAUUUUUAGAAAUAAAAUCCUAUAUCCAGUAUUUCAAUAUGAAAAGUCUCUAGUAUUUCUUUCAAUUGAUUCUUCCUUUGUCUUCUUCGACUCCAUGAAGGUUUAAUUAUGAUGAGAAAGCCAAGGGGAAUCAAUAAAGAAUAUCAAUUUAGGGUUUAAGAAAAAUAUCAUAAAGUUGAAUGUAAAAUGGAUUCAAAGAGUAAAUUUUAUUUUUAAAACUAUAUUUUAAUGUCUAAAAUUGUAAUUUAAUUUAGGGAUAUUUUAAUAAUUACAAUUUAUUUUUAAAAGUGAGUUUAUUAAGUAGUUUGAUGGGUUCAAAUAGUCCCAUCCAAUAAUUUAUUUCACUGUUAAGGGAAUCCAAUGAGAAAAAUAAUAAGAUAUCGUCAAUGACUUGUCAUUUUCUAUUUUUUCUAUGAGCUAAUUAUUUUGAGCAUUAGUGAUCUUGUCAGGACUACUCCAAUUAUUGAUGCAACUCCAGCGGCUGCAUCCACAGUGGCUACUCCAAUUAUUCAUGCCUUUUAAAAAGAAUAUGUAUACAAUAGCAAUCCAUACUUUAUCUUACAUUGAUUUUUUUCAAUUAAUGGUGAUUGCAUUGAUUUUUUUCAAUUAAAGAAAAAUUGUUUAAAAUAGAUUUAAUGCACAAAUACGAUGACUUUUGGCAAAAAUUAGUUUCGGAAAUGUUGGGAUGAAAACCAUAUUAGUUGAGACUUAAAUUAAGAUUUAAAUGUUGAGAUAGUAUUGCUCAGUCAGAAUAAACAAUAACCAAUUCAAAUUAUGACUAUCACGUAAAAACAAAUGUUUAUGCUUGGGUUUUUUACUUCUUGAAUUUGAUUGGAAAAAUUUCUGAGACAGAGAAGUGUUUUGGAUAAUUGUUUUGGGGAUUGAAACCACAAAUUGGUCGAGGAAAUUAAUUUUGGACAAAUUUUUAUUAUAUUGUAGCACCUUUUUGGUUCCUUUUCGGCGGCCCCAUACUAUUCUCUUAACCCUGAGUUUUUUUUUUUUUUUUUUUUUGAAAAGUCUUAACCCUGAGUUUGAGAUAGAAAUUUCCCGAACUCCAACCUCACAUCCAGGGACAAGUUGAUUGAAACAAUUGCUCUUUCAAUUAAGAGGAUGAGUUAGGUUUCAGUUCUUAUCAUUGUCUGUUAUUUCUUUGAAUCAUUAAUUUUGAGCAUUACUGAUCUUAGUUAUCUGUAUUUCUCCAAUUAUUGAAGAAUUUCAUGUGGCCACUUUUUCUCCUUUUCAUAUAUGUUUCGUUUUUGGACUGAUCAAACGGUGCAAAACCAAGUAUUUGCUGGUCCUUAGUUUAGCCAAUGAUGGCUGAUCCACAGUUGAAUAUAUGAUACUAUUAGCUCUUAUUUGAGAAUGUAAAGGGAUCUUUCUUAUUUGAGAAUACAAGUUGCCCAAUAGAGUUGAACUAUGUUACCCAACUCCAUGCUCAUACAUUAAAUGUUUAGGUAGUUUUACAAAAUGAUAGCAGCAUGCCAAAACUUGUUGUUGUCAUUUUCGACAUUUCAAAUUGAAAAAUAUGCAAGCAAUCUUCAGUGAACAUUACGUUUUUAUUGAAUAAUUUAAAUGGCCAGCAAAUCAACAGUCCGUGAGUUUUAAAUCUAUUAUGACUUAAUGUAUCUUUCUGUAUUCGUACACAGGUUAUAUUAUCAUAGUUUAAAAUUUUAAUAUUAUUUUAAAUGUUAAAAAUACUUUAAUGCUAUUAGUCUACUACACAGGUUAUAUUAUUUAUAUUAUAUUUGUAUUAAUUAAAACUUUUAAUGUCAAUUUUCUAAUUACUAUAUUGAAAAGGUAUUAUGGUUAAGAAAAAGUUUUGGCAUUUCUUCUUGAAAAUUUGAGGGUCUGCAUGACAAUUUUUCCAAAUUCUAAGGGUAUAGGUUUGAAAAUUUAAUGUUCUUUAACUUAAUGAAACAAAAGGGGGAAACCAAGAACUAUUCAAUUUUGUAUUUUUUGUUUGUAAUUCAAAAAAUGCAUCCACCAAACAAGUUUUACGCAUUAAUGCUGUCAUAAAACAAAAAACAGUUUGCCAAAAAAUGGUACCAAACAUAUCCUUAAUGUCUCACAUGAUUUCUUAGUAAGCCCAUAUUAGAUAUAUUUAUACAUUUUAGGUAUUUUAAUUAUAAAAGAAGUUGGUCCUCCCUCUGUUUAUAAAAGAUAACGUUAUUUCGAGAUUACCACUAAACUCUUACAUAGAAUUAGUGUAAUGUUAAGAGAGAGUAACACAAUUUUCCGUUACCAUCUUUGAAAAUAGAAAGAUAUGGAUGCGUGCAUUUAAGGGUUAUCGUGAAAAUCAUACAAUUCAAUUUCCUGACAUAUAUAUUCGUGCACAUAUGCCAAAAGAAUAAAUAGACAGAAAGUAAAUUUACAGUCCUCACUUCCUCACAAUUGUUAACGUGGAGACAUUAAGGAUGAGCAUAAAAGUUAAAGAUGACUCAUUUCUCAUUUUCUUUUUAAAGUGCUCUGCUGAAAGCCAAACUUCCUUUGGCUAAUUAAUUUAGAAGUAAAGCAGAGAAUAAAGUCCUAGAUGCCUUCUGAAAUUAGAAAUACAUUUUAUAUGCUUUAAUUAUGAUUAUUUGGUAGACUAAAGACCUAAAAGAUAUGUCCAAAGUAUAAAACAGAACGAUUAAAGGAAAAAGAAAAAAAACAGAGUAUUUGUGACGUAGAAUAACAAUUGGUAACUAAAAUCCUAAAUAUUUGAGUUGUUAAAAGCAAAUAUAACAGAGAAGGUAAGAGAGAUGCAGAAACAGAAAACUAUUAGCUUAUCUUGAUUUCCCACUAUAUUCAUUUUCGAUGCUUUUCAAACGAGAUUCUUUUAAUCCUUCUGGCGUCCGCAGCCCUUGCUCUUCUUACAAAUCUCCAGUCCACAUCUGCACUACGAACAAGUUGAUUGAAAUUAAAUAAUGUUGGAGAUGAGGGGUGAGCCGUCAACUUGGUAAAAAAAUUCAUGUAUAAUAUUAUCAAUAAUAUAAAAUAUAUAAUAAUUAUUACAAAGAAUCAUAAAUUAAAAAAUUAAUUAUUUUACAAUCUAUUUCUUAAGUAAGAUAAAUCUCGUAAUAAGUUAAGUUAUAACGUAAAAAAUAUUUUCAAUUUAUAAUCAUUUAAGAAGUCAUUUAACAAUAUAUUUUUUUUAUCAGCAGGCCAUGCCACAAAGUAUCAUCUAUAUUCGUGGUGAUAUUAUUAUUACUCCGUAUUCUCAAAAAACAUGAUUUAACAUUUAGAGAAAAUUCCUGCCUUUUAAAAAGAACAUGUAUGCAACAACUACCAAUACUUUAUCUUACCACAACAAAACCAAUGGUGACUAAAUCAAUUUUCUUGAUUAAAGCUAAAUUUCUUAAAAUUGAUUUAAUGCACAAAUAUGAUGACUUUUUGCAAAAAUUAGUUUUGGAAAAUAUAGUGAGAGAAAAUAGUGACGAUUAUUGUUUAGAUGUGUAAAUAGUCUAAACAUAAUCGCUAAUACCAAUAUCCAAGUGCAUCUUAACACCUUUCGUGAUAUUCUUUCAUUCAUGGUCACUGGUUCAAUAUUUGAAUUUAAUCAGUAAAUCAUGUUCAAUAAUAUUAGAGAUCCCAACAAUUGAGUACCAAUUUAAAUCCUAAUGCUAUAUGUCAUUGACCAAUAUUGUGUCAUUUUUUGUUAACUGGGUGAUGAAUUUCUAGUUGAUAAAAUUACUUUAAAAUAUCUUAAAAAUUAGACAAUAGUUUGCUUAAUUUUUUUAAGCUAACCGCUCAAGAUGCUCUAUUAGAAAUGAUAACCUAAUUAUAUACAUAAAAAAUGAUGUAUUUUUUGCAAUGUUGAUAGUGAGAUUAUCAUUCAACAUGUUAAAAUAUGAAAACAUAUGGAAGAUGGUUGUAAAUUGAUUGAAUGAAAAUAUUUCAGUGAAGUCUCAAAAAUUUGGUACUUGUUAUCUUAUCGAAAGUUUUCUAAAUUAUAUUCGUGGCACUGCCACUGCUUCUAUGUGAAGGUCAUUAAAAUUUGUGUUAGUUACCUAUAGGUUGAAUAACAAUUUUAUUCAUCAAUUGUUGCUCAAUAUAGCAAUUUGAUUGAAAGUGCCGCUGCACUAAUUUUCUAGAUGAACUUUCCUAAAUGUUUGUCCUCAUAUGACCUAGAAUGCUGCGAUAUCAAUUGUAUUGGAAAUUAUUCAAGUGGGUUAGUGCUCUACAUCCCCACCAAAAUUUAAGCAAUCAACAAAACAUUCCUUGUGGAAAUAAACUUAUUUCGCUACUAGACUUCUAAUGAGGCCCAUUUUCCAGAAUCUGGAUACGAGUUAGAUGUCUCCCAAAAUAUUGGUGGGAGUAGACUAUACUAGCACUCGACAACAUACUAACGACGCUAUGGUCCACCAGAAAGACCGGUCUCCGGUCAGCCGAAAAAUCUCACGUUCAGUCUCUUCUCAAUCUCCCUUCUCCCAGCCAAGUCGAUCCCGUAACAUGAUACUAAUCCACAGUUGAAUACAUGAUACUAUUAGCUCUUAUUUGAGAAUAUAAAGGGAUCUUUCUUAUUUGAGAACAUAAAUUGCCCAAUAAAGUUGAACUACGUUACCCCGCUCCAUGCACAUACAUUAAAUGUUAACAGCAUGCCAAAACUUGAUGUUGUCAUAUUCGACAUUUCAAAUUAAUAUGCAAGCAAUCUUCGGUGAACAUUACGUUUUUAUUGAAUAAUUUAAAUGGCUAGUAAAUCUAGAGUUCUUGAGCUUUAAUCUAAAUCAAAUCUAUUAUGACUCAAUGUAUUUUUUUGUGUUCGUACCAGUAAUGCAGGGGAUUAUUUACGCAACUCUUAUUAUUGACUGAGAUGUUCACCUUCAUCCAAUUAGAGAAAGAGUGACUGUAGAGGUGGCAAAAAUACCCGCCCGGUCCGGACCCGGACCGUACCCAUUACCUGGUCCGGGUAUGAAGCCGGGUCGGUCUUGGGCAUCACUUGAUAAACCUGGAACCCGGAUUUUAUUAAAAAAAUUAUAAAAUAUAUAUUAUUUUAAAUAUUUUAUAUUUAUUUGACUCAUUUAUUAUACAUAUAUAAAGUUUUAAACACUUAAAGUUUAUAUUUUCAUGUCAAAUUUUAUUGAAAUAAAUUUAAAACUUAUAAAAUUACUAAAAAAUAAAAAAUAUAUACACAUAAAAUAUUAAAAAAUAUAAAAUUCGGAUACCCGGAUUAAAACCCGGCCCGAACCCGGACCCAGACCGGUUGCAUCCGGGUAGGGUCCAGUCAUGGCAAUACUCGGACCUGGUCCGGGGUUUUGCCAUCUCUAAGUGACUGGGUUCCUAUAAAGGGACUCUUAACCAUUACGAGAGUAUUCAGACUACAAAUCUUUGUAAUUAAAUUCAAAGGUGAAGAUCUAUGCCUAUUAUCUAUUUAACAACUAAUAUAUAGUUAUCUAUUCAUUUAAAUAUCAAGGGCUAUGCUAAUAAUUAAGUUGAAAUGUUGAUGAAAGUAGCCUUACAUCUGUGUAUUACUCAUCUACUCUAAUCUUUUUUUUUUUUAACUUAAUGUACUUUUUCUAAUGUUGUUUACUCUUCCCCCCCCCCCCCCCCCCCCCCCCCCCCCCCCCCCCCCCCCCCCCCCACCUCUCUGACAAAAUAAUAAGAGUUUAGACUUGAAAAUAUCUUAAAGAUCAAACAGUAAUUUACCUAAUUUUUUGAAGCUAACUGCCAAAGAUAUUCUAUUAGACAUUGAUAACGUAGUUAUAUACAUUUAAAAUGAUAUUUUUUUGUGGAAAGGGAUUAUCAUUCAACAUCUUAAAAUAUGAAAACAUAUGGAAGAUGAUUGUAAAUUGAUUGAAUGAAAAUAUUUCAAUGAAGAUGGUUGUAAAUUGUUAUCUUAUUGAAAGUUUUCUAAAUUUACUACUAUUUGAACUUAGCCCUCCUGGUACCGCCACCAUUUCUGCUUGAAAGUCAUUUAAGUUUGUGUUAGCUGCCUAAAGCUUUUUUUUUUUUUUUUUUCUUUUUCUUUUUGAAAAGAGCUGCCUAUAGCUUGAAUAACUAUUUUGCUCACGAAUUGUUGUCCAUUAUAGCAAUUUAUUUAAUUGAAAGUGCGGCUGCAAUAAUUUUCUUGAUGAACUAUUCCACAUGUUUGUUCUCAUGUGAGGCAGUUUUUCUAGAAGAUUGAUAUUUCUUUAAGUCUUUAACUAGCAAAGCAUACCAGUCCAAAGCUAGCCAAACCAUACCUGCUGGUCCAGGGCUUAAAUGGAGUACUUCUAAGCAUAAAACAGUAACAAAAACACAAUAUAUGCAUACAUACAUACACACAUACAUACAUACCAGCAAAUUCAAAAUAGAAAAAAGAGUGCAACUAUUCAAGAAAUUGGUUAUUGUAGACAAACACACAUACAAACACAUACCAGAAAAUUCAAAAAAUAGAGAAAGGAGGCCAACUAUUCAAGUUUGUAGACAAUAUUGCAAUCAUGGCAUUACUUAUAGCAAGUCCUUGAAAUCUACUAAACAAAACAAUGCUCUGUCUCAUGAAUCAAUGUUGAAUUACAGACGAAAAUGAAAGUCUAGCAGGUGUUGUUUCCCUCUUCGAUUUUGCCUACACAAGUAAAGGGAAAUAAGAAUCAUAAAUGAAAAUCAGCUUUUACAGUUGUAAUUAUUAGAUAGAUCUAGAACGAUCUUUCUUUGUUUCUCUGCUGCAAUGUGCUAUCCCACUCUGUUUUGCUACUAAAAUUGAGUCUAUGUUGAGACAUAAUUUCGACACUAGGAGCAACCGCAAUUAGUUUGGCAUUGCAUUACCCCUUGAAGGUUUUACAAUAGUUGUAAACUUACCGAGAAAGUGGAAAAAAAAGGGCAUAGGGAAUUAGGCAAGUAACUAAAGUAUGAGUCAUCAGAUAUGAUUAAAACUCACCCAAUUCAAUCCAUCAGAUUCCGUAAGGAUAUAACUGGAUGUCAUAACGCCACUCCAUAUCCUCGAAAGUCCGUAGCCUUUGCCUCAACUCUGUCUGGGGCCAGUGUAAGUCCAAUUUGCGCAAGCUCUUUAUGCACCAUAGCUCUUCUGGAAGCUUCCUCAAGUAAGCACAUGGGUUGACAAUUAAGCUUUCAAGUUUUGGCAUUGCUCCUGCCCCCAUCGUCCACUCAUCUAGCCAAUACAUUGACUUCAGGUGCAAAAUCUUAAGUUCCGGAAAGCCACCAGAGUCAUCACAGGCCAACUUUCUUCCUAAAUACGAGUUCUUCUUCAGUUUCAGCACUUGAAGGCGUGGAAGCUUUUCCAGCAUUGGCAUGGGAUCCUCCAUUAGCUCAGUAUUUGAUAAGCUCAGAUGGCUCAGACUUAAAGGAAAUUCGUAUUCAGACAGGGCAAUCCGUGAGAGCUUGCUCUCAUUCACUAGUUCCAAGCAUUCAAUUUUGUGGAGUUCGCAUACGCUUUUGGAAACCCCAGAGUGAUAGCAACUCAAAUCUCCAGAUAUCUGAAGAGUUUGAACAUUAGGUAGUCUGCACAAUAUAUCUGGCGUGCAACUACUAGGGUGUAAGGAUGAUAUGAAAAUAAGAUUUUUCAGAGAGCUGGAAUAAUUUUUUGGAGGUGCAGGCAGAGUGAUGGAACCAAAGUUCAGAUGCAUGAGUUUUUGCAUCUUCCAAAUAUCCUCUGGUGUUUGAUCUACGUAGCUAGAUGGCAUGUCUAGUGUUUGAAGGUUUGAAAGGGUGCAUAGCUGUGAAGGAAGACAUUUGAGCGAAGGGAUAUUCAAUUUCAAAUACUUCAAAUGGAAUAAAUUAUCUAAUCCGGGUGGAUAUUGGUCCAGGACUGCAGAACCCAUGUUCAAUACCCGAAGGUGUUUGAACAUUUUACAAAAAUUCUCGCAAUCUAUCGGAUUAAGAUGAUCGCUUUCUGAACUGUAAUUCAGAAAAGAUUGAUUAGUUCUUUCAAGUAAUGUUCGGCCGUCCCCUCACUGUUGUAUGGUAUGAAACCUUCAGCUACCCACAACUGAUAUAAUUGCCUCGUGGAUAUCUCAAUACUUGGAGGGAAGACAAACAAAUAGAUGCAGCAGACUUUCAAGUGAAAAGGUAACUCCAUCACAGAAUAAAUUUGUCUCCAAGCUGUCGGAAUCGCUUCGCCUUGAAAAUAAUUUUCUAAUGGCAUACGUCCGUAGUGUAGGACGAAAAAUUGCAAGCCUUCAUACUUUAUUCUAAUCAGUGGUCCUCCAACGAGCACUGAAUCAAGCCGAAUCUCCUCUGCGUUUUCCAUUUCCAACGAUGUAAGGAGUCUUGGAUCAGCGACCAAUAUCAAUACUCUGCUUCCAUUCUGAUUAUCAGGAAGAACUUCUUCAAGAUCAUCCCAUAUCUCACUCUCAUCGAAGAAGCACAAUAAAGUACUUAUUGUUUGUUAGGUAAUCUCGAAGACUAGAUUUCUUCAAUUGAUAACUUCACCGAGGCAUCACAGACUUGAUUAUGUCAUCCAAUAUCUUGCCAAAAUCGUAGGCUAUAGAAACCCUGACCCAAGCAAGACAGUCAAAAUAGAACUUGACAUGAUUAUUGUUAAAAGUAUCUGCAGCAAAAGCAGUCUUAUCGAAGCCACUGCUGUCGAAAAUUGCAACCACUGAUAUCGAUAGAUCAAACAACUUCUCUCUGCCCUUUUCAAAUUCACUGAUAUCGAGCCGAGGUUGUCCCUCAUUCAAUAGGCGAAUGAUUUUGUUACUUUGUUCACUGAUAUCAAAACCAUUGUCGCCGGGUGGAAGUUGUUGCAUCUGAUUUCUAAUAUCAAAGUGAAAAAUUGCUGCUUUCACUUUCGUUUUCACUGUUUUGCUGCUGCAUGAUGUUGAUAUUGACAUAAUUUUAUUUUAGUUUUUGGGGAUAAAAAUAUUUGUUGACAAAUAUUUUUAUAUUUUACAAUUUAUUAUACAUAUUUUAUCAUUUUAAAGUAAUUUUAAUAAUAAAUAGAAACAUAAUAUUACGAUAAAUAAAUUAAAGUUUAAAUUAUUUUAAAUAUUAUAAAAAUAAUUCUAAUAUUAUUAAUAGGAAGACAUUUUGUUAAUUUUAAAAUUUUUUAACCCAAAGGUUUAUUUAAAAUUUUUAUUAUAAAUAAAAAUAUAAAAUUAAAUAUCAUAAAGUGUAUGCACGUUGACUCUCAAUAUAUACAAACGACUCUCUGGUAUGAUUCAAAGCACCAGUAUAUGCAUCAUUUUAAUGAGAAAGGAUAUUCUAAGAUUAUUUAUGCAUCACCAUUUUUAGUUGUACCGGCUCUAAUGAAAUUGAAGGUGCAAUCAGCAGCUAAAAUGAAGCCAGAAAUUGAAGGUGCAUGAGGAAAUUUUCCUAGAAGAUUGAUAUUUCUUCGACUAGCAAACCAUACAAGUCAAAGCUAGCCAAACCAUAUCUGCAAGUCCGGGGCUUAAAUGGAGUACUUCUACGCAAAAAACAUUAAUCAAAACACAAUAUGAGCACACCCCCGUCAACCCACCCCCCCCCAACACACAUACCGGCAAAUUCAAAAUAGAAAAAGGAGUGCAACUAUUCAAGUUUGUAGACAAUAUUGCAACCAUGGGAUAUUAAAGAAUAUCUUUGAAAUCCGCUAAACAAAACAAUGCCCUGUCUCAUGAUUCGAUGCUCAAUUAGAAUUGAAAUUGAAAGUCCGGCUGUUGCUGUUUCUCUCUCCAGUUUUGCCUACAUAAGUAAAGGGAAAUAAGAAUCAUAAAUUAAAAUCUGCUUUUACAAUUCUUAUUAGAUAGAUAUAAAGGGAUCUUUCGUUGUUUCUCUGCUGCAAUGUGUUGCUAUCCCACUCUGAGAAAGAUCUUUCGUUGUUUCUCUAUGUUGAGACAUAAUUUUGACAUCAGAAGGUUUUAUGACCUCCUUGAAGGUUUUACGAUAAACAUAAAUCUACUGAGAAAGUGGGAAAAAACGAAAAUGCAUAUAAAAGUAUGAGUUAUCAGAUAUGAUUAAAACUCACCUAACAUCAGAUUCCAUAAGGAUAUAACUGGAUGUCAUACCGCCACUCCAUAUCCUUGAAAGUCCGUAGUCUUUGUCUCAACUCUGUCUGAGGCCAAUGUAAAUCUAAUUUGCGCAAGCUCUUUAUGCACCAUAGCUCUUCUGGAAGCUUUCUCAAGUAAGCACAUGGAUUGACAAUUAAGCUUUCAAGUUUGGGCAUUGCUCCAGCCCCCAUCGUCCACUCAUCUAGCCAAUACAUUGACUUCAGGUGCAAAACCUUAAGUUCCGGAAAGCCACCAGAGCCAACACAGGCCAUCUUUCUUCCUAAAUUCGAGUUCUGCUUCAGUUUCAGCACUUGAAGGUGUGGAAGCUUUUCCAGCGUUGGCAUGGGAUCCUCCAUUAGCUCAGUAUUCGAUAAGCUCAGAUGGGUCAGACUUGGGGGAAAUUGGUAUUCAGACAGGAACAUCCGUGAGCGCUUGCUUUCAUUCACCAGCUUCAAGCAUUCAAGUUUGUGCAGUUCGCAUAGGCUUUUGGAAAUCCCAGAUUGAUAAUAACUCAAAUCUCCGGAUAUUCUAAGAGUUUGAAUAUUUGGUAGUCUGCCCAAUAUAGCUGGAGUGCAACUACUAGGGUGUAAGGCUGAUAUGAAAAUGAGAUUCUUCAAAGAGCUGGAAUAAUUUUUUGGAGGUGCAGGGAGAGUGAUGCAACUGAAGUUUAGAUGCAUGAGUUUUUGCAUCAUCCAAAUAUUCUCUGGUGAAUGAUCUAUGUAGCUAGAUGGCAUUUCUAGUGUUUGAAGGUUUAAAAGGGUGUAUAGCAGCGAAGGAAGGCAUUUGAGCAAGGGGAUAUUCAAUUUCAAAUACUUCAAAAGGAAUAAAUUUUCUAAUCCGGGUGGAAAUUGGUCGAGAACUGCAGAACCCAAAUUCAAUACCCGAAGGUGUUUGAAAUUUUUACAAAAAUUCUCACAAUCUAUCAGAGCGAGACGAUCGCUUUCUGAACUGUGAUUCAGAAAAGAUUGGAGAUACAUGUCAGAAUAUUCUAAAGGAAAGAAGUGAAUCAGACCUUUCAAAAUGAAGCACCGUUUAACAUUUGCCAGUGAUUCCUCUUCCAUUUCAGGCAUCCAGACAAAUCCCGUCUUCUCUGCCACCAAACCCAAUGAAGUACAUACAAAACUUGGAACAUAACGCGCUUUAAUUGUGCCUCCGGCUCUUCUCUUACUCACUUGAAUGAAGCCGCGAUGGAUUAGUUCUUUCAAGUAGUGUUCGGCAGUUUCUUCACCGUUGUAUGGUAUGAAACCUUCAGCUACCCACAACUGAUAUAAUUGCAUCGUGGAUAUCUCAAUGCCUGGAGGGAAGACCAACAAAUAGAUGCAGCAGACUUUCAAGUGAAAAGGUAACUCCAUCACAGAAAAAAAUUGUCUCCAAACUGUCGGAAUCGCUUCGCCUUGAAGAUAAUUUUCUAAUGGCAUACUUCCGUAGUGUAGGAUGAAAAAUUGCCAGGCUUCAUGCUUUAAUCUGAUCAAUGGUCCUCCAAAGAGCACUGAAUCACGCCGAAUCUUCUCUCCAUUUUCCAUUUCCAACGACGCAAGGAGGUCUGGAUCAGUGACUGUUAUCAAUACUCUGCUUCCAUUCUCAUCAUCAGGAAGAAGUUCUUCGAGAUCACUCCAUAUCUCACUGUUAUCGAAGACAUCAUCAAGCACAAUAAAGUACUUCUUGUUUGUUAGGUAAUCUCGAAGAAUAGAUUUCUUCAAUUGAUAAUCUUCACCGAUAAUUACACUAACCCGAGAUUGAUGUCCUCCAGAAUUCCAAAAAUAUCUGCUGUUUCAACGUCUUCUUCAUCGCUUUCUUCUAAGUCCAACAGUUCCAAAAAAGGCAAAGAUAUUUUGGAGUCAUCGAAUUCUUCUCUAAUGAGUUGAAACAAAUGCCGAGCCAUGUCAGCUUCAUAGUUUCCCAGAAGAGUAGUAGCAAUAAUUUCGGACUCCGUAAGAAGGUUUUGAAAAAGUGGGGUUAAAUUUGUUGAAUCUGGCAGUGGCAACGUGCCUUCUACACCUGCUAACACCCUUUUCAACCUCUCACAAAACAGUCGGAGGUGGAAUUCCAGCAUAUCUCCUUCUCUCCGUAGCACUCAGAGGUAUAGUUGAAAGAUUAAACACCAUGGAAUAAUUUGAAAGGAAAAUGCCAAGAAACUGUGUAAGUGGCUAAAUUCCACAAAUAUUACAUUAUUGCUCAUUUUUUAACUCAAAAAAAUGGUACGCGUUCAUUUAGAGAAGAGUCCAAGCCCAGUAACAGGAAUAUUUUAUUUACUGGUGCUUAAAUCAAUUGUUUCUUUUUUAAUUUAAAGAUUUUUUCAUUAAAAAAUAUUUUAAUAUCAAAAUGCCUUCAAUGGCAUUACUGCCGCAAGCCCAGUAACAGGAUUAAUUAAAAAGUUCAGAAUUUUUGGGCAUGGAAACUGGAAAGAGUAUUAAACAUCAGAAAGCUAAGGUUUGUUCUGUUAAAGAAUUGAUAUUGACAUAAUAUUUUUUUUUUUGAGGAAAAAAAACAUAUUGGUUGACAAGCAAGGAAAUGUUUUUGUAUUUUACAAUCUGUUAUUAAAUAUUUUAUCAUAUUAAAGUAAUUUUAAUAACAAAUAGAAACAUAAUAUUACAAUAAAUAAAUUAAAGUUUAAAUUAUUUUGAAUAUUAUAAAAAAUAAUGUUAAUAUUAUUAAUAGGAAGACAUUUUGUUAAUUUUAAAAUCUUUUUAAUCCUAAGGUUUAUUUAAAAUCUCUAUAAUAAAUCCAAAUAUAAGAUUAAAAUAAAAAUCAUAAUUUGAAAAUUUUAAUAUUAUUUUAAAUGUUAAAUAUACUUUAAUGUUAUUAGCCUACUACGUAGAUUUUAUUAUUUAUAUUAUAUUCGUAUUGAUUAAAAUUUUUUAAAGUCAAUUUUUUAGUUAGUACAUUCAAGAGGUAUCAUAGUUAAAGAAAAGAUUUUGGUGCAACUGUUUUAAAAUUUCAGAGUGUAAAUGAUAAUUUUUUUUAAGUUUUAAGGAAGUAGGUAUUAUUUUUCCGACAAUUUAUUUUAUUUUGAGGGAAAUCCGAUGAGAAAUAUCAUCAGAGAACAUUAAUUUAACAUUCUUUAUCUUUGUGAAAAAAGUGGAAACCAAGAACUAUUCAAAAUUUUUUUUUUUUUGUAAUUCAAAAAAUGCAUUCACCAAACAAGCUUAUCUUAAUUUUCCCACUUUAUUCAUUUUCGAUGCUUUUCAAAAGAGGUUCCUUUAAUCCAUCUCCAUCCCACAUCUACACUAUCAAACAAGUUGAUGGAAAUUGGAACACAUUAAGUUAUGUUCAUUACUGGUCUUUGUCUUUCUAUGAGCCACUUAUUUUGAGCAUUAGCGAUCUUAUAAGGAAUCAUGCCUUUUCAGGAUCGUUUUCUUUCAUUUCCUUAUUGUAGUAGUUAAUUAAAUAAAGAACGAACAGCUGAACUUGGUCUUUUUGGAGGAAGAACAAGGUUUCCAAUACUAGAGGAACUUUGAAGAAAAUUAAUUGGAAGCCUUUAUUCAUCUUUGAAGAAAAUUACCACACUUUAAAUCCUGGAUAAAAAAAAUUUUAUUCAUCUUCGGACUAUGAAUUUAUAAAAUAAUAUUGUUAGGACUAAGAAAAAAUAUUAUUUUAGAUAAGUUAUUUAUUUAUUAUUGAAUGAAAAAUUUAUCAUGAUAAAUAAAUAUUUAUUAAUUUAAAGAGAGAUUUUUUUUUGGUUUUAAGAAGAGUUUUUUUGGUACAUGCACACAUUAAUAAAGAAACACAAAAAGUGCUUCCUCAAGUCAAUAGUAUUUGCUUUAAUCGCUAAGGUGCAUAAUAAUGUAGCUUAGUUAGGAAAUUUGUAAUUAUAUUAUGGCUCUAUUUGGUAUAACUUUUUAAUUAGAACUUAUUUAAGGAGAAUUUUUAUUAGUAGAGUUUUUAUAAAUAGAGAUUUUACUAAAAAAAAAUUAUAGUUAUUUAGUUGUCAAUGACCAAAUUGAUUAACUAUUGUUCUUUUUGUUAACAUGUGUUUGUUUUACUUAAUAAUAAAAGUUUAUUUUACAAUUACACCGGUGUCAAAUCAGCAGAGCACCGGCAAGAGUUUUCGAUUGUUGCAAUUUGCAAUGCACACGGUGAGGGAAAAUGAGAAUCUUGUUUAAUUGUGAAUAAUGACAAACCUAAUCCUUUCAUUAGGAGUAAAUUAAUAAUCGUUUGUUAUAAUUGAAUAUGUAUAAAGAAAGGAAAAUUAUAUUCAUAGAUUUGACUUAUUUUUUGUUUAACGUAACUAAUCAUUCAACCAUCUUCAUUUGCCUCUGGCCAAUGCCCUUGUAGAUUAGUUGAAGCGUUAAUUACAUAAUUCAGAUAAUUACAACGUCCUUUUCGCUAAUUAAUUAUGAUUAUGUACAUUUUCAUAUAGCAAGUGGCAUUGUAGAUCUAAACUACGUUGCUAUUUCAAUACGUUAAUUAAGUGAUUCUCCUCAUUGUCAUCAGCGUUAUAAACAGGAAUUGUGCAAACAGUACACAAUGCUGCGGCAAGGCGUGGGUGGCUAGAGUUUUGCAACCACCCUCGAGAUCCUGUGCUGCCAGUAGUAAAAGAAUUUUACACCAAUUUGGUAAGCCUUGGUCAGCACAACAUUUGGAUAAGAAACUCACUUGUUCCAUUAGACUCUCGAGUUAUAAAUUUUUUUUAUAAUUUACCUGCCGAAAUUAAUUGUGAGUAUGCCAAGUUGCUUGACAAAUUGACCUCGCAACAAUGGAACAUAAUUUUCACGACACUUACAGUAGAGGGUGCAUCGUGGGCUAAUGAGGAGGAGCGUGUAAUUAACAGGAUAGAUUUAAAACUCAUUGCUAAGGUGUGGGUGAAAUUUCUGAAAUCUAGGCUUAUGCCAACCACCCACACCACUACUGUUUCACAGGAAAGGUUGGUGUUGUUAUAUGCUAUUGUUAGAGGGCUUCCCAUAGAUGUGGGAAGUAUUAUCGAAAAAGAAAUUCGAGAUUGUGCCAUGAAAAACCACAAGGCUGCUGCCUUGUUAUUUCCUUCACUCAUAACCAGCAUAUGUGUAGUAUCAGGUGUUCAUCUUGAUGCAAAGGAUGAAAUUUGUAAUUAUAUUAUGGCUCCAUUUCGUAUAACUUUUUAAUUCGAACUUAUUUAAGGAGAAUUUUUAUUAGUAGAGUUUUUUAUAAAUAGAGAUUUUACUAAAAAAAAAUUAUAAUUAUUUAGUUGUCAAUGUCGAAAUUGAUGAACUAUUGUUCUUUUUGUUAACAUGUGUUUGUUUUACUUAAUAAUAAAAGUUAAGUUCACAAUUACACCGGUGUCAAAUCAGCAGAGCAUUUUUCCAGCCAGUCACAUUAUACAUUUUUGCAACUUGCAAUGCAAGCGAUGAGAGAAAAUGAGAAUCUUGUUUAAUUGUCAAUAAUGACAAACCUAAUCGUUUCAUUAGGUGUAAUUGCAUAAUCGUUUGUUAUAAUUGACUCUGUAUAAAGAAAGGAAAAUUAUAUUCGUAGAUUCGACUUUUUUUUUUUUAAGGUAAUUAAUCAUUCAACCAUCUUCAUUUGCCCCUGGCCACUGCCCUUGUAGAUUAGUUGAAGCGUUAAUUACUUAAUUCAGAUAAUUACAACGUCCUUUUCGCUAAUUAAUUAUGAUUAUAUACGUUUUCAUAUAGCAAGUGGCAUUGUAGAUCUAAAUUAUGUUGCUAUUUCAAUACGUUAAUUAAGUGAUUCUCCUCAUUGUCAUUAAGUGGAAAAUAGCUCAAUUGUUUCCCUGCAUCGAUUUUCAUUGGUAAGUGAUUUCUUAUGAUAUUCGUUUGAGCUUUCCUUAUUAAAAAAGCUUGAGCCUUGAUCACCUAAUACUGAUAUCAAUUUACUUGUGAACGAUUUUGUAAUGAAAUUAGGAGUUAAAUAUACAAGAUUUUUACCUGAUGAAUUUUGAUUUUUUUAAUUUUUUGAUGUAGUCAAUUUGCGAAUUUUAUAUAUUUCAUAUUCAACGGAAUUUGGGCACGGAAAGUUUGGAUUCUAAUAUUUAUAGAGUAAUGAUACAGCCACAAACUCUUGUACAAAAUUGAUGUGGCGUUAAUUCAUUAGUUGAAUUAAAUAUCUUUUUGCCCACAUGAUUUUUUUUUUUAUUUUUUUUUUUCAUUCAAUCAAUGAAUUAAUGCCACAUCAGUUUGUACAAAAUAAGUUUGUACAAGAGUUUGUGGUUAUAUCAUUAUAUUUAUAUAUUUAGCUUUAAUCAGUUUGACUUUAGCAAUCUUUUUCCCUCAUCAUUAAGGGAUUCAGAAUUAGAGAAACGCUAGGAAGAGGAAGAAAAUAACUUUGGAAAUAAGUAAGAGGGAAAAAAUUAUGAAAUUUUGAAUUAUUUUUUGUAAAGUAUGUUGCGUUUACUAAACUUGAAUUAGAAUGAGCUGAAAUCAGAAUGAAUAGGAAUGCGAAUGUGCUGAAAUCGGAAUAGGUAAUGAGAAUAAGAAUAAGUUGUUUACUUGAACUGUAAAAAUCAAAAUCGAAAUGAGCUGAAUUGCAAUUACUUUGUCUUGGAAGCGGAAUUAGAAUCGGAAUGAGUUAGAUUGUAACAAAUUACUAAAAAGUACUUAAUGAAUUAUUGUCAUAAUUAUUAUUUUAUAUUUUAAUUAUAGUGAUUAUUUAUUCAAAAAUUAUUAUUAUUAAUUAUUUUCAAUAAUAUAUUAAUAUGUUAAUUAAUUUUAAAAAUUAUUAAUUAAUUAAUUAUAAUAAUAUACUAAUUAAUUAUAAUAAUUAUAAAAAUAUAUUAAUAAUAAAAUUACUAAUUUAAUUAUAAUAAUAUAUGAAUUAAUUAUAAUAAUUAUAUUAGUAAUUAUUAUAAUAGUAUAUUAAUUAAUUAUAAUAAUAAAAAUAUAUUAAUUAUGUGAUUAUUUAUUCAAAAAUUAUAAUUAUUAAUAAUUAUUGUUAAUAAUGUAUCAAUAUAUUACUUAAUUAUAAUAAUAUAUUAAUUAAGUAUAAAUGAGGACAAAGGGGGUAUUUUUAAUUUCACGUAGGGGCAAAAUGGUCAAUUCUAGUAAUGGGAGACUCACUCCGACCCUCUCCCUUGGGAAUGAGUCUCCCAUUCCUCAUUCCCAAAUUGUGGUGGGCCCCAUAAUUUUGACUCUGAUUUUUGACUCAAUUUUGCGAAGUAAACGCUACCAAUGAUUCUGAUUUCGGAUUCUGAUUCACUUAUCCGAGAAGUAAAAGCAACAUAAAUGUGUAUGAAUAAUUGAUACCUAUGAAUAGUUUUGGGAGUUUUAGUUAGGAGUCGUUUAUUGAAGAUGUUUAGCAAUUAAAGAUCUCUGUCUCAGCAGUUUUCCCAAUCAAAAUCAAGAAGCAAAACAACUUGCCAUUUUUCUACUUGAUAAUUAAUUGAAAUUUAAGAAAAUACAAUGGCAUUUCAAUUAGAAAUGGUAAUUGUUUAUCUUUUUUCAUUGAUCAAAUUCUAAUCGUGAUCCAAUAGUUAUGGAUGAAGGAAAUAUUAUGAGAGGCGAUAGGCCAAGUGAAGACGUACCAGCAAAUUCAAAAUAGUCGGGAGGUGGACGUCCAGCAUAUCUCCUCUCUGUAGCACCCAGAUGUAUUGUUAUUUGCUCCAAGAAAUGUUAAAAGGAUUGGCCCUAUCUCAAUGUGGUUAGUGGUGAAAAAUUAAACACCAUGGAAGGAUUUGCAAGGAAUAUGCCAAGAAACUGGCUAAGUUCCACAAAUAUGGCAUUAUUGCUCUUUUUUUUUAAAGAAAAAUUAUACACGUUAAUUUAGCAAAAAGUCUAAGACACAUGCCUUUUGAAAAGAACAGCUAUUACCAUGACACAAUCGAUGCGGCUGAAACCAAAAUUUUCUUUUCUUAAUGUAAAGAUUUUUUUUAAAUAGAUUUUAAUAUCAAAAUGCCCUUCGAUGUUAUUACUGUCACAAGCCCUGUAACAGGAGUAAUAAAAAAUUUUAGAAUUUUUGGGCAUGAAAAAAGUAGUAUUAAGCAUCAGCAAGCAAAGGUUGUUCUGUUAAAGAAUUGAUAUUUUCGUGAUUUUAUUUUGGUUAUCGAGAAAAAAAAAUAUAUAUUUGUUGACAAGUAAGAAAAUAUUAUUAUAUUUUACAAUCUAUUAUACAUAUUUUAUUAUAUUAAAUAAUACUAAAUAGAAACAUAAAAUUAGAAUAAAAUAAAUUAAAAUUAAAAUUAUUUUGAAUAUUAUGUAAAAAAUAAUGUUAAUAUCAUUGUUACUUCUAAAAUAUAUUUAGCCCAAAGAUUUAUUUAAAAUUUUAUAAUAAAUAAAAAUAUAAAAAUAAAUUAAAUAUCAUAGUUUAAAAUCUUAAUAUUAUUUUAAAUAUUAAAAAUACUUUAAUGUUAUUAUUCUACUACACAUGUUAUAUUAUUUAUAUUAUAUUUGUAUUAAUUAAAAAUUUUAAAGUCAACUUUCUAGUAACUAUAUUCAAAGGUAUUAUGGUUAAAUAAAGGUCUUAGUGUUUCUUUUUCAAAAUUUGAGGGUCUACAUGAUAAUUUUUCCAAAUCCUAAGGUAUAGGUGUCCUUUUUGUCAAUAAUUUGAGAGAAUACGAUGAGAAAUAAGAUCAGAGAAAUGUCAAUUUAAUGUUCUCUAGCUUAAUGAAAAAAAAAAUGGAAACCAAGAACUAUUCAAUUUUGUAUUUUUUGUUUGUAAUUCAAAAAAUCCAUCCACCAAACAAGUUUCACGCAUUUAUGUUGUCAUAAAACAAAAAAACAGUUUGUGAAAAAAUGGCACCAAACAUACCCUUAAUGUCCCACAUGAUUUCUUAUGAAGCCCAUAUUAGAUAUAUUUAUACAUUUUACUGCAUUUAGGACAUAUUUGAUAGCCUGCAUUAUAUAGGAUAAAAACACAAUUUUGUAUUAAAUUAAUGCACACUCACGUUUGGCGCUAAAAGUAACUCCAGCCGCAUUGCAUUAAUGGGCUGCUAAUGCGGCAAUUGCCGCACUAGCUUGCCUCUUUUUCUUUUUAAUUUUAUUUAUAAUAAUAAUAAUAAUAAUAAUAAUAAUAAUAAUAAUAAUAAUAAUAACAUAAUAUAACUUUUUAUUUUAAUAUAAUAUUAUAUAAUAUUAAGUAUAAUUUUUAUUUUUACAUUAUAAUUAUUGAUAUAAAUUAAUAAAUGUAUUAUUUAUUAUUCAAUAAUAUUAUAUUAUAUAUUUUUAUUUUUACAUUAUAAUUUAUUAGUAAAUUUAUAAUUUAAUAUAAUUAAUAAUAAUAGAAAAUAUCAUUACAUGUACUACAAAACUCUUACUUUGAUUAUUUAACACAAUUUAUUUUAUUCGUGAAUAUGUUAUAACAAUUGUAUCACUUUAUUAUUUUGUUAUUAUUUUGUGGUAUGUAUAAAUUUUUAUUCUAUUAUCCUAGGAUGACUUUGAACUAAUGUUAUAGGUUUUAACUAUUUAUUUAUGUUGUUAUAUUAUUAGAGAUUAUUUGAUUAAAUUAUUUGCUUCGAUCUUUAUUUUGCAGGUCAUAUAUUUAGAAAUUGCUGAAAAAUAAAUGUUAUACUUCAAAAAAUUUAAGGCUAUAAGCUCGAUCUUUAUGAAGAAUUGUGAUAUUUUUUAACAUUUACACCAAAAAAAAUUGUUAAAUUUCUAAAAUUUAAGACUUCUAUAUUUAGUAUUUUUCUAAUUACUAAUAAGUAUUAUUUUCUAAAUAUAUAAUUUAAAUUAAUCACAAAAAAUUAAUACAGUACAGUGCAAUAUCAAAUAUAGUAUAAUAAAAAUUAUACAGUAUAAUGUAACACCAAAUAUUAUAUAAUAUUAUUAUAAUAUAGUACUAAUAUAAUAUAAUAUAAUACAAUAUAGUGUGCCAAACGCACCCUUAGAGUGUGUUUGGAACAUGGGAUUAUAGGGUAUUAAAACACUAUUCUUAUUAGCUUAAUACCAAUAUCAUGUUUGGAAAGAAAUUUUAAGGGAUUAAAGGGGGGUGAGCUAAUGCCAUAACUGCGGCAGUAGUGUCUUGGUUUUUUUUUUUAAAUAAUAAUAAAAAAUAUAAAUUUCUAAUUUUAUGUAAUAUUAUAUAAUAUUAAUUUUGAUUUUCUUUGAUCUUUACAUUAUAAUUAUUAAUAUAAGUUAAUACAUUUGUAAUUUAUUAUUCAUAUUUUAAUUUUUAUUAUAUUAAAAAUAUAACUAAAUAAUUUAAUUUUAAUUAUAUAAUAAUUAAUGUAUAAAAUUGAUUAAUAUUUAAUAAGUUAAUACAACUAGUAAUAAGUGCUUAAAUAAUACAUAAAAAUAAAAAUAUAACAUAAUAUUACAUUAUUUAAUUAUAUUACAAUAACUAAUAUAUAAAAAUUGAUUAUUAUUUAACAAUUUAAUAUAGCUAAUAAUAGAUACUUAAAUAAUAAUUUAAUAUAACUAAUAAUGAAUAUAUUUAAAUAAUAUUAAUUUAAAAUUAAUACCAAUAUAUAUAAUAAUAUAAAAUAUUAUUACAUGUACUGUAGUAUUCUUACUUGGAUUAUUUAGCGCAAUUUAUUUUAUUAGUGAAUAUGUUACAACUAUUGUAUCACUUUAUUAUUUAAAUUAAUCAAAAAAAUUAAUACAGUACAAGAUAAUACUAAAUAUUGUACAACAUUAUUAAAAUACAGUAUUAAUUCAAUACAAUAUAAGACAAUAUAUCUAUAUUAAAAUAAAAUAAUAUAAUUUAAUAUAAUACAAUAUGUCAAACGCACCCCGUGUAUUUUAAUUUCAAAAGAAGUUGGUCCUUCCUUUAUUUAUAAAAGAUAACUUUAUUUUCAGAUUACCACUAAACUCUGAAGUAGAAUUAGUGUAAUGUUAAGAGAGAGUGACACAGUUUUCCAUUACCAUCUAUGAAAAUAGAAAGAUAUGGAUCAGUGUAUUUAAGAGUUAUCGUGAAAAUCAUACAAUUCAAUUCCCUGACACAUAUAUUUAUGAGCAUAUGCCAAAAGAAUAAAUAGAUAGAAAGUAAAUUUACAAUCCUCACUUCCUCACAAUUGUUAAAAUGAAGACGCAUUACAACUGUGAACUGUCACUACUUUAUCCUUUUUUAUUUUUUAUUUUUUAUUUUUAGUUAUAGUGUGAUGGAGACAGUGAACAUCAAGGAUGAGAAUAAAAGUUAAAGAUGACCCACCCACUUUCUUUUUAAAGUGCUCUGCUGAAAGCCAAAGUUCCUCUGGCUAAUUAAUUUAGAUGUGAAGAGAGAAUAACGAUAUGUUAGAUUAUUUGGUAGACUAUAGACCUAAAAGUUCCUUCUGAAAUUAGAAAUACAUUUUAUAUGCUUUAAUUAUGAUUAUUUGGUAGACUAUAGACCUAAAAGACAUGUUAGAUUAUAAAAUAGUGCGAUUAAAAAAAAAAGAGUAUUUGUCACGUCAAAUAACAAUUGGUAACUAAAAUCCAAAAUAUUUCAGUUGUUAAAAUCAAAUAAAAAAAAAGAAGGUAAGAGUGAUGCAGAAACACAAUAUUAGCUUAUCUUGAUUUUCCCACUUUAUUCAUUCUCGAUGCUUUUCAAAAGAUAUUCUUCUACUCCUUCUGGUGUCUGCAGCCCCUUGUCACGGGAUGAGAGGUUUCGAGCCCGUGCGGCACUCUCACAUCCCAUACUACGAGAGUAAACCUAGUGGAAGUGGCACAAUAUCGACUAGUUUCGCCCUGCCUUGGGCUCAUCAGGAGAACGGCUCCAGUUCCCAACCAGUGUGUGUAGGGCUCUGAUACCAAAUUGAAGUUUAACCAAGCUAUUUAUGCUUGUUUGGUUGCAGAGAAAAUGAAGGAAAAUUCAAUGAGUAAUAAGAGAAACUAUAAGAGAAAUGGAUCGAAUCUUAUUCAAUGAAUUAUGAAUACAGAGGUUGACCUUAUAUACUAAGAUCCAGAACCUUCUGUAUUGCUCACACACGUGUUGAGAGUGAGCUGUGAUUAACAAACUUCUCAGCUCUAUAACAAACUUACAAACUAACAAUAACAGCCUUGCUUACUCAGCUACCACAUCAGCAGAAUCAUUACAAAAAUAUUCUUUAUAUUUAUAACUCUAACAUCCCCCCUCAAGCUUGCUGCGCAAAUAAGCAAACUGAUCAAAACAGAGGGGCUUAGUAAGAACAUCUGCUAAUUGAUCUGAACUGGGAACAUAAGUGACUGAAAGCUGCUGUUGAGCAAUAUGCUCUCUGAGAAAAUGAAGAUCAAGCUCAAUAUGUUUAGUACGAGCAUGAUAUUUAGGAUUACUGGCCAAAGCUUCAGCACUCUUGUUAUCACAAUGCAGAAGAGGAAUCUGAUCAAAAGAUAUGUUAAGCUCUUGAAAUAAGUAUGUAAUCCAGAGAACUUCAGAGGUAGCCAUAGCAAGAGCUCUAUACUCUGACUCAGCUGAUGAUCUGGACACAAUGGGCUGCUUCUUAGAGGACCAAGAGAUGAGAUUGGAACCUAAAAACACACAAUAACCUCCAACAGAUCUGCGAUCAUCAGGAUAUGCUCCCCAAUCAGCAUCAGAGUAGGCAGUUAACUUUAAAGAACCAGAACUGAAAAACUGAAGACCAUAAUCAGCUGUACUUUGAAGAUACCGUAACACCCUCUUGCAAGUUUGCCAAUGAAGAAUGGUGGGAGCUGAUAAAAACUGACUAAGCUUGUUGACUGUGAAAGCUAAGUCUGGUCGAGUUAACAGAACAUAUUGAAGAGAUCUCAUAAUGCUUCUGUAUAAGGAUGGAUUUUCAAAUGCAGCACCUGUAUCCUUGUGCAGCUUCUCAGAAGUACUCAUAGGUGUAACACAACCUUUACUGUCCAGCAUAUUUGCCCUUUUAAGAAUAUCACCAAUGUACUUAGUUUGAGAUAGAUGAAUACCUUGAACAGAUGGAGUAACUUCAAUACCAAGAAAGUAAUGAAAAUUCCCCAGCUCCUUCAAGGAAAACUCAGAAUGUAAUUGCUGAAUAACAUUUCCUAUGAGCUUUGAAUCUGAACCCGUGACUAAAAUAUCAUCCACAUAAAUGAGAAUGAGCAAGAUAUCUUUCCCUGCAUGCUUAAUGAACAGAGAAGUGUCAGAUUUGGAGACCUGAAAACCCCAUUAAAUUAAUGACUCCUUUAAUCAAUCAUACCAGGCUCUUGGAGCCUGUUUGAGACCAUAUAAGGCCUUGUUAAGCUUACAAACAUAAGAAGGGUAAGUGGAAUCAACAAACCCUUGUGGUUGAUGCAUGUACACAUCUUCAGUAAGAAUGCCAUUGAGGAAAGCAUUGUUUACAUCCAGCUGCUUAAUAGGCCAGUGAUGCAUGACUGCUAGGCUUAAAAUGAUUCUGACAGUACAAGGCUUGAUCACAGGGCUAAAUGUCUCAAAGAAAUCAACCCCAUAAGUUUGAUGAUAUCCCUUGGCAACCAACCGAGCUUUAUACCGAGAGAUACUGCCAUCAGCAUUAUACUUAACUCUGUAAACCCACUUGUUGCCAACAAUUUUCCCAGCUGAUUCAGGAGGCACUAAAGUCCAGGUUUGAUUUCUUUGGAGAGCUUCAAAUUCUUCAUUCAUAGCUGAGUACCACCUAGGAUCUGUCAAUGCUGCUUUGACAUUGGAUGGUUCAAGGUCUUGAGAAACAGCUAAGUAGGUUUUGGGUUUGUAGAUACCAGCUUUAGAUCUGGUAACCAUAGGAUGAGUAGAGAUUACUGGUGGAGAAGAAUUUGAAGAUCUUGAGGGUUGAUCUAGAGAUUGUGAAUGAACAGAAUGUGGCAAGGAAUGAGACUCUGAUGCAGGAGACAGAGCAGGACUAGAGACUGCAGCUGAUGGCUCUUCAUUGCUACUGUGACUAAGAACAGGUGUUUGAGGAAGAAAGAAAUGAACUGAAGAUGGAGUGGAGGUAGCAGAAUGAGAUAAGGUGUUGGACUUGUUUUUCAAAAACAGUUCAGAAUACAGAAAUUCCAGUUCAUUGAAAGUAACAUGUCUAGCAACAAAGACUUUCCCAGUUCGAUCAAGACACUUGUAGCCCUUAUAAAUGGGGCUAUAACCAAUGAAGACACACUUUUGAGUAUGAAAAUCUAGCUUGUGAUGAUGAUAAGGUUGAAGAAAAGGAAAACAAGAACAGCCAAACACUUUAGGAAACUUGUAAUCUGGAAGCUGAUUGUAUAGUUUUUGAAAAGGAGAUAAAUUAUUUAGAACAUGUGUUGGCAUUCUAUUCACUAAGUAAGUGGCUGUAUGAAAAGCUUCCCACCAAAAAGAGAGAGGUAAAUGAGCUUGAGCUAAGAGUGUGAGUCCAGUUUCAACAACAUGCCUAUGCUUCCUUUCCACCACACCAUUUUGAUGGUGAGUGUGGGGGCAACUAUAUCUAAAUUGAAUACCCUCUUGUUGGAGAAAUGAUCUGAAGGCUAUAAACUCACCCCCCAUAUCAGUUUGUAGUGUUUGGAUGGAUAAAGAAAACUAUUUUUCGACAAGAGACUUGAAAUAUUUGAAGGUGUCAAAUGCCUCAGAUUUGAGUGUGAGUGGAAAUACCCAACAAUAUCUUGUGAAAUCAUCAACAAAAGAAAUAUAGUACUUGUAUCCAUCCAUAGACAACACAGAAGCUGGACCCCAUAAGUCAGCAUAUAAGAGUUGGAGAGGAAAUUUUGAUUUUAUAUCAGUGACUGGAAAAUGGAAUUGAUGUAAUUUGCCAUAUUGACAAGCAUCACAAAAAUUAAGAGAUUGAGAAUAUGUUGAAUGCAUAGGAAGACUUUUCAUUAUUGUUUGCAAGACAUGUUUGGUUGGAUGACCAAACCUAUUGUGUAGCAACUGCAUAGACUCACUACUGGAAGCUAGAAAACUGACAGAAUUCUCAUUAUUGGAAUUGAUCAAAUUUGAACAGACAUUUGUUUGGUGAUUCAACUCUUUCAAAGAGUGUACAUUCUCUUUAUUUGAAAAAACAGACAACAUUGAACUAGGUUUGAGACCCAAGGCUUUAGAAUCAGAAAAAGGUGUAUCUUGAGUCAGUAGCUUAAAGAGACCAUCCUCAGCAAUCCCCUGUGCCAGCAAAGUUCCUUGCAUCUUGUCCUUAAUGAAACAAAGAUUAGAAACAAAUUUAAUGAUUAUAUGAUUGUCAGAGAGAAGUUUAGAUAAGCUAAUCAGAUUCUUGGUAAUUUUGGGAACACAUAGAACAUUGGAAAGGUUUAAUUGAUUACCAAAGGAUGUAAAGAGACAUAUAUUGCCUAUGGAAGUAAUUCUAAGACCUUGUCCAUUACCAACUAACAGCAACUGAGAUCCAAGAUAAGGUUUACCUUCAGCUAGGUUCUCCAUAUUGUUUGUGAGAUGAUGUGUUGCUCCACUAUCCAGAUACCAUCCUUGGUCAGCAACUCCUUCUGAUGUAGCCAUGAAGGCAGCUCUGGAAGUUUGAUUCUGAUCUGAAAAAUUUCCUUGCACAGAAAAAUUAGGAACAAAAUUUCUAUUAAAUAUGUCUUUGCAAUCAGCUGCAGUAUGAUUGUGCUUGAAACAAAUCUGACAAACAAUAUUUCCUCUGCCUCCUCCUCUUCCAAAUCCAUUAUAGCCACCAGGAAAUCUACCAGAAAAAUUUCCAGCAGCACCAGCAAAAUUGCCUCUACCCUGAUUUCCAUUCCAGUUAUUCCAAUUAUUAUUCCAUUGUCCUCUACCUGAAUUUUGUCCCCUUCCUGGAUUGAAACCUCCUCUAUUUGUAAAGUUUCCAUUCCAGUUAUGAAAUCCAGGUUUGUUUCCAGUGUUUCCAUUCCAGCCUCCUUGACUAUCAUUAUUCAAGCCUCCCUGAUUGUUAACUUUCUUUUGAUUAUUCCCAGCCUGAGCUAAGUUAGCAGCAUAGUUCUGUUUCACUUCCUUGAAAGAAUUAGAUUGAUUGCUUUCUAAACGUGCCUCAUGUGUCAACAACAUUGAAUAAGCCUCAUUAAUACUCAUUUUUAGAACAUUUGCUUCAAUAUACACAACUACUGGAUAAUAAGGCUGACCUAAUCCAGAGAUGAGAUGAGUUAUAAAAUCCAAAGAACUAACAGGACUUCCAGCAAUAGCAAGCUCAUCUAUAACUGACUUCAACUUACUAAAAUAUUCUGUCAUAGUCAUAGAUCAUUUCUUUAGAUUAUUCAACAUCAUUUUGAGAUGAACUUUCUUAGCAGCAGUUUCAGAUCCAAAUUGUUGCUCUAAACUAGACCACAGUUCAUAAGAGGUUUUAGAGUUUACCACAAGGCUGAGGAUUUCAAUGUUGAUAGAGGAUAGCAGCCAGCUCAGCAGCAUCUGAUCUUGCUUUCUCCACACAUGAAACUCAGGAUUCUCUUGUGAAGCAACAGUUGAACUUGCAGAAGUAUUGAACAUAGCAUCUGAAUUUCCUUGAGUGCUUGAGAGAAAUUGAUCUGGACAGAUUCUGGAUCCAUCAAGCAAACUCUCAAGCUCAUUUGCUCGAACUGAGGAUAGAAUUUGAGAUUUCCAGAUUAAGUAAUUUGAUCGAUCAAGUUUUAUUGGAGUUGUAAAAGUAAAGGUUGUUGCUGAAGAAGAGAUGUUUGUGGUCAAGCUUGAUAAUGCCAUGAGAUUAGACUAGACGUGGCUCUGAUACCAAAUUGAAGUUUAACCAAGCUAUUUAUGCUUGUUUGGUUGCAGAGAAAAUGAAGGAAAAUUCAAUGAGUAAUACGAGAAACUAUAAGAAAAAUAGAUCGAAUCUUAUUCAAUGAAUUAUGAAUACAGAGGUUGACCUUAUAUACUAAGAUCUAGAACCUUCUGUAUUGCUCACACACGUGUUGAGAGUGAGCUGUGAUUAACAAACUUCUCAGCUCUAUAACAAACUUACAAACUAACAAUAACAGCCUUGCUUACUCAGUUGCCACAUCAGCAGAAUCAUUACAAAAAUAUUCUUUAUAUUUAUAACUCUAACACGCUUAGUCUCCUCUUCAACGUUAAGUCCUCGACUAGCAACAAGCUCCCCAAACUCAACUGGGUUGGCCUGCCUGAACUCCAAGAAAUCUAGGAUCAUUGUAUUCCCCACACACACGCCCCUGAAGCACGUCUCCUACAAUUAGCACAACUAUUAUCGAUGCAAGUGUACAAGCACAUAUCUUCGGCAUCACAAUUGCAGUCCGUGACACCCUGCUCUUCUUAUAAAACUCCACCCCAAAUCUACACUACAAACAAGUUGAUUGAAAUUAAACAAUUGCUUUUUCAAGUGGACCCAUUGAGUCGUGGUCAUUACUCAUCAUUGUCUAUUUUUUCUAUGAGCCAUUUAUUUUGAGCAAUAGUGAGCUUCUCUGAACUACUCCAAUUAUUGAUGUAACUCCAGUGGCUGCAUCCAUAGUUGAAUAUAUGACAGUAUUAGCUCUUAUGUGAGAAUAUAGGGGGAUCUUUCUUUGUUUCUUUACGUAGCUAGAUGGCAUGUCCAGUGUUUGAAGGUUUGAAAGGGUGCAUAGCGGUGAAGGAAGACAUUUGAGCGAAGGGAUAUUCAAUUUCAAAUACUUCAAAUGGAAUAAAUUAUCUAAUCCGGGUGGAUAUUGGUCCAGGACUGCAGAAUCCAUGUUCAAUACCCGAAGGUGUUUGAACAUUUUACAAAAAUUCUCGCAAUCUAUCGGAUUAAGAUGAUCGCUUUCUGAACUGUGAUUCAGAAAAGAUUGGAGAUACAUGUCCGAAUGUUUCAAAGAAAAGAAUUCAAUCGGAUCAUCGAAAAUGAUGUACCGUUUGGUAUUUGCCAAUGAUUCCUCUUCGAAGUCAGGCGUCCGGACAAAUCCCAUCAUUGCUGCCGUCCCAACUAACGCAGCAUAUGCAAAAGUUGGAACAUAACACGCCUUAAUUGUGCCUCCGGCUCUUCUCUUAUUCACUUGAAUGAAGCCACGAUCGAUUAGUUCGUUCAAGUAAUGCUCGGCAGUUUCCUCACUGUUGUAUGGUAUGAAACCUUCAGCUACCCACAACUGAUAUAAUUGCCUGGUAGAUAUCUCAAUGCCUGGAUGGAACACACACAAAUAGAGGCAGCAGAUUUUCAGGUGAGCAGAUAACUCCAACACAGAAUACAUUCGACUCCAAGUUGUCAGAAACGCUUUUUCUCCCGUGUAAAUUCUUAAUGUCGUUUUUCCAUAGUAUAGGAUGAAAAAUUGCCAGGAUUCAUGCUUUAAUCUGAUCAAUGGUCCUCCAACGAGAACUGAAUCAGGACGAAUCGGCUCUCCAUUUUCUAAUUCGAACGAGCAAAGGAAGCCUGAAUCCGUGACCGUUAUCAAUACUCUGCUUCCAUUCUGAUUCUCAGGAAGUACUUCUUCAAGAUCAUCCAAUACAUCGUCACUCUCUUCACAGUAAUCAUCAAGCACAAUAAAGUACUUCUUGUUUGUUAGGUAAUCUCGAAGAAUAGAUUUCUUCAAUUGAUAAUCUUCACCGAUAACUACACUAACCCGAGAUGGAGGCAUCACAGACUUGAUUAUGUCAUCCAAUAUCAUGCGAAAAUCGUAGGCUAUAGAAACCCUGACCCAAGCAUGACAGUCAAAAUAGAACUUGACAUGAUUAUUGUUGUAAGUAUCAGCAGCAAAAGCAGUCUUAUCAAAGCCACUGCUGUCGAGAAUUGCAACCACUGAAAGCCGAGGUUGUCCCUCGAUCAGUAAAUCAAACAACUCCUCUCUGCCGCUUUCAAAUUCACUCUUAUCAAACUGAAAUUGUCCCUCAAUCAAUAAGUGAGUGAAUUCGUUCCUUCGCUCUUUGAAAUCAAAACCAUUUUCUCUAGGCGGAAUUUGUUGCAACCGAUUUCUAAUAUCAAUGAUUUUACUGUGGAUUCCGACAAGAAGAGCAAUGCAAGUAGUGCUUUCACUUUCACUGCAUUGCUGCUGCGUGAUGUUGAUGAAGAAUGUGUCAAUAGCUUUCUCUGAUUCAUCGACAAAGUAAUUGAUGUCUUUCAGAAGUUCCCAAAUGUCUGUUCUUUUAACAUUUUCUAAGUGCAAGAGUUGCCGAUAACGCGAAGGUAUUUCGUCUUCAUCGAAAUGUUCUCUAAUGAGUUGAAUCAAAACCCGAGCCAUGUCAGCUUCAUAGUUUACCUUCUUCACCUGCUAACACCCUUUUCAACCUCACACCAAAUAGUGUGAGGUUAAUUUCCAUAUCUUUCCCUCUGUCAGUAGUACUCAGAGGUACGUAUUGUUAUUUGUUAGUGUUGAUGACGAAAGCUGAAUAUCAAAGGAUAUAAAUCAAACAAAAGUUUUUGUAGAUUGAGAAUGGAUGGAUGCAAAGAAUGACUGAUGUUAAAUGAUUCUAUAAAUGAGAUAUGCAAAGAAUGAAUGAUAUUAAGUGAACAUCAAGGAUGGGAACAAAAUUUAAAGGUAAUUUUUUUUUUUAAGUACUCUGUUGAAAGCCAAAGUUCCUUUGGCCAGUUAAUUUAGAAGUGAAGGAAUGAAUAAAGUUAGUCCUCGACGUCUUUUGAAAUUAGAAAUACAUUUUGAAUGCUUUAAUAGAUGCAGAGCAAACUGGCUCGAUAUCUAACUAUUUUAAGAGCUAAAAUCAUUUAUUAGAAGUUGUAGCAUUAAAAAAAAGGGCUUGAUAUCCAAUUUUGUUAUUGAAUAUGUCUCACGUGAGAGUAUAUAACUGUUGUGUUACUGGCAGAUGGCUACGCUAGGUUUUAUUGCUCCCUGAAUUUGAUUGAAAAAUUAUUGAGACGGACAAGUUUGGACCGUCGUUCGAGACUGAAACUACAUAUCAGUCUUAGAAAAUUGUAAUUUUGUUGGCUUAUCAUGAUUUUCAUCGCCCCAUAUUGAUUUUCCUAUGAUGUCUCUGUAGAGUGGCUAUGCUUACAUUUUUAGGUAUUUACUUCUAAAGGUUAACUUAUUAGAUGGAGGGACCAAUUCUACCUAUAAAUCCAAGUGGCUUCCCUUUACUAACUCAUAUGAGACACAACAAUAAUUUUCUUUGGACAAAACCAUUGUUGGAAGGUUAUUUUCGUUCAACAUACAUGAGUUGUUCCACCGCUAUAUUUUGAGGGUUUGCUUUGGAUACGACUUGGGGGAGCUAAUGCUAAGAUUUCUAAGUAUCAACAUAAAAACCUUGCCUAUUAGGUGGAAGGACCAAUCCUACUUUAAAGUCUAAAUGACUAAUUCUUGAGGACACAACUCAACAGACCAAUAUAAAAUUUUGACGUCCCAUUUUAUUACUUUCCAGUGCUUUUACUUUUGCUGUCUAGAGCCCUACUAUUCUAUUAAGCAGAAAAUAUUUCAAGGCACUCUCGGUCUAGUAGAUAACUUUGGUAUUUAUUAUCUAUUGGGAAAAUGACACAGACACCCCCAACGUUUAGUAAAGGGACACAAAACUCCCUAAUGUUUGAAAAAAGACAUACAGACCCCCAUUUCAUGACGGAAACAGUUUCGUUAAAUCAGUCAAAGGUUAAUAUCGUAAUUGCACAUUAACAACAAAUGAAUUGACCAAAAACCCACACACGAACAAAACGCUUAACACACGCACUGACACUGCUCCUUCCAGAUCUUGACAAAAUCCUUAACGGACACACUCACACGGUUCGCCGGAAACUGCUGGAAUUGCUGGGGUUGCCGGAAGUCGCUGGAACUGCUGGGCCUGCCGGAAGUCGCUGGAACUGCUAGGGCUGCCGCAAGUCGCUGGAACUGCUAGGGCUGCCGCAAGUCGCUGGAUCUGCUCGCGCUGCCGCAAGCUGCUGGAUCUGCUCGCGCUGCCGCAAGCUGCUGGAUCUGCUCGCGCUGCCGCUGCGUUGAUCGAGACCGCAUCUGGCUGCUGCUCGUUCGUGUGGCUGCUGCUCGUGCGUGGUUGCUGCUCGUUCACGUGGUUGCUGCUCAUGCAUCUUCAAUCCACGGUUCACUUAUCUUAAACUAGCUUUUCCCUCUUUAAUUUUCUUUUUUUUUUACUAAAUUAACUUUAUUUCUUUUUAUUAUCAUUCAAAAUCCACCAGAAUUUUUGAGAAUUUUUGGACAAUUAAUUAAUUUUGGAGAAUUUUAGACAAUUAAUUUCACCGAAGAAGUGAGCUUACCAUGGGCAUAAUGCCAAAAAAGCUUGUACUGGUUUAUUGGAGAUUUAUUGUGCUUAAUUUAUCAAUGAAAAGCUUGUACUGGUUUGCAUAUGGUAACAAAUAAAAGCAGGCAAUACUACAACGACGUCCCAACAAGCUAUGAGAGGAAGUUCACAAGCUAGGAGCCAGAGUUGUCAUACAAAUUUGUGAAUAAAUAAUGUUUUUUUCUCAAAAAAAUAUUAUGGUUAUUGUUGUAAUGAUUACCAGUAUCAAUUUGAUACAAUAUUAUGAUAUAAGGAUUAUUUGUUAUGUUUAUUGGUGGUUUUUUAUGUCUAUUUGAUAUGUUAUUUAGUACAAUUAAGAUGUUGUUAACCAGUUUUUUUUUUAAAUUUUUUUUAUUAUACUGGUUUAAAUGAUUGACAUAUGAAGAAUUGUUAUUUUUAUAGUAUUAAUAAUUAAUUUUAUUUAUUUUUAUUCUUGAAUAAUGGAUUAAAAUUAUUUAGCUUGUAGAGAAUUUGAUAAAAAAUUAUUAAUGAUUUUAUUAUAAAAAAUUUAAUAGAGAAAUUGGAUAAUGAUGGUAUAUUCGUAAUUUUAUUAAUAAUAUAUGGGUAAAAUAGACAUUGAACAAUUUUUUUUUAAUGCUAAAAGGAUAUAACGGUAAUUACAUGUUAAAAUUAUAAUUUCCGUUACUAACGGUUUUCGUUAAGAAAUUGAGGUCUGUAUGUCUUUUUUCAAACAUUAGGGAGUUUUGUGUUCCUUUACUAAACGUUGGGGAUGUCUGUGUCCUUUUCCCUUAUCUAUUUUCGUUCCGUUUUAUGUAUACCCCGAUCUUUACCUCUGAUUGGUUGUAGAUUCUUUUGUUGCUUUGGGGUUAGGGGAUGGUUUUCAUAACUAUUAAGUUAAUCAAUGCAGAAAAUCUCCAUCAACAAAUGAUAAAGGAUUGUUAGUUCUGUCUGACAAACAACAUUAAUAUGAAGGAUGAUGAUUGUUCUGUUCAAGAGUUUAUAAUGACAUAAUUCUACUUUGGUCUUUUAAAAAAAGUAAGUUAGAAACGAGGAGUAUGUGAGUGAUGAUUUUUACAAAAUAAAUUGCAUGCAUGGUGAUGAUUUUGACACAUGAAAAUGAAAAAAGAAAUAUAAAUUGUGAAUAAUAAUUGAAGUACCUGCUAUUGUUAUAUUGAGUAAUCAAGGACUUCAAUAUUCGGACGAUAUAAGCAACACAAUCAAAUAUUAGUUGGAAGGCAUAGCAAAAUUAGAAUGUAGAACAAACUGGGUAUUGAUAAAUGGAUGGUUUUGGAAGAAUUGAAAAUGAUGGCAUAAGUAAACCAGAGUUAAAAGAAAAGAGAAAGAGCAUUUGAACUUUACUUGUAAGUAAAGGCAAAUUUCUUGGUUCAAGAAAAGAUAAGAGAUAUCAAACUAGCAAUAGGAAAAAGGAGGAAGGUUAAGACAGCAUCUCAACAAAAGCUAAAGAAAAGAAAAACUUAGUUCAAGCAAAGAACAAUGUGCUAAUGUCUGUGUAAUCUUGUUUAAUUUCUUUUUCUUCUCACAUUUUCCAGGGCUUAAAUAAUACAAUAUACAUUUUCAAGCAAAGAACAAUAUGCAAUUGCAGUACUUCUGAGCACACAACAACAAAUAAAUAAUACAAUAUACAUACCCACUAAAUUAAAAAAAAAUAUUAUUCAAGUUUGUGGACAAUACUGUAGCCAUGACGUCGUCGAAAUCUGCUGACAGCUGAAACAAAGAAAGAAUGGAUGAAUGCUGGAUCACAGUUGAAAUUGAAGGUCUGGUAGGUGAUGUUUCCCUCUCUGAUUUUACCUAAACAAAUACAAGAAAAUAAGAAUCACAAAUGAAAAUCUGCUAUUACACUGUUCUUACUUAUUAAAAUACAGAGGUUUCUUUGUUUCUCUGCAGCAAUGUCCAUGGCUAUUAGAAACAAGAACAAUUAGACCAGCAUUUGCAAGAGUCCUUUAAGGUAUUACUGCAGAUAUAAAUCAAGACUGAGGAAAUGGAAAAAUUGAAUACCAAAUUAGGCAAGUUAACUGAAGAUUGAGUUAUCAUAGAAGAAUAAAACUCAUCCAAUUCAAUCCAUCAAAUUCCAUAAGGAUACAACUGGAUGUCAUACUGCUGCUCCAUUUCCUCAAAAGCCCGUAGAUUUUGCCUCAACACUGGCUGAGGCCAAUGUAACUCCAAUUUGCAAAAGCUCUUUAUGCACCAUAGCUCUUCAGGAAGCUUUCUCAAGUAAGCACAAGGGUUGCCAAUUAAGCUUCCAAGUUUUGGCAUUGCUCCAGCCCCUAUCAUCCAAUCCUCUAGCCAAUACAUUGAUUUCAGGUGCAAUACCUUGAGCUCCGGGAAACCACAAGAGCAAACACAAGACAGUUUUCUUCCUGAAUAUGAGUUCUGCCUCAAUUUCAGCACUUGAAGGUGUGGAAGCUUGUCUAGUGUUAGCAUGGUAUCCUCCAAUAACUCAGUAUUUGAUAAGCUUAGAUGGAUCAGACUUGGAGAAGCUGGUAUUUAGACAGGGCCAUACGUGAGAACUACCACCUCUUGGUUUCGUUCACCAGCUUCAAGCAUUCAAGUUUGUGUAGUUCGCAUAGGCUUUUGGAAACCCCAGAACAAUCAUAAUUCAAAUCUCCAGAUACUACGAGUUUGAAGAUUAGGUAGUCUGCCUGUUAAAGUAGCUCACUAUGCCGAACAAAAGAAGGAGAAAGCUAAAGUGAAGAAAAUACAGAGCAAGAGUAUUAGCUGUGCCAGUUCAACUGAUAGCUCAGCAAAAUCAGUUAAAUUUUGUUACAAGCCCACUGUGCAUUGUGCUGAAGAUUAGUUAGUUUAAUAAUGAUUAGUUUUAGAUUAGUUAAAAUGUAAUCAUGAUUAAGAUAUAUAUAUAUAUAUAGCUGCUGUACUGAUAUCAUGGAUUAAGUUGUUGAGAAAUAAAAUUCAUUAAGCAUUUCCAGAACAGUUGAUUUUCUUUCUCAGUAGCCAAACAACUUCAAUCUCGUUUUUUUUCAACAAUGAGUUCUCAAACCACUCAAGUAUCAUUUUCAGAGAUUCUUGGCCUUAUACUCACCAUCAAAAUGGAUUGGUUGAGAGAAAACAUAGGCAUAUUGUUGAAUUAGGUUUGACUCUGUUGGCUCAAGCUCAACUUCCUUUUAAAUUCUGGUGGGAUGCAUUCCAUACUGCUCUAUAUCACAUCAAUAGAUUACCAUCUUCUGUUUUCAAACUUUUGACCCCAUAUGAGAAGAUAUUCAAGCACAAACCUGAUUAUGAUUUUCUCAAAUGUUUUGGUUGUAUUUGUUAUCCUUACUUGAGAGACUAUAACAAAAAUAAGUUUGCCUAUCAUUCCAGAACGUGUAUAUUCAUUGGUUAUAGUCCUUCACAAAAGGGUUAUAAAUGCUUACAUUCUUCAGGUCAAGUCUAUGUGGCAAGACAUGUUAUCUUUGAUGAGUCAACCUUUCCUUAUGCUACUGAAUCUGUUUUUCAUAGUCACACAAAUUCUGAUUCUCAUUCUUCAAAUUUAUUUCUCCACAGCAUGUCUAUUAUCUUUCUACUUUACCUGUCAUACCAGUAUUUCUAAAUAACAACACUGACAAUCUAAACUCUACAAAACUAAAAUGCCAGCUUUUUGGUGUUAGCGAUAAGAAACAACUUACCACAACCAUUAAUUAUCCAUAAUUUCAUUGUUUAUCCUCAGUUUUCUUCAUAAAUGUUACAGCGUUCUUCACAACAAAGUGCAAGGGCAUCUCAAAAGUUCUAAAAUAAUACCUCAAUUCUAUUGCAAAAAUAAAUAAUCUCAAACAAGAACCAAUAAUCAUAUGAAUAAACAAUUAAAGAUAGAGAAAAAAGGCUUAAACCUUGGGGAAAAAAAGUGAAAAAACAUGAAAGACAAAUUACACAUGUGCAGUAACCAUCGAACUUAUCAAUGACAGCUGCAUCCAUUACAUUGCUCCAACAACACAAUGGCAAACCACCAGUUUCAAAUUGAGGAUAGCUAUCGAGAAUGAGAAAGUGUCCAAAACGUCAUCAAUAGACAUGUUCCUAUUGUGCAUAAUUUACAUUAUAGGCAAAUAUUCUUAUACCAUCAAAGGCAAAACAUGACACUAACAAUUGAUCCCCCCCCCCCCCCCCCGUCCCCCCAACAACAAAAAAAAAAGGAAAAAACAACACAGAAAAGAUUGAAACAGAUAAGGCUACACUGAGCACAGGAUGCCAUGAAACAUAAUCCAGGAACCAAAUUAAUAAAAAAGGAAGCCAAACCAUUAUUUAACAAUCUGUUUUGUAUUUGGGAAAGUCUGAUAAAAUCUACUUAGGGAUAAUUAGAGAACCUCAACUAUUAAUCACACCUCAUAAAUGAACUAACAUUAACCAUCCCCACAUCACACAAACAUUCUAACCUAAUACUUCCAUCUUCAAUUGGGGGUUUUUUUUCUUUUUUUUUUGUUGGGGGGGGGAGCUUGCUUAGCUUCUGUGUGGGAUUGAAAUGCUGAUUUCGAAUCACUAACAGUAAAAUUGGAAUCUCAUGAAAAAACAGUUUUAUCUUAAAAUUACAUCUCGAUAUAAAUUCUCUUUUCAUUUCCUUCAACUUUCUAAUUAAGCUUAAAAAAUGUACCUUCAACCACAAAGGGGUUUAAAAUUUAAAAUAUAAAAAAUAAAUUCAGAUAACAAUAAUUAAUUUAAUUAAAAAUAUAAAUAGAGUUACAGAGAAAGAGAAAAUAGAGAAAGAC
RNAcentral lists this long non-coding RNA (251391 nucleotides) under Citrus maxima (pomelo). RNAcentral's name for it is "long non-coding RNA (CMAX_LNC001223)". Lineage: Eukaryota; Viridiplantae; Streptophyta; Magnoliopsida; Sapindales; Rutaceae. The record is from RNAcentral.